This 325327-nucleotide long non-coding RNA is filed under the name Sorghum bicolor (sorghum). Its description in RNAcentral is "long non-coding RNA (SBIC_LNC009304)". The stretch from base 273884 to 273990 matches the Rfam family "Plant small nucleolar RNA R71". The record is from RNAcentral. Lineage: Eukaryota; Viridiplantae; Streptophyta; Magnoliopsida; Poales; Poaceae.
GCAGCAGCAUUCGUCCUUCAUCGGGUUUUUCUUGCUGAUGCAGUGGUAGCCAACACCAGUGUAGCCCCAUCCUCGACAAGCAAGCAUGCACCCAUAAGGUCUGCAAAUUGGGUACUGCCUGCAAUCUAUCUCUGCUCGUGGUUGUGGCAGUUUAUUUUCCUGGCAGGAAUUGAAGCCUACAUAUCCAACAUAAAAAACAUCAAACCAGACAGUAUCAGAGACUUCCUCCUGCAGCACUAGGAGCCUACAUAUCUAACACACUAAUUUCAUUAAAUUUAUUGGAGCACUAACACUAGCUAAUGUUUCGAUAUCAUAAAAACUGAAGUAUACAUAAAAGUAUGUUUUACCUGAGAGGCUAGCAGCUCGGCAGGAGGGUGACGUAGCAAACAUGAUCCCAAGAACCAAGAACAAUGCAGCCCACAGGUACACAAUCCUUGUCGUAGAGAUCUUGAUUAGUGCCAUGAAGAAGAGAAUCUUGCUACUCUCCUCUUUCUGUGACAAGGAGAAGAUUUCUAAUGUUUGAAUUAUGCAUCUACUGUAUUGGUAUUUAUAGGGAAGAACAACCAUCCUCAUUUAACAUAUGUAUCUUAAUAAGAUUUAUGUGAUCUACUAGAUAUCUUGCACUAGUGUUUUGAUAUCUCAAACUAUCUUAUUAUACUACAAUAAAUAUACUUGAGUAUCCAAUCUAAUCCCUUACAAAAACGUGUUGCCUUACAUUUAUGGUAGCUACUAUAUUAAUUACAUGAGCGCUCGAACAUCUUCUUAGAUGCUAUUAAAUACAUCUAUCUGGAGCAGUCCCCAGCUGCUGUCGAUUGAGCAGUCACAAUACAAGGAAAAAAUGUCAGGCUGGACCCACUUUUUUUCAUUAAGUAUAUAUUUAGACCCAAAAAAUAGUGUUAAGGAUGUCAAUGUGUCAUCACAUCUAAACCAUCACCACAUGUACCUUGUGAUGUUUUCCCAUAAAGUCAUUAAAAAUGUGUGGACAUUCUACACAACUUAUAUUGAAAAUUUUCUGUCCCUUUUAUGAAACCAAAUGUAUGUCACAAAAUAAUUAGUCAACAUGUGAAAAUACAAUUCUUCACAAAUACCAAAGCCGGACUAUGGUUAGGGUAGGUUUUUCUGAUGAAACACUACUAUGCUAGAACAACCAAUCAUUGUUAGGGCCAUUGUCAGUCAUUCUGGAGCCAGCAGUGGUUGCUUAUCACUCGUGGUUCAUAAGCCUAUAGGAUCCAGAAAAUUUAUUGGAAGCGCUAUUCACCCGAAGUCACCUAUCAUUGCCAGCUCAAACCACCAUCCAUCAGUGAAAUACGACUGCCGGGUCAUGCGACAAACAUGUAGUGGUAUGUGUCAUAUUACUGUUAGCUAAGGAUAUGACCCCCAACAUUGAUAUAUUACUGAUAGGUCAUGCCACGAGCUGGAAGUGAUAUUUUCAUAUUACUAUCGGGUUUUAAGAUGACCAGAUAAUGUUCUUUAACCGCUACAUCCACCUAACCUUCAUAUUUAUUGAUUCACCAUUGUUGGAUCCUACUAUCACCAUUGCUUCUGGUUAGAAAAUAAUUCUCCAAAUGCCCUGCCUGUGACGACCUCUUAUAGUCCAACAAGUCAUUGGUUCACUACUUGUGUAUCUAUGUCUAAUAGUAAAGAUAGAAAAUUUCUGCCACUAAUUUUUUCAUCCAGCCUAAUCACUGAUUCUGUCUCGGAACCCGCUUGUGAAGUCCCACGUCUGAUUUUCUUUCCUGUGGAGAUGUUCCCAUCUGUGUCCUUUGUCUCACAAAGUCCCCGCAUCCGUUUUUUCUUCAAUGAAAACGUUAUCUUCCGUGUGCAUUCUCGAGUUCAUUUUUUCUCUUUUUUUCCCUUUCGCUUUCUCACAUUUAGUUGUGACUUUUUUGUUUCUUCUUUUUUGUCUCCUGUUUUUUCUUAUACAUACAGAAAAAUAGAAAAUAAUGGAUAUAGUAUUUUAAGUCUUUGAAAUUCUAAUCCUUUCCUAAUAAAUAAAUAUUUCCAUCACUAAGGCUUGUUUGGAACGCAGUAAUUUUUCCAUGUUCCCGAACUCAUUCCUACGAAAUUUCUGCAUAAUUCCUGUGAAAUCCAUGCGUUCCAAAUUGGCCCUAAGUUGAUGGAAUUUUAAUUAUAUUAGGAAUAAAGCUUAUAAUAUUAGGAUCUGGACGAGGCGAUGGUCUAAUCAAUCUGUGGACUGAAAUCUAGUUUGUCAUCCAAUCCAUUCUAUAUCUACGUACCUAUUUAUAUUCAGAUCUAUCUAUCUAUCUAUCUAUCUAUCUAUCUAUCUAUCUCUCUCUCUCUCUCUCUCUCUCUCUCUAUAUAUAUAUAUAUAUAUAUAUAUAUAUAUAUAUAUAUAUAUAUAUAUAUAUAUAUAUAUAUAUAUAUAUAUAUAUAUAUAUAAGCUAUGCACAUAUAUCAGUACAAGCUUCCAAGCUGUCUGCAUAUACCAGUACUAUUCUCAACGAGGACAGACAUGUCAAAAUCGAGAGAGGUCUACUCAUCAACGAACAGACAAAAUUUUGACUUAAGACAUUAGAAUUAUAUAUUUGAUAUUAUUUCUAUGGAUCCACAAAACAAGUCGUUAAAUUACAUAUUCUCAACGAGGACAGACAUGUCAAAUUCUUGCUCUACCAGCACAUAAAUAGUGUGAAACUAAAGUUAUAUAUAUUUACUUGUAAAUAUUGUUGUGCCCGCAAGAAAAAAACUUACUAUUGGUUGUUUUUAGUUCAAUGUAAAAUAGAUAUAUAAUAAUGUUGCCAAUAAUAACUUAUAUUAGGGAUGUCAUAGUUCUAAAGUAUAGCUUUUAAAUCUUAUAGAAAAGAUAAAAAUAAAUAGAUAUGUAAAAUCGUCAUUCUUGUUUCUCAUUAAUGUGCCCAUUUAUUUGUGAUUGCCGCGGAAACCAUAACAAUAAUUCACAACAGAAAAACUAGAACAUAUAUAAAUUAACGGGGUGUAAGUGAGCUGUUCACCAAGCUCAAGCAACACACGUCAAGCAUUUCAUAACAUUUUUGUCCUAUUACAACGCAUAGGCAUGUUUGCUAGUAGUCUCAAUAUGUGUUUUCUGUGGGAGAAACAUCCACGUACACCAUGCAUUUUGUACUCAAGAUGAUGCACUGAAGUACUAGAAGAAUGUUUGUGAAGAUGGAGCCACGCCGAAGCUAGGGCAUGUUGGUAGCAAUAUAAAGCUUUAACCGGGCGCUCUGGUUGGUAGUUGGUUUGCGUUGAGCCAAUGUCAUUGGCUCAUCACUACAUCCUCGUUGUUGCAUGGGCUGCCUAGCUUGGUUGUUGGCCAGUUCGUUAGAAGUUGGUGUGGUCAUCGAUCUAUAUCCUUUGUUGAUGGUCAGUAAGUGAUCAAUCUGAGCAUCAACUUUUCAGUAAAGUUAAAGUUACAACUUCAUAGUAGUAAUUUAUUUUUCAAUAAUGUGGUUCCUCGUAUAUGGAAGUGUGCAAAUGCAGGGAUAAAUGUGCAAUUACAUGAAAGACUUGGCUCCAAAGGCAAGUGGGGCCAAGUUCUCUUCAAAAUUUGUUCUUCGGUUUUUUCAGAACUUCGGUCAUCUAAAAAACUAAAACAGGUCGGUUAGUUUUUAAAACAGUCCCGUGUAGUUCGGCUCAGUCUCGGUCGUGACCGAACUAACCGGACUAGACAAAGCAACUACUAAAUAGCAUAAUAUAUAGCAAACUUUAGCAAUAUUUUUUCUAUUUCAACGCACAAAUAAUAAUAUUGCAUAUAAAUUAAGCAAAAUUGAUGAGUGAUGGUUGAUAUAAACCCACCAGAACAAAUAUUAUAUCACUAAAUAUGGUCUAAACUGCACAUUAUGUCCAGAAAAUGCAAAAUUUCGGUUAGUUCGGUUACUCGAGGUAUAUAAGCAAACUAGUAAGGACUUGGGAUCGAACUAGUGACCAAAAACUUCUGUCUUGGUCUCGAUUAGUUUGGUUUGGUCUUCGUUUAAAUAUGCCCAGUGCUAUCCCCCAGUACCCAUACUUGUUGAAGAUGCCAGGUACCAACAGUGUACUCUCACUUAAAGGUGACAUGAAGAACUCCUAUGAUUGCGACAUCAAGACUGUUCAACUUGCUUGAUGGACCAUGAUCCUAAGAGUUCCCAUAGGGCCAACUACCUAGACCGAAGGUGUGGAACAAGAUGGCGAUGGUUCCAAGGCAAGAAAAUCGACCUAGAUAGUUUUAGGAAGAUAUAUCUUUAUAAUAGGACUAGAACUCUUCUAUUGUAACUCACUAGGACAAGGACCAUAUUGGCAGUCCUUAACUACCAAUAUAUACCGUCAACCAAACAUGGAAAAGUGCAUAAAAAGAAAAUACCUACAUAUAAUAGGAGUUAUGCUAAUAGAAUUCCAUAUCUUUGGUGAAUCAAUGUUACUACAAAGGUUUAUCAGGAAAAGAGAAGAGGGAUCAAGGACGUCGGGCUAAAAGGCAUAUUCUAUCAUCAAACUAAUUUGAGAAGGAUCUAAAAGACAUGAGAAGACAGACCAACAAAGAAGGGGCCCACCAGGCAUAAACGAGGGUUAGCUGACCCCACCUGUAGGUCGGCUGACCUAGCCUGGCCCCACUUUGUCAGCUGCCUUCUCAUAUCGGUUCUCCACCGUCGUAGAGUUUGCAUCUACGCCAAUGACUGAAAGUCAGUUUGAUCCGAGGGCCCUGGUUCAUCCCACUAGCUUAUAAAAGCAGAUCCCUACACCCUGUGUUGAGAGCAUACCAAGUCAUUCAAGUGAUCCUAGCUAGAAACCCUAGAGCCCCACCAUAUUCUAGGCACAACUACAUAGGUUAGAAGUAGAGAAACACAAGCUUCGCUUGGAUGUUGGAUUUGUGUCGAGAGUGUUGGUCGGUGUUGGUAUUUUAACGGAUACAGAAUAAUCAUAGGGAAUGAUCCACAAGCAUACGGAUACCAUUGUAGCUUUGACCCGAAGGUUGUAAAUAUCAUAUCCACAGGGAAACGUGUGAGAGUAACUACGAUCUAACUCAACAAAAUGGGUGAUAAUUGGGUAGAGAUGUAUGCCAAUUAAGAGUAGAAACAAAGUUAGGAUAAAUAGGAGCAUAGAAAGGUUAAAUAUGGGUCCUCUACUUCUAACUUGGGUAAACUAUGUUUUCUAUUGUCCAACUUUAGGAUAUCUUAUGAAUGUAUGAAAUUUCUUCUCUACAAGCACCAAUGUUGACACCGUUUUUGGACACGUACCCAGGGAUCGGUAGAGUAUAGAUCGGCAAGAUAGGGCAACAGUAACUGGUCAGUAGGGGAGUUGCCGAUGAAGGUGGUUGCCGAUGAAGAGACAGCUGAAUGUGACUAAGUCCAUGAGUGGUGAUGCGUUCAUGCCGAUGGUCAGCGUUAGCCUUUGUCGAUGGCUACGAUGAGGAGUCUGCCGAUGACUCGGAAGGAGAACAUGAAGGUUGCCGAUUGGUCCAUGGUGGUGUCCCGGUUUGUCACGGGAGGAUAGUUUUGUGCUUUCCUUAGUUAUUUAAAUCAUUUUGUAUACGGAUUCUGUUUAAUUUGGAAUUCGAGUCCUAGUCGUGUCUGACUGUAGCUCUUUGAGAAGGGUAUACAUGUAGACCCUAGGGCCUUGUAAUGAAACAAUCUAUCAAUCAAUCAAACACAUGUUUUUACUCAUAUUCCAGCAUCUACUUUUUCGACGACUUCAUCAUAUUUUCCUUUUUAUUACGAGUUCUUAGGAGUUCGUCGACUUAAGCUCGGUGUAUUCUCGAGUUCCGCGUGAAUACCUCUUGGCCGUGACAUCCGGGCGCAUCUCUGUUGUCGGGACCAAAGUAUUCGAGUUAUCACCUUUGCCGAUAGUAAGGUCAAAUCGGCUGGCACGCCUUAACGUUGAAUCGGGUAUUAGCCCUUUGUGUUUGCAGAUCAGCUUUUGCAUCAACACAUCUUUUGGCACACCCAGUGGGACUAGAUUCAAGACCAAGAUCGACAUGGCGACUAACGAUUCUUCGACUUGGAGAAUGUCAUCCCUGUGACGGAAGCUAAUCUCAAAGAUGAGCAGAAGCAAGCUAUUGCAAAGGCUAUGGAGGAUUACAAGCAACAAUGUUUAAAGUCCUUCAGCAUAAACAGGAGUGGCGAGGUGAUCCAGAAGGAAGCACUGCCGAUGCCUCGGCAGGUUACUUUUGAAGCCAAUCCUGGUAAACUUCAAGACAUGGUUGAUAGUGCUAUUAAUCGUGCCUUGAUCAAUCAAGCUGGUGUGAUGUCCAAUACGGUUUUCAAAGCCGUGGCUAGAACUUUCAAAGAAGGACAAUUGCCACCAAAUUAUGUUGGUCCUUCUCAUCAUCAGCUGGGGUCACCAGUUGUUACAGCUCCAUCGGCUGCUACAGCCGCUGCGGGCGCAGAAACAGCUGUUCCUCCAAGCACGUUAGGAGUCACUAAUGCAUAAUCCAUGCCGAUGACGACUAAUCCAUCAACUUCAGAUGAGCAGAUUAAGCUCACUACAGACCUGUUGGCAUCAACAAUGUCGGGAUCUGUCCCUCCUAACUGGUGGGGUUUUGGUAUGCCCCUAGAGUUCAUGUUGAAGACACCUAGUACAUCUCAAACGGCUGAUAUGAGAGGCAAGGCUCCUAUGGCAUCGGCACCUCCAAAUAUGCCGAUGAAUCAGAGUCCCCAGUAUACUACAACUACUACUGCCAGACCUUACACUGGGAAUUCUCAAGCUCCAACGUUCCAGAUGCCUAAUGCAUCGGCAGAUUCAAUGCCGACGCAACAGAGGUUUAUGACUCGGCCAGGGUAUGUCAAUUCAAUGAUGAUGCCCAAUUACCAGUCAUCGGCAGGACCUAUGCCGAUGAAUGCUAAUAGUGGAUGGCCUGGGCAGCAAGUCUUUCCACAAAUGCCCCAACAGAAUCAUCUGGCUACAGGGUUUCAACAAGGCCAGAUCCAACCUAGGUUCCAUAAUCAAGGGAUGGUCAACCAGCCGAUGAAUCUUGGACAGCAGAUUGGUGGUCAAAUGAUUAACCCAAUGUUCCAUGCAGAUCGUACACCGCAUAGACACAUGGAAGUGUAUCAACAGGUGCCAGAUCCGCAACCGCCUCAUCGGCAAGAUGCCAAUGCUUAUUGGGCUGAUAAGAUUGCCGAAGUAAUGAGAGACCAAUUUGGGAUAAAACCCAAAGUCAACACUUACUCUUAUCGGACACCGUAUCCUCCUGCAUACGAUUUGAUUCCACUUCCAAAUCGGUACAAGGUGCCAGAUUUCACUAAAUUUUCUGGACAGGAUGAUACGUCAACCAUGGAGCAUGUCAACAGGUUUAUCAUCCAAUGUGGAGAAGCUGCUAACAGGGAUGAAUUGAGGGUUCGACUGUUUUCAUCAUCUUUAUCUAGAUCGACUUUCACUUGGUUUAUAUCAUUGCCUCCUAAUUCAGUGAUUACUUGGGCCGAUCUGGAGAAACAGUUCCACAAGUACUUCUUUUCUGGAGUCUAUGAGAAGAAGAUUACCGAUUUGGUCAGAUUGAAACAGCGUAAUGAUGAAUCGGUUGAAAGUUUUGUGCAGAGGUUGUGGGAGGUCAAGAAUAAAUGCUAUAGUCUAGUUUUAGAUGAUCGGCAGCUAGCCGAUUUGGCUUUCCAGGGUUUGUUGCCACAUAUCAGGGACAAAUAUGCUUCUCAAGAGUUCGAGAGCCUGAGUCACUUGGUCCAGAGGAUUUCCGACUAGGAUAUUAAGCCCUUUGAACCUAAGAGGGCUUGGAACAAAAAUGUGUCAUUUGUUGAUGAGGCAGCAAGCUUAGAUUCUGAUGAAGAACCAGUCAUCGGCUUGGCAGAAUGGGUAAAGAAUAAGAAGCCGAUGUCUUGCCCUUUCGGGCAUAAGGAGCCAGAGAAGUUUGCAUUUGAUAUCACUAAAGCCGAUAGGAUAUUUGACUUUCUACUUCAGGAAGGUCAAAUCAAAUUGUCACCCAAUCAUGUAAUUCCAUCGGCUGAAGAGUUAAGAAGAUGAAAUAUUGCAAGUGGCACAAUGCAACUUCUCACGGUACCAAUGAAUGCAAAGUUUUCAGGCAACAGUUGCAAUCGGCUAUAGAAUCCAGGAGAAUCCAGUUUGACAAUUCCAAAGCUCAAAAGCCGAUGAAGAUCGAUCAGCAUCCUUUCCCAACAAAUAUGUUGGAUGCUAAGGGAAAGACCAAGGUUUUGACAUCGGAAGCAGCUGAAAGGAGUGCAUCGGUAGAUCCUCAGCAUCAAAUUACUGCUGAAGAUGCCAAAGGAAAAGGAUUGAUCCAAGAGGGGACUAACUCAGGAAGGCCUCCCCGAUCUGGUAUUGUGAUAACUCAUAGGAGGCCUCGUGAGACUUGGCAGCAACGUGAAGGUCGGUAUCGGCGCCAGCAAGAAGACCAUCAUCGGGAAGAAGAAAGACGCCGUCAAGAGUGGAAUCGGCACAAGGAUCACUGGAACUGCCCGUUCUUUAUCCAUUGCCGGGAGCAGAACAUCAAGUUGCCCACUGUUAGAGAUUGCCCUGAGUGCAAUGGUUAUCAUCGGUAUGACAGAUCCGAUCGGUGCUAUCACAAUGAUGAUCGGCGAUUUAAUGGUCCGAUUAGGGGGAGAGCGUCUGUUCAUGAUCGGCUGGGGGGCAGGCUCAGUGUGCACGAUAGACUUGGUGGUCGUGUUGAAUAUUUUCCCAGGAACCAUGAAGAGCUUGAAGAGAUGGCUAAUGCACGAGUUCCCGAUGAAUUCAUAUUUUGCAGAGAUGCUAAUACUCAUCGGAUGGAGUCAAGGGAAUAUCGUCGUCCAUCGGCAAGGCAGUCACCACUUCCCCCAUGGUGUCCGGAGGGGUUGACUAAAACACAGAAAAGGAGACUGCAGCGCGAAAGACGAGAAGAGCUAAGCAAGGGCGAGAACUCUGGCCAAUCUGGGGAUCAGCAACAAUCAGAUCCUAAGGCGAAAGGGCCAUCGGCAGAUGUUAACAUAGUAUUUAUGUUACCGAUGGAAUUCCUUGCGCCGUCCAGCGAUGAUGAGGAGUUGGAGUUUUCCGAGCAGAUAGCUCAGUUGGCUCUAGAUCCGAUGAUGGCUAUCUUUGAAAAGCCUGCCGACAAUGAAAGGCAGCAUCUUAAAGAUUUGUUUGUCAAAGGAAGAGUUGAUGGUCAGCCGAUGACCAAGAUAUUGAUUGAUGGUGGAGCUGCUAUCAACAUCAUGCCAUAUGCAGUCUAUCGGAAGCUUGGAAAAGGAGAUCAGGAUCUGACCAAGACCGAUAUGAUGCUAAAAGACUUUGAGGGAAAUGUAUCUCCGGUUAAGGGGGCAAUAUGCGUCGAGUUGACCAUCGGCAGCAAAACCUUGCCGACAACUUUCUUCGUGAUCAGCGGAAAAGGUGCUUAUAACUUGCUGUUAGGGAGAGAUUGGAUUCAUGCCAAUUGUUGCAUCCCGUCUACAAUGCACCAGUGCUUAGUCCAGUGGGUAGGUGACAAGAUUGAGAUUGUCCCGGGGGAUUCUUCUUAUGUCAUCGCAUCGGCAGAAAAAGACACCUAUGAAAGGACUAGGUGUAUCUCGGGAGAAAUUUGGGAGAAGUAUUUUCUCAAAGUUGCUGAUUAUGAAAUUCCACCGAUCCAAGCAGUCGGUUCUGAUGAAGGUUUUUAAUGGAUAGGUUCGCCGAUGAUGGAAAAUUAGGCCAGGGAUUCACAUCGGCCGAUGAUUUGGUAGAAGUAGAUAUAGGUGGUGGUGAUAAGCCUAGACCUACUUUUAUUAGUGCUAAGUUAAAUUCUGAGUGUAAGGAGCAGUUGACCGAUUUGUUAAAGGAAUAUAAAGAUUGCUUUGCAUGGGAUUAUACUGAGAUGCCUGGUUUGGACCGAUCAAUUGUUGAACAUCGGUUACCCAUCAAGUCUGGAUUUCGGCCACAUCAACAACCAGCUCGCCGAUGUAAUCCUAAUAUUCUUCCUGAUAUUAAGGCCGAAAUAACCAAACUCAUUGAAGCUAAAUUUAUUCGGCAAUGUCGGUAUGCCGAGUGGAUUUCCAAUGUUGUUCCAGUCUACAAGAAAAAUGGGAAGCUUCGGGUUUGCAUUGAUUUCAGGAAUCUCAAUAAAGCUACACCGAUGGAUGGCUAUCCAAUGUCAGUUGUCGAUCUGCUAGUUGAUGCUGCGGCUGGGCACCGGAUCAUCAGCUUUAUGGAUGGCAACGCAGGAUACAAUCAAAUAUUCAUGGCUGAAGAAGAUAUUCUAAAGACUGCAUUUAGAUGUCCUGGUCAUGUUGGGUUGUUUGAAUGGAUAGUCAUGACUUUUGGCUUGAAAAAUGCUGGUGCUACUUAUCAGAGGGCUAUGAACUUUAUAUUUCAUGAGUUCAUCGGCAAGCUAGUGGAAAUUUAUAUUGAUGAUGUGGUGGUUAAGUGUGGAGACUUCACAAAGCAUCUUGCCGAUUUGUGAAAUGUGUUAGAGUGCACAAGGAAGCAUGGUUUAAAGAUGAAGCCUAACAAGUGUGCAUUUGGCGUAUCGGCAGGACAAUUCCUUGGUUUCAUGGUGCAUGAAAGAGGAAUUGAAAUUAGUAGGAGAUCCAUUGAUGCUAUCAACAAAAUAGUUGCUCCUACCAACAAGACUGAGCUCCAAUCCUUGAUCGGCAAGGUAAAUUUUAUCAGGAGGUUUAUAUCUAAUUUGUCUGGUAAAAUUCGUGCUUUCAGUCCUUUACUUAAGUUGAAAGCCGAUCAAGUAUUCGUUUGGGGAAAGAGCAACAGUUGGCUUUGGAUGAAAUCAAGAACUAUUUGAUAAAUCCUCCGGUUCUGAUUCCACCUCAGCAAGGGAAGCCCUUCAGGUUAUAUUUAUCUACCGAUGGGAUGGUCAUCGGUUCGGCUUUGAUUAAAGAAUUUGAAGGGAAGAAACGUGUGAUUUACUAUUUAAGCAGGAGAUUGGUUGAUGCAGAGACCAGGUAUUCGGCCAUUGAAAAGUUAUGUUUGUGUCUUUAUUUCUCAUGUAUUAAGUUGAGACACUAUUUGUUAUCGGCUGAAUGCACUGUCAUAUGCAAAGAUGACGUGGUUCGAUAUAUGCUGUCUAUGCCGAUUAUGAGUGGCGGGAUCGGUAAGUGGAUUUUGGCACUGUCGGAAUUCGAUCUGCGUUACGAAUCGGCUAAAGCGGUUAAAGGACAGAUUAUGGCCGAUUUUGUGACUCAACAUUGCGGUGCAGUGGAGGCUUUGGAAAUUGUACCGUGGACGCUCUUCUUUGAUGGAUCCACGUGUGACUAGGGGGCAGGAAUCGGUAUAGUGCUAAUUUCCCCUCAGGGAAGGAAAUAUGAGUUCUCCUUGCUGAUUGUUGUCACGUCAACGAAUAAUCAAGCCGAGUAUCAAGCUUUGAUAAAAGGGUUGGAAUUGUUAAGAGAGGUUCAUGCUGAUGCUAUUGAGGUCUUCGGGGAUUCUAUGCUGGUUAUAAAUCAAUUGGCUGGAAGCUAUGAAUGCCGAAGCGAAGUCCUGAUAACUUAUCACGAAAGGACUAUGCAAUUAUUAAAGGAAUUCAGAGAUUUCCGAUUAGAGCAUAUUCCUCGGCUACAUAAUGAAGAGGCUAGUCGGUUGGCUCAACAUGCUUCAGGGUAUCAACCUAUGGUUAACACGAUAUCGGCAAUCGGUGCCGAUGAUUGGAGAAAAGAGAUUAUUGAUUAUUUAAAGGAUCCAUCCAAGAAAGUUGAGAGACGUGUUCGGUUUCAAGCCACCAAGUAUGUGCUCCUUGAAGAUGAAUUAUAUUAUCGAACCAUUGAUGGGAUUCUUCUCAUGUGCUUAGGUGAUGAUGAGGCUAAAAGUUUAAUGGGAGAAGUCCAUGAAGGAGUAUGUGGAGCACAUCAGUAGGCUUUUAAGACGAGUUGGAUGAUCUAGCAGGGCAUCGACUAAGGGCUCUGAUGAGUAUAGAAGAAAAUAAGAAGAGAGUUGCUAGAUGGUAUGAUAAGAAGGUAAAAGCUAAGGAGUUUGCCGAUGGAGACUUAGUAUGGAAGCUAGUCUUACCGAUCGGGACUAAAAGUUCAAAAUUUGGGAAGUGGUCUCCCAAUUGGGAGGGUCCCUUUCGGAUAAAUCGAUCUGCUCCUGGCAACGCCUAUAUCUUAGAAACUCUCGAAGGAGUUGAAUUUCCCAGGGCAUUAAAUGGUAAAUAUGUAAAGAAAUAUUACCCGAGCAUAUGGGUCGAUGCAUGAAAGUUUAAGUGCCGAUAACAUUCCAAUCGGCUGGAUUAAACUGUAUCUGGGGCCGGACUUAAUGUUUAAAAGGUGCCGAUAACAGUCCUAUCGGCUAGACCAAAAUAUUAGGAGUGUUCAAAAGAAAAGAGCAAAUAUGCCACCGAUGAAGAAUUCAGAUGUUUAACAAAACCUGGAUCGUCGAUAUGGCGCGCAGAUGGAUCUGGUUGGCUUCUUCUAUCUCCUUCAUGUCGUCAUCGGCAGAGCCCUCCACUAGCUUCAGCUUCUUCAUUUGCAGUGCUUUACGAGCCUGAGUAUUCCGUUCAUGUUCAAGGGUCUUCAUCAUGUCAGGCAGCUGGCUUUCUUCCUGUUGGGCUUGGGACAAAGCUUCUUCUACCUGUUUAAGUUCUGCCAAUAGGGCUUCUUUCUUUGCCGACAGGUCAGAGAUCUUUUAUUUCAGCACAUCUCCUGAGGACUUCAGAGUGCCGAUGCUCUUAUGCUUCUCAUCCGCAAGGAGCUUCACUUUCAUCAUCUCCUCUGAGAGCUGAGCAUGAGUAGCUCGAUCGGCAAGGCGUUGAGCAGCCUUUUGGUACUGCAGCUGGCGACUCUCUAAGUGUGCAGUCUGGAAAAGGAUCUCUUCGGCAUCAGCAGGGAUUUGUCCUCUGAGAGCUUUGAACAGAGCUUUGGCUGGGUCAGAAUCAUCGACCAAUCGCGCUGUAUCUUGAUGAAGAAUGACUGACAGGUCCUCCAGCUUUGUUCUAAUCUCUGCCGAUGAAAUUCUGAUUGCCCGAGAAGAACUUGCUUCCUCGCCUUCAUCCUCAGAGAUCUCGAUAGCGAAAGAGAACAGGUUGUCAGGAGAAUCCUGUUCCUGAAAAGGAAAAUAAAAUAAGUUAUUUUGUGAUCAAGCACUGAUAAACAAUACAGAUAGAGAUUGGGUAACUUACUUGUUUCAGGGCAAUCUCUCGCCUCUGACUAGAUGAUGCCGAUGGAACCACGGGCUGAUCGGCUGGGGAUGCCGAUGAGACUAUGUCAGCUGAAAAAUUAACAGAAGUAAUUAUAAGACGGGAAAAGUAGAUUCAUCGGCAAUGAUUUCAUAGAAAAUAUGUUACCUUGAGGGGGUACAGUGCUUGUCUGGAUUGAGGGAACUACCGAUGCUAUGAUCAGGCUUGCUGGAUCGGCGGUUUUCUCGUGCACGUCAGCCAAUGUGUCUUCUGGCUGAGGUUCCUUUGGUAGGAGUUCUUCUGUGUGGGGUUCUUCUUGUGGCUGAGGAGGAGAUGGUGCUUGUUGUAUCUGGACUUCUGGAGAAGUGGGAGAAGAUUCCACCGGGAUCGGUCAUCUUGGAGGGGGAGAAGGUGUUGCUGUUCUCUGGCGCCUCGCCUGGGUUCUGGUACUCUUGGAGCUUUUCCUCUUUGGUUGGCUGGACUGGGGGGCAUCAACAGUCACACCUCUGGUUUUUGCCGAUGUGCCAGUUUGCUGAUACAGCAAUGAGAAGUUUAAGAGUACAGGUGCAACAAGUGUAAGAAUAGAAUCGGCUAAAUUUUUUUUGAAAGUUUACCUUGAAGGCUUGUGCUAAAGCAGUGGCAGCUGUUGACGGUCCUUAAGUACUAAAAUUAAUAAUCAAAUAAACAUGGAAAAGGAUCAAUAUGAAACAAACAUCUAGAAUUAGGGUUUUAUCUGACAGAAUUCCACGAGCUUUGGUGUUUAUCUAUUUCUGUAGGGGUUUAUCAGAAAAUAUGGAGAGAAGGCCCACAUGUCAUGUUUACAACGAGAUAAUUACGUGCCGCGCAAUUUUCCUUGAUCUAGAAGGGUCCAGAAGCCACGGGAACGAACGGGACACGAUUAGGGCUCGGGGGCUGGGCGCCCGCCCACCCCCCUUGGGCGCCCGCCCAGGGUUGGAGGCCAAACAGGACUGUGCUUCGGGACAAGACUCCACCGACCUAAAGGAUCAAUCUAAACCAUACAAUCUAUGUCGGUUUGAUCCAAUGGCUCACGUUUACUUGAGGGGACUAUAAAACCAGACCCGCUGGCCCCUGGAGGAGGAGAUAAGAAAUCAUUAUUCAGAGGUAGCCAUCAAAGUUAGGGUUUGGAUCUCUCUCCCACAGAGAAUUAGAAUUAGCUACUCCCUAAUCCUUCAAGUUUAGAGGUUGAUUAGAUAGCAAUUAGAGAAGUAGAGCACUACGCUCUGGAUUCGGAUCUUCGGUAAUAAAGAUUGGUAUUAUUCAUAUCUUUCUCUAAUUCUAUUGUUCUAAUUGCAUUAUGUCUCUAAUUAUUAUGUUCUUAGUUUGCUCUAGUUCUAUAUUUGAUAUAGUUCUAAUUGAUAAUGAGUUUAUGUAUAAGUUUGCAAAGCACUUAGCUCUUGUCGCGAGGGAGUUAGGUGAUAGAUCACAUGUGAGCGUGGUGCUUAGAUGUUAUUUAUCUGCAAAUGUAUCCUAUUGGCCGAGUCGUGUGGUAGUUCGCGAUAGUGACAGCUUCGUUGAUUCUUAUAUAGUCCACCCUCCGUUGAUAGGACAGGCAGAACCGGUAUUGUGGAGUAAGUCAUGCGAUGCUCUGAUUUACUUUAUCAAUGUUCCUUAUACAUGAAUGAAGAGUCUUUUAUGCUAUAUAUGAUCUUGUAGAUAACUAGAGUAGAUUAUGACUUAGUAGUUAGUAGAUAACUUAGAAUCCAUUCUCUAGCUAAUCCGACAUCACCUACAUAUAUGAGGAGUAGUCUAUUUUCUAAUCGCUGUGCUAUCUACCAAUGAACUUAUACUUUAUUAUCAUUAUCUUUAUGGUUUACCCCCUGCUAAAGUAAGUGACUGUGUGACGAGUUUCUCAUUAGUAAUCAUGUUCUUGCAAGUUUACCUCUAGUCUAUGCCUUGAUAGAUUUUGCCCCUUUGAGUUAAUUCCAUCUUCCUUAGAUCCCCUAAGCAAAAAUUAUAAAUAACGAUACCUGGAAUACUUAUCCUGGUGAAAUGCUACAAUGAGGUGUUUUAUCUGUGCGCUUGCGGAUAGAAUAGAUUAAUUUCUAGAGAGCCUUUACAUUUAUAAAUACCUUUGUACACUCUGGCGCCAUGCUAGGGAUGACAACCUAGUAUCUCAGUGGUGUUAGCUAGUGUCAACAAGCAUUUCUGGCGCCGUUGCCGGGGAACUUUAUGGGAAUUAUAGGAAUUAUAUGAGUCUCAAGAAUAAGUUAUAAAAGGGAAUAAAGGAGUAAUAUUAAGGAAAGCCAAUCGAUCAAGGUUAUUCAUAUAAAAUAUUAGACUAGACUAUAGAGAAAUAAUUGCAUAAAAAACAGCUACUAAGUGAGAAAUCAUAACAAGGCACCUCUGCUUUGGCAGGUUCACCCUGUUGUUUUUCUAUGUUUAUAUUUUUAUACAAGGUAUAACAGGAUUGACUUUGGGUGCAUUCAACUCUCCAUCAUCAGAACCAAAGCAAUCAAGAGAAGAAGAAGCUAGCUACCAAUUGCUGAAGCUAUGGCACAAAAGACCUUGCAAGAAUUCUCUGCUCCAAGUCUUGACAACAUUCCAACCGGUCCAAGAUUUGCAGUAGAAGAAGGAAUACCCGAGUUUGAGCUCAAGUCAAGCCUCAUCAAUUUGGUACAAGCUACACAAUUCAGUGAAAAGGCACAUGAAGAUGCUAGUGCACACUUGCAGAAUUUCUUAGAGAUUGGAAGCACAAUCCACAUCAACGGAGUUGACAAAGACGUCAUACUACUUCGCCUUUUUCCAUUCUCACUAGAAGGAAAAGCGAGGAAGUGGUUCUACACUCAUCAAGAUAACAUCAACAACUGGACGAACUUGUCAGAUGCCUUUCUAUCAAAGUUUUUCCCUAUAGGCAAAACAACUGCCUUAAGAGGAAACAUUGUCAGUUUCCAACAGCAGAAGUCAGAAGCCAUUUCAGAAGCAUGGGAGCAUUUUCAAGGAUACAUAUCAGAUUGUCCUCACCAUGGAAUGGCCACAUGGUUACUUAUGCAGACCUUCUACCAUGGAUUAACCCAGAAGACUCGUGAGUGCCUUGAUGCAUCUGCUAAAGGAUCAUUCUUGGAGCUUACAACUGGAAAAGCAGAAAUACUUUUGGAUAAGAUAGCAGAAAAUCAAAGCUGGUUCCAAGAUAAAGCUCAACAAUGUCAUCAAACUGAAGAAAUACUAGAAGAAGUAAAUGCAUUAUCAACUAAGAUGGAAAAUUUGCUCCAUUGGACUGACCAGAGGGCCAAGUUCAAAGAAGAUCAAAGGGCCAUUGAGACAGCAUACAAAUAUCAACCAACUUCGAGUCAACCCAAUAGCAAAGGUAUGAAUUCAGGUAAUACUGUCAAGCAACUUUCAUUAAAAGAGAUAAUUGCUCAACUAAAAUUAAUGAUGAAGUUAAACAAAGGCUAGAUACAAAUGAAUCAUCUCUAAAAGAUAUAUACAAUAAAAUGGAUUUUCUACUAACUGCUUUUGAUGAGCAAAACACUCUUAAUAAAAGGGUAGAGCUUAAAUUAAUAAAGAUAGCUGCUGCACUGCCUGUUGCUACUAACCUUGAGCAGGUAAAGAAUAUAACUACUAGAGGAGGCAAAGCUACCAGAGAUCCACCAUACCCAAAAGAGAAACAAAGAACAUCAGCACCAGUGCAACCAGCAGUGAUUGAAGAAGAAAGCCCAGUUGAAGCAGAAGAUCUGCUCCAACCACCAAGAACUAGAGAGAUGAGGAAAGAUUUUUACGACACCAACUAUUUGCCAUUUCCCAGAAGAAACAGAGGACUGCAGUCGGAUGAGCAGUUUGGUAAGUUUGUAGAGGUCAUUCAUAAAUUAUAUGUCAACAUACCUCUGCUCGAUGCCAUACAGGUACCUACAUAUGCAAAUUACAUCAGAGAUAUUCUUAACAAGAAGAGACCACUGCCCACCACUGAGGUUAUCAAGCUGACAGAAGAAUGUAGUGCGGCCAUCCUCAAUAAACCACCAAAGAAGAAGGAAGAUCCCGGACGUCCCACUAUUGACUGCUCGAUCGGAAACCAACACUUCAACAAUGCACUUUGUGAUCUCGGAGCAAGUGUCAGUGUGAUGCCAGCAUCAGUCUACAAAAAGCUUGAUCAUGCAACCUUAGAACCAACAUCAAUGUGCCUACAACUAGCGGAUCAAUCGGUUCGACACCCGUUGGGCAUCGCCGAGAACAUUCCAGUCAAGAUCAGAGAUUUCCUUGUGCUAGUAGACUUCGUAGUACUAGACAUGAGUCCUGACUCGAAAGUGUCCAUCAUCCUUGGAAGGCCAUUUCUGAGCACUGCCAAUGCCCACAUUGAUGUCGGGAAGGGAGAAAUCAAGUUCAACAUAAACGGUCAAGAAGAACACUUCACAUUCAAACCCAGACCAGAGAGAGACUCUACAGUGAAGGAAAUUCAUGAAGAACCACUGGAGACACCAUCUCUGGAGGAAGGUAACUUAGAAGAUUAAAAGAUUUGGAGGUCCAGCUUGGGGGACCUAAAAAUCCCAAACCCUCACCGGGAGGUAAAUCGGUAUUUAUCCGCAUUAUUAAUUUUCUCAUAUUUAAAUUCUUGCAUAAUUAAUUCUUGCAUUAGUCAUAUAUAUUCGUAGCAUAAUUAUAAUAAUCAAAAAGCCCCAUAUAAAUAAUAUUCAUGGUGUGUAACAACCCAUAUUUAUUACUUAUUGUGGAGGCACAAAAAUAUUUUCCAAUAUUAUUUUCAUUAAGUUUCAAUUCUCAUAGAUUUUCCUGCAUUAUAUUUAUUUAUAUCGAUCUUCUAGAAGCAUGACCCACACUCUUUGGGUCCCACAUGUCAUACACUUCACCUCACAUACAUCCCAUCACAUAAUUUCAUCCACCAAUAUGUUUCCACUUACCUGACAUCUUUCCACCGUCCAACCACCACCAACACAAUAUUAUUCUGCAUGAGAUCAAAGCAAGGAAGCAAGUGGAGGAGGCACACCCAGGAUGGACAUCAGGGGUGGGCGCCCGCCCACCUACCUUGGGCGCCCGCCCUGUCCCCUGCUCAGCCUAUAAAAGGCCACCUCCAGCUCCCCUUCUCUUCACACAAACACACCAGAAAACCACACAAGUCUCAGUUUCCCAAGAAGGAGCUUUUGUAGUGAAGAGAAGAGAGUAGAGAGAAAGAGGAGAGUGGAAGGAAAGGUUGGGAGUUCUUUUGAGAGAGUGUUUGUCACCUAGCAAGUAGUGAUCCCGUUGUCUAAACGGAAGUAAAAGUUGUUUAGGGGGAGGCUCUACCAAAAUAGAAACUUGUCUGGAACGAUUAACCCCUGGACUACUGACACUCCGGACAGCUGACCACUAACAUUUUAUCUCACAUUCUUCCACCUGUUGUGUUUUUGCUAACUUUUGUUUGCAGGAUGUUUAAGAAGGUGAAGAAUGUAGGGAAGGCUCUCAAGAACAUUGGUACAAGGAGUUCAUCCCGACACUCCUCACAGCCAUCAGAGAUGAGCGUCGACCCGACACCCACACAAGCUCCGUCAUCUUCAUCAGACAGCAAGUCAAGGUCCUUCUCAAGAUAGGAGACCUUGGACUGAAGACCCAAAGAGAGAAAGAAGUCUAUCAGCAACUGAAGAACAAAGAUUUCAUUCACACCCCUACUAUCGAUCCAAUCCUACUACGAGAAACAGAUAUGGACACUGAAUUUGACUUAAUUUUUCAGAUGAUGGGUUGGACAAAUUUUUGGAAUAUAACUGAGCUGGGUUCUCGUCUUCUCACCCUCGAAUUUCUUUGCACCUUACAAUACUAUGAGGGGGGAAUUGUUUUCCGGAUGUUCCAACAGGAAAUUAUGUUAUCUUGGAGGGAGCUGAGCGACCAUCUUGGUUUCUCUUCAAGAUGCAUCCUCAACAUUGACUCCGAUUUACCCAGUUUUGAGAGACACCAGUUUUGGAGAGAAAUAUCUAGAGAUAAUUUUUACAGUCAAGCCCGAACCAGUGACAUGGAACACCCCACUCUCAGGAUGUUCCACAAAUGGCUUGGGUACAAUCUUUUCUAUCGUGACGAUAUUAGGAAAGUAAGAGUAGGAGAUUUACAACUUUUAUAUGCUGCUAUUAGUAAAGUACCUACUUCACCUGUUACACUAUUAGUUUCUCAUUCGCUUAGUAUACCUAGUCUACAGGGACCAGUAGGAUGUACUUCACUUAUCACUCGUCUAGCCACUAAUCUUCACUUACUAGAAAAUUCAUCAUUGGACUUCAUAGAAGAAUUAAGAAUUUAUCAUGGCUAUGACACAUUUAGACAAGCUCGGAUGUUAAAGAAAGAGGGAAAUAUAAUGUAUAUGCUAUAUGAUGAUAAAGGCAAGAUUCGGUUACCUAACCCGAACCUGCCUCUACGCUGUGCAAAACUUUUUGAUUGAGAUUGCAGCAACACCAGUGAACCAGAGAACUCCACAGCGAGUGGCAUCUGAAAGGAUAACCACUUACCGAGAACGCACUUGGUAUGGAGCUGACCCUGGACCAGAAGAAGGAGCGCACCUGCAUUAUUGUGACUACAAUCCACGAGUCCUUCGAGACCCAUGGGCUCGUCAUGCGCAACCACAAGAGCCAACAGAGGAGACAUGGCCGGAAAGCCAAGAUCACCAGUGGACAAACCCACCUUUUCAUACGGGCAGGUACUCCACUGAUCCAUAUGGAGCUUCAGGAUCCAGACCUCCGCCCCAAUUUGAUGCAGGACGAUACUCCGAUGCCUCCUACGCCUUCACGAAUGACUACUAUCAAGAGGCCGGUGCUUUCUUCACUCGUACCGACAACACCCUCCUCAACAUCCAGAACACGCAAGCAGAACAUGGAAGACUCCUGGAAGAACAACAAAAAUGGAACCAGGACCAUGCCGCUGCAGUAAGAGAACUGAGACAAGAUACAACAACAAUGAACGACAACAUCACAACCAUGAUGCGGUUCUGGAACAUCGGGUAAGACCGACGUCAACAUCCAGCUUGGGGGAGUUCCUCCCAAAUUUAUCAAGUAAGUUUUUAUGUGCUCUUCUUAUUUAUUCUAUUCUGUCUUAGUAUUUUAUUUAUCUUAAAAGGAAAAACUUAGAAAACCAAAUAAAUAUUUUCUUGCUUUAAUUUACUGCAUUCUAUAAACAUGAAAACAAAAUAAAAAGAGUGUGUAGAUAAGUAUGCUUUAUUUAUCUGCUAAGUUUAAUCUCUAGAAAAAAUAAAAAGACCAAAAAUAUGCAUGAUGGAAAUGAUGAACAAGUUGCUCUGUUUCCUUACUUUCAAAUACCUAGCUUUUAUAUUAGAAUUCUUCCGGGAAUUACUAAAACUGAAAUUACUAUCAUUGGGAAACAUAAAACUAAAGUCUAGGUAAGAGAAAGGCAUGAUAUAAAGUUGAGCUACUGUUUAUCUUGUUCCUACUACACUAAGUUCUAGAGAUUUAUUUUGAAAAAACUUGCAAAUCACAUGAUGAGUUCCUAGCACAACAAACUACCUACCACAACCAUACUUGCUAUAACAUCUUUUACUAUAUUUACAUUGAGUUUGAUCGAGCUGUGUUGACCCUUAGGAGCUUUUCAUGUGGUUAAAUUAAGAUAUUCACUUGCACACAUCUACCACAACAUUCAUCACCAAUCAUUAAAAUUGCUAAAAAUAUAUUAUCACUCACUGUCCCGAAUAUUGUUAUUCUCUCUCUCUAAAAGGAUUCAAUGCAGAAGAGGCAUGGGUUAUGCAAAAAUAUGCGAGGAAAUAAAAAGGGGCAAGUGCCCGGAACCUCGGAAAAGAAAAAAAAAGAGUGAGAUGAGAGGUAAAAAUGGACAAGUGUCCGAAGUAGAAUUAGGGGUACAAAGAUGCCCACUUGAGCGGAAAAAAUGGACAAGUGUCCGACAGUAGAAUUAGGGGUAUCUACUACCCACCUGAAAAAAAAAGAAGAGAGAAAGAGAAAAAGAUAGCCAUGUUCUCCCAAAGCAAAGAUCAAAGAAGAGAAGAGAUAGCAAUAUGAGGAGCAAUGAGAACUAAGUUUUAUAAUCACUUAUGCAUUUUCACCAUCACUAUCAUUUACUCCAUCACACAUGCACAUCUUGAUUUAAUUAUAUGCUGAGUUCCUUUGGAUCCAUGGCUCGAUUAGACAACAUAUGUAUGAGCUGUUUUCCACUCCUAUGAGCUCCACUUAAAUAUUCCAUUAGCUAUAGGUAAGUGACAUUAUGGUAAGGAUCCACAAAUACCACAUAUAGAGAGACUUGAGAGAAUCAUUGCUGGGAACUCUGAGUAUUAUUUUGAAAACUUAUGAAAAAACUCUAGAACAAAGGUGAAGUAUAGACAAGAGGGAUAGUGCUUGACUUAACUAUUUUGUCUUUCGAUUACUUAAGACUUAAGUGCAGGUUCUAAACUCCAUAACACUUCACUCUAAUCUGGAAGAAUUUUUAUGUAAAAGCAUGUGUGCCUGUCAGGAAAGAAAACAUCGAAGCAACUCCUGAUCCGUCUGAGUUUAGCUGUUUGCUCAGGGACAAGCAAAGGGUAAGCUUGGGGGAGUUUGUUGACGGUCCUUAAGUACUAAAAUUAAUAAUCAAAUAAACAUGGAAAAGGAUCAAUAUGAAACAAACAUCUAGAAUUAGGGUUUUAUCUGACAGAAUUCCAUGAGCUUUGGUGUUUAUCUAUUUCUGCAGGGGUUUAUCAGAAAAUAUGGAGAGAAGGCCCACAUGUCAUGUUUACAACGAGAUAAUUACGUGCCGCGCAAUUUUCCUUGAACUAGAAGGGUCCAGAAGCCACGGGAACGAACGGGACACGAUUCGGCUCAGGGGCUGGGCGCCCGCCCACCCCCCUUGGGCGCCCGCCCAGGGUUGGAGGCCAAAUAGGACUCUGCUUCGGGACAAGACUCCACCGACCUAAAGGAUCAAUCUAAACCAUACAAUCUAUUUCGGUUUGAUCCAAUGGCUCACGUUCACUUGAGGGGACUAUAAAACCAGACCCCCUGGCCCCGGGAGGAGAGAAGAAAUCAUUAUUCAAAGGUAGUCAUCAAAGUUAGGGUUUAGAUCUCUCUCCCACAGAGAAUUAGAAUUAGCUACUCCCUAAUCCUUCAAGUUUAGAGGUUGAUUAGAUAGCAAUUAGAGAAGUAGAGCACUACGCUCUGGAUUCGGAUCUUCGGUAAUAAAGAUUGGUAUUAUUCAUAUCUUUCUCUAAUUCUAUUGUUCUAAUUGCAUUAUGUCUCUAAUUAUUAUAUUCUUAGUUUGCUCUAGUUCUAUAUUUGAUAUAGUUCUAAUUGAUAAUGAGUUUAUGUAUAAGUUUGCAAAGCGCUUAGCUCUUGUCGCGAGGGAGUUAGGUGAUAGAUCACAUGUGAGCGUGGUGCUUAGAUGUUAUUUAUCUGCAAAUGUAUCCUAUUGGCCGAGUCGUGUGGUAGUUCGCGAUAGUGACAGCUUCGUUGAUUCUUAUAUAGUCCACCCUCCGUUGAUAGGACAGGCAGAACCGGUAUUGUGGAGUAAGUCAUGCGAUGCUCUGAUUUACUUUAUCAAUGUUCCUUAUACAUGAAUGAAGAGUCUUUUAUGCUAUAUAUGAUCUUGUAGAUAACUAGAGUAGAUUAUGACUUAGUAGUUAGUAGAUAACUUAGAAUCCAUUCUCUAGCUAAUCCGACAUCACCUACAUAUAUGAGGAGUAGUCUAUUUUCUAAUCGCUGUGCUAUCUACCCAUGAACUUAUACUUUAUUAUCAUUAUCUUUAUGGUUUACCCCCUGCUAAAGUAAGUGACUGUGUGACGAGUUUCUCAUUAGUAAUCAUGUUCUUGCAAGUUUACCUCUAGUCUAUGCCUUGAUAGAUUUUGCCCCUUUGAGUUAAUUCCAUCUUCCUUAGAUCCCCUAAGCAAAAAUUAUAAAUAACGAUACCUGGAAUACUUAUCCUGGUGAAAUGCUACAAUGAGGUGUUUUAUCUGUGCGCUUGCGGAUAGAAUAGAUUAAUUUCUAGAGAGCCUUUACAUUUAUAAAUACCUUUGUACACUCUAGCGCCAUGCUAGGGAUGACAACCUAGUAUCUAAGUGGUGUUAGCUAGUGUCAACAGCAGCUACCGAUGGAGAUGUUCUUGUCCGCUUGGUAGUGACUUUCUUGAGACGCACACCCCGAUGCAUUAUAGCAGCUAAAGUUGGAGCAUUGUUGCCGAUCAGAGAGAUCGGGCCCGAUGGAAAGAGCUCAAUCGGCUUGCCACUCCUGCUGACCAAUGGGGGUGUGUCAUCGACCUGCAUAUAACAAGGGAGUAAGAUACCGAUGGAAAGUGAAAAUGAAAGGAUUGAAAUAUCGGUUUAGAAAUACUUACAGUAUUAUCGGGGACUUUGUACAGGGGGUCGAUCAUGCCGUGGUACGUGAGAGCCGAUUUGCAGAACAAAUACUCUUUCCAUUCUUCCCACCAUUGUUUGUAUGCCUGAGUAAUGAAGAGGGCCGGGAUCCAAUCUGAUAGAUCGGCAUCUGUGUCGGCAUUUGGUGGCAGUUGAGCUAUUCUAGUCCACUCGAGAAGACUAGUGAUGGUUUCCCUAGGUUUUAUCACAUCGGCAUAACAGAGUGCAAUUGGCAGCUGACCGAAAGCUAGUUGACGGGCUAGUGCCGAUGGGUUAUAGAAUUCAUAGUACUGGGUGGUGGCUUUCCCACUACCAAAGAAGUUUACUGGUAUAGCUCUGGGAGUGAUAAGUGUCAUCAUCACAUCAUGAUCUUUAUUGAGAGCAUCGUCAAAGGGGUGAAAGGUCAGAGGAAAUCUGGUGUCUGGAUCUUCAUAAGGCAUCUGUUGAUAGUUUGGAACGCAAUAAGGAAUUGAUCCGCAAGCGCACGGAUAUCGGUGAGCACUUCACCCGGGAGGUUAUCCAAAGUAUCGUAUUUAUUUUUUUACCACUAGGAGAAAGAGUGCAUCCGACUAACCGGUCUAUUACUACUAACCCUUUAGGCAACAAAGAAUGUCUCUCGAUGUGAGUGAUAAAUAGAGAAGACUGCAACCGUAGUCUCCUUCUAAACUUGGUAAGGAUGACCUACUGUUCUACUGGGGAGGCUAACGGAAUCUAGACACCACAAAGGAUGUUCAACCUGCACCUAUAAACCCUAUCCUUCCUGCUAAUGAGAUAUGGUCUGCAAAGGUAACUCGCAAUUGUCACGUUCCUCACUACUACCACAGUCCAGCUAGUCAGGGAAUAUCUAUGAGUACCCCAGCCUAAACACCACGUUUGCGCCAGCAAUGAUUACUCUAAACUCUACGCGAAGAGAUUAAAGUAAACUCAUAAACCAGAAGAACAAUAAAACAAGAACUUACUAGAAUUUAGAAGUCGAAAUACUGAAGAAUCCUAGGAGCAAGCUUCUGGUUAGGAGAACUUGAUCCCGCAGGUACAAGCUUGGAGUAGACACCGACAGGCCGGGCUUCCUCCAAUCUACACCUCCACUCUAUCUCUCUCAAUCUAGUAGAAACUAGAAGAUCUAUUUCUACUUUACAUUGGUUGCUAAGCCUAAAAAAGAAAUAUUAAUUAGAGAAGAGGUUUUCCUUCGAGGGCACCCCUCAAUCUCUAUGAUAAUUUUUUGUCUUCUCCAGGGGCCAGGGGGGUCUCCUUAUAUAGUCCUCCUCUAUGCGUUUUUGGGUCGGUAGGCGAGGUGGUACUACAUUAUUCUUGAUCCAAUAGGUCGGUGGAACAUCGUGUGCGAAGAGAGUCCCGAACGGAAUCCAACAGGGGGCGGGCGCCCAGGUCACCAGGGCGGGCGCCCUAGGCCUGGCCCCUUUCGGGCUCUGCCUUCUUCCCGUGGCUUCUGGAGUCUUCUAGAUGGUAGAAAAUCGCACGGUGCGUUGAUAUCUCUAUGUAAUCCCGACAUGUGGGCCUCUCUUCCUUAUUUCCUAAUAACCCCCUGCAGAAACAGAUAAACAACAAAACUCGUGGAAUUCUGUCAGAUCAAACCCUAAUUCUAGGUGUUGGUUGCAUAUUGGUCAUUUCCCUUGUUUAUUUGAUAAUUAAAAUUGAUACUUAAGAACCAUCAACAAAUACCCCCAUACUUAGGCUUUUACUCGUCCUCGAGAAAAGGAUGGUUAAGAAAAAUAUCUGGGGUAAAACAUUUCAAAACAUUCUUUAUAUUUGCAGGGUGUUAAAAUCCACUGUGUACUAUAGUCAGGGAAGUAAAUGGUUAAGAGUAAAGAUCCUUUCUUCUCAAUCCUGUUACUUGGAGUUUUUGUAUAUUUUUGAAAGAAAGUUAGCAUACAUUUUAUCCUCAUAGGUUCUCUCAGAUCACUCAUUAUCUUCUAUAUAUCUUACUGAGGCUGUUUUAAUUUGCAAAAAAUUCUCAAGUAUACUUACUUUGCAUUUGUCGCCUGAUCAAAACGGGAUCCGAGGAGGGGAAUGUCAUACUCUUAGAUCAAAGACUUUGGAAACUAAAAUCUUUGUCAACUCUUGCUGGCAUAUUGCUUAUUAGAGGGACUAUGGGCUAUCAUUUUUCUUCUCUCUCUCUCUUUUUUUAAGUGGAUACCGAGGUACCCCUAAUUCUACUGCUGGACACUUGUCCAUUUUUUUUUCUGCGAGGUUGUCGAGCACUUGCUCCUUUUUAUUUCCUCGAAAAUAUCUUUAUUUUUGCAUAGCCCAUGCCUCUAAUGCAAUAAUACUUCAGAAGACUGAAUCUUUCUGAAUAAAUGUCUUGAUCUUGGGAGCAUGAUAAAUCUCUCAACAAGGGUCUAACUCAUUUUGAACAAACUCAAUACAGAGUAGAUAGCUUCUAUAAUCAUAAUUAAUCUUUUCAGUUUUAUCAGGCAUAUAAAACACUGAGGAUGGUAGCUAGAAUUUUGAAUAUUUUGAAAUAAAUUCUCCAAGCAACAAUGAUAAGAAUAAGAAACUCAUUGUAAUACCCGAUUUUAAGGACAAAAUCAGAUACGCACCAUAUGUGAGUUUUAGAAGUCAAAUCUCACAUAUAGCUACAAAUAAGGGGUAAUAUCAAAAGACAAUGCAUAAAUAUAUAACGUACUUAGUAUAAAAGAGAUAACCUUUGAUAGCAAACAGCGGAUAGACAACUUCAACUUUCGGGUAUUAACUUCUCUCUACAGGAUCCAACUGACUGGUUGAUCACAAGCCUAAACUUCUCCUGAGGUUUGGGGGAAAUAGCAAGAGUGAGUCCAUGUCGAACUCCACAAGUAUAACAACUAGAUUGUAUAGCUCCCACAAUCUCAUGAUCGAUGUGACAUAAAUAAUGUAAAGCAUUAAACAAUAAAUAAUGAACAUAUUUAACACACAAGAGUCAUCACCCUUAAUGUAGAUGUCCCCAAGGCCGCUCCUGACCGUGAGCUCGGCUAGUAUACUAGUUUUUAACACUCAGCAGAGGUUGUACAUCUUUACCCAUGAGUCAUAAUUUACCCUUUCGCCCGAGGUGAUCAGCCUCUUAACCCACUACCAAGGAAGGUCGGCAGGGAUCACUAUGAAGCCUUUCAAAAGUUCGUCUAACAUGUCGGGGCCGCAAGGUUUCCUUUGUGCGCAGAUAUAGAGCCCCCCUUCCGAUGGCACAAUGACUCGCAGCCUAUACACAUACAGACAGAGGCCACACUAUACCCAAAACGGUUCAGCCCCUCCGCCCUUUCGGGUAACCUCUAAGAAGCUAGAAAAGGUCUUCAUACUGAGCUAAAGCCAGAGCUAUUAUAGCCCUCAUGGUUGCACUGUUAUCCCGGGUGAUCACGUACAUACAAAUCAUCAAGUGGCUAAAAAGUCAUUUUUAUCAUCUAUUACUUAACAUUAAUCUAGUCACAGGAUCAUGGUCACAGAAUUAAAACCCAAAUGCUAUACUUGCCUUAAUCCAAUUGCUCUUGCUUAUCCUUUUGGUCCUGCUGGUCUCACUUAUCCAAAGCUCUGAUCUUGAUCACCAAAAACUGCUCUCCGUCUAAACUCGAUCAUCGAUGACACAAACAAUCGAAGAAAACAUACAUGAAGCAAACAAGGCUACAAUUAGAACAGUACACCAAUCAUAUAAAACAGUAUGGAGAGUUCAUAAAAAGAUUCUACGCAGCGCUACGAUAUCAUAGACGUAAAGAUCACGAAAAUCGGAGCUAAAACGGAGAAGUUAUAAAUUUUCUAAGAUUUUAUAUAGAAAAGUAAUUAAUUAAUUAGGGUCACGAAAAUAAAAAGUUUCAAAUUGAGAAUACAAUGUUACUAACAUGUAGAGCUCAUUAAAACGAACCUAACGCAAUUUGAACGGGUCAAACGGAGUUAAAAUGAAUAUUUUAUGGCCAAAAGAAAGUCAGUGGCAAUUCUGUAAAUAGUGAAAACGUAUUUUUAAUCUAAAACCGAGCUGUUUGUAUUUUCCAAACUGAAAGAUAAAGUAAUUGGGGCUUACGUUGGUGGACAGGGAGUAGGUUCAUCAGCAGUGACUCUUUCUUGGAGCUACAGCAACGCCGGAGCAGCCGACCGUUCGUAGAUGUCGUGUAUAGGCGAGACGAUGGCGAUCACGUUGUAGAGAAGAAAAUAUAAAUUUUAUUUUACCACCUUAAGAAUUCCCAAAUUAGAGGCUUCCCAUAUGAUAGUCUUUGAUGUGCUUUGCCUAAGGGUUUGGUACAUAUAGGGAGAAAAACUCCCCAUCUCCACGUCAACUAGCGAUAUGGUACUAAUUGAUUUGCAACCUUCAUCUUUACUAAUAGGCCUAAUUAAUUAUUAAAGCCCAUUAGUAAAUAAAGACAUUGACAAUUGAGAUCAUGGGCUUGAGUGUGAGAUAAUAUGAAAGAUUUUAUUAUUUUCGAAAUUAAUUAAUUUGGCGAAUAAAAUAAUCUAUGAUUUAAGCCAUGAAAAAUACUCCGAAAGCUUUGAAAAUUCAGAAAAAAUUCUCAGAGAUAUUAUAGAACAUGGGGAACCCGAAUAAAGCUUUUGGAGCUCAUGAGAAGAUUGUUUGGAGCAUCUAAAAAUUAGAUCAUGUUCACAGAAAAGUGAGAACACAAGCUGAAAAAAAUUCCCGAAAAAUUUGUAGAGAGUGCUUGAUGGACGAGGAACUAAAAGAAGUGCUUUGAGUGACAAAGAAAAUAUUUUAGGAAGGUCCUAAUAAAAAUUUGAGCUUAGAAACAAGGAAUUUGGUUGUAGAUAAAAGAUAAAUACGUGCCGAAAAAGGAAGAUCGAUCUGGUAAACGUAUUUUAAAUAUUUUUCUUACUAUCAACACAUAAAGGAGCAACAAGCAUCACAUCAAAACAUAUGCACCACCAUGUAUGCAUAAUAAUAUUGCUAAGCCUUAUGAUAAAUUUUAAUUUAAUGAAAAAUAUUAUUUUUCCUAUAUUUUCAUGAGCACAAAAAUACAAAAUUAAAUAAUUUUAUCUAUAUUUCAAAAGGAGUAAAUUUUAGGGUGUUACACUCAUACUCUACCAUCUCACAUUCCAUACUGUCUUAAGUAACACAGGGCUUUUAAAAUGAUUUUAUAAUAAUUGCAAGUUUUCAGGAAAUAUCACAGAGUGAGAUUAAUCAUGAUUAGAAAUAUUUUAAUCUUUUUAAUUUAUCAUGUCGAAAACAGUAUUCUGCAUAAUCCAAGAUAUAAAUAUAAGUAGGUGUAAAGUGUGCAGAGUGUGUACCUGAAUCGUGGAGUGGUGUAGUCGGAGUGUGUUUGGCAUGUUGAGGGAUCUCCCCCAUACUUGUUUUCUGCUUUCUUACACAAAAAUAAAGUAGAGACACACAAGACAUAAUAAUAAUAAUACUCUUUAUUAAUCUUGAGGCAUUUAUUACAAAAGACUAGUAGCAAACUGAUGACAAUAGCAAACUGAUGAUAAUAGUAAACUGAUGAUAAUAGUAAACCUAAACCGAAUUUAAAGAUAGAUGACUAAGAUGCAUUGCCUCAAGGUCUAAUCUAGAUAACUUAGCGGCGCUCUAAUUCCUUAAUCUUCUUGUUGGCACUGGCAAGAUCCUGCCUAAGGCCUAGUAUAAUGGUAUUGUGGUUAGAGAGCUGCCUAGUGAGGGAAUUAAUCGAGGACUGGAGGUCUAUGAUAAUUCUGUCUAGUUUGCGAACGUCCUCAUCAAUAUCCAUUAUAGUCUUGCGACGCUUGAGAGGUGUCUCAAAAGCAUUGAGAGCGUGCUUCAGGGCUGCCUUUGGAGGGAUGAAACGGACUUUGUCUGCUCUAAUCCCUUCAAAGUAAGGUCUUUCCUCCUCCGUAGUGUAGUGUACGCUGCUGAUCUCGCCGCUCCGGUUGGUCUUGACUCCAACGACCCUCUCAUUGGGUCUAGGUGGAAGGAUCCUUGUGCCGGUUGGCACCUUGAUGGUGGUUGUUGAUGCAAAAUUGAUCUGCAAACACAAAGGGCUAAUACCCAAUUCAAACGUUAAGGCGUGCCAGCCGAUUUGACCCUACUAUCGGCAAAGGUGAUAACUCGAAUACUUUAGUCCUGACAACAGCGAUGCGCCCGGAUGUCACGGCUAAGAGGUACUCACGCGGAACUCGAGAAUACGCCGAGCUUAAGUCGACGAAUUCCUAAGAACUCGUAAUAAGAAAGAAAAAAGGGUGACGAAGUCGUCGAAAAGUAAACGCUGGAAUAUGAGUAAAAUGUGUGUUUGAUUGAUUUCUUGAUGAUAAUUACAAGGUCUUAGGGCUUAUAUUUAUACCCUGCUCAAAGAGCUACGACCAGACACGUUUAGAAUUCGAAUUCCAAAUUACACGGAACCCGUACACAAAACGAUACGAAUAACAUAAGGAAAUAGUAAAACCACCCUUCGUGACAAACCGAAACUCCUCCACAUGACAACUGGCAACUUCCGGACUCCUCCCUUUGCGUCAUCGGCAAUCCUCUCGCCAUAGUCAUCGGCAGACCCUUUUACUCAGUCAUCGGUACCAUGCUAUUGUCUGAGGACUUAGUCACAAUCAACUCCUCCCUCAUCGGCAACCACUCUUACCAGCUCCCCAUAUCAUACUGCCACCCUGUCUUGCCAUCCUGGACACGUGCCCAAAAACGGUGUCAACACAUGCCCCCCAGUUUCGGAGUAUAAGAUCAUUAAUGCUCCGAAAUUCUCUGCAGUAAUGAUGUCUCUUCCGCAAUUAAUGCUCCUAAUCUGGUAACCGACAACCUCAAUCUGGGCAAUUCUGAUCCUAAUCUUCCGCAGAUCCCUCGAAAUCCACAACUUCCCAAACGGGCAUCCCUAUUAGUCGUACAUCGGCAACAAUACCGUUACAAAGACCUACCGAUGCUCUGCCCAGGAUGUCCGCAAAAACGGUCACUUCCCCUCUAUCCGCCCAUCGGCAAGACGACCGUUAUAGAACAUUACCGAUGGACCGACCAAAAGAUCGUGCACAGUAAAAUAUCUUUAGAUAAUGACCGCUUCCUGUCAAAUCACCUGCACAAUCCCUGGAUUAUCGUGCGAACAGUUACCAUAUCUACUUGAGUACCUCGGGUUUCUCGGAUGUGGCAAAGAAAUAAGUCAGAUUUGCCCCUGUCCAUCUUGCCCUAUAAAUAACUCCUUCUUGGGUACUCUUUCCCCACUACACCAUCCUGCCAUCCAACUUCACUUUUCCAGCGGCGGCGCCAUUCUCAACCCUCAAGAUCUCCGACAAGCAUCCUUCUUCGUCAACUCCGGCGUCUUCCAGCGUCCACCCUCACGACAAGAUGGCCGUCGGUUUUGUCGUCCCCGAGGUCAGACUUUCAUCUCAUCCAUUGUACCUUUUUCCUGCAUUCCUGUUCAUCUGCGAUUUACCUUACCGAAUAUUUUCUUUCCCCUUUUUCUUUGUAUUUUAUUCCCCAAAACACCAGGAAUUAUCCAACAAAAUUGUCAUCCCUACCGAUCAACCACAUCUUCAGUGUCUCGGCCCUCUAGGGGAUCCAGAUCCAACCGACCUCAUCAACGCAGAAACCAACAGGAUUCCCUUUAGAGCUGAAAACUUUACUCUAGAUCUAUGGAAAGACACCUUUCGUUCUUGGCCUAGCCCUACUGUAGGAUGGAAAGACUGGUUCUUGAGGGUCAGCAACUCUUAUGAAAUUCAAUGGGGUGAGAGGAAAUUAGCUCAAUGCAUCAGGCUGUCCAUUGCCGAUAUGCACAGAAACGAGUCGUUGCUGAUAGCCGCAUCUUACUUCUGGUCAGAUACUCUCAACGCUUUUGUUUUCGGCCACGGCCCUGCUUCUCCUACCCUUGCCGAUGUAGCCAUGCUCACUGGGUUAGACAUAUCUUCUGCCGAUAGCACCCACUUUUUCGAUACCGCCCCCAGCGCCAAAGUGGAGACUCGCGCUAUCGGCGGCUGGUCAGGGUACAUCCAGAAGUACCGCGGGAAAGGACCUGUCACCCUAAAGGAACAAACCACUUUUCUGAACAUGUGGCUAGACAAGUUCGUAUUCUGUGGUCGAUCGGCAGGACCGACUUCUGUCUACCUAUCGGCAGCAGAAAGGUUGGCUAGCGGUGGUCAAUUUCCUCUCGGCCGCUAUCUGCUCGGCGCUGUUUAUCACCUCCUUCAUCAGGUAGCCCAGAAACUCCUACUCGGCCAACCUAUCGGCAACUUGGGAGGUCCUUGGUGGUUUAUCAAUAUGUGGCUCAAUCUGCACCUGCACAAGCGCCUUGAUCUCAACUUGUUCUCUCAGCACUUCCCAAGAGAUAUAGCCGAGAACCAUGUGUUGGGCGAAGAGGAAUCGGCAACACGUGCCCCCCUGAACUUCGGCGAAGCUGUUAUAGUUUUACCCGGUUCAGGGAACGCUCCGGAUCAGAUCGGCCGAUUCUUCGAAACGCUGUAUGAGGGUCUGGCCAGAGAUGAACGACCGUGGCUAGCUUACGACGACCCAGACAGCAUGCUCCCUCUGACCUUCAAUCCAUUCGACGACGCUCUUGAUAGGGACAAUGAAACGAUGAUGGCAAUCGUGACUCCCAGAGCCAUACCAGUGAACUUCUUCGGCAGCACGAAAACCUCUCCCCAAACCUAUGAAUUCUAUCAUCCAUCGGCAUUAGCUCGCCAGCUGGCUUUCGGCCAAUUGCCGAUUGCACUUCCUUAUGCUGAUGUAGUAAAGCCCAGAGAACCCAUCGCUAACCUCCUCGAGUGGACUCGAGUAGCCCAGUUACCACCAAAUGCCGAUACAGAUGUAGAUCUGUCAGAAUGGAUUCCAGCUGCCUUUAUCACUCAAGCAUACAAGCUAUGGUGGGCAGAAUGGAAGGAGAAUUUAUUCUGCAGAUCGGCUCUCUCAUACCGCGGCAUGAUCGACCCCGAAUACGAAGUUCCUGACGACAUUGUAAGUGCUUUAAACCUGAUGUCUCAUUUUCCAAUACUAUUCCCAUUGAUAAUUUACCCCCGUAUUCUUUUUGCAGAUUGAUAAUACCCCCCCAUCGGUCAGCAGGAGUGGCAAGCCGAUCGACUUAUUCCCAUCAGGCCCGAUCUCCUCAAUCGGCCACAAUGCUCCCACUCUGGCCUCCAUUGUACAUCGGGGUGCGCGUCUCAAGAAGGUUACUACCAGGAAAACUCAGACAUCACCACCGGUAACUGCUUCCACUCUGGCGCAAGCUUUCAAGGCAAUCUGUUUAAAACCCCUUUUUAUUUAUGCUGACUUAUCUUCAUAUCGGUUAUCUGUGCUUAUAAACUCUUUAUUGUUGUUGCAGCAAACUGGUACAUCGGCAAAAGUCAAACGUCAAGGUGCCGAUCUCCCCCAGUCUAGCCAGCCAAAGAGGAAAGGCGUCCAAGGUGUCAAGACUGGACCAAAGCGUCAGAAAGUGGCAACUUCUCCUCCUCCUCCAGUGUUUCCAAUCCCGGUGGGAUCUUCUCCUUCUCCUCCAGGAGCCCAAGCACAGCAAGGAACAUCUCCUCAAUCAACACAGGAAGCACUACAGACUGAAGGACCUCAGCAAGAAGUACCUCGAACGGCAGGCGCAUUAUCUGACGUAGGCGAACAAACAACUGGCCCGGCAGGUCCAGUUAUGUCAUCGGCGGUCUCCUCAAUCCAAACAACUGUUGUUCCAAUUUCGGGUAACAUAUCCCAACAAUACUCCUACCGAUAAACUUAUUUUCAUUUCUUCUUAUAAUCCUUCCUGUCUUCUUUCAGGCGAUAUCAUUCUAUCGGCAACAUCUGCCGAUCAACCUGCAGCUCUAUCGGCCUCUCUGAGUCAAAGGCAGGAAAUUGCCCUGAAGCAAGUAAGUCAUCCACUUUUCAAUCGGUAUCAUCCGCUGAUAUCUUGACCAUAAAAUUGACUUAUUUCAUCUUCAGGAACAAGAUUCUCCCGACAGCUUAUUUUCCUUCGCCAUUGACAUCUUUGAAGAAGAGGACGAGGAAGCAAGCUCUUCUCGGGCAGUUGGAAUCGUAUCGGCAGAAACCAAAGCUAGGUUGGAGGAGUUGUCGGCCAUACUUCAUCAAGACACAACUCAACUGGUCGAUGAUUCUGACCCAGCCAAAGCCCUGUUCAAAACUCUCAGAGGCCAAAUCCCUGCCGAUGCUGAAGAAGCACUCUUCCACGCUGCACACCUAGAAAGCCGGCAGUUACAGUACCAGAGAGCUACCCGACGCCUUGCCGACAGAGCUGCUCAAGUCCAACUUUCUGAGGAGAUGGUAAAAGAAAAACUCUUAGCCGAUGAGAAACAUAAGAACAUCGGCAUCUUAAAGUCCUCAGGUGACGCACUGAAGCAGAAAAUGUCCGAUCUAUCGGCCAAAAGAGAAGCUCUGCUGGCUGAACUCAAGCAAGUGGAAGACGCCCUGUCCCAAGCCCAACAGGAAGAUAGUCAGCUGCCGGAGGCCAUCAAGCAUCUUGAACAGGAACGAAACAUCCAUGGUCGUAAAGCGCUGCAAUUGAAGAGGAAAUUGAAGCCGAUUGAAGGUUCUGCCGAUGAUGAUAUCAAAGAGAUAGAAACAGCCAACCAAAUUCGGCUGCGCGCCAUAUCUGCAAUCCAGGCACUGCUGAACACCUGAAGCCUUCACCAAUGACACAUCUUCAUUUUUCGUUUUCAGCUUUUAGUCUAGCCGAUAAGACUGUUAUCGGCAUCUUUCGAAAUGUUAAGCCUGCCCUUGAACAUUUAAAUUCAGCCGAUAGGAAUGUUAUCGGCACUUGACCUUUUAUGCAUCGACCCAUAUGCUGGGGUAGUAUUUCUUCAAAUAUUUGCCGUUCAAUGCUCUGGGAAAUUCAACUCCUUCGAGAGUUUCUAGAAUAUAGGCAUUACCGGGAGCUGAGCGUUUUAUCCGAUAAGGACCUUCCCAAUUAGGAGACCACUUCCCAAACUUUGAACUUUUAGUUCCGACUGGCAGAAUCAACUUCCAUACCAAAUCCUUAUCGGCAAACUCCUUAGCCUUCACCUUUUUAUCAUACCAUCUGGCAACUCUCUUCUUAUUUUCUUCUAUACUCAUCAAAGCCGUUAACCGAUGCCCUGCCAAAUCAUCUAACUCAUCGGUCAUUAAAGUGGCAUAAUCAUCGGCAGCCAAUUGAUCUUGAAAAGAUAAUCGCCUAGAUCCAGCCUUAAUCUCCCAAGGCAAAACCGCAUCAUGUCCGUACACCAAUUGAUAAGGUGACACCUUGGUCGAUCCAUGACAAGCCAUCCGAUAAGACCACAGUGCUUCAUUCAACAAUGUAUGCCACUGCCUAGGAUUUUCUUCAAUCUUUCGUUUAAUAAGCUUGAUAAUUCCCUUGUUAGAUGCUUCGGCCUGCCCAUUGGCUUGAGCAUAGUAAGGAGAAGAAUUCAACACUUUAAUUCCCAUACCGAUUGCAAACUCAUCGAACUCCCCCGACGUAAACAUGGUGCCCUGAUCGGUGGUAAUCGUUUGAGGAAUCCCAAAUCGGUAAAUAAUAUGCUCCUUCACAAAAUCAAUCAUAUUAGCCGAUGUGACUUUCUUCAAGGGAAUAGCCUCGACCCAUUUGGUAAAAUAGUCAGUGGCAACUAGAAUGAAUUUAUGCCCUUUGCUAGAUGGUGGAUGGAUCUGGCCGAUCAGAUCGAUGGCCCACCCCCGGAACGGCCAAGGUUUUAUUAUGGGAUUCAUAACCGAUGCCGGUGCUCUCUGGAUAUUACCGAACUUUUGACUACCUUGACAUCCCUUGAAAUAUUUAAAACAGUCUUCAAGUAUAGUUGGCCAAAAAUAUCCAUUCCUUCGAAUCAUCCAUUUCAUCUUAAAAGCUGACUGAUGCGCUCCACACACUCCUUCAUGGAUUUCUCCCAUCAAACUUCUGGCUUCAUCAUCACCUAGACAUCGGAGAAGAAUCCCGUCGAUAGUUCGAUAAUACAAUUCAUUUUCAAGGAUCACAUACUUGGUUGCUUGAAAUCGAACCCGUCUUUCAACCUUUUUGGACGGAUCUUUUAGAUAAUCAAUAAUUUCUUCCCUCCAAUCACCGGUAGUGACUGCCGAUGUUGCAAUAAUCAUUGGCUGAUAUCCCGAAGCGUGCUGGGCUAACCGAUUAGCGUCUUCAUUAUGCAAUCGGGGAAUAUGCUCCAAUCGGAAGUUCUUGAAUUCCUUCAACAGUUGCAUACUUCUCUCGAAAUAAGUUAUGAGAACCUCACUUCGGCACUCAUAGCUUCCAGCCAAUUGAUUUAUAACCAACAUGGAAUCUCCGAAUACUUCAACAGCAUCAGCACGAACUUCUCUUAACAACUCCAAUCCCUUGAUCAGAGCCUGAUACUCAGCCUGAUUAUUUGUUGAUGCAGCAACAAUCGGCAAGGAAAAUUCAUACUUCCUCCCCUUAGGGGAGACUAAUAUAAUGCCGAUUCCUGCUCCCCGGUCACAGGUAGAUCCAUCAAAGAAGAGCGUCCAGGGUGCAAUUUCCAAGGUCUCCACUAGACUGCAAUGCUGAGUCACGAAAUCGGCCAUGACCUGCCCUUUGACCGCCUUAGCCGACUCGUAACGCAAAUCGAACUCCGACAGCGCCAAAAUCCAUUUACCAAUCCUACCACUCAUAAUCGGCAUAGAUAGCAUGUAUCGGACCACGUCAUCUUUGCAAACAACAGCACAUUCGGCCGACAACAGGUAAUGUCUUAGCUUGACGCAUGAAAAAUAUAAGCAUAAGCACAGCUUCUCAAUGGCCGAAUACCUGAUUUCAGCAUCAAUUAAUCUCCUACUCAAAUAAUAAAUUACCCUCUCUUUCCCUUCAAAUUCUUGAACUAAAGCUGAACCGAUAACCGAUCCAUCGGUAGACAAAUAUAAUUUGAAGGGUUUCCCUUGUUGAGGUGGAACUAAAACCGGAGGGUUUACUAGAUACCUUUUGAUUUCGUCUAGAGCCAACUGCUGUUCUUUUCCCCAAACAAACUCCUGAUCGGCCUUCAAUUUAAGGAGAGGACUAAAAGCACGAAUUCUCCCAGAUAAAUUCGAUAUAAAUCUUCUGAUAAAAUUCACCUUGCCGAUCAAGGAUUGGAGCUCAGUUUUAUUGGUAGGGGCCACUAUUUUAUUGAUGGCAUCAAUAGAUCUUCGACUGAUUUCAAUACCCCUCUGAUGUACCAUAAAACCAAGAAACUGCCCUGCCGAUACGCCAAAUGCACAUUUGUUGGGGUUCAUCUUCAAUCCAUGCUUCCUGGUGCACUCCAAUAUUUUUCGUAAAUCGGCGAGAUGCUCUGAGAAAUCUCCAGACUUAACCACCACAUCAUCAAUAUAAAUUUCUACGAUCUUGCCGAUGAACUCAUGAAAUAUAAAAUUCAUGGCCCUUUGAUAAGUAGCACCAGCAUUUUUUAACCCAAAAGUCAUGACUAUCCAUUCAAAUAGUCCAACAUGACCAGGACACCUGAAUGCGGUUUUUGGAAUAUCCUCCUCUGCCAUGAAUAUUUGAUUGUAACCCGCAUUACCAUCCAUGAAGCUGAUAACCCGAUGGCCAGCCGCAGCAUCAACUAGUAGAUCGGCGACAGGCAUUGGAUAUCCGUCCAUCGGCGUAGCUUUAUUGAGAUUCCUGAAAUCAAUGCACACCCGAAGCUUCCCGUUCUUCUUGUAAACCGGAACAACAUUGGAAAUCCAUUCGGCAUACCGACACUGCCGAAUAAACUUAGCUUCAAUAAGUUUAGUGAUUUCGGCCUUAAUAUCAGGUAGAAUGUUAGGAUUACAUCGGCGGGCUGGUUGCUGAUGUGGCCGAAACCCAGUCUUGAUAGGUAACCGAUGUUCAACAAUUGAUCGGUCUAAACCAGGCAUCUCUGUAUAAUCCCAAGCAAAGCAAUCUUUAUAUUCCUUUAACAAACUAGUUAACUGCCGUUUACACUCAGGAUCUAAUCUAGCACUAAUAAAAGUAGGCCUAGGCUUAUCACCACUACCUAUAUCUACUUCCACCAAAUCAUCGGCCGAUGUGAAUCCCUGGCCUAAUUUCCCGUCAUCGGCGAAUCUAUCCAUUAAAAACCGUCGUCAGAACCGACUGCUUGGAUCGGUGGAAUCUCAUAAUCGGCAACUUUGAGAAAAUCUUUCUCCCAAACUUCUCCUGAAAUGCACCUAGUCUUUUCAUAAGUAUCUGCCUCUGCCGAUGCGAUAACAUAAGAAGAAUCCCCUGGGACGAUCUCAAUCUUGUCACCUACCCACUGAACCAAGCACUGGUGCAUCGUGGAUGGGACACAACAAUUGGCAUGAAUCCAAUCUCUCCCCAAUAGUAAAUUGUAGGCACCUUUUCCGCUGAUCACGAAAAAAGUUGUCGGCAAGGUUUUGCUGCCGAUGGUCAACUCUACACAUAUCGCCCCCUUGACUGGAGAUACGUUUCCCUCAAAGUCUUUGAGCAUCAUAUCGGUCUUGGUCAAAUCUUGAUCCCCUUUCCCAAGCUUCCGAUAUACUGCAUACGGCAUAAUAUUAAUAGCAGCUCCACCAUCAACUAGGAUCUUCGUCAUUGGCUGCCCAUCAACCCUUCCUUUGAUGAACAAAGCUUUAAGAUGCUGCCUCUCGUUAUCGGCAGGUUUCUCAAAGAUAGCCGUCAUCGGAUCCAGAGCCAACUGAGCUAUCUGAUCAGAAAAUCCUAACUCAUCGUCACUGGCUGGUGCAAGAAACUCCAUCGGCAACAUGAAUACCAUGUUGACGCCUGCCGAUGGACCUUCCCUCUUAGUGUCUGCCGGCUGCCGACUUUCAGAAUUCUCUCCUUUAUUUAACUCCUCUUGCCUUUCACGUUGCAAUCUCCUUUUCUGUGUCUUAGUUAAUCCUUGAGGGCACCAUGGAGGAAGUGGCCUUUGCCUUGCCGUCGGACGUUGGUCCUCUCUUAGCUCCAUACGAUGCGUAUUGGCAUCCCUGCAAAAUAUGAAUUCAUCGGGAACCCGCGCAUCAGCCAUUCUUUCAAGCUCCUCUUGGUUUCUGGGAAAAUACUGGACACGGUCACCAAGCCGAUCACGAACGCUAAGCCUGCCCCCCAGCCGAUCAUGAACUGAUGCCCUUCCUCUGAUCGGCCCAUUAAAUCGUCGUUCCUCAUCAUGAUAACGUCGAUCGUUCCUAUCGUACCUAUCAUAACCAUUGCAUUCAGGACAGUCUCUGACAGUAGGGAGCUUGAUAUUUUCUUCCCAACAAUGGAUGAAGAAUGGGCAAUUCCAAUGAUCCCUAUGCCGAUUCCACUCCUGUCGGCGUCUUUCUUCUUCCCGUUGAUAAUCUUCCUGCUGGCGCCGAUACCGAUCUUCCCGUUGUUGCCAUCUCUCUCGAGGCCUUCUAUGAGUUAUGACAAUACCAGAUCGAGGAAUUCUUCCUGAGCCAGUUCCUUCCUGGACCAAGCCCUUACUUUUUGCAUCAGCGGUAGUAACUUGAUGCUGAGGAUCUACCGAUGCACUCUUCUCGGCGGUCUCCGACGUCAAGACCUUAGCCUUCCCCUUAGCAUCCAACAUAUUCGUCGGGAAAGGAUGUUGGUCUAUCUUCAUCGGCUUCUGGGCUUUGGAACUAUCAAACUUGAUUCUCCCUGACUCUAUGGCCGAUUGCAACUGUUGUCUGAAUACUUUGCACUCAUUGGUAUCAUGCGAAGUUGCAUUAUGCCACUUGCAAUACCUCAUCCUCUUCAACUCUUCUGCCGACGGAAUCACGUGGUUAGGUGACAAUUUGAUUUGACCUUCCUGAAGUAAAAAGUCAAAUAUCCUGUCGGCCUUGGCGGUAUCAAAUGCAAACUUCUCUGGUUCCUUCUGCCCAAAAGGACAAGACAUCGGCUUCUUGUUUUUUACCCACUCUGCUAAGCCGAUUACUGGUUCUUCAUCGGAAUCUGAGCUUGUUGCCUCGUCAACAAAUGAGACUUUCUUAUUCCAUGCCCUCUUAGGUUCGAAAGGCUUGAUGUCUUGAUCAGAUAUCCUCUGCACCAAGUGACUUAAACUUUCGAACUCCUGAGAGGCAUACUUAUCCCUGAUGUGUGGCAACAGACCUUGGAAAGCCAAAUCGGCUAGUUGCCGAUCAUCCAGAACCAGGCUAUAGCAUUUAUUUUUGACUUCUCGUAUCCUCUGCACAAAUCCCUCAACCGACUCGUCAUUACGUUGCCUCAGCUUGACCAAGUCGGUGAUUUUCUUCUCAUGAACCCCCGAGAAGAAGUAUUUGUGGAAUUGCUUCUCCAGAUCGGCCCAAGUAAUUACUGAAUUGGGAGGCAAUGAUAUGAACCAAGUAAAGGCCGAUCCAGAUAAUGAUGAUGAAAAUAGGCGAACUCUCAAUUCGUCCCUGCUACCAGCUUCUCCACAUUGGAUAAUGAACCUGUUGACAUGCUCCAUGGUUGACGUAUCGUCCUGUCCGGAAAAUUUUGUGAAAUCCGGUACUUUGUACCGAUGUGGAAGCGGGAUCAAAUCAUACGCGGGAGGAUACGGCGUCCGAUAAGAAUAAGUGUUGACUUUGGGUUUUAUCCCAAAUUGUUCCCUCAUUACUUCGGCAAUCUUAUCGGCCCAAUACGCAUCGGCAUCUUGCCGAUGAGGCAGCUGCGGAUCUGGCAUUUGGUGGCGAACCUCCACGUGUCUGUUCGGGACGUGACCUGUAUGGAACAUCGUAUUGGUCGCCUGUCCUCCAAUCUGCGGACUACCAAACUGUUGUCCACCGAUUGGCUGUCCUCCGAGUUGCUGUCCAAAAUUUAUUGGCUGGUUGGGAAUUCCCUGACCUUGGAACCCGGGAUACACCUGUCCCUGCUGGAACCCCGUAGUCUGAUAACCUUGCUGGGGCGACUGUGGAAAGGCUUGCUGUCCAAGCCAUCCAUUACUAGCGUUCAUCGGCAUAGGUGCUGCCGAUGAUUGGUAAUUGGGUACCGUCGUCGAAUUGACAUACCCUGACUGGGCGAUAGGCCUCUGUUGCAUCAGCAUUGGCUCUGCCGAUGCGUUAGGCAUCUGGAACAUUGGAUCUUGAGGAUUUCCAGCGUGAGGCCUUGCAGUAGUAGUUGUGGUAUACCGAGGACUCUGGUUCACCGGCACAUUGGAGGGUGCCGAUGUCAUAGGAGUUUUGCCCCUCAUAUCAGCUAUCUGUGACGUUCCCGGCGUCAACUCUGGAGGCAUACCAUAACCCCACCAGCUAGGAGGAAGAGUUAACCCUGACAUGGCCGAUGCCAACAUAUCUGUUGUCAGUUUAUGCUGCCCAACAGAAAUUUGUGGGUUAGUUGCCAUCGGCAUAGAUGGUGCACCAGUAGCCCCCGACGUAUUUGGAGGAACGGCAGUCUGUGCACUCGCACUCGUCAAAGCAGCCGAUGGAGCCGUGACCUCUGGUGCCGUGGGUUGAUGAUGGGAGGGGCCCACAUAAUCCGGCGGGAUUUGUCCUUCCUUGAAGGUUCUUGCCACGGCGUUGAAAACCGUAUUAGAUAGUACACCAGCUUGAUUAAUCAACGCUCGAUUGAUGGCAUUAUCAACCAUGUCUUGAAGCUUGCCAGGGUUGGCGUCAAAGGUGACCUGCCGUGGUGCCGGUAAUGCAUCUUUCUGGACCGCUUCGCCGCUCCUGUUUAUGCUGAAAGACUUCAGGCAUUGCUGCUUGAACUCUUCCAUAGCUUGGGCAAUAGCUUGCUUCUGCUCAUCCUUGAGGUUAGCUUCCGUCACGGGGAUGACAUUGUCUUGAUCGAGGUCAGAGAUCGACAUGUUGAUCUUGAUCUUGAAUCGGUCCCACUGGGCGUGCCAAAAGAUGUGUUGAUGCAAAAUUGAUCUGCAAACACAAAGGGCUAAUACCCAAUUCAAACGUUAAGGCGUGCCAGCCGAUUUGACCCUACUAUCGGCAAAGGUGAUAACUCGAAUACUUUAGUCCUGACAACAGCGAUGCGCCCGGAUGUCACGGCUAAGAGGUACUCACGCGGAACUCGAGAAUACGCCGAGCUUAAGUCGACGAAUUCCUAAGAACUCGUAAUAAGAAAGAAAAAAGGGUGACGAAGUCGUCGAAAAGUAAACGCUGGAAUAUGAGUAAAAUGUGUGUUUGAUAGAUUUCUUGAUGAUAAUUACAAGGUCUUAGGGCUUAUAUUUAUACCCUGCUCAAAGAGCUACGACCAGACACGUUUAGAAUUCGAAUUCCAAAUUACACGGAACCCGUACACAAAACGAUACGAAUAACAUAAGGAAAUAGUAAAACCACCCUUCGUGACAAACCGAAACUCCUCCACAUGACAACUGGCAACUUCCGGACUCCUCCCUUUGCGUCAUCGGCAAUCCUCUCGCCAUAGUCAUCGGCAGACCCUUUUACUCAGUCAUCGGUACCAUGCUAUUGUCUGAGGACUUAGUCACAAUCAACUCCUCCCUCAUCGGCAACCACUCUUACCAGCUCCCCAUAUCAUACUGCCACCCUGUCUUGCCAUCCUGGACACGUGCCCAAAAACGGUGUCAACAGUGGUCUUCAUCUUGGAUGAUGAUCCCUUGAGGAGUAGGGGUUGUGGCGGUGCGGUGAGAACUGGUUGAGCAUGGUAGGAUUGGGCGGAGUUGCGUUGGCGUAAUGGCAUGGCUUCCAGCUGUCUUUCUGUGUUGGCCGGGACGAGAGCACGGGCAUCGGGGUCUUCCACAGGCUCCAUGUUGAGGUUGAAGGGGACGACUUCCCAAUCAUCGUGGUACUUUUCGACCAUUGGAGCAGCAAGGAACUAAUCAAGCUCUAAUUGAAGAAGAAGAGAAGGCUUGGUGGCUUUGGUGUUUGAAAACUGAUGUCAGGGGUCUGUUUAUAUAGGGGUCAAAAAGUGCCUCUAGGGGUUGUUCGGGUUGCUCCCGUCGAUGUGCGUGCGAAACUUUCAAUCCGAGGGAUUAUUCGGAUUUCAUUAAGUGCAUUUUCCAUAACAGAGAAGAUCGGAACCGAGGGGGAACAGGAGCUGGGCGCCCGCCCACCUGAUCUGGGCGCCCGCCCUCUCUCUGGCCCCUCUGUGGGCCCACUUCCUCGAGCGCGUUUCUAGAUGCAAAAUUAUUUAGAAAAAUAUAUAUAUGACCCAAAAACAUCAUACUAAAAAGGUCGGGCUCUAAUUCUCCAUGGGAAGGUAAAAAUGGACUACGUCUAUUUCUUCUAAUUCUUUAUUGGGCUCUAAAAAUAAUUUAAGACGUUGACCAUUUACCUUGAAUAACGUACCUUCGUCAUUUUGAAUUGUGAUAGCUCCGUGGGAUGAUGAAUUAAUUACCUUGAAUGGUCCUUCCCAUUUGCUUCGGAGUUUUCCAUGCCCGAAAAGCUUCACCCUGGAAUUAAAAAGUAAUACCUUAUCUCCGGGUGUGAACUCCUUCUUCUUGAUUCUCUUGUCAUGCCACCUUUUGACUCUUUCUUUGUAGAUCUUCGAAUUGUGAUAUGCUUUCUCUCGCCAUUCUUCCAAUUCUGAUAGUUGCAUUCUUCUAUAAUCUCUAGCAACAUCUAGGUCCAUAUUCCAUCUCUUUAUGGCCCAGUGUGCUUUGAACUCUAGUUCAACUGGUAGAUGGCAAGUCUUCCCGUACACCAAUUGGUAUGGAGACAUUCCAAUUGGGGUGUUGUAUGCUGUUCGGUAUGCCCAGAGUGCAUCGGGUAACUUGUCUUUCCACGCCGUUCCCAUUUCAUUUACUGUCUUCUGAAGAAUAUUCUUAAUUUGCUUGUUGGAAGUCUCUGCUUGGCCACUUGUCUGAGGAUGAUAGGGGGUAGCGACGUUGUGACGGAUUCCAUGUUUUGAUAGAUAUUGCUUGAAGCGUUUGUCGAUGAAGUGUGCUCCACCAUCACUUAUCACUACUCUGGGGACUCUAAAUCUUGGAAAUAUAAUUUCUUCAAACAUCCUCUUUGAACUGACGUUGUCGGCAUGCUUGCAAGGUAAUGCCUCUACCCACUUCGGAGACAUAGUCAACUGCCACCAAGAUAUAUUCACACUUCUUUGAUGGAGGAAAUGGACCCAUGUAGUCUAUUCCCCAGACAUCAAAGAGCUCAAUCUGAAGGUUGUUGGUGAGUGGCAUUGCAUCCCUUGUAUUUAUGUUUCAUUGCCUUUGACAUGGCCCACAUCUUUUGAUAUAUUGCCUCGUGUCUUCAUACAUUGUAGGCCAGUAGAAUCCACACUGCCAGAUCUUUGAAUGUGUGCGGAAUGCUCCAUAGUGACCUCCAUAUGGUGAUGAAUGACAUCUGUCGAUGAUCUUCCAUCCUUCCUCAGUGGUCACACAUCUCCUAAGUAAGCCAUCAGAGCAUACUCGGAAGAGGUAUGGCUCAUCCCAUAUAUGUGAACGACUUUCUUGAAUAUGCUUCUUCUUGUUUGCUCCUGGUGGUACAUACCCUGAAACCAUAAAAUUAACAAUAUCUGCAUACCAGGGGUCAGAUCUGUUAAUCCCGUAGAGCAUGUCGUCCCGGAGUGAAUCAUCGAUGGGGGUUUCCUCUGGACUCUUAAAAUACAUUCUAGUGCAGCAUGAUCAGUGUAAACAAUUAUUUUAGCAUCUUUUUUAGUGAGCAAAUAUUUUAGGAGUAAUAAGAUCCAUCUAAUCAGGCGAGGUUUAGCAUCUUUUUUAGUGAGCAAAUUCUUGGAGUAAUAAGAUCCAUCUAAUCAGGCGAGGUUUAGCAUCUUUUUUAGUGAGCAAAUAUUUUAGUGCAGCAUGAUCAGUGUAAACAAUUAUUUUAGCUCCAACUAAAUAAGAUCUAAAUUUAUCAAUGGCAAAGACAACAACCAGAAGCUCUUUUUCAGUAGUUGCAUAAUUAAGUUGAGCUCCUGUCAAAGUUUUACUGGCAUAAGCAAUUGCAUGAUGCAUCUUAUUUUUAGUUUGUCCCAAAACUGCCCCACAGCAUAAUCACUAGCAUCACACAUAAUUUCAAAAGGCAACGACCAAUCAGGGGGUUGAAUGAUUGGUGCAGAGAUGAGUGCUUUCUUUAAUAAAUUGAAAUAUGUUAGACAUGCAUCAUCAAAUUCGAAAGGAGCAUCCUUGGCUAGCAAAAGAGUAAGUGGUCUAGCAAUAAAUGAAAAAUCUUUUAUGAAUCUACGAUAAAAACCAGCAUGGCCAUGAAAGCUUCGAAUUCCUUUUAUAUUCAUAGGUGGAGGUAGUUGUUCAAUUACUUCAAUUUUAGCUUUGUCUACCUUAAUACCUCUUUCAGACACUAGGUGUCCCAGCACUAUUCCUUCCCUAACCAUAAAAUGACAUUUUUCCCAAUUAAGGACUAAGUGCUUUUCUUCACAUCUUUGCAAAACCUUGUCUAAGUUUUCAAGACAACUAUCAAAAGUUUUUCCAUAAACAGAGAAAUCAUCCAUGAAAACUUCCAUAAUCUCUUUAAUCAUAUCAGAAAAUAUAGACAUCAUGCAUCUUUGAAAAGAAGCUGGUGCAUUACAUAACCCAAAAGACAUUCUACGGUAAGCAUAAGUUCCAUAUGGGCAUGUAAAAGUGGUUUUGCUUUGAUCAUCGGGAUGGAUCGGGAUUUGGUGAUAUCCUGAAUAUCCAUCUAAGAAACAGAAGAACGAAUGGUUUGCUAACCGCUCUAGCAUCUCAUCUAUGAAAGGUAAAGGAAAGUGAUCCUUUCUCGUGGCUUUGUUUAGUUUUCUAUAGUCUAUGCACAUCCGCCAUCCUGUGAUGGUGCGUUGCGGAAUUAGCUCGUUCUUUUCAUUCAUAAUAACAGUCAUGCCUCCCUUUUUAGGCACAACUUGUACUGGGCUCACCCACUCACUAUGCGGCACAGGAUAUAUAAUCCCUGCAUGCAGCAACUUUAUAACUUCCUUUUCAACUACCUCUCUCAUAGUGUUAUUAAGUCUACGUUGGGGUUCUCGAGAAGGUGAAACAGAAGGAUCCGUUGGAAUUCGAUGGGUACAAAUCGUAGGACUGAUUCCUGUAAGAUCUUGGAGUGAGCAGCCGAAAAUUGAGUGAUGUUUCUCAAGAAUGGUCAUUAAUUGCAGAGUUUGAUCCUGAGUGAGUUUAUCACUAAUGAUCACAGGAAACUCUGGAUUAUUGUUUAGGAAAGCAUAGGUAAGACCAGGUGGUAAAGUUUUAAGCUCUAUGGGGGGUCUAGGUGUUUCUGCAAACUCAUCUAAGGGUUCAGGUUCAGAAGGUUCGGCUUCUUCUUUUAUGAAGAAAGGAGUUUCGUCUUCUAAGUCUGAUUCUUCUAAAAGUUCAAGAGAUGCAACCUUUACCUCCUCCAUAGGAUCAGGCAAAAGAUAUGACUCGGCCUUAUUAUUCAAGGAGUGUGAAAUUGUUAUUGGGAAUUUAAAGGCUUUUCCAAAAGAAAUGUGUAGCUUUCCAGUAUGACCUUCAUAAAGGAGUCUUCUAAAAGGUUGUCCUAUCAACAGGUCGAAGUCCCAUGUAUCAAAGAUAUAAAAGUUCAAAUAAACCAUGGAGCCUUCUACCGUAAGAGGUAGGACAUUAAUAUUUCCAAGACUGGGGACUAAUCGUCUCGAAGAUUCCUUUAUGACCUUUGUUGUGGGGGUUAAGACAAGAUUUUUAAAUAGUUUAAGUGCAAAAGAUUCAGACAUGAUGUUGAUCCCCACAACAGGAUUAUAAAGAGUAUUCAAUCGAUCAGAGUUAUAAGCACAGCGUAUAGUAUAGAGGGUGUGUCCAAACGGAUCACAUUAGAGGAAAGCUCUGAUUCCUCCAACCAUUCGCUACUCAUGACUAAGAUAAGCUCUCUCAAUUGAUAAUCACUUGGCAAAUAAAUGCUAAACUGGCCGUUUUGGGGUUUGUCAAUAGAAUGGUAGUUUGAAAUGUUUCCAAAAUCGGCAAAAAGAUCAGAUUCUAUAUCCAGCAUGAAGUCGGAUGGUCGAAUUUCUUCCUCUUGUGGCUCAGAACUUGGGAUAGCUAAAGUAGAUGAAGAAUUUGGCAGAGUGUCUACUUCGGCUUCGUAGGUUGCAUCACGAAGGGUAUCAUCCAUCUCAGCUUGUAGGAUUCUAUCUAGGAUAACUCUAGCUUCAUCAGUAGGGAUGCGAAAGAAAGAACCUCUAGACAUUGUGUGUAGCAUUUGUUUAUGAUUUUUCUAAAGUCCUCGAAAAAAGUGAAAUAAAAGAACAGGGUCUUCAAGAUUAAGGUUUGGACCAGAUUCUAAAAGAUCAGAAAAACAUUUCCAGGAUUUUCCCAAAGUUUCAUUAUCUUUUUGUUUAAAAGAUAGGACUUCGAGUCUAAGGUCGGCUAUACGGUCGAGGGAAUAGAAAUCUGGACAAAAGUUGGCUCGUAAAACUCCCCAUUCACCUCGUUGUUGACUUACCUUCUGACUGUACCAUUGUCUAGCUUCUCCCCUUAAAGAAAAAGGAAAAAGCUUCCAACGUAAAGUUUUAUCAGAAAUGCCAUCAAUGCGAAGACAAUCACAUGUUUGCUCAAAAUCUCUAAUAUGAAGGUAAGGGUUUUCGUCUUCCUUUCCCGAAAAAGAUAGGUUUUGAAUCAUGGCAAUCAACCUAGAACUUAACUUAUACUGGGAUGUUUGGAUAGGCUGUGAUGAUUCCCAUGGUAAAAGGUCAGUUACUGAAGGGAUUGCAGACUCAUGGAUCGAUUUAGAAUUUUGGUUUUCCAUAAGGUAAGAAUAAAGAAAAUAAAUAAAGAAUAUAAAAGAUAAGAAAAGAUAAAAGUAUAGAUACAAGCUAGUAGUAAGACUCAAGGUUAUCUCAGCAAACCAUCUUUCUCCCCGGCAACGGCGCCAGAAAUGCUUGUUGAUAUUUGGGAACGCAAUAAGGAAUUGAUCCGCAAGCGCACGGAUAUCGGUGAGCCCUUCACCCGGGAGGUUAUCCAGAGUAUCGUAUUUAUUUUUUUACCACUAGGAGAAAGAGUGCAUCUGACUAACCGGUCUAUUACUACUAACCCUUUAGGAAACAAAGAAUGUCUCUCGAUGUGAGUGAUAAAUAGAGAAGACUGCAACCGUAGUCUCCUUCUAACCUUGGUAAGGAUGAUCUACUGUUCUAUUGGGGGGGCUAACGGAAUCUAGACACCACAAAGGAUGUUCAACCCUCACCUAUAAACCCUAUCCUUCCUGCUAACGAGAUAUGGUCUGCAAAGGUAACUCGGAAUUGUCACGUUCCUCACUACUACCACAGUCCAGCUAGUCAGGGAAUAUCUUUGAGUACCCCAGCCUAAACACCACGUUUACGCCAGCAAUGAUUACUGUAAACUCUACGCGAAGAGAUUAAAGUAAACUUAUAAACUAGAAGAACAAUAAAACAAGAACUUACUAGAAUUUAGAAGUCGAAAUACUGAAGAAUCCUAGGAGCAAGCUUCGGGUUAGGAGAACUUGAUCCCGCAGGUACAAGCUUGGAGUAGACACCGACAGGCCGGGCUUCCUCCAAUCUACACCUCCACUCUAUCUCUCUCAAUCUAGUAGAAACUAGAAGAUCUAUUUCUACUUUACAUUGGUUGCUAAGCCUAAAAAAGAAAUAUUAAUUAGAGAAGAGGUUUUCCUUCGAGGGCACCCCUCAAUCUCUAUGAUAAUUUCUUGUCUUCUCCAGGGGCCAGGGGGUCUCCUUAUAUAGUCCUCCUCCUCUAUGCGGUUUUGGGUCGGUAGGCGAGGUGGUACUACAUUAUUCUUGAUCCAAUAGGUCGGUGGAACAUCAUGUGCGAAGAGAGUCCCGAACGGAAUCCAACAGGGGGCGGGCACCCAGGUCACCAGGGCGGGCGCCCUGGGCCUGGCCCCUUUCAGGCUCUGCCUUCUUCCCGAGGCUUCAGGAGUCUUCUAGAUGGUAGAAAAUCACACGGUGCGUUGAUAUCUCUAUGUAAUCCCGACAUGUGGGCCUUUCUUCCUUAUUUCCUGAUAACCCCCUGCAGAAACAGAUAAACAACAAAACUCGUGGAAUUCUGUCAGAUCAAACCCUAAUUCUAGGUGUUGGUUGCAUAUUUGUCCUUUCCCUUGUUUAUUUGAUAAUUAAAAUUGAUACUUAAGAACCAUCAACAGCAUCCAUGCUCGCUGUUCUUUGGUCAGACCCUCAUAAAGAGUCUGAAAGAAUCGGCUGACUUGAUCUCCAUUGCCUCUAGUACCAGGCAAAACUAUGACGGCUUCACCAUAGUUUAAGGGAGGACGGGUUGCCGAUUCUUCUUCAUCUAACUCAUGAUCCUCUGCUAUAUCCCUGGGGAAACGCUGUGCAAAGAGGUCGAAUUCCAGUCGCUUGUGCAUAUGGAGGCUAAGCCACAUGUUGAUGAACCACCAAGGGCCCCCUAAGUUGCCGAUGGAUUGACCAAGCAGUAGUUUCUGGGCUACUUGGUGGAGAAGAUGAUAGGCAGAACCAAGCAGGUAUCGGCCGAGGGAAAUCGGCCACCAUUGGCUAAUCUCUCUGCUGCCGAUAGGUAGACAGAGGUUGGUCCUGCCGAUCGACCGCAGAAUAUAAAUUUCUCUAACCACAUGUUCAGGAAGGUGGUAUGUUCCUUUAUGUUGACAGGCCCUGUUCUACGGUACUUCUGAAUGUACCCAGACCAGCCGCCGAUAGAGCGAGUUUCCACCUUAGCGCUAGGUUGGGUGUCAAAUAUGUGACUACUAUCAGCAGUGGAUACAUCUAAGCCAGUGAGCAUAAGCACAUCGGCAAGAGUGGGAGAAGUAGGGCCAUGUCCGAAAACAAAUGCAUUAAGUGUGUCUCACCAAAAGUAUGAGGCAGCUAUCAGUAGCGACUCGUUUCUCUCCAUAUCGGCAAGAGACAUUCUGAUGCACUGAUCCAGUUUCCGUUCACCCCAUUGGACCUCAUUUGAGUUACUGACUCUCAGGAACCAAUCCUUCCAUCCCUUGGUAGGAUUGGGCCAGGAACGGAAAGCAUCCUUCCAUAGAUCUAAAGAGAAAUUCUCGGCUCUAAAAAGGAUUCUGUUUGUCUCCACAUUUAUACGAACAGUGCCACCGCCAGAAAAGCAGAGUUGGGGCUGUAGAAUGAUGCGAUGGAGAAGGAGUACCCGAGAAGGAACUAUUUAUAGGACAAAAUGGGCAAGGGCAAAUCUGACUUAUCUCUUCGCCGUAUCCGUGAAAUCCGAGGAUACUCAGGUGGAUAUGGUAACUGUUCGCACGGUAAUCAAGGGAUUGCGCAGGUGAUUUGACAGGAAGCGGUCAUAAUCUGGAGAUAUUUCAGUGAGCGGGAUUUCCUGGUCGGUCCAUCGGUAGCUCCCUCUAACGGUAAUAUUGCCGAUGGGCGAAUAAAGUGGAGAUGUCCAGUUUGGGAGGUUGAGGAAUUCGAGGAAUCUGCGGAAGAAUCAGGCCAGAGUUGUUCGACUUCAACGGUCGGUUACCAAAUUGAGAGGAUUAAUUGCGGAAAGGCAUCAUUACUGCAGAGAAUUUCAGAGCAUUAAUGAUUUUAUACUCCGAAAUUGGGGGGCAUGUGUUGACACCGUUUUUGGACACGUACCCAGGGAUCGGUAGAGUAUAGAUCGGCAAGAUAGGGCAACAGUAACUAGUCUGUAGGGGAGUUGCCGAUGAAGGUGGUUGCCGAUGAAGAGACAAUUGAAUGUGACUAAGUCCAUGAGUGGUGACGCGUUCAUGCCGAUGGUCAACGUUAGCCUUUGUCGAUGGCUACGAUGAGGAUCCUGCCGAUGACUCGGAAGGAGAACAUGAAGGUUGCCGAUUGGUCCAUGGUGGUGUCCCGGUUUGUCACGGGAGGAUAGUUUUGUGUUUUCCUUAGUUAUUUAAAUCAUUUUGUAUACGGAUUCUAUUUAAUUUGGAAUUCGAGUCCUAGUCGUGUCUGAUUGUAGCUCUUUGAGCAGGGUAUAAAUGUAGACCCUAGGGCCUUGUAAUGAAACAAUCUAUUAAUCAAUCAAACACAAGUUUUUACUCAUAUUCCAGCAUCUACUUUUUCGACGACUUCGUCAUAUUUUCCUUUUUAUUACGAGUUCUUAAGAGUUCGUUGACUUAAGCUCGGCGUAUUCUCGAGUUCCGCGUGAAUACCUCUUGGCCGUGACAUCCGGGCGUAUCGCUGUUGUCGGGACCAAAGUAUUCGAGUUAUCACCUUUGCCGAUAGUAAGGUCAAAUCGGCUGGCGCGCCUUAACGUUUGAAUCGGGUAUUAGCCCUUUGUGUUUGCAGAUCAGCUUUUGCAUCAACAAAAAAUAAACCUAUCAAUCCUAUUAACGGGAUGCUGGACUAUAGAGGACUCAACAGGUCUAUCACACUCGUGAUCUACCACUGAAAUCUAGAAAAUAGAGGACUUUUACGAUUAACCUAAGCCCAAGCACCAUGCCUACACUUAAGAUUAAUACUCUACUCCCUCUAGUGCAGGAAUAAAGCACUCAAUAUAGUCGUAAUAAUUGAAAAAUAUAAGCAAAGUAAACUUAGAUAAAAAGUUGAUUACCAGAGAAAUCUCGAAGACAAGCUCAAGUAGAACUUGGAUCCGCUGAAGUACAUGCCGUAGAGGGAGGAUCGACAUGUCAGCACCUCCUUCAAACUCUUCCCUUACUCUUUAUCUCUCUAUUUCUAUUCAUGAAACUAGAUCCUAUGGAGAUCUAAUCUUCUAUUGAUGGCUUUCUCUAGGUGGUAGAUCCAUUUAUGGGACCCCUCUCUUGAUCCGAACAGAAGAAUAUGAAUUUGGGCUUUUGGAUAGCUCCAGGGAGGGGGCAAGGGUUUCCUUAUAUAGCUCGGUGGGAUAAACAUGAGCCCUUGGAUCAAACUGACUUUGAGGUACUAUGGAGAUGCAUCUUAGGAGGUGGAGGAGGAAGCAUCUGGAAGCAGGACGCGAGGGGGCUCUAGGCCAGGCCGGGCGGCCCACUAUGGUGGCCUUUCGGGCCCAUCUUCGAUGGUUUGCCUUCUAUUACCUUCUAAAGUCUUGCCACAUAAUUUGCCUCUUGGAAUUCCAUCAUUUCUUUUGACAAUUAGAUCCCUCUUGGUUGUUUCCUGGAUAAAUCAUGUAACACCCUAAAAUUUUGCUUCUUUGAAAAUAGAGACAAUUUGAUUUAAUUAUGUAUUUUUGUGCUCAUGAAAUAUAGGGAAAAUAAUAUUUUUCAUUAAAUUAACAAUUUACCCUAAAGUUUAGCAACAUUUGUGUGCAUUCAUGUUGGUGCAUUUGUAUUUUUGAGAUGAGUGGUUCUGACUAAAAAUUCAAAAUAUUUUCAAACUACUUUUAAAUAGUUUUGAAAAGGUUUUGGAAACAAACAAAAGAAAAGAAAAAGGAAAACUCCCCCAUCUACUUUUGGCCCAAAGGCCCGGCUCUCUCUCCCUAUCUGGCCGAGCCAAGCAGCACAUGUGUACCUUGCGACCUAUUCCUCUCCGGCCCAGUUGUGCAGCGCCCUCCUCUUCUCUCUCCCUCUUGCUAGCAACUCGGUCCCACAUGGUGGUGACUCUUGUUUCUUCAUCCUGGAGCCGGAUUUGAUUGGGACUCCCAGGUGGACAACCCAAUCCUAGGAACUCGGUUUUCCUUUCCUUGUAUGCUCAACCAACCCCUCCUACAAGGUCGUGUCCUUCCCCUGUGAUAUCCUUUUCCAUCUACACAACGCAAGGAGCCACCCUAGCUACCCUAGCCGACCAAGGUACUAGAGCCGCCCGUCGUCGCCAUUACCAAUGGCCAUUGCUUCUUGGUCAUUGUAAGACAUUUGCCGAGCUUUUGUAACACCCUAAAAUUUGCUCUUUUCAAAAUAGAUGAAAAUUUAUUUAGUUUUGUUUUUCCGUGCUCAUGAAAAUAUAAGGAAAAUAAUAUUUUUCAUUAAAUUAAAAUUUAUCAUAAGCCUUAGCAAUAUUGUUGUGCAUACAUGCUAGCGCAUAAGAUUUGAUGUAAUGUUUGCUUGUUGCUCCUUUAUGUGUUGAGUGAGCAAAGUUUUAAAAAUGCGUUUAGUAGAUCGAUUUUCCUUGACCGGUAUGUCUUUAUAUUCAUCUAUAACCAAAUUCCUUGUUUCUCAGCUCAAGUUUUUAUUAGGAGCUUCCUAAAAUAUUUUCUUUAUUAUCCAAAUCACUUGUUUUAGUUCCUCGUUCAUCAAGCAAUCUCUACAAACUUUUUGGGAAUUUUUUUCAUCUUCUGUUCUCACUUUUCUAUAAGCAUAAUAUAAUUUUUAGAUGCUCCAAAUAAUCUUAUCAUGGGCUCCAAAUACUUUAUUUGAGUUUCUCAUGUUCCAUAAUGUCUUUGAGAAUUUUCUCUGAAUUUUCAGAGCUUUGGAAAUAUUUUUCACAGUUUAAAUAAUAAUUCUAGACUUUUCUAGAAUUAUUUUAUCCAUGAAAUUAAAUAAUUCCGAAAAUAGUAAAUCUCUUGUUCUUUUUCCAUCGCUCAAAGCCCAUGUUUUUAUUUACUAAUGGGCUAUAAUAAUUAAUUAGGUCUAUUAGUAAAGGUGGAGGAUGCAACAUUGAUUAGUACCAAAUCACUAGUUGAUAUAUAUAUAUAUAUAUAUAUGUAUAUAUAUAUAUAUAUAUAUAUAUACCAACUCUUUGGCAAUGCACCCCACAACUACUGUCAGAGAAGUCCCUAGUUUGGGAAGUCUCUCGUGUAGUAAAUUAAAAUUAUCUUUUUCUAUCAAUGUCACCGGCGCAGUCCACCAGCCAUAACUGGAGUUCAAUCGAUCCAUACCUCAUUAUCAUCAUCUUCUCACUACGGAUGCUUAUUGAUCGUGUGAUGACUUGCAACGGGCCAUGCCAUCGGCUCCGAGGCCUCUCCUGAGCCCUUGUCAUGGAAAGAUUAAGCCAUGAUAGUCUCCUCUACGUCCAGACGUCAUCCCUAUCACAUAUAUAUAUCUUGGGUGAGCAACUUCAUAAUUUCUAUAUCCUGACGCCUUGGUAAUUAUAGCUCCACAUUGAGUAUAUAUAUGCAUUUUGUGUAGCUCACCAUCGUCCAGCUAUCGUUCUUGCCGAUCUGCAUCUUAACGGCGACGGGAGCAGCACCGUAUGCUGACCUGCAUGCGACUUUCUUCCAUAUUUUCAACGACCAAGUAAACUAGCAAAGGCCAAGGCCAAUCGUGCGUGCCAGCGUACGUGUACGGCAAGCAGGACAGAGCAACACGUCCACCUGGUACACCUUCUGUGUAUAAUAAGCUCUUCUAAUCAUCUAUCUUUUAUGCUCUAUAUACUAUCUACUCUAGCACUCGUGAAUUAGCACAUAGAUUAAUCAAUCUUUAUUGUUUUCUUUUAUCUCCAGCAUAUGCGUAUUAAAUCCCUUUUGAUGUUAGUUAGCCGCCAGCCAUCUACGCACUUUCAAUACAUGCAUCCUUUCAUAUGUGAACCUCUGAACCUUCAAUUCUCUACCGAAUCAAGUCUCUUAGAUUCAAAAUUUAUACAGUAAUGCUAAUGUUUUCAUGUCAUGUGUUUAUUAUUUUAUUAAUUUAAUUGCUAAAUUGAUUAAUAUAUUUAUAAUCAGAUUUAUAAUUGAAAGCUAUAAGGUUGUAUAAGACGGUAAUUUAUGAACAAAAUAUUAAUGUGAUUAAUUGCUUAUAAAAUGUGUUUCUAAAUUCUAAGUUGCUUAGUUAAACACGUUGCAUAUGUGAUAAACUCAAUUAGUUGUUUUCACCUAUACUCUUUCUUUCGCAAAAAUAAAGUUUAACUUGAUUGAAUUAUAUGACAUUGUUUAUUUAUAAAUAAAAUAUGAGUAGUUUUAGGCUAACUUUUGAAUUAAAUUAUGUUUUGCCUAAUCUGAUCUAAAUGACUUUUCACAAAGUUUUGCUCAAAUAAUACGUCAAGCAUAUAUAGGUGUUGACACCAUUUUUGGGCACGUGUCCAGGAUGGCAGGACAGAGUGGCAGUACGAUACGGGUUGCUGGUAAGGAUGGUUGCCGAUGAGGGGAAGGUUGAAUGUGACUAAGUCCUCAGACAGUAACAUGGUACCGAUGACCAAGUAAAGGGGUCUGCCGAUGACUAUGGCAAGGAGGUUGCCGAUGACGCGAAGGAGGAGUCCGGAAGCUGCCAGUUGUCAUGUGGAGGAGUUUCGGUUUGUCACGAAGGAUGGUUUUAUUAUUUCCUUAUGUUAUUCGUAUCGUUUUAUAUACGGGUUCCGUGUAAUUUGGAAUUCGAAUUCUAAUCGUGUCUGGUCGUAGCUCUUUGAGCAGGGUAUAAAUAUAAGCCCUAAGGCCUUGUAAACAGAUAUGAAGAAAUCAAUAAAACAUACGUUUUUACUCAUAUUCCAGCAUCUACUUUUCGACGACUUCGUCAUACUUUUUUCUUUUUAUUACGAGUUCUUAGGAAUUCGUCGACUUAAGCUCGGCGUGUUCUCAAGUUCCGCGUGAGUACCUCUUAGCCGUGACAUCCGGGCGCAUCGCUGUUGUCAGGACUAAAGUAUUCGAGUUAUCACCUUUGCCGAUAGCAAGGUCAAAUCGGCUGGCACGCCUUAACGUUUGAAUCGGGUAUUAGCCCUUUGUGUUUGCAGAUCAAUUUUGCAUCAACACAUCUUUUGGCACGCCUGGUGGGACAGAUUCAAGAUCAAGAUCAACAUGUCGAUCUCUGACCUCGAUCAAGACAACGUCAUCCCCGUGACGGAAGCUAACCUCAAGGAUGAGCAGAAGCAAGCUAUUGCCCAAGCUAUGGAAGAGUUCAAGCAGCAAUGCCUGAAGUCUUUCAGCAUAAACAGGAGCGGCGAAGUGGUCCAGAAAGAUGCACUGCCGGCACCACGGCAGGUCACCUUUGACGCCAAUCCUGGCAAGCUUCAAGACAUGGUUGAUAAUGCCAUCAAUCGAGCGUUGAUUAACCAAGCUGGUGUACUGUCUAAUACGGUUUUCAACGCCGUGGCAAGAACCUUCAAGGAAGGACAAAUCCCGCCGGAUUAUGUGGGCCCUUCCCAUCAUCAACCCACGGCACCAGAGGUCACGGCUCCAUCGGCUGCCUUGACAAGUGCGAGUGCACAGUCUGCCGUUCCUCCGAGUACAUUGGGGACUACUGGUGCACUAUCUAUGCCGAUGGCAACCAACCCACAAAUUUCAGUUGGGCAGCAUAAACUGACAACAGAUAUGUUGGCAUCGGCAAUGUCGGGGUUAACUCUUCCUCCUAACUGGUGGGGUUAUGGUAUGCCUCCAGAGUUGACGCCGGGAACAUCACAGAUAACUGACAUGAGGGGCAAAACUCCUAUGACAUCGGCACCUUCCAAUGUGCCGGUGAACCAGAGUCCUCGGUAUACCACAACUACUACUGCAAGGCCUCACACUGGAAAUCCUCAAGAUUCAAUGUUCCAGAUGCCUAACACAUCGGCAGAGUCAAUGCUGAUGCAACAGAGGCCUAUGGCCCAGUCAGGGUAUGUCAAUUCAACGACGGUACCCAAUUACCAAUCAUCGGCAGCACCUAUGCCGAUGAACGCUAAUAAUGGAUGGCUUGGACAGCAAGCCUUUCCACAGUCGCCCCAGCAGGGUUAUCAGACUACAGGGUUCCAGCAAGGGCAGGUUUAUCCCGGGUUCCAAGGUCAGGGAAUUCCCAACCAGCCAAUAAAUUUUGGACAGCAACUCGGAGGACAGCCAAUCGGUGGACAGCAGUUUGGUAGUCCGCAGAUUGGAGGACAGGUGACCAAUACGAUGUUCCAUACAGGUCACGUCCCGAACAGACACGUGGAGGUUCGCCACCAAAUGCCAGAUCCGCAGCCGCCUCAUCGGCAAGAUGCCGACGCGUAUUGGGCCGAUAAGAUUGCCGAAGUAAUGAGGGAACAAUUUGGGAUAAAACCCAAAGUCAACACUUAUUCUUAUCGGACACCGUAUCCUCCAGCGUAUGAUUUGAUCCCGCUUCCACAUCGGUACAAAGUACCGGAUUUUACAAAGUUUUCCGGACAGGACGACACGUCAACCAUGGAGCAUGUCAACAGGUUCAUUAUUCAAUGUGGAGAGGCUGGUAACAGGGACGAAUUGAGGGUUCGCCUAUUUUCAUCAUCAUUGUCUGGAUCGGCCUUUACUUGGUUCAUAUCAUUGCCUCCCAAUUCAGUAAUUACUUGGGCCGAUCUAGAGAAGCAAUUCCACAGAUACUUCUUCUCGGGGGUUCAUGAGAAGAAGAUCACCGACUUGGUCAAGUUGAGGCAACGUAAUGAUGAGUCGGUUGAGGGAUUUGUGCAGAGGAUACGAGAGGUCAAAAAUAAAUGCUAUAGCCUGGUUCUGGAUGAUCGACAGCUAGCCGAUUUGGCUUUCCAGGGUUUGUUGCCACACAUCAGGGAUAAGUAUGCCUCUCAGGAGUUCGAAAGUUUAAGUCACUUGGUGCAGAGGAUAUCUGAUCAAGACAUCAAGCCUUUCGAGCCUAAGAGGGCAUGGAAUAAGAAAGUCUCAUUUGUUGAUGAAGCAACAAGCUCAGAUUCCGAUGAAGAACCAGUAAUCGGUUUGGCAGAAUGGGUAAAAAACAAGAAGCCGAUGUCUUGUCCUUUUGGGCAGAAGGAACCAGAGAAGUUUGCAUUUGACACCGCCAAGGCCGAUAGGAUAUUUGACUUUCUACUUCAGGAAGGUCAAAUCAAAUUGUCACCUAACCACGUGAUCCCGUCGGCAGAAGAGUUGAAGAGGAUGAGAUAUUGCAAGUGGCAUAAUGCAACUUCACAUGACACCAACGAGUGCAAAGUAUUCAGGCAACAGCUGCAAUCGGCCAUAGAGUCAGGGAGAAUCAAGUUUGACAGUUCCAAAGCCCAGAAGCCGAUGAAGAUAGACCAACAUCCUUUUCCGACAAACAUGUUGGAUGCUAAGGGGAAGGCUAAGGUCUUAACAUCGGAGACAGCUGAGAAGAGUGCAUCGGUAGAUCCUCAGCAUCAAGUUACUACCGCCGAUGCAAGAAGUAAGGGCUUGGUCCAGGAAGGAGCUAGCUCAGGAAGAAUUCCUCGAUCUGGUAUGGUCAUAACUCAUAGAAGGCCUCGAGAGAGAGGGCAACAACGGGAAGAUCGGUACCGGCGCCAGCAGGAAGAUUAUCAACGGGAAGAAGAGAGACGCCGACAGGAGUGGAAUCGGCACAGGGAUCAUUGGAAUUGCCCAUUCUUCAUCCAUUGUUGGGAGGAAAAUAUCAAGCUUCCUACUGUCAGAGACUGCCCUGAAUGCAACGGUUAUGAUCGGUACGACAGGAACGAUCGGCGUUAUCAUAAUGAUGAACGACGAUUUAAUGGGCCGAUCAGAGGAAGGGCGUCAGUUCAUGAUCGGCUGGGGGGCAGGCUUAGCGUUCACGAUCGGCUCGGUGACCGUGUCCAGUAUUUUCCCAGGAACCAAGAGGAGCUUGAAAGAAUGGCUGAUGCGCGGGUUCCCGAUGAAUUCGUAUUUUGCAGGGAUGCUAACACGCAUCGCAUGGAGUCAAGAGAGGACCAACGCCCGACGGCAAGGCAAAGGCCACUUCCUCCAUGGUGCUCUCAAGGAUUAACCAAGACACAGAAAAGGAGAUUGCAACGUGAAAGGCAGGAAGAGCUAAAUAAAGGAGAGAACUCUGGAAGUCGGCAGCCGUCAGACACUAAGAAGGAAGGUCCAUCGGCAGGCGUCAACAUGGUCUUCAUGUUGCCGAUGGAGUUUCUUGCACCAGCCAGUGAUGAUGAGUUGGAAUUUUCUGAUCAGAUAGCUCAGUUGGCUCUGGAUCCGAUGACGGCUAUCUUUGAGAAACCUGCCGAUGACGAGAGGCAGCAUCUCAAAGCUUUGUUCCUCAAAGGAAGGGUCGAUGGGCAGCCAAUGACCAAGAUCCUAGUUGAUGGUGGAGCUGCUAUUAAUAUUAUGCCGUAUGCAGUAUAUCGGAAGCUUGGAAAAGGGGAUCAAGAUUUGACCAAGACCGAUAUGAUGCUCAAAGAUUUUGAAGGAAACGUGUCUCCAGUCAAGGGGGCGAUAUGUGCAGAGUUGACCAUCGGCAGCAAAACCUUGCCGACAACUUUUUUCGUGAUCAGCGGAAAAGGUGCUUACAAUUUAUUAUUGGGGAGAGAUUGGAUUCAUGCCAAUUGUUGUAUCCCAUCUACAAUGCAUCAGUGCUUGGUUCAGUGGGUAGGUGACAAGAUUGAGAUCGUCCCAGGGGAUUCUUCUUAUGUUAUCGCAUCGGCAGAGGCGGAUACUUAUGAAAAGACUAGGUGCAUUUCAGGAGAAGUUUGGGAGAAAGAUUUUCUCAAAGUUGCCGAUUAUGAGAUUCCACCGAUCCAAGCAGUCGGUUCUGACGACGGUUUUUAAUGGAUAGAUUCGCCGAUGAUGGAAAAUUAGGCCAGGGGUUCACAUCGGCCGAUGAUUUGGUAGAAGUAGAUAUAGGUAGUGGUGAUAAGCCUAGGCCUACUUUUAUUAGUGCUAAAUUAGAUCCUGAGUGUAAGCGACAAUUGACUAGUUUGUUAAAGGAGUAUAAAGAUUGCUUUGCUUGGGAUUAUACAGAGAUGCCUGGUUUAGACCGAUCAAUUGUCGAACAUCGGUUACCCAUCAAGUCUGGAUUUCGGCCACAUCAGCAACCAGCCCGCCGAUGUAAUCCUAACAUUCUACCUGAUAUUAAGGCCGAAAUCACUAAACUUAUUGAAGCUAAGUUUAUUCGGCAGUGUCGGUAUGCCGAAUGGAUCUCCAAUGUUGUUCCGGUUUACAAGAAGAACGGGAAGCUGCGGGUAUGCAUUGAUUUCAGGAAUCUCAAUAAAGCUACGCCGAUGGACGGAUACCCAAUGCCUGUCGCCGAUCUACUGGUUGAUGCUGCGGCUGGCCAUCGGGUCAUCAGCUUCAUGGAUGGUAAUGCAGGUUACAAUCAAAUAUUCAUGGCAGAGGAGGAUAUUCCAAAAACCGCGUUCAGGUGUCCUGGUCAUGUUGGACUAUUUGAGUGGAUAGUCAUGACUUUUGGGUUAAAGAAUGCUGGUGCUACUUAUCAAAGGGCUAUGAAUUUUAUAUUUCAUGAGUUCAUCGGCAAGAUCGUGGAAAUUUAUAUUGAUGAUGUGGUGGUUAAGUCUGGAGAUUUCUCAAAGCAUCUUGCCGAUUUACAAAAAGUGUUGGAGUGCACAAGGAAGCAUGGAUUGAAGAUGAAUCCCAACAAGUGUGCGUUUGGCGUAUCGGCAGGGCAGUUUCUUGGUUUCAUGGUACAUCAGAGGGGUAUUGAAAUUAGUCGAAGAUCUAUUGACGCCAUCAAUAAAAUAGUUGCCCCUACCAAUAGAACCGAGCUCCAAUCCUUGAUCGGCAAGGUGAAUUUUAUCAGAAGAUUUAUAUCGAAUUUAUCUGGGAGAAUUCGUGCUUUCAGUCCUCUUCUUAAAUUGAAAGCCGAUCAGGAGUUUGUUUGGGGAAAAGAACAGCAGUUGGCUCUAGAUGAAAUCAAAAGGUAUCUAGUAAACCCUCCAGUUUUAGUUCCACCUCAGCAAGGGAAACCCUUCAAAUUAUAUUUAUCUACCGAUGGAUCGGUUAUCGGUUCAGCUUUAGUUCAAGAAUUUGAAGGGAAGGAGAGGGUAAUUUAUUAUUUGAGCAGGAGGUUAAUUGAUGCUGAAACCAGGUAUUCGGCCAUUGAGAAGUUAUGCUUGUGCCUAUAUUUUUCAUGUGUCAAGCUAAGACAUUACCUGUUGUCGGCCGAAUGUGCUGUUGUUUGCAAAGAUGACGUGGUCCGAUACAUGCUAUCUAUGCCGAUUAUGAGUGGUAGGAUCGGUAAAUGGAUUUUGGCGCUGUCGGAGUUCGAUUUGCGUUACGAAUCGGCUAAGGCGGUCAAAGGGCAGGUUAUGGCCGAUUUCGUGACUCAGCAUUGCAGUCUAGUGGAAACCUGGGAAAUUGCACCCUGGACGCUCUUCUUUGAUGGGUCUACCUGUGACCGGGGAGCAGGAAUCGGCAUUAUAUUAGUUUCUCCUAAGGGGAGGAAGUAUGAAUUUUCCUUGCCGAUUGUUGCUACAUCAACAAAUAAUCAGGCUGAGUAUCAAGCUCUGAUCAAGGGAUUGGAGUUGUUGAGGGAAGUUCGUGCUGAUGCUGUUGAAGUAUUCGGAGAUUCCAUGUUGGUUAUAAAUCAAUUGGCUGGAAGCUAUGAGUGCCGAAGUGAAGUUCUCAUAACCUAUUUCGAGAGAAGUAUACAACUGUUGAAGGAAUUCAAGAACUUCCGAUUGGAGCAUAUUCCCCGAUUGCACAAUGAAGACGCUAAUCGGUUAGCCCAGCAUGCCUCGGGAUAUCAGCCAAUGGUUAAUGCGACAUCGGUAGUCACUGCCGGUGAUUGGAGGGAAGAAAUUAUUGAUUAUCUAAAAAAUCCGUCCAAAAAGGUUGAAAGACGGGUUCGAUUUCAAGCAACCAAGUAUGUGAUCCUUGAGAAUGAGUUGUAUUAUCGAACUAUCGACGGAAUUCUUCUCCGAUGCCUGGGUGAUGAUGAAGCCAGAAGUUUAAUGGGAGAAAUCCAUGAAGGAGUGUGUGGAGCGCAUCAAUCAGCCUUUAAGAUGAAGUGGAUGAUUCGAAGGAAUGGAUAUUUUUGGCCAACCAUACUUGAAGAUUGUUUUAAAUAUUUCAAGGGAUGUCAAGGUUGUCAAAAGUUCGGUAAUAUCCAGAGAGCACCCGCAUCGGCUAUGAAUCCUAUAAUAAAACCUUGGCCGUUCCGGGGGUGGGCCAUCGAUCUGAUCGGUCAAAUUUGUCCACCAUCUAGCAAAGGGCAUAAGUUCAUUCUAGUUGCCACCGACUAUUUCACUAAGUGGGUCGAAGCUAUUCCUUUGAAGAAGGUCACAUCGGCCAAUAUGAUUGAUUUUGUGAAGGAGCAUAUUAUUUACCGAUUUGGGAUUCCCCAAACGAUUACUACCGAUCAGGGCACCAUGUUCACGUCGGGGGAGUUCGAUGAAUUCGCAAUCGGUAUGGGAAUUAAAGUGUUGAAUUCUUCUCCUUACUAUGCUCAAGCCAAUGGGCAGGCCGAAGCGUCUAACAAGGGAAUUAUCAAGCUUAUUAAGCGGAAGAUUGAAGAAAAUCCUAGGCGGUGGCAUACAUUGUUGAAUGAAGCACUGUGGUCUUAUCGGAUGGCUUGUCAUGGAUCAACCAAGGUGUCACCUUAUCAAUUAGUGUAUGGACAUGAUGCAGUUUUGCCUUGGGAGAUUAAGGCUGGAUCUAGGCGAUUAUCUUUUCAAGAUCAGUUGGCUGCCGAUGAUUAUGCCACUUUAAUGACCGAUGAGUUAGAUGAUUUAGCAGGGCAUCGGUUAACGGCUUUAAUGAGUAUAGAAGAAAAUAAAAAGAGAGUUGCCAGAUGGUAUGAUAAAAAGGUGAAGGCUAAGGAGUUUGCCGAUAAGGAUUUGGUAUGGAAGUUGAUUUUGCCAGUCGGGACUAAAAGUUCAAAGUUUGGGAAGUGGUCUCCUAAUUGGGAAGGUCCUUAUCGGAUAAAACGCUCAGCUCCUGGUAAUGCCUAUAUUCUAGAAACUCUCGAAGGAGUUGAAUUUCCCAGAGCAUUAAAUGGCAAAUAUUUGAAGAAGUACUACCCCAGCAUAUGGAUCGAUGCAUAAAAAGUUAAGUGCCGAUAACAUUCCUAUCGGCUGAAUUUAAAUGUUCAAGGGCAAACUUAAUGUUUCAAAAGAUGCCGAUAACAGUCUUGUCGGCUAGACUAAAAGCUAAAAACGGAGAGACAAAGGUGUAUCGCCGAUGGAAGCUUCAGAUGUUCAGCAAUGCCUGGAUUGCAGAUAUGGCGCGCAGCCGAAUCUGGUUGGCUGUCUCUAUCUCUUUAAUGUCGUCAUCGGCAGAACCUUCAAUCGGCUUCAAUUUCCUCUUCAGUUGCAGCGCUUUACGGCCAUGGACGUUUCGUUCCUGUUCAAGAUGCUUGAUGGUCUCCGGCAGUUGACUAUCUUCUUGUUGGACUUGGGACAGGGCGUCCUCUACCUGCUUGAGUUCAGCCAGCAGAGCUUCUCUUUUUGCCGAUAGAUCAGAUAUUUUCUGCUUCAGUGCAUCACCUGAGGACUUUAAGAUGCCGAUGUUCUUAUGUUUCUCAUCGGCUAAGAGUUUUUCUUUUAUCAUCUCCUCAGAGAGCUGGGUUUGAGCAGCUCUGUCGGCAAGGCGUUGAGUAGCUCUCUGGUACUGUAGCUGACGGCUUUCUAGAUGUGCGGCGUGGAAGAGUGCUUCUUCGGCAUCGGCAGGAAUUUGGCCUCUAAGAGUCUUGAACAGGGCCUUGGCUGGGUCAGAAUCGUCGACCAGUUGAGUUGUGUCUUGAUGAAGUAUGGCCGAUAGCUCCUCCAGCCUAGCUUUGGUUUCUGCCGAUACAAUUCCAACUGCCCGAGAGGAGCUUGCUUCCUCGCCUUCUUCUUCAAAGAUAUCAAUGGCGAAGGAGAAUAGGCUAUCGGGAGAAUCUUGUUCCUGAAAAUGGAAUUGAGAUAGGUCAAUUUUAUAGUCAGAACGUCAACAGAUGAUACCGAUGGAAAAGUGGAUGACUUACUUGCUUCAGGGCAAUUUCCUGCCUUUGACUUAGAGAGGCCGAUGGAGCUGCAGGUUGAUCGGCAGAUGUUGCCGAUAGAACGAUAUCGCCUGAAAGAAGACAGGAAGCAUUAUAAGAAAAAAUGAAAGUAAGUUUAUCGGUAGGAGUAUUGUUGGAAUAUGUUACCCGGAAGAGGAACAACAGUUGUUUGAAUUGAGGAAACCGCCGAUGACAUAACUGGAUCUGCCGGGCCAGUUGUUUGUUCGCCUACGUCAGAUAACGCACCCGCCGUUUGAGGUUCUUCUUGCUGAGGCUCUUCAGUCUGUAGUGCUUCCUGUAUGGAUUGAGGGGAUAUUCCUUGCUGUGCUUGGACUCCUGGAGGAGAAGGGGAAGAUUCCACCGGGAUUGGAGACACCGGGGGAGGAGGAGGAGUUGCCACUUUAUGGCGCUUUGUUCCAGUCUUAGUGCCAUGGACGCCUUUCCUCUUUGGCUGGCUAGACUGGGGGAGAUCGGCACCUUGGCGUUUGGCUUUUGCCGAUGCACCAGUUUGCUGCAACAACGAUAAAGAGUUUGUGAGCACAGAUAACCGAUAUAAAGAUAGUCAGCAUGAAUAAAAAAGGGGGUUUUAACAGAUUGCCUUGAAAGCUUGCGCCAGAGUGGAAGCAGUUACCGUUGGUGAUGUCUGAGUUUUCCUAGUGGUAACUUUCUUGAGACGCGCGCCCCGGUGCACGAUGGAAGCCAGAGUGGGAGCAUUGUGGCCGAUUGAGGAAAUCGGGCCUGAUGGGAAUAAGUCGAUCGGUUUGCCACUCCUGCUGACCGAUGGAGGGGUGUUGUCGAUCUGCAAAAAGAAUACAGGGGUAAGUUACCGAUGGAAAUAGUAUUGAAAAAUGGGACAUCGGUUCAGAAAUACUUACAGUGCCGUCAGGGACUUCGUAUUCGGGGUCGAUCAUGCCGCGGUAUGAGAGGGCCGAUCUGCAGAAUAGAUUCUCCUUCCAUUCUGCCCACCAUAGCUUGUAUGCUUGAGUAAUGAAGGCAGCUGGAACCCAUUCUGACAGAUCUACAUCUGUAUCGGCAUUUGGUGGUAACUGGGCUACUCGAGUCCACUCGAGGAGGUUAGCGAUGGGUUCUCUGGGCUUUAUUACAUCGGCAUAAGGAAGUGCGAUCGGCAAUUGGCCGAAAGCCAGCUGGCGAGCUAAUGCCGAUGGAUUAUAAAACUCAUAGGUUUGGGGAGAGGUUUUCGUGCUGCCGAAGAAGUUCACUGGUAUGGCUCUGGGAGUCACGAUUGCCAUCAUCACCUCAUUGUCCCUGUCAAGAGCGUCGUCGAACGGAUUGAAGGUCAGAGGGAGCAUGCUGUCUGGGUCGUCAUAAGCUAGCCAUGGUCGUUCAUCUCUGGCCAGACCCUCAUACAGCGUUUCGAAGAAUCGGCCGAUCUGAUCCGGAGUGUUCCCUGAACCGGGUAAAACUAUAACAGCUUCGCCAAAGUUCAGGGGGGCACGUGUUGCCGAUUCCUCUUCGCCCAACACAUGGUUCUCGGCUAUAUCUCUUGGGAAGUGCUGAGAGAAUAAGUUGAGGUCAAGGCGCUUGUGCAGGUGCAGGUUGAGCCACAUAUUAAUAAACCACCAAGGACCUCCCAAGUUGCCGAUAGGUUGGCCGAGCAGGAGUUUCUGGACUACCUGAUGAAGGAGGUGAUAAACAGCGCCGAGCAGAUAACGGCCGAGAGGAAAUUGACCACCGCUAGCCAGUCUUUCUGCUGCCGAUAGGUAGACAGAAGUCGGUCCUGCCGAUCGACCACAGAAUACAAACUUGUCUAGCCACAUGUUCAGAAAAGUGGUUUGUUCCUUUAUGGUGACAGGCCCUCUCCCGCGGUACUUCUGGAUGUACCCUGACCAGCCGCCGAUAGCGCGAGUCUCCACUUUGGCGCUGGGGGCGGUAUCAAAAAAGUGGGUGCUAUCGGCAGAAGAUAUGUCUAACCCAGUGAGCAUGGCUACAUCGGCAAGGGUAGGAGAAGCAGGGCCGUGGCCGAAAACAAAAGCGUUGAGAGUAUCUGACCAAAAGUAAGAUGCGGCUAUCAGCAAUGACUCGUUCCUGUGCAUAUCGGCAAUGGACAGCCUAAUGCAUUGAGCCAAUUUCCUCUCACCCCAUUGAACUUCAUAAGAGUUGCUGACCCUCAAGAACCAGUCUUUCCACCCUACCGUAGGGCUAGGCCAAGAGCGAAAGGUGUCUUUCCAUAGAUCUAGAGCAAAGUUUUCAGCUCUAAAGGGAAUCCUGUUGGUUUCUGCGUUGAUAAGGCUGGUUGGAUCUGGAUCCCCUAGAGGGCCGAGGCAUUGAAGAUGUGGUUGAUCGGUAGGAAUGACAAUUUUGUUGGAUAACUCCUGGUGUUUUGGGGAAUAAAGAUACAAAGAAAAAAGGAGAAGGAAAAUAUUCGGUAAGGUAAAUCGCAGAUGAACAGGGAUGCAGGAAGAAGGUACAGCGGAUGAGAUGAAAGUCUGACCUCAGGGACGACGAAGCCGACGGCCAUCUUGUCGUAAGGGGGACGCUGGAAGACGCCGGAAUUGAUGAAGAAGGAUGCUUGUCGGAGAUCUUGAGUAUUGAGAAUGGCGCCGCCGCUGGAAAAGUGAAGUUGGAUGGCAGAAUGAUGUAAUGGGGGAGGAGUACCCAAGAAGGAACUAUUUAUAAGGCAAGAUGGACAAGGGCAAAUCUGACCUAUUUCUUUGCCGCGUCCGAGAAACCCGAAGCUACUCAAGUAGAUAUGGUAACUGUUCGCACGAUAAUCCAGGGAUUGUGCAGGUGAUUUGACAGGAAGCGGUCAUUAUCUAAAGAUAUUUUACUGUGCACGAUCUCCUGGUCGGUCCGUCGGUAAUAUUCUAUAACGGUCGUCCUGCCGAUGGGCGGAUAGAGGGGAAGUAACCGUUUUGCGAAUAUCCUGGGCAGAGCAUCGGCAGAUCUUUGUAACGGUAUUGUUGCCGAUGUACGACUAGGAGAGAUGCCCGUUGGGGAGUUGUGGAUUUCGAGGGAUCUGCGGAGGAUUAGGAUCAGAGUUGCCCAGAUUGAGGUUGUCGGUUACCAGAAUAGGAGCAUUGGUUGCGGAAAAGACAUCAUUACUGCAGAGAAUUUCGGAGCAUUAAUAGUUUCAUACUCCGAAACUGGGGGGCAUGUGUUGACACCAUUUUUGGGCACGUGUCCAGGAUGGCAGGACAGAGUGGCAGUACGAUACGGGUUGCUGGUAAGGAUGGUUGCCGAUGAGGGGAAGGUUGAAUGUGACUAAGUCCUCAGACAGUAACAUGGUACCGAUGACCAAGUAAAGGGGUCUGCCGAUGACUAUGGCAAGGAGGUUGCCGAUGACGCGAAGGAGGAGUCCGGAAGCUGCCAGUUGUCAUGUGGAGGAGUUUCGGUUUGUCACGAAGGAUGGUUUUAUUAUUUCCUUAUGUUAUUCGUAUCGUUUUAUAUACGGGUUCCGUGUAAUUUGGAAUUCGAAUUCUAAUCGUGUCUGGUCGUAGCUCUUUGAGCAGGGUAUAAAUAUAAGCCCUAAGGCCUUGUAAACAGAUAUGAAGAAAUCAAUAAAACAUACGUUUUUACUCAUAUUCCAGCAUCUACUUUUCGACGACUUCGUCAUACUUUUUUCUUUUUAUUACGAGUUCUUAGGAAUUCGUCGACUUAAGCUCGGCGUGUUCUCAAGUUCCGCGUGAGUACCUCUUAGCCGUGACAUCCGGGCGCAUCGCUGUUGUCAGGACUAAAGUAUUCGAGUUAUCACCUUUGCCGAUAGCAAGGUCAAAUCGGCUGGCACGCCUUAACGUUUGAAUCGGGUAUUAGCCCUUUGUGUUUGCAGAUCAAUUUUGCAUCAACAAUAGGCUUUUUCUUUAAAUGAUAUAAAAGUCUCGGUAGUCGUUCUUUUGAACCGUAGCUCCGAUUAGCGUGCUUUUUAUAUCCGUAUGCUCGAACGAUACGUAGAUUAGUUUUCAAACUUUUCUAUUGAUCGGUGUACUGUUUUAAUUUAUUUCUAUUGUUUGCUUCGUGUAUGUUUGGUCCCGAUUAUUUAUGUGUUGAUGUUUGAUGAUCGGGAAUAGACGGUGAACAAUCGUGAGUGACCAAGCGUGCUACAACAAACAAGAUCAGUACUUGGACAACUAGCAAGAUCAGCAAGAGCAAUUGGAUCAAGGCAAGUAUAGCAUUUGGGUUUUAUAUUCUGUGACCAUGAUCCUGUGACUAGAUUAAUGUUAAGUAAUAAAUGAUAAAAAUGACUUUUUAGCAACUUGAUGAUUUGCCUGUAAGUGAUAACCGGUACAACAGUGCAACCACGAGGGCUAUAAUGGCUCUGACUUUAGCUCAGUAUGAAGACCUUUUCUAGCUUGUUAGCGGUUACCUGAAAGGGCGCUAGAGGGGCUGAACCGUUUUGGGUAUAGUGCGAGCCCCUGUCUUUAUGUGUAUAGGCUGCGCGUCAUUGUGCCAUUUGGAAGGAGAGCAUCUAUAUCUGCGCGCGAAGGAAACCUUGCGGCCCUAACAUGUUAGAAGAACUUUUGAAAGGCUUCAUAGUGAUCCCUGCCGACCUUCCUUGGUAGUGGGUUAAGAGGUCGAUGGGCCUCGGGCGAAAGGGUAAAUCAUGACUCAUGGGUAAAGAUGUGCAACCUCUGCAGAGUGUUAAAAACUGGUAUACUAGCCGCGCUCACGGUCAAGAGCGGCCUUGGGGAUUCUUGCAUCAACGGUGAUGAUUCUUGUGUGUUAAAUAUGCUCAUUAUUUAUUAUUUAAUGCUCUACAUUAUUUAUGUCACAUUGAUCAUGAGAUUGUGGGAUCUAUAAAAUCUAGUUGCUAUACUUGUGGAGUUCGACAUGGACUCACUCUUGCUAUUUCCCCCAAACCUCAGGAGAAGUUUAGGCUUGUGAUCAACCAGUUAGUUGGAUCCUGUAGAGUGAAGUUAAUACCCGAAGGUUGGAGUUGUCUAUCCGUUGUUUGCUAUCAAAGGUUAUAUCUUUUAUAUUAAGUACGUUAUAUACUUAUGCAUUGUCUUUUGAUAUUACCCUUUAUUUGUAGCUAUAUGUGGGAUUUGACUUCUAAAACUCACAUAUGGUGUGUAUCUGAUUUUGUCCUUAAAAUCGGGUAUUAUAGCUUUGCACUGUGUUUGCGAAGCCACCAAGCUUUCCCUCUCGUGAAUUCAUGCUUUGAUUCACUCAUCUUAGGUCACCGAAGUUCUUAGAGAGCUCACCAUCUUCCAAAUCACGACGCCGAUCAUCCUUGGGUCUUCCCUACCUCGUAUUUUGCCGCUGCUGAGUUUGCACGAAUCUCCACUACACCCCGGUGCCCAUCCCAUCGAAAACCAUGGCUCCUAGUGCCUUCUCUGUGGACUCUGGCAAGAUCCAGCAAUACCCCUUCGAAAGCCAUACCCCUUCGCUGGCAUUCUUCCUAAAGAGACCCUCCAUUUUUUCACUAUUCCAACCCACAGUCCUUAGGCGUCAUCCUAAAGUACGCUUUCUCCUUUCAAAAACGUAAAAGCCCGGGUUUGAAUUCAAAAUACAUUUUCACAAAUUACAAAAUUUCCACUAGUUUUAUUUAGCUCAUAAAAUAUUCAUUUUAACUCUGAUUUGACCAAUGCGUUAGGUUUGUUUUCACGACAUCUACAUGUUAGUAACUUUGGUUCAACAGUUUGUAACUUUUAAAUUUCAUGACCCUAUUUAAUUAAUUACUUUUAUAUAGAAAAUCUUAGAAAUUCCAUAUAUAUCUUCUCCGUUUUAGCUUUGAUUUUUCAUGAUCUUUACGUCUGUGUGAUCGUAGCAAUUGCAGAAUCAUUUUAUAAACUUUCUUAUUGUUUUACUACUGUUGGUGUAUUGUUCUAAUCAUAGCUUUGUUUGUUUUGUGUAUGCUUGGAUCUGGUUUGCUUGUGUGUUGAUGUUUGGUGAUGGAGUAUAGAUGGUGAGUAGUAUUUCGAUGAUCGAGACUUGUACCUUGAUGACCAGAAGGAUCAGUAGGAGCAAUUUGAUCAAGGAAAGUAUAACAUUUGAUUUUCUUUACGUCACUAUGAUCUUAUGACUUGAUUAAUGUUUAAGCAACAAACAAUAAAAGUGACUUUUUAGUAACUUGAAGACUUAUCUGUUCAUGAUCACAUGGGAUUAACAGUACAACCAUGAGGCGUAUAAUGGCUUUGGCUUUAGUCAAGUAUGAGUAUCUUUUACUAACUUGUUAGAGGUUGCCGUGUGGUGCAAAAGGGGGAUAGCAGACCGUGGAUCCCAGUGAGUGGUUGUAUCACACAGACUAACUAAUGAAACCUAACGGCCCUAACUUGUUAGAUGAACCUUUGAAAGGCUUCAUAGUGAAUCCUGCCAACCUCCCUAGGGUGGUUAAGAGAUUAGCUACCUCGGGCAAAAGGGUAAAUCAUGACUCAUGGAUAAAGAAGUACAACCUCUAUAGAGUGUUUAAUAGACUGGUAUACUAGUCGUGCUCACGGACGCGAGUGGCCUUGGGGACAUCUACAUUAAAGAUGAUGUUUUUGUUAUGUUAACAUGCUCAUGUUUACCGUUUUAUGCUCUAUAUUAUUUAUGUUACGUUGAUCAUGAGUUUAUGGGAUCUAUACAACCUUGUUGCUAUACUUGUGGAGUUUGACAUGGACUCGCUCUUGCUAUUUCCCUCACACCUUAGGAGAGUUUUAGGCCAGUGAUCAACCGGUCAGUUUGGAUCCUAUAGAGUGAAGUUAAUACCCUAAGUUUGAAGUUAUCUUGUGUUGUUUGCUGCCUGAGGUUAUCUUUGAUUUACUAUAUAUGUUAUAUAAUUUAUGCAUUGUCCUUUGAUAUUACCCCCCCAUUUGUAGCUAUAUGUGAGAUUUGGCUUCUAAGACUCACAUAUGGUGUAUAUCUAGGUUUGUCCUUAAAAUCAGGUAUUAUAGAUCACAGAUUCACUAAAACUCGUAGAAUAUAGUUCAAAUCUUAAACCUUUCUUAGUGAUCUCAAAUAUGUCCCUAUGCAUGUUUAUUUGACUAUAAAAUAUUGACAUUAACUACCAUCGAUAAGCUCCCCCAAGCUUAACCUUUGCUAGUCCCUUAGCAAAACUUAACUUUAGCAAUGGAUUAGGAGUUGCUAUAAUGUUUUUACGCCUCCAAAGUACACAUUCGUUCAAUCAAAAAUUCUUCUUUGGAUUAGAAUAAAUUGAUCAUACCUUCAAACUAUCCAAUAUUACCUUUAACCAUGGGGCUUCUUAGCCUUCUCUUGGGUCUUGAGCAACUGAAAGACAGAACAAUCAAGUCAAGCACUAUGUCUCAAGCUCUUUGUUUCACCAUUGUUCCAGAGUUUUUAUAAGUUUAUAAAAUUAAACUCAGAGAUUCAAAUGUAUGACACUCUCAAGUCUCUCAAUAUAUGUGGUAUUUGUGGAUCCUCACCAAGGCAUUAAAGAUGUAUACCUUUUCUAUUCCUACUAUUAAAGCUUUAUGUGAAGUUCAUAGGUAGGGAGAAAGCUAGAGCCUACAUGCAAAGCAUAUAUUGUAAAGUUAAAUAAUGGAUCCAAAGAGAGUUAAGUCAUACAAUCAAAUCCAGAUGUGCAUGUGUGUGGAUAUAUGACGUGGAUAUAUAUGUUGGCUAAUCUAAUUCUACUUUGCUCCUUGAAAAACUUAUCUCUCUUUUGAAAUUUGGAAACUCUUGCUAGAGAACAGGGGCUAUCUUAUUCAUCUUUUUUCAGGCGAGCAUCUAAUGUACCUAUUGUUUUAGAUAUCUCAGACACUUGUCGAUUUUUUCUUAUCUCUUCUUUUUUUAAGAAUAACUUUUGCAUAACCCCAUACCUAUUUUCCGCAGCAAACCUUUGAGCGAUAGCAACAAGUAUUUGGAGCAUUUAUUUGGUGGGUGGAAAACCUAACAAACAUAUUUUCGUGUUCACUCCCAGAGUAGGAGUACAACAUUUUUGGGUGGAUCUAGAUGGAAUGGCAUGUUUGUGACUACCCCCAGUGCAGGAUUAGUGCAUAUGUAGGUCGUGUGUACGUGACCUUGAUUUUCAGAGCAUGACAAACCUCUCAUAUGGCAUCAACAAAGCCUGACAAAAUUCAAUGCAAGUAACAUAUAUGUGAAAGAUUUCCUAGCCUAAAUGACAAGUAUGGCUCUAGUGGGAAUUCAAGCUUUGUCAUAUAGGAACUCAUAUGUGAUAUUUUUGUGUUUUUUCAAAAGAUAAAUCUCCUGAAUUUUAGUGUCACUAGGAAAAAUAUAAACAAUAGCUCAGACCUUGUCAUAUCAUAUCCACAUAUGCUAACCAUAAGUUUCAAGUUCAAAGUAAGUCCUUAUGUCUAAAUAAUAUUAUCUAAAACUCGAGAGAAUUCAGGAAUGAAACUAGGUACUUGAAAGGAAUUACAACAGAGAAACUAUUCAUCAUUUCCAUUUAAGAGAUUAUCCUAAGUUCUUUAUAUUUUAUUCAACUCUUAAAAGCAAACUAGACACACCUUUUAUUUAAGAUCACACCGUACUAAUAUAUACAUAACUAGCUAAGAUAAAUUUUUAUUUUGUUUUGUUUGUUAUGUGUCUUUUUAUUUAUUUAGCAAAUAUAUAGCAGACUAUAAAAUAGUAACACUAUAAAGGGAAGUGAAUACUUAGCUGGAUACAUGGGGGAUGCUCCUCCCCCAAGCUGGAUAUUGUCAUGGUCAAACAUUGAGAAGUUGAGUGAUCCUUCUUAGAGCAUGCUGCAAAUGGAUGUCCUUAUCCAUAAGUGGAGUGAAGACGACUAGAUAAUCUCGCUCUUAAUCAUAUGUGUCAUCCUUUUGGCCUCGGAGAUGCAGACCUUAAUGGUUGCAUCUAUUGUAAUGGUGAUUCUAAUGAUGGUGCCACCCUUGUUCUUUUUAUACCCUUGUACUUUUCUUGACUAGUAGGUUCAAGUAGAGCAUUAAUGGUGGAAGCUACUGGCAUCUUGCUUAGUGUGCAUGUUCACAAGUUUAGAACUUUCACUUGUAGAAUUUUGGGAAAUUAACAAACUCCUCCGUAUUUUGCUCGAAGCAUGUCCUGCUUCUAAAGACUAGGUAGAGAUCAAGUGCAUGUGCCUUGUUGGUAGAAAAACACAAACAAAACCAUAACACUUUUUUAUUUAUUCUUCUCUAACCUCAACCAUUGAAUAAGACAAAGCUAAUGUUUGCAUAAUUUGUUUAAUUAUGACAUGAGUGGUAAGAUCAAAAGAACUAGCAUGAAUGUAGCAAUUAUGUACGUUGUAGGAAAGAUUUAAAUUGCUUAACCCAUGAAUGGUUUUCUAUCUAUACAUAAUGUGUCAAUCUUUACAUGAUUAUGACUAUCAUCUUCUAGAAUUAAAAUGUACACUUUUAGCUCACUUGAUUAAGACUAUGGGAUCAAGAAUGUAAAUGCUAGAAAUAAGCUUAAAGAUCUAAACAUGUUGAGUUUAUCAAGUUGGAUCAAGUGAAAUUGUAACUCAAACAUGUUUGUGUCUUCAUUUAUGUGCAUACUAAAAUCAAGAGGAAAACAAUGACUACUUACCUUAAAAUGUUACCUUCAUCACUAGAGUGCGAUGACACCAUGUGAUGAAGGGUAGACGACUCAUAGUGGUCUUCUCUUCCUACUUGAAGCUUUCCUUGCUUGAGCUGUUUAUGAGCAUCUUGUCUCCUAUGUUGCACUCCUUAAAUAUCCUUUUUUUCACGCCAUCUUUUUGAUUCUUUGAUCUUGUUAUUCUUUCCACUUUGUUCAUUUUUAUGCAUUCAACAGAUUAGUAGACAACACAUACUUGAAGUAAUAUACAAUUUUGAAACACAUGUUGUUUGUCCAUAGUCUUAUUGUGUUGCUUCUAUGCUAAUGAAAAGAUGGUGUUGGAUUAUUUUGGCAUAGAUUUCAUUUAUCAUGUUAUACAAGCAUAGCUCAAGACAAAUAGUAACUUGUAGUAGAAGAUAAAGGGAAUGAACAUUGAUACUUACACCUCUUCCAUCCAUGUUGAAUAUGUAGUUAUUACAUCUAUGAUGAAUGAGUUGUUUCUUCUUGCGCAAAGUUAUUGGAGUUCAUCAUGUGCCUUCCUUCAUCUUUGAUUUCAACUCAUCUCAUGACUUAUCCAGAUUGGAUUGGAAAUUUCCUAUAGGAGUUAGUCCAACAAAAUAUUUAGUAGCUACUACACAUAUUCUUGGUCCAAACAAUCAAACUAGACACCAUGUCUACUUUAAUCUAGCAAAGCAUUUUUAACCUAAGAACCAUGCCUAAUUUAAAAACCCUUUGAAACAAAGAUCAAGACUACUAAGCUAAGCACCAUGCUUAAUUUAUGAGAUGUGUAAACAUACUCCAAACCUCAAAUAUACUAUACUAAACAAAGGUAACAUAAAAGCGUGUAGAGAUUUAUUCAAAUAGAGAUGAAAGAACAUGAUUGUUUUAUAUCAAAUUAAACAUGGAUGAAUGGUAAAAAAACCAAAAUAGCAACAUGGCAUUUGAGUUUUCAAGGAGGCUUAUUCCCCAGCAUUGAAUUUUGCAAAGUAAAGUUAAUUUUGGUUGGAUGCAAUUCAAUGUUGCAUAAUAAUUGGUUGGACAUACCUUGAGUCAUCGGUGUUCAUCUUUUUUUCUUUUAUUUUAGACCUACAAUGGUCAGUUACAAAUAUACCCGAAGGAAUAUUUUCAACUAUGUUACUAGGCUUAUUUCACAAGGUCAAUAUAAUGAAAGGUGCAAGUUUGUAUUAUCUCCUAAAAGUGCUUGCUUUAGGACACAAGUUUGUCCUUGGGAAACCUUUGAAUUGCAUUUCUUAUUAGUUAAGUGGUUUUCCCUCCAACACCAAUCUUUAAGUAUUUAUCUCAAGAUUCACAUAACAAGAUCUACAAUUUUUAUGAUAAACAUAUGCAUCUACAACCACCAUUCUAAAGUCUUUAUGAGUAGGGAGAAUGAGGGGGUUGAAAAUUUCGUGUGAGGCAAUGUAAGAGUGACCAAUUAAUGCAGGAGAUUUCUCAUAUGAUCAUGGAUUCGAUGAGGUGUUUAUGAAAUAGCUUCCAUUCUGAUCGAUGAUACAAUCUCCCAUUUCAAGCUCUGGGGGUGUUUCUUCAUGGAUGUCUAUAGUCAAAAAUUUUGUCUUAAUUGUUCUAUGCCUAUGACAGGCAUUGGAUAUUUAAUUGUUCAAGAUUUCCCAUGGAUUGGUUUAUCUAUGGUUGGUCUCAUCUAUGGUUUCCAAACUUAGGUGAGUCAUUUUUAUUUAAGAGAUUGAUUUAAGCUCACCAUUUGAAUUUUGGCCAAGUUCUAACCAUAAGGCUUCGUCCUUGUCUGUCCAAUUUUUAGCACUGACAUAUGUAUUCUUAAUGUGUUCUAGACAAUUAUCAAUAUAUUUCGGGCAUUGUUGUAGCUCUUCUUGGUCAUCUUUGUGGUCUUCGUAACUCCUAUAGUUUGUUGUCUUAGUGAAGUUCUAGGGUCAUUAUGAGACUUAGGAUAGAGCAUAAGAAGGAUCAUCAGAGUCAAGGAUGGGUUGAAAAUGGGUUUAGGUGAGACAUUUAGUGUGGGCAUAGAAGGAGAGUAGAUAGAAUUGACUUCUAAGUGGCUUGACUCUCCUUCUAUGGCAUUACUAUACAUGCCAUCCCUACAUUCUUAGUAAUGUCCUUUAGGGAGGAAAGGAAGUUGAGGACACUUUAUAAAAGAUGCCAUUCUGAGAAGAUCUGUUUACACAAGCAUCUUAGCAAGCUGGAAGUCCAAACGACCAACAUGUGAAAGGUCCUAAUAUGGCUAGAGGGGGGGUGCCUAGCCUAUUUAAAAACUCUACAAAGCACUAGAGCAAAGGAUUAAUAUAUCAAAAGGCGUAAAGCAAUUUUGCUCUAGCUCUAUAAGAGUUGCAGGCCACCUAUAUAAUAAUUCUAGUUGCUAUGAUCACUGGGCACAAGCAAUGGCUAUGUCACUACUCUAUACAACUAGUUACAACUAGCAAAAAUUAGGAACUACUGGUUACAACUAAUUUGCAAGAAAGUAAAGAGGUGAGUGAUAAUUAUACCGAUGUGUAGAGGACGAACCAAUCACAAUGUAUAUUAAUAUAUUCAGCAGGAGAAUACCAAUUAAAAUAUUGACACCAAUAUUUUUCUCCCGAGGUUCACGUGCUUGCCGGGACGCUAGUCCCUGUUGUGUCGAGCAACACUUGGUGGUUCGACGGCUAAUAGGUGUUUCACAAACCUAGCCCAACAAAUGGGCACCGCAAGAAUCUACACACAAGUGAGGUAGCUCAAUCACACGAGAAAUCCAAUAGAGUGGCUUUCGGCACUCUGCCGAGCAAUAAACCCAAAAACUCCUCACGAAUAUCACCUUGAUUGGGGAUGGACACAUUCACCAAAUCCCCUCACCAAUCAACAAAUCCACAACCGUUUAGGUGAUGGCAAUCGCCAAGAGUAAUAAGAAAUCUACAAUUGCAAUCACCACCUAGUGCCACAAGAAUUAAAUCACAGAUGCACAAUACUCCUCCCAAAUCCUCUCACCAGAGAACGCCAAGCUAUGGAGAUGAAGAGAAGAGAGAGGAGAUGCUUUUGAAGCUCUUAAAUCAAUCACUAGAGUCCGAUCUCUCACUCGAAGGAGAGGAGGAGUGUCUGCUCGAUGUACUACCGAGAGAGGAGGGGCUCAGACUUGACCAGCCCCCCAGGCCAGCCGCUCUCUCCAACGGGAGGAAGGGCAACACAACGGGCAAAAACCGAGCACGGGAAGCUUCCGCGUUCCUUCCUGAGUACGACAGCGGCAAUAUGCGCUUCUGCACGGGAACAGCACAACACAACAGCUGCACCCUUUUCUUACCAGUGUGGGUCCCACACUGGCAGCAAACCUCCUUUAUUAUGGUGUGGGCCCCCAAGACUUACCUUCUCAAACAAGAGUGAACGAGCUGGUGGAUAGCUCCGGCCACAUGGCCAACACCUCUCCUACAAGCACCCUUCCAAAGAAAAGAAAAACUUUGGAGCCCACAACAAUUUUUUUUUGACAAAAUGUAAGAAAAUUUAUUAGCCGCAGCAAGAAGCUGCAAUAAUGGAUACAGAGUUAAAGUCUACUUGAAGUAGAGCUUGAAACAAAGAGCAAAUGGACCCGUAAAGAGGCCUGAUACAAUUACAAUUUUGUGUUGUGAGCGUGGAAUUUCGGGCCUGUUUAGCCAAAGUGUCUGUUGUUGUGUUUUGAGUUCUGUUGAUCUUGAAGAGCUGAGUUUGAAGACUGGCUGCAAUGUUGGAGUAAACCUGCGUGAAAGGUUUGAUCCUCCACUGGGACGGGUUCUGUUGUUGCUCCUGAUGGAGGAAGUGCACCAGCUGUUGGGAAUCUAAAAGAAAGUUGCAGGAUUGUAUUUGGAGGGCUCUGACAAUAGUUGCUCCAAGAGCGAGGGCUGCCGCUUCACCCAUGAGCACAGAUUGACAAUUGUGAAGUUGCGCCUUGACAUAGAUGGCUUGAAGUGGCUGAACCUGAAAAUUGAUAAUAAAAAUGCCUAGGCCUGCAUUGUUAGUGUUUAUGUUCUGGUUGUCUGGAACCACCGCAACAUCAACAUAACAUCUUGAGCCUUGGAGGCUUGCAGGGUAGGGGCAGAAGUGCGUGGGUGCUUCUUGGAUUUGAGCCUGCAAAACCGAAAGGUGAUUACCUGGGGUUGAGCAAACUACGUCGAUGACUGAGGAGGAUUGUGCUCGUUGUAAGUCAUAUAGGCUUGGACUGCAUGAUGAACUUGAGGGGGUGUCCAGUCCUUUAUGUUGAAAUGGUAGUCGUUCCUGGCUUUCCAAAUGAACCAUAGAGUAUAAAGAAGUUUGCAGAGUAAAGGUUCAGGAGUAUUAUCUGUGAUAAUAAGGGCCAAAGUUGAUUAGACACCAUGAAAUUCUGAGGCAAGAUUUGCUGUAUUAAUGGAGGGGUUGGCUGUGAGCCAUACCUGUCGUGGUAGGGUACAUUGGAAAAACAGAUGGAAGUCAUUUUCAAUCAUGUUGCAUUUGUCACAUGUAUUGUUACCUGAAGAAGAGAAUCUGGUGGCUCUGUCAGCUGUGGCUAACGCUCUUCAUAUGAGUCUCCAGGUGAAAGUUUUAAUGAUAGGAGGGAUAGUUUUGCAUUUCCAAACCCUACAUAGAAUUGUGUUAGCCUGGGAGGUGAUGCUUCUUGUACCUGUAGCAGGAAUUUGCACAGUGUUAUUAGUAGAGAGAUGUUUACCUCUCCUUGCUUGCAUGCGCAGGCUACCCCUCACGGAGUCAAAGCGAGGUUGCACGCACCAGCUCGACCUCAGCAGAAAUUCUGGGAGAGCUUAGGCCUUGUUUAGUUCACCCCGAAAUUUAAAAAACUUUUUUAAGAUUCCUCAUCACAUCAAAUCUUAUGAUACAUGCAUGGAGCACUAAAUAUAGACGAAAACAAAAACUAAUUACACAGUUUGUCUGUAAUUUACGAGACGAAUCUUUUGAACCUAGUUAGUUUAUAGUUGGACAAUAAUUAUCAAAUACAAACAAAAGUGCUACAGUGUCAAAAUCCAAAAUCUUUUCACAAGUAAAACAAGGCCUUAGUAGAAAUUCCGGCACAACUUAGAGAAUUUUCGCUAGAACCUCCUCUGUCCAAGUGCAUGCCGACAUACAUACUUGCACUUGCACCACUACUGGCCAAGAGAAGCACCUUUUCUCCUUAUCUAUUUUAAGCUUUUGACUACUUAUAAUUUGUUGCAACUACUUGCAAGUAGAGAAAUUCUUGCAUCAUUUCAAGCCUUUUUAAUUAAGGCCUUGUUUAGUUCUAAAAAUUUUUAGAAAAUCAACACUGUAGCACUUUCGUUUGUAUUUGACAAAUAUUAUCCAAUAAUGGACGAACUAGGCUCAAAAGAUUCAUCUCGUCAAUUUCGACCAAACUGUACAAUUAGUUUUUAUUUUCACUUAUAUUUAAUACUCCAUGCAUACGUCUAAAGAUUCGAUGUUACGGGGAAUUUGAAAAAUUUUAAAUUUUUUUUUGGGAAUUAAACAAGGCCUAACUAACUUCACCAAAAUAUUCCAAAAUAAAUUGGACACUUAGGUUAGCUUUUCACAAAUAUUUUUAUAGACUUUCUUAUACAUCUCACCACGUCACUAAGCGCUAAGUAAAUGCAAAUGAGAUUCAUACUUAGUGGCACUAGAUAACCAUUACAAUUAAAGAUUUCCCCUCUUUAUAGUAGGGUUAUCUAUCCUAAAUCCACUCACACCCACUUGGUGUCUUGAGUGGCAAAACAAAAUGACCCUAUUAAAAAAUACCUUUGCCUUGAGCCUAUUUUGUUUUUCUCUUUCUUCUUUUCAAAGUUGGAGCACUUGAUAUUUUCUUUUGGUCACCUCUAUCACCAUGACCAUCAUCUAGCUCCAUCACUUGGUGUGUACGAACCUAUCUUUAUAUUUUACUCAUGACAAAGCUUAGUACACAUAGGUUUCAUCAAUUAUCCAAAACCAAACUAGGGCUUUCAACAUCAUAGGGUAUUGAUGGUUUAGGGUUGAUAGCUCAAUCUUGGAAUUUGAGUGGUUGUGAUUUAGCUAUCGAAACUUCUCUUCUAGUUCAGGUGAUGAUUCCUUCUCUUCCUCGAGGAGCUCAUAAUAUAUGCUAGUGCAAGGAGUCGCUUCACUAAUCUUUUCAAGCAUAGACCUUGCCUCACUAAUAGGUAUAUGAAGAAAAGCUCCUCUAAAGGCUAAAUCAAGGAAUUCCCUAGAAUCCUUGCUAAGACCCAAGAAAAAAUGUUGAAGAAGUAUUGGGUCUAGAAUAGGAUGAUCUGGGCCAAUGGUGAUGAGUUCAUUAAAAUGAUCUCAUGAUGUUCCAAGAGAUUAUUCCUCUAGUUGUCUAAAAGAUAGACCUCUCUUCAAAGGCUAGAUACUUUACUAAUGGGAAAGAAUUAUAAACAAAAUUCACACCUGUGGACACCAUAAAUUUAUUUUGUGUUGACGCAAAUUUCUGCAGAUUUUUCGGUUGACUCCACGUCAGCACAAGAGGACCUGGGAGAUCUGCUUAGCUCCAGUGCAGGAUCCGUAUCGGCGCGGUGUGCGCGGGUGUGCCAGUCAGUUUGACCAUUCAACUGACAAGGUAUAGAUGAUCUUCGUGAAGCACAGGUGAUUGGCCGAAACGUCAGCCGAUGCAGGCUAUCGGCCCGACGGCCGAUAGGAGACAGGGUUCCGAUGGGCUCUCGUUCCACCAUGACCAGAGCCGCAGACCGAUGAGAUCUAGACCAGUACCGCCACCAGUAUCUCUAGGUGUGACGACAACGAUGCGCCCGGAAGUCACAGUCUGGAAACACUUAGCAGGAUGAUGAUCUCGACCGCACCAGCCGCAAAUCCAGACGAAAGCAAUGUGCCAUAAGUCGAAGAUCCACGAUACUCGAUAACUGUGAACAGAUCUGGAUGAGGCGACAGCGAUGCGCCCAGAAGCCAAAGCCCAGAACAUGCUCGAUAGACGGGGAACUCACAACUUGCUGGAGAUCGAACUGAAGCGAUGCAACCCAGCUUGCAUGAAGAAACUCGUCGAGAAACUACAUUAAUCCUACUCAUAGUGCUGAUAAAGUACAUACGAUAAUGUAAAGGUAUUGAUAAGAUAGAUUGUAUUGAUAUGUGGAGAUAACUUGAUACAAUAGUCGGGGCUUAUAUUUAUACCCUGAGCUGACCCACAAUCCUACCCAAACUUGACUAAACAAUACUUGUAUAAAAAGAAAUAUCUAACAAACCUGCCUAAUUAUAAAGAUACACGGACUCUAAUUUCCCUUGUAUAGAAUCCUUGCUAAUGAAGUUUCCUUCUCUGGACAAAUAUAACCCACACAUGCGUGAUUAACAUGUACUCUUUUGGUUACUUGCCAUACGUGACAUACAACUACACGUGGAGCCGAUCACCUUCCUUGCAUGUGGAUUUAUCUCUAAGUACAAAGCAUUGACAUGUCCUUCCAAAGUUAGAUUAUUUUAAUCUCUAAUAAAUUAAUUACGCACAUGCAUGCAUAUUCAUCGCAAGUGAGCCCUACCAAUGCUGCCAAUAGCCGAUGCUCCGAAUUAUCUAGAUUUGCGAAAAUCUGUUGUCAACAACACCAUAACGUUUCCCAAUCUCCUUUCGUACUCCCUAUGUUUCAAUUGUGCCAAUGUUUAGCUAUUCCCGUCAAAGAGAAUAGAAAUAAUUUCCAUCUUAUAGUUUUGUCAGAAAUGCCAGCGAUAUGCAAGCAUGCAUAGGUCAAAAUCCCGUAGGUGAGAGUAUGGGUUUUUGUUGCCUUCUCUAGAGAAGGGUUUAUCCUAAAUCAUUUUUAUAAAACAUGGGCGCAGCUCCUAGCUACAUGUUAGGACAGGCUCUGAAGUUUGUUGUAGGCUAAAGUUCAUGCUCAUGCCAUAUCCAUAGAUAGGAGUGGAAUUCAUAAUGAAAAGAAAAAAUAAAAAGAAAGAAUAAAACUAAAAUGUUAAGCUAGGCUCGAAGUUAAUUGAGCAACUGUUUCCCCAGCAAUGGCGCCAGAAAGCUUGUUCAUAUGUUUAAUACGCACAGAAUAAUCACAGAGACUAAUCCACAAGCACAUGGAUGUUGAUAUUUGGUAACGCAAUAAGGAAAUGAUCCGCAAGCGCACGGAUAUCGUUGAGCAUUUCAGCCGGGAGGUUACCCAGAGUAUCGUAUUUAUAUUUUUACCACUGGGAGAAAGCGUGCAUCUGACUAACCAAAUCUAUUGCUACUACCCUUUAGGAUACAAAGAAUGUUUUUCGAUGUGAGCGAUGUAUAGAGAAGACUGCAACCGUAGUCUCGUUCUAACCUUGGUAAGGAUGAUCUACUAUUCUAUUGGGGAGGCUCACGGAAUCUAGACACCACAGAGGAUGUUCAACCCACACCUAUAAACCCUAUCCUUCCUGCUAACGAGAUAUGGUUUGCAAAGGUAACUCGGAAAUGUCACGUUCCUUGCUACUACCACGGUCCAGCUAGUCAGGGGAUAUCUAUGAGUACUCUAGCCCAAACACCACGUUUACGCUAGCAAUGAUUACUCUAAACUCAAUCGGAAGAGAUUAAAGUAAACUCAUAAACCAAAGAACAAUAAAACAAGAACUUACUAGAAUUAGAAGUCGAAUUACUGAAGAAUCCUAGGAGCAAGCCUCGGGUUAGAAGACUUGAUCCCGCAGGUACAACCUCGGAGUAGACACCGACAGGCCGGGCUUCCUCCGAUCUACACCUCCACUCUAUCUCUCUCAAUCUAGUAGAAACUAGAAGAUCUAAUUCUACUCACAUUGGAUGCUAAGCAUAAAAGAAAUUUUAUUUAGAGGAGAGGUAUUCCUUCGAGGGCUCCUCUCAACUCUAUGAUGAACUUGUCUCCUCCAGGGGCCAGGGGGUCUGGUUUUAUAGUCCCCUCAAGUGAACGUGAGCCGUUGGAUCAAACCGACAUUGAUUGGACGGUUAUCCUUGAUCCUUUAGGUCGGUGGAGCUUGGUCCCCGAAAAGAGUUCUGAUUGGACUCUGGGACAGGGCGGGCGCCCAAGGGGGGAGGGCGGGCGCCAUGCCCCCGGGCCCGUUCGCCUUCCCGUUCAUUCCCGUGGCUUCUAGAGUCUUCUAGAUGACAGAAAAUUGCGCGGCACGUUAAUAUCUCUAUGUAAACCCGACGUGUGGGCCUUUCUUCCAUAUUUCCUGAUAACCCCCUGCAGAAAUAGACAAACACCAAAACUCGUGGAAUUCUGUCAGAUAAAACCCUAAGUCUGGGUGUUGGUUGCAUUUGGAUCCUUUUCUUUAUUUAUUUGAUGAUUAUAUUUGGUACUUAAGGACCGUCAACAAUGGAUACCGUUGUAGCUUUCACCCAGAGGUUUCAAAUAUCAUAUCCAUAGGGAAACGUGUGAAACUAACUAUGAUCUAACUAACCAAAAGGAGUGAUAACUAGGUGGAGAUGGAUGAUAACUAAGAGUAGCAACAAGGUUAGGAUAAAUAGGAGCAUAAAAAGGAUAACUAUGAAUCCUCUACUUCUAAAUUAGGUAAACUAUAUUUUCUAUUGUCCAACUUUGGCGGAUGUCUUAUAAUUAAAGAACAUAUGAAAUUUCUUCUCUACAAGCACCAUAAAACCUGUCAAUCGUAUUAAUGGAAUAGUGGACUACAGAGGACUCAACGGGUCUAUCACACCCGUGAUCUACCAUAGAAAUCCAAAAAAUAGGGGACCUUUAUGAUUAACCUAAGCCCGAGCACCACACAUACACCUAACCUUAAUACUCUACUCUCUUUAGUUGCACAAAUAAAGCACUCAAAAGAGUCACAAACAAUUGAACAAUAUAGACAAAGUAAACUUAGAUCAAAAGUUGAUUACUAGAGAAUCUCAAAGAAAAGCUCAAGUACAACUUCGAUCCACUGAAGUAGAGGUUGUAGAGGGAGCACCUACAGGCCGGCACAUCCUCUAAACUCUUCCCUCACUCUUCAUCUCUCUAUUUCUAUUCAUAAGACUAGAUCUUAUGAAGAUCUAAUCUUCUCUUGAUGGCUAACUCUAGGAGGUAGAUCCAUUCAUGGGACCCCUCUCUUGAUCCUAAUAGACGAAUAUGAAUUAGCGUUUUGGGACUGCUCUAGGGAGGGGGACAGGGGUCUGAUUAUAUAGCCCGGUGGGAUGAACGUGAGCUCUUGGAUCAAACGAACUUUGAAACAUGGUGGAGAUGCAUCGUAGGAGGCGGUGGAGGAAGCUUUUGGAAGCAGGAGGCGAGACGGUGCAGGGAUAGGCUGGCCGACUCUUGGGUGGGACCGACUGGCCCAACUUUGGGCUCUUUCGGGGCUCGCAUUGGCAUGGUGUCUUCUUGAUCCUUCUAGAGUCUUCUCUCAUAAUUUUCAUAGAUUAAAUCGGUUCGUUUAUUUGAUGAAUAGAUCCUCCUUGAUUGUUUUUAGAAAAAUCCUAUAGAAAAUAAUAAUUCACCAAAACUCAUGGAAUCUAUCAGUUCAAACCCUAAACUUACGUAGAUUCAUUCUAUUGUAUCAUUUAUCAUGUUUAUUCAAUUAUAAAUUGUUGACAUUAUCCACCGACAACAUUUACGUCACACUUCCUUUCUUCAAGUGAACGUGAGCCGUUGGAUCAAACCGACAUUGAUUGGACGGUUAUCCUUGAUCCUUUAGGUCGGUGGAGCUUGGUCCCCGAAAAGAGUUCUGAUUGGAGUCUAGGACAGGGCGGGCGCCCUGCCCCCCGGCCCGUUCGCCUUCCCGUUCGUUAUCGUGGCUUCUGGAGUCUUCUAGAUGACAAAAAAUUACGCGGCACGUUAAUAUCUCUAUGUAAACCCGACGUGUGGGCCUUUCUUCCAUAUUUCCUGAUAACCCCCUGCAGAAAUAGGCAAACACCAAAACUCGUGGAAUUCUGUCAGAUAAAACCUUAAGUCUGGGUGUUGGUUGCAUUUGGAUCCUUUUCUUUAUUUAUUUGAUGAUUAUAUUUGGUACUUAAGGACCGUCAACAACUCCCCCAAGCUUACCUCUUGCUCGUCCCUGAGCAAGGAUGAGCUCAAGAGUUUCUGCAGUGGUUUCAUGCCUUAAAAGUAAGAUCUCAUUUCUGAGUUAGAGUAAACUGUUAAAACUUAAAACUUACUCAUUUUACCUUUCACCAUGGGGCUUGUAACCGUCACUUGUGUCUUGAGUAGUUAAAAGAUAGAACAGUCUAGUCAAGCGCCAUGUCUCUUGUUCUUUGAUUAACUAUAGCUCUGGAGUUUUUUGCAGAUUUUCAAAUAAAACUCAGAGAUUCCUUGUAUGACUCUAUCAAAUAUCUCUUUUGUGGUAUUUCUGGAUCCUUACCAAGGCAGUAAUGAUAUAUGCCUUCUCUCAAAGUAUGUGGUAUUUUUGGUAUGAGGCAUAGUGAUAUUGCCUUCUCUCUCACCCUACUCUAAUAAGGUUUUGAUAUCUGGAGCUCAUAGGUGGGAGACAGAUAAUACAUACUUACAAGACAUUUAUUGCAUAGUCAAACCAUGGAUCCAGAAGGACAAGUCAAUAAGUCAAAUCAAGAUAUGCAUGUGUAGCGAGUGAAUGGUGUAUGGUGAUGAUGGUGAUAACAAUGGUGAAAGUCUAAUUCUACUUUUACUCUUUUAAGGGGAUACAUACCUUUCUUGCACUUUGAAGCAUUUUGAGGAGAAUGAGAUGCUCUAUAUUUUCUUUUUCUUUUCUCUCAGGUGGGUAUCUUGUACCCCUAAUUCUAUGUAACACCCAAAAUUUGAUUUUUAAAUAAUAGGAUUUAAUUUGAUUUAUUUAAGUAUUUUUGUGACCAUUUAAUCUAGAAAAUAAGUAAUUUUUGGUGGAAAAUAAAAUUUAUCAUAAGUUUAGAAACUUGAAUUUUGCAUUUCAUGCUGGAGCAUAUUUAAUUCUGUGUUGUUGCCCUUUUUGUUUGAAUUCAUUUGAUUCAAAUUUCAUUUGAAAAAUGCUUUAGAAAAAGGAAUAAAAGAAAAAAAAGAAAAGGGGAAGGACCCCAGCCGAACCCCAGCUUUUCCCCCCUCCUGCGCGCGGCCCAUUUCUCUCCCCCGGCCCGGUUUCCUUUCCCCCCCCCGCGCGGCCCAGGCUCGCGCCUCCCCCCUUCUCCCAUCCGCUGACGGCCGGACCCCACCUCUUCUUUCACCGCCAGCCGGGUCCCGCAUGUCAGCGCACUGUUUAUCCCCUUCCUUUCUUCUUCACGUAACCUAGCCGGCUUCUCUCCCUCACCGAUUUGGAAACAAACCUCCAAUCUCAGGAUUCCUUGCCAAAUCACGCGCAACUGAGCCCUAUAAAGCUCUCUAUCCACCCCGAAUCCCUAUUUUCGCAUCCAAAUCGCCCUAAUACACCCUACCUUCGCUGUUUGGAUCUUGCCGUGAGCCACGCGAAGCCGCCGCCGUGACGCGACCUCCCCACCCUCUUUCGGCUCGAGUAAACCAUCUAGGUGGGUUCUCCUCCUCCCCCUCGACCCCCCGGUGCUUUUCCUUCAAGAAACGGUGUUCGGAAUCGGCCAGGUAGCAAGCUCCGGCGAGCUCGGUCUCCCCGGCCAUGGCGCCACCGCGCUGGAGGCCAGAGAGCCGGCCGGCCCGCUGCCCGGUGACCCCUGGAGAAAUCUCGGCCGUCGGAUGGAGAUCGGAUGGCCCGCAAAUGAAGAUACCCCUUCGUUAGAAAUCUUUCUAAAGAGUCCCUGUGUUCUUUUGCAAUUUAACCCACGGUCCUUUACGUACUUUCCCGUUUACGCUUUCCAGUUUUAAAAGCGUAAUCCUGUCCGGUUCAAUUCAAUUUACGCUUUCGAUUAUUUACAGUUUUGCCAUCAAUUUUAUAUUGCUCAUAAAAUACUCAUUUUAAUUCUGUUUUUGUCCAUUCAAAUUUCGUUAGAUUCGUAUUUAUGAGCUCUACAUGUUAGAAGUAUUUAUUCUCUGUAUUGGAACUCUUUAAUUCUGCAGUAGCAUUUAAUUAAUUAUUUCUCUAUAGGAAAUCUUAGAAAAUUCAUAACUUCUAAGUUUAAAUUCCGAUUUUCGUGAACUUUACGUUUGUGUGAUCGUAGCGCUGCUAGAAUAUUUUCAUAAACUUUAUCUUUGGUUUCUCAAUGUUGGUGUAAUGUUCUAAUUAUAGCUUGUUUGCUUUGUGUAUGAUUGACUACAUUGGAUUGCGUGUUGUUGACUGAUGUUUGGGAAUAGACGGUGAGCCGUACGUUGGUGAUCAAGACCAAGCUUUCGAAGACCAGUAGGCUCAGGAGAGCUUUGAUCAAGGCAAGUAUAACUUGGGAUCAUCCUUGUUGCCUAUUCACUUAUAACUACACAUAUAUGUCAUAUGCAUGCUAUCACCUUGUCGACCUUAGCAAAAUCAUAGAUGAUUGUUACCUGGAUUCCUUGCUACCUACUUGAUAUGCAUUUGUUGUAGAUGUGCUAGUGCUUGAUAUAAUCCAUGAUCUUGUAAGAUGAUUAAUAGCUAUGCAAUGAACAUAAAAGAAUGACAAAUAACUGUAUGAGAUCUUGUCUGUAAGUGACCACCGGGACAACAGUGCAACCAUGAGGGCUAUAGUGGCUCUGGCUUUAGCUCAGUAUGAAGACCUUUUCUAGCUUGUUAGAGGUUACCCGAAAGGGCAGAGGGGCUGAACCGUUUUGGGUAUAGUGCGAGCCCCUGUCCCUAUGUGUAUAUGCUGCGCGUCAUUGUGCCAUUCGGAAGGGGGUAUCUAUAUCUGCGCGCAAAGGAAACCUUGCGGCCCUAACAAGUUAGACAAACUUUUGAAAGGCUUCAUAGUGAUCCCUGCCGACCUCCCUAGGAAGGGGGUUAAGAGAUUAGCUACCUCGGGCGAAAGGGUAAAUCAUGAUUCAUGGGUAAAGAUGUACAACCUCUGCAGAGUGUUAAAACUGGUAUACUAGCCGUGCUCACGGUUAUGAGCGGCCUUGGGGGUUCUUGCUGCGCCGACGAUGAGCUUAUUAAGUUGUUAUGUCCAUUUGAUUAUCGUUUAUGCUAUGGAUUAAUUAUGCUUACACUUGAUCAUGUGAUUAAUGGAUUAUUUAUGCUACCUUGACAUUUGCUAUUUAAUUAUGAAUAUGCUAUCCACUAUUAAAAGCUAAAUGCAGUCAAACCAGUGUAACAUCCCUGAUGUUACGGUUACUAAACUGGACCAUGUCAUCAUAAGCAUUGCAUAGCAUAUUGUUUAAGCACAACUUGAUGCACCAACUUAAAACAAGUUUAUUUUGAUUGAUUGUGCUUAGGGAAUUAAAGUGUGCUUACAUUGUGUACUGAUGCUUGUGUUGGUUGCUACAACCCUAGGGUGAAAGAUUUCCGAAAGAUUAGGGGGGAAAACCCUGAUUUUAAAACCCUAGAUUUACCCCCUUUUGUGCAAUUUAAAAACCAAGCAAAAUUUGAGGUUGAGUUCAAAAGCAAAGUUGUAGAUCUUGUUAAGAUGUACAACUUUUGUGUUUUGAGUUUUUGAAGUUUCAAUAUAAAAUUCAAAUUAAUUUUGAAAAUACAGAUUUCCAAAAAGUGUCCCCUUUUCCAAUUUGAACCUCCAAUUCAAAAUCUAUUUGGAAUUUUGAAAAGUGACCAACAUGAAAAUUGUAGAGCUCAAAAAGAUGAACAACUUUCAUGUUGGGAGUUUUUCAAGUUGUUAUGGAAAAUCAAAAGUAACUUUGGAAAUUCUGAUCUGCCCCAACUCAAAAAUUUGAAUUUCCCCAAAUUGAAAUUUGAACUUCAAACUGUUUGGUCAAAUUCACCAUGUUCCACUCAAAAUUAGCUUUGGUCACCAAAACAUGUUUUGUACCUUAUAAAAUUCUGAACAACUUUUGUUUUGGUGGAAUUUUGGCUCCAGUUCAAAUUAUAGGCGAAUUUUGCAAAACAACAGAACAAGUGGAUAUGGCUUGCUAUAGUGCUGAGCAGGGGGGGUGCUCUGCCGCCGGAACAGAGCCGCUGCGUCCGGCGCCACCACGCGCCUGGCCACGCAGCUGCUUGCUGCUGUGCCUCGCUCGGACGUCCUCAUCCGCAGCGCGCACUCCGUCGCGUGGAUAAAGCCCCGGGUGGCCGGGGUAUUUCCUUUCCUUUUUCUGAACCUCACCGCCGACGGCCACCAGUCGACACCAAAAUCCACCGUUGCCUUAGCUUCUUCAUCCACGAGCUCUUGCUCCCAACUCUGCCAAGAACCCCGCAACCGUUUGCGCCCCUGAGCGCAAGCUCUACCCUACCGUAGCUCCAACCCGAGCCGUUCUUCUCCAACCCCGGCCAAAACGCCGCCGCGGACACUCCACCGUGGCCAGCUUCACUCCAAGCCUCUCCACUGCCGCUUCUUGCUCCGUUGGAAUCGCGAUGAGCCACCGAUGCUUUUGCGCUGGUCAAUUCGCGCUCUACUCGAUCGUAGAGGCCGGCGUCUGCUCGGCCGAGGUAGCCGCCCGCCGCGCCCGUGGCCAUGGGAGCUAGACUAGGAGAGAGCGAGGGUUUAGGGGGUCCAGAGGUGCGCCUUGAAGUGGAGAACGCGACCAGCGAGUCGCGAGGAGCGAUGAUGGCGCGGAUGGCUCGGUCGCGCCGUCGAUUCGGCCGGCCGGAGCUUGAAGACGAAGCUGACAGCGGGGGCCCGCUGUCAGCGACGCCUGAGUGGAGGCGAGGGCGCGCGCAGUGCCCGCGUGGGCCGAGCGCGGACAGGCCGGCAUGCGGGCCGAGUUCCUGGGCCGCUCGUGGCAGUGUUGUUUUUCUUUUUCUGUUUAUGCAAAAUUUGAUGUAUGUUUGAAUUUGAAUAGAAAAUCAUAUGUUGAUUCAAAAAUAAUGAAACUUUUUGUGUAAGUUCUAUAAAAUAAAUAGAACAUAGGAAAAAUAUUAGGUUCUAUUUUCUGGUAGUUUGCCUGUGUAUAAAAAUUGCCUCUCUAAUUUAGUGCAUAAAACUUCUAGGAAUUUUAAUAAUUUAUUGAUAUGUCCAAAAAUCACCAAAAUUUGUGAGAUGCCUCUGAAUAUUAUUCCAUGGCUUCACACAAAAUUUGGUGGCAUUUGGAUAAUGUUUGAAUAAAAUAAUAUUAAACCCUUAAUUAGUAAUUAAAUAAUAAUUCUAGAAUAAUCAGAUAAUAAUUAGUUAAAUUCUCAAAAUUAGGGUUUUAGUGAUUUUGGGAUUAUGUGAUGACCUGAGGUCAUUAACCUAAUGACCUUUGGCAUUUAAUUAUUGUUUGGCUUUAAUACUCAAUUGUUGUUAUUAAUAUUUAAUUAAGAAUUAUUUAAGAUAAAAGGGUUAAUAAUUAGUUAAUUAAGAAUAAUUAUGAAUUAAGAAAAGUCCUAAUUUACAGAUGCAACCUCUUGGGUAGAGACACUAAGAUGUUAGACAACUUUAAUUAUUGUUUAUUCUGUGUUGCACCGAGGAGGCCAGUUAUACCUAACUUGGUCCCUUUUUGCAUAUUCGUCAUACGCAUAUCAUGAGCAUUCAUCAUUUUGCGUAUAGUGCCGGUGACCGAAGGAGCGACCGUUGAACCGAACCCCGAGGUCGGUGCUCCGUUCGAGGAAGUAGGAUCCGAGACUUGGGAAGUCUCCGAGGGUCCCUCUCAGCUCUGCAACCAAGGCAAGCCCCGGAUGCAUUAACCCUUCCUUAAAUGUUUUAAAUCUUUUAUCACUUAUGAAUUGAAAAUGCUGCAUUAGGUAGACGAGAAUUGGGUUAACCUACUUGCUGCAUUUACUACCUUGAUAUUUGUUAUCUUGUCCUUUGCACCUGUUUCAAUUGAAAACCGCGUAGUAAUGCUUAGCCCUGCUACUAGAUAGGUUUUCAAACAAAGUUUGAAGGGUUGUUGUGGAAUACACGUAUGAUCAAUGAUGUUUCAAUUUGAGACCGGUCGGUGGACUUGCUUUAAGAAUGGAGUCUUAAAGUAGUGUCUCCAACUGUGUCGAUUAAGGACCGUUCCGUUGAUGGCCUGCUAGGUUGAGAAUUUAUAGUACUAGCCACUUGCCCUCGGUAAGCCCGAUCUUGUAAUCCCUCGACGCGAACAGCUACUCGCGCACUGGGCGUGGAGCGAUGGCGAGAGUAGCGUGUACCCACCUUACGGAUCUGAGAUGACUGGGAAACGUCUAGAUCGGCGGUAGGAUGGUGGGGUACUGUGCUCUCGGGUGCCGCGAACCUGGUCAAAUUUGGGGAGAGCUAGAGUUGGGUUGACAUAUGCAAGAUUUGGUUCUACAUAUGUCGGGUGGUUAGGAACUCCAGCUGGAUUGCUAAGCGAUUCGAAUCGUCGUUGCUCCCCGAUUGGGAGACUCAAUUCCUUCGACCCUCAUCGUAGUUAAUUAUGCAACUAAAGGAUAAAAUAAGAAAGGGGAAAAUGUCUCAUGAGGUUUGGAUCCCAAUUCCCGGACUCAGAGUGACAUGAAGCUAUGGCCGUUGGAUAAAUAAUACUUUGAUUACGGAUUAGGAACUUAUAGACUUGUCUGUGAGAAGCAACUAGAUAGACUGUCCUCGAACUCCUCGGCCUCUUUAGGAGAGGAAUUCGCGGGUAAAACUUGAAAGUAAGGAUGCACUAUUAGUAAGCUUUUCCGCAAAACACUUUGGCUCCUUGCUCAACCACCCCUUGUCUACCCUAAGCCUGCAUCCCUAAUUUCUCCUCUUUUUCUACCGGGUAAGUCUUGUUGAGUACUCCCGUACUCAGGGUUUUAUAACCCCUGUUGCAGGUGAAGCUCAAGAGCCGACUUGUUUCGGACCCUGUUGUGUGUCCGUCGUCGAGGUUGACGACGAGGAAGAGUGAGCGUGACCCAUGGGCAGGGUCUGUAAAUUUGUAAUCUCUGUAUUAAAGUUUAAGUUGCUCCGCUGGACCUGGCUUGUAAUAACACUCUACUAUUUGGAAGAACUACUCUUGUAAAUUAAGUUAUGCAAUACUUCCGCUGUUUACUCUGAAAGCUUAUUUUGGUCUUGUGUCGUCUGUGAUACUGCAUUGUCUUCGCAACGAAUGAUCCUAGUGUUAAGGUGGCCACUUGCUAUCCUGUAAGGGAGAGAAGAAGAAGUUCUCGUUAAUUGACCAUCGCUAGUGGUCAGGACGAGUUCGCUUGAUACUCCACAGGUAGCGGUGGGAUGAGCGUCCUGAGAUGCUCAUCGGAUUCCUAGAGUGGGAGGAUCCCCGGCAUCACCGUCAGAGGUCCUUGGGACAAUGACAGGUGUCGGUGGGCCCAAACACUUAGGAGGUUCUACCACAGCUGGUAUCGGAGCAUUCGUUGCUAGGAUGACUGCUGUAUCCUUUGAAAAACUUCAAAACGCAUUUGGAUCCAAUACUAUAAACUUGCCUAUUUUGAGUCCAAGUGCUUUAGUCCCAUCUUACCCCUGUCUGUAGGCCUUCUUAGAAUUUUUGAAGUGGUACGGAGGAGCAACAUAAGGUAUUGCCCUGUGUUAUAAAGUUUUAAGUAAUAUUGUUACGAAUUCCUAGUACGACUCGUAAAUUCGUGCAUGCAUCAUGAUAUAUUACUUGGUUAUAGUUCCUUCCUCCUUGUUUGGGUUGGGUUGCAUAGAAUCAAUCCCCUUCUUGCUAACCCGUAAGGUCUCUCUUACUAAUCCAAACUUACCCUCUAUAGGAUGGGCCGUUGGAAACAGACCCCGCGCAAGAGGACUGGUCCAAAAGGGGUUCCUAAACACCAGAUGGCCCCGCGAAGCGAUCAAGCAAGCAGUAGCUGUUCACCAUCUCAGCAGGAGGUGGAAAGAUUGUCCACCGAGCUGACCGAAGUGAUGAGAGAAAGGAUGUACAACGUCAUGGAGAUCGGUGAACUUAAAGCUCAACUAACCAAAGAAAAACAAGCCACAGAGAACUGUGAGGCCAUGCUGUCCCGUAGGGUGGAGGAGAGGAAUGCCGCUAUUGCCCGAGAAGAGGAAGCCAGGAGUGCACACAGGCACGAGCUGACCAGGAUGAAGGCAAAGCUGGACAAAACCAAGUACCUUAAAGAUCUGUACAUGAAGAUGAUGGCCACGGUCACCGCGCAGCGGGAUGUUGCGUGGCAGCGGGAGGACCAUCUCCAGUUGGAGAAGCUAGAGCUGGCACAUCAUUUAGACACCGUCAACGACUUGGCAAUGCAAUAUCAUGAUAUUGCAUUUGACCUUUAUCAUCAGCUCCAUCCACCUCCAAGCGAAGGAGAGAUGGAUACGGAUGGAGAGUUGGCGGAUGCUGGGGAACCCGACCAAGACCUCAGUGACAGGGAGGAAUCUGACUCCGGUGAUGACAACCCGGGGGGUAAUCAUGACGAUGGCAAUGACGACCCGGGCUACAGCUCUUGCCACACCGACUAGUUCGGUGAAGCUGCGGGCAACGUCGUUGUAGGAUUCCUAGUUUACCGUAGUGGGGUCGGGUUUGUAGUAUAGAGUUUUCUUUCAGUCUAAGAAGUUGUACUCGUUUGUUUCUAGUGUGUUGAACUGAUGUUUGAUAAAUAAAUGGAAGUAUGUAAGAUAUGUUCUAAGUUAUGAAUUUCAUGUAGUAACAAGUACUUAUAACUCUUGUAGCAGAUGCCGAUGCGUACACGAGGAUCUGAUAGAGCCGGGACGUCUCAGGGAGGGGAGGACAUCCCCAACCCUCCACCUGCUCCACCUUCUCUGGCUGAUGCCAUUGCUGUCCUUUUGUGUGCCACUACUGACAACGCUCGCUUGCUGCGCGAGUUAGCACAACGCCAACCACACCCCGCCCCAAACUUCAGGGCACAGCACAAUGGGGACGGAGAAACUCGGUACGUGGACUUUACCGAGACAAGGCCCCCGGUAUUCACCAAGGCUGAUGAGCCGUUAGAAGCGGAUGACUGGCUCCGGACCAUGGAGCACAAGUUCAGUCUGAUCCGAUGUUCGGAAACUCAGAAGCCCCUGUUCGCAGCUCAACAGCUUCGGGGAGCUGCGCGUGCCUGGUGGGAGAACUUUCUAGCUAUCCAAGCUCUGGGACACCAGGUUACCUGGACAGAGUUUAAGGACGCGUACCGCGCCCAUUACAUCCCUGAAGGGCUUAUGGCCAUGAAGGCCGAGGAGUUUCUCGCCUUGCAGCAAGGCGAUAAAAAUGUCAUGGAGUACGUGGCAAAAUUUAAUCAUCUUUCUCAAUAUGCCACAGACCAUGUGAACAUGGAUAGAAAGAAGAAGGCCUGUUUCAUGUGUGGUCGAAAUACCAAACUUCAGACCAUGAUGACCACCUGUCAAAAUGCUACCUUCUAUGAGGCAGUAAAUAUUGCCAUCGCCUCAGAAGAAAAGAAUAGAAAGCACAAAGAAGCCAAGAAGAAGGCUGCUUCUUCCUCCUUCUCUGGUCGUGGUCAAAAGCGCCAGAGAAUCAUUUAUCAUCCACAGGGCCACGGACGCUUUCCAGCGCCGUCACCUUAUCGUGGUCCCUUUUCCCCACCACAAUAUAGACCAGGGCAGCAGGUAUACCCUCGACCUACUGCCAUCACCACUGCACCACGCCAGCCGAACGCCCUAGGUGUUCGUCCCACUGCUCCGCCCAGCCACAAUUAUCCUUGUUUCAAUUGUGGUAAGCCUGGGCAUUUUUCUAAGGAAUGCCCUUACCCCCACCAAACCAACCCCACCUUCCAAAGGCCACCCACUGGCCAACCCCAGCCAAGCCAAUUCAGGACUGGGGCUCAGAAAGGACAACAUGUGCAAAGGGGUAAACCCGUAAAGAAAGCGGGACAAGUCUUCCAUACAGAGGUGGAGACGAUCCCGGAGGGAGAACCAGUAAUGAUGGGUACAUUUCCUGUUGCGAAACAUCCUGCUUUAAUGCUUUUCGAUUCUAGUGCAUCUCAUACAUUCAUCAACCGCACCUUUGUGAUAAAGCAUGGCAUACCCAUUGGGGAAACACAAGAUCAUUUUUAUAUACAUUCGCUAGGAGGACGGCUGAGUUCUAAAGAAAUGGUUCACCAGGUACCCAUCAAAUUUGGUGGGCAUAGUUUUCCCACUAGCAUGAUUGUUCUUAAAGACCAAGAGAUUGAUGUCAUACUAGGCAUGAACUGGAUGGCACAACGAGGGGUUGUGCUAGACACUUUGCAUCGAACCAUUAAAAUACCAUUGCCCAAUGAAAAUUCUUAUUUGCUAAUUCAAUUAGUUACUCCCAAGCGGGCAAUUGGGCAAGUUCAUGCCACUAAUGUGUGUGCAGUCCAAGAUAUCCCGGUAGUUCGGGAUUUUCCGGACGUGUUUCCUGAAGACCUACCAGGUCUGCCCCCGGACGGAGAUGUCCAGUUCAGUAUAGAAAUGAAACCAGGGACAGCCCCAAUAUCUCGAAGGGCCUACAGAAUGGCACCGAAAGAACUGGCCGAAUUAAAAACCCAACUACAAGAGCUGUUGCAGAAAGGUUUUAUUCAGCCUAGUUCUUCUCCAUGGGGUUGUCCAGCCUUGUUUGUGAAAAAGAAAGAUCAAACACUAAGGCUGUGUGUUGAUUAUCGUCCCCUAAAUGAGGUGACGAUUAAGAACAAGUACCCAUUGCCCCGUAUUAACUUACUAUUUGACCAGUUGGCCGGGGCCAAAGUGUUCUCAAAAUUUGAUUUGAGAUCAGGGUACCACCAAAUUAAAAUUAGGCCGGAGGAUGUACCCUAGACGGCUUUUACAACCCGUUAUGGGCUGUAUGAAUACUUGGUGAUGUCUUUUGGGUUGACCAAUGCACCGGCCCAUUUCAUGUACUUGAUGAACUCUGUCUUCAUGCCAGAACUGGACAAAUUUGUGGUCGUCUUCAUUGAUGACAUCUUGAUCUAUUCAAAGACUAAGAAAGAACAUGCUGAACAUCUGAGAAUUGUGCUAACCCGUCUCAGGGAGCAUCAGCUAUAUGCCAAGUUCAGCAAAUGUGAGUUCUGGCUGGACAAAGUCCAUUUCCUGGGUCAUGUAUUAUCAGCGGAGGGAGUCGCUGUAGACCCAGGUAAAGUAGAAGAAGUGUUGAAUUGGAAGCCCCCGACUACGGUACAUGAGGUCCGUAGUUUUCUGGGUAUGGCGGGAUACUACCGUCGUUUUAUCCCGGACUUUUCCAGAGUCGCUAAACCAAUCACGACCUUGCUCAAGAAUCAAACAAAAUUUGUUUGGUCACCGCAAUGUGAGCAAGCCUUCCAGACUCUGAAAAGAUUAUUGACAACUGCACCUGUCUUAGCCCAGCCAGAUAUUGAAAACCCCUUUGAUGUGUAUUGUGAUGCAUCAGGGAUAGGGAUAGGCUGCGUGCUAAUGCAGGAGGGUCGCGUAAUUGCAUAUGCUUCCAGGCAGCUCAAACCACAUGAGGAGAAUUACCCGACCCAUGAUCUAGAAAUAGCCGCCGUAGUACAUGCAUUAAAGAUCUGGCGCCAUUACCUGUUGGGAAGCACUUGUCAUCUAUACACAGAUCACAAGAGCUUGAAGUAUAUCUUCACUCAAGCUGAAUUGAAUAUGCGCCAGCGAAGGUGGCUAGAGUUGAUUAAAGAUUACGACCUUGAGGUGCAUUAUCACCCUGGCAAGGCGAAUGUAGUAGCUGAUGCCCUCAGUCGUAAGGCUCACUGUAAUUGCUUAACAGUGACGCCUAGAGAUAUAACCUUGUGCCAAGAGCUAGAGAACUUGGGGAUAGAAAUGAUUUCCCAAGGAAGCCUUGCCAAUCUAAAGAUUGAUUUCAAUCUCGAAGCUCAAAUCAUAGAGGCACAAAAGGAAGACAAAGGUAUGAAAUAUCUUAAAGAGAAAAUUUCUAAUAGAGCACCCACAGACUUUAAGGUGGAUGAUGCAGGAGUAAUCUGGUUCAAAAACCGGUUAGUGGUUCCAAAGGUACCUGAGCUACGUCAGCAAAUCCUGGAUGAAGCUCAUACUACCAGAUAUUCUAUUCAUCCGAGGAGCAAUAAAAUGUAUCAGGACCUAAAGCAAAGGUUUUGGUGGACGAAGAUGAAGAUAGAAAUAGCCCGCUAUGUGGCCCAAUGUGACACCUGCCGAAAAGUCAAAGCUAUUCAUCUCAAAUCCGCUGGAGAGUUGCAACCUUUGCCUAUUCUAGCAUGGAAAUGGGAUGAUAUUAGUAUGGAUUUCAUAGUGGGAUUGCCCAAGACGGCCAAAGGCUUUGAUUCAAUUUGGGUCAUUGUGGAUCGUCUCACCAAAACAGCACACUUCUUGCCUGUAAAGACAUUAUGUCCUACCUCCACCUAUGCUAAGAUUUAUUUCGAUCGUAUACUAAGUCUACAUGGGGUGCCAAAGACAAUAGUGUCAGAUAGAGGCACACAAUUUGUCUCCCAGUUCUGGAAAUGUUUACAUGAAUCUUUGGGCACCAAACUUUUAUACAGAACAGCCUACCACCCUCAAACAGGUGGGCAAACAGAGAGGGUAAAUCAAACCCUAGAAGAUCUAUUAAGAUCUUGUGCCCUGAAUUUUCCAGAUAAGUGGGAUGACUGCUUGCCUCUAGCAGAGUUUUCUUACAACAAUAGCUACCAAGAGAGUAUCAAGAUGGCUCCUUUUGAGGCACUAUAUGGCCGUCGAUGUCGAACUCCGUUACACUGGUCGGAACCCGGAGAAAGAUGGUUCUUCGGGGUUGACUUAGUGAAAGAAACUGAGAACAAAGUUAGACAAAUCCAAAAUAACUUGAAAGUUGCUCAGUCCCGACAGAAAAGUUAUGCUGAUAAAAGACGUCGACCCUUAAGAUUCGCCAAAGGUGACCAUGUAUAUCCGAAAGUAUCCCCAAUGAAAGGAGUAAAUUGUUUUGGCGUUAAAGGCAAGUUAGCACCUCGUUACAUUGGUCCAUUUCCAAUUCUUGACCGAUGUGGACAGGUAGCUUACCGCCUUAAACUGCCCGAACGAUUAUCCGGGAUACAUAAUGUAUUCCAUGUAUCUCAACUAAAAAAGUGUCUUCGGGUACCAGACCAAGUUCAAGAUAUCAAGGAUGUGGAACUUGAACCGGAUCUGACUUAUGCAGAAUACCCUAUCCGAGUAUUGGACCAAAGAGAUAGAGUUACUCGAAGAACAACUACCAAGUGGUACAAGGUGCAAUGGAGCCAGCACUCUGAAGAGGAAGCCACAUGGGAAUCUGAAGAUUAUCUAAUGGAGAAUUUUCCUGAGUUCUACGCUUCUCUUCAAGACAACAUCUGAUAAAUAGGAAGUGUACUCUAGUGAAGGAACAGAGUAGCCAAAGCCAUGUACUUAGUGUACAUACAUGUUUAUAAUUGAGUAGUCUUCCCCAGCUUCUUGUCUUAUGAAAAGGUUGGAGACGAAAUAGUUUGACACAUUUCCUUUUCCAUUACAUACCCUAAGGCUUUAAAUCUCGGGGACGAGAUUUCUUUAAGGGGGAAGGGCUGUAACAUCCCUGAUGUUACGGUUACUAAAACUGGACCAUGUCAUCAUAAGCAUUGCAUAGCAUAUUGUUUAAGCACAACUUGAUGCACCAACUUAAAACAAGUUUAUUUUGAUUGGUUGUGCUUAGGGAAUUAAAGUGUGCUUACAUUGUGUACUGAUGCUUGUGUUGGUUGCUACAACCCUAGGGUGAAACAUUUCCGAAAGAUUAGGGGGGAAAACCCUGAUUUUAAAACCCUGGAUUUACCCCCCUUUUUGCAAUUUAAAAACCAAGCAAAAUUUGAGGUUGAGUUCAAAAGCAAAGUUGUAGAUCUUGCUAAGAUGUACAACUUUUGUGUUUUGAGUUUUUGAAGUUUCAAUAUAAAAUUCAAAGUAAUUUUGAAAAUACAGAUUUCCAGAAAGUGUCCCCUUUUCCAAUUUGAACCUCCAAUUCAAAAUCUAUUUGGAAAUUUGAAAAGUGACCAACAUGAAAGUUGUAGAGCUCAAAAAUUUGAACAACUUUCAUGUUGGGAGUUUUUCAAGUUGUUAUGGAAAAUCAAAAGUAAUUUUGGAAAUUCUGAUCUGCCAUAAUUCAAAAAUUUGAAUUUCCCCAAAUUGAAUUUUGAACUUCAAACUGUUUGGUCAAAUUCACCAUGUUCCACUCAAAAUUAGCUUUGGUCACCAAAACAUGUUUUGUAGCUUAUAAAAUUCUGAACAACUUUUGUUUUGGUGGAAUUUUGGCUCCAGUUCAAAAUUAUAGGCGAAUUUUGCAAAACAACAGAACAAGUGGAUAUGGCUUGCUACAGUGCUGAGCAGGGUGUGCUCUGCCGCCGGAGCAGAGCCGCUGCGUCCGGCGUCGCCACGCGCCUGGCCACGCAGCUGCUUGCUGCUGUGCCUCGCUCGGACGUCCUCAUCCGUGUUGGGUAUUCUUAACAUCAUUACCAAAAGUAGACUAAGUUCUCUAAAUCUAGUAACGGUGCCAAAAAUGCCAAACCUAUCCCUUACACCACUUAAGCCAAGUUGUCAUCCCCAGCAUGAUAUAAGAGACGCGGUAUUGAAAUAUGCAAUUGCUCUUCUAAAUAAAUAAUGAAUGGGAUCUGCAAGCGCACAGAUUAAUACCGAUGCAGCAUUUUAACCGGGAAGUAUUCCAGGUAUCGUUAUUUAUAUUUUUACCACUGGGAAGGGAUUAGCAAUCAUCACUACUGAUUACAGAAUAGAAUAUGAGAUUGAGCAUCUAUCACUGCAUGUAUAAUUGAGAACAUUAUAUCUAACUCUUCACACAGGGAUAAGUGUCACAUAAAAGAUAUAUGAAAUAAUAAUAGUGACAAGGAUAACUAAUAUGAUCUAGCCACAUAAUAAAUAUGAUAAGCACCUCAAUUAGAUACUCUAGAAAGUCAUUAGCAUGGUAUUAGAACGAACUACAAGAAUAUUCCCUAAGUUAUUCUCAACUAUAUAGUCUAGCAUAUCAUAGUUAGUGCAAGCAUACUUAGCAAUCAUUGUGAGACAAGACUACGCCCAUGCAUAGUGAUAUUAGCAAGGAAUAUGAGAAACAUAGCAAUCACUCCCCUGUAAUAAUGUUGCUCUGCCAGCCCAAUACACGAGAGGGGGACUAUAUAAGAAUCAAUGAAGCUGUCACUAUCACGAACCACCCCACGAUCUGGCAUAUUGGGUACAAUCGCAGAUAAAUACGGUAUAAGCACCACGCCUACACAAUAUCUAUCAUUUACCCAUGGAUCCAAUGGAUAAACGCUAUACGAUCCUAAGCAUGUAUAUAGAUCCAAUCUAACUAAGCCAAGUACAUAACUAUGAUAAACUAAGAACAAUAUAAUCUUGAAUAUAAGCAAGUAGAGCAAAGUCAUAAGCAAUAUAUUGAAGUAGAACAAAGUCAUAUUCAUAAUAUUGAAGAACAAAGAUAAUUAGAAAGCAAUUAGAAGCACAAUUAGAGAAUUACCAAGAAUCCUCCUGACAGAUCCGGAAACCAAUCGAAGAUUGACUCCUUCUAGUUCUAAUCCUAUGUAGCUAUGCUAAUCUAGAUAUCUAAUUGAUGUGGUGGCUCUAAUCUUGAUCAGAGGCUUCUUCUCCCUUGAUGGAACAAUGAAUUAGGGUUGUGAGGCUCCCUCCUCUAGGGGCCAGGGGGUCUGGUUUUAUAGUCCCUUCAAGUGAAUAUGAGCCCUUGGAUCAAACCGACAUAGAUUGUAUGGUUUAGAUUCAUCCUUUAGGUCGGUGGAGACUUUCCGCAAAGCAGAGUCCUGUUUGGACUUGGGGGUAGGGCGGGCGCCCAGUAGGACAGGGCGGGCGCCCUGUCUCUGGCCCCGUUUCGCCUCCGCUUCGGUCUCGUGGCUUCUGGAGUCUUCUAGAUGUAAGAUAAUUGCGCGGCACGUUAAUAUCUUUACGUAAUCCUGACAUGUGGGCCUUUCUUCCAUAUUUCCUGAUAACCCCCUGCAGAAAUAGACAAACACCAAAACUCGUGGAAUUCUGUCAGAUAAAACCCUAAGUCUAGAUCUUGAUUUCAUUUGGAUCCUUUUCUUUAUUUAUUUGAUAAUUAAAUUUGAUACUUAAGGACCGUCAACAAACUCCCCCAAGCUUACCUCUUGCUCGUCCCUGAGCAAGGAUAGACUCAGCUAUCGAUCAGAAGUUGCUGCAAUAUCUUUAAAAAUUGACGGUACACAUGCUUUUAAAUAAGAUCUCAUCUCUGAGUUAGAGUAAACUGUCAAGACUUAAAACUUACUUACUUUACCUCCACUAUGGGACUUGUAACUGUCACUUCUGUCUUGAGUGGUUAAAAGAUAGAACAGUCUAGCCAAGUGCCAUGUCUCUUAUUCUUGAUCAGCUAUAGCUCUGGGGUUUUUGCAGAUUUUCAAAUAAAACUCAGAGAUUCCUUGUAUGAUUCUCUCAGGUCUCUCUUUUGUGGUAUUUAUGGAUCCUUACCAAGGCAGUGAUGGUAUAUGCCUUCUCUCAAGAUAUGUAGUAUUUGUGGUAUAAAGCAUAGUGACAUUGUCUUCUCUCUCACCCUACUCUAAUAAGGCUUUAAUAUCUAGAGCUUAUAGGUGGGAGAUAAAGUAUACAUACUUACAAGACAUUUAUUGCAUAGUCAAACCAUGGAUCCAAAGAAACAAAUCAAUAAGCCAAAUCAAGAUGUGCAUGUGUGGCGAAUGAAUGGUGUAUGGUGAUGAUGGUGAUAACAAUGGUGGUGGAAGUUUAAUUCUACUUUUCCUCUUUGAGGGGAUACAUACCUUCCUUGCUUUUUGAAAUUUUAUGAGGAGAAUGAGAUGCUCUUCUUUUUCUUUUCUUUUCUCUCAGGUGGGUAUCUUGCACCCCUAAUUCUACUGUCGGACACUUGUCCAUUUUUACCUCUCGUCUCACUUUUUCUUUUCUUUCGAGGUUCCGAGCACUUGCUCCUUUUUAUUUCCUCGUAUCUUUUUUUCUCUUUUUUUUUCCAGAGCAUUCAUCUCUUGAGAUAAUAUAGCAAGUGGUAGUAACAAGAUAACUUGAGCAUUUAUUUCACAAAGGGAAAACAGAAAUAUUUUUGGUUAUUCUCUCCUGGAUUAGGAGUAGAAUAUUUUUGGGUGAUUCUGGAGAUGGAAUGGGUGGAUAUAUGUGGAUGGUACUUCCGGAGUAGAAGUAGCAUAUAUGAGUGAACGUGCAAGUGAAAUCUUGAUUUAACCACAUGACAAGCUCCUAAGGGUCUACACAGCUUGACCACACUCAAUGCUCAUAAGCAGUAAAUAAUAAAUGUGUGGCUCAAAGUCUAGCAAGCAUGUAUAUAUGGCUAUGGUAGGAAUUUAAAACUCUCAUCAUACAGGAACUCAUCAUGCAACAUUUUUAAAGAUUUUCAAAGAUAAAAUUCUCCAGAAUUCUAGCAUCUCUAGGAACAGAUAAACAGCAGCUCAACCUUCCCAUAUCAUAUCCGUUAACAACUUAGACUUUAGAUCAAGUUUUCAUCCCACAAGUUUAGGUCUAGAGCAAGCUUUAAAUUAUAACAGUUAUAUCUAAACUUGAGAGAAAACUUAAAAUGUGCAAAUUAGGCAGAGCAACUAUUCAUCAUAUCCAUGCUUAAGUUUUAUUUAGAUACAGAUUAGCAUAGCCACUUUAUUUAUUUAUUAAACACACUAAACAAAAGAUAUAUAUAUAAGCAUAAAAUCUUUAUUUGGUUUUCCAUAGUUAUGUAUUUUAAUAUUCUAAAAUAAUAUAAAUAUAAAGAUAGAUAGAUAGAAAUACUUAUCGAUAUAAAUGGAGGUGCUCUCCCCCAAGCUGAAUUUUGACGUAAUUUCUCUUGAUGUAGCUAGCAGGUGGCAGAGGUGUAUUUGAAAGUCAGCAGCAUUCUGACAGCGAUUAGAAUGUCCUUCGUCUGCUAGUCUUCUUGUUUCUUAAAUCCUGUGGAGCUCAAAUAGACAACAAAGCUUGUGGAACUAAUUAAGUGUUAGCAUAAAUAUCUAGCCUUCAUCAUCGUGAGACUCCUUAAUAAUUAUUACUCCCUGUUUUUAUAUUUUUGUUUUAUAAAGCAGAAAAAUAUUUAUUUUAUUUUUAUGCCACCACAGUGAAUGUACUUAUGGGUUUUACUCCACUCGUCUACUCACAUGGGGCUUACUGUUUUUCACAAUUUUAUUUUCUUUUGAGAAUAGCACGAACAUAGUAAACUAGUUGAAAUAAUUUGAAAAGGAAAGGAUAACUACCAAGUUUACCUCUUGGUAAGGCGUUCGGUGUUUUUAAGUCCUCCGAACGGGACUCUCCAUUUUCUCAAUCGUCCUGAGGUUCGUUGAGUGGCGUAGUCGGUACUUCCGGCAGCGCCUCCUCUUCUUGUAUAGUUAUCUUCAUUUUCCAUACCUGACUCGGUGCUUCAAUCUCCUCUGGAUAAUUCUGUUUAAACUCUACGUCUUCUGACCUUACAACUUCUCCUUCAUAGUCUGCCCAUCCGUCCUUGAUGAUCUGCCUCCUCUGGUUGUGGUUGCGUCUCUUCCUGACCUGCUUAGAUUCUUCAACGAUAUAGUUAGGGUCAGUAAAAUAACGGCGUACCUUCUCUGAGGGGAAGUGCAUAUGGACUUCUCCGGUUCCAAUGUAGAUAAUUGUUUUAACGGUGCUGAGGAACGGUCUUCCAAGGAUGAUGGGUGGAUCAUACUCGUCUUCUCCCAUGUCAAUAACUUGAAAGUCUGUGUAGACAAAGUGAUCGUCUAUUUUGACUGGGACAUCAGAUACUAUUCCUUUAACUUCUCGAAAUGUUUGAUCUGCCAUCUGAAGCUGAAUGUAUGUUGGUCUUAGUGGCAUGGUCCCGAACAAGAGCCGAUAGGUGACUGCAGCCAUUAUAGGCAUUCUUGGGUCGUCCUUCUUGGUCAAAAACGGUGACUUAAGUUGGUGAUCUUGGCCUCCAUGAACUACAGUGACCAUCUUAGCUGACUUGGUCCACACUUGCUCGUUCCUGUUCCUCCUGUUGGUCCUCUUCCUUGAUUUACGUCUGGAUUGAUCUGGAAUUUGUGUAGUCUUGUUCUUGAAGAAAAAUGUCUCCUUCUUCCCUUUGACGUAGAAACUGAUCUUGGCAGCACUGGCGUAGAUGAUAGCUCCCGUGGUGUUCAAGAAUGGCCUCCCUAGGAUGAUAGGUGCUCUCUCAUCAUUUCCGGUCUCUACCACUACGAAGUCUGCUGGGGCAUACAAGGUACCAACUCGGACACAAAGGUUCCUCACGAUUCCUUUUGGGAAAGUUAUCGUCUGAUCUGCAAACUGCAAACACAUGGUUGUCUCUAAUAAAGGAUAUGUAAAGAAUUUUUCAUAGAGUACCCUGGGUAUAAUGUUGACACUGGAGCCAAAGUCACAGAGUGCUUCUGGGACAUCCACCAUGCCGAUGGAGAUCGGAAUGACGGGGCGUCCUGGAUCGCCUCUCUUGACCGGCAGAAGGUCAGUAGAGAAUUCAUUGACGGGGUUACUCCAAUUACCUGCAUCAAACAUGUCUACAAGAUUUGCAGAUUCUAAUCCUUCCGGUUGUGAUGGUAUACCGGGAUUAGUAGCAGGAACAGCAGCAGCUAUUUGAUUUACUGAGAUUCAAUCAUUUUAUUAAAGCUAAUUUGAUUCUUGAUGGCAGUAGAGAAAUUAUCCAUUCUAUUAUUUAUAUUUUCUAGCAUUUUAUCAUUAGAUGCCACUUUCUUAGAUAGGUUAUCCAUUAGCUUUCCUUGAUUAGACACUAACUCUCUCAGAGGUGGAAAAUUAUUAUUGUUGUAAGAAUUGUUACCUUGAUAAUUACCUGAGUAGUUAGGCCUCUGUUGAUUCCAACCUUGAUUUUGUUGAGGACGGUUGUAGUAGUAGUUGUUGUUGUUGUUGAUGUAGUUCACAUCCUCAAGCAUCUCAGGGCAGUGGUUGCCUGAGUGUCCAGUGUCUCCACACUCCUCACAAGUCAUGUGAGAGUCGUAGAUGUGCAUAACUUCUUUCUUGUCUCCAGCUCUAUCAUCGAGCUUCUUCAUGAGUAGGUCUAGCUUUGCAGACAACAUGUCUACCUCCUUCAGCUGAUGCAUACCUCCACCUCUCUUGCGUGUCUGGGUCCUCUCUUCAUUCCAACUUUGAUUGGACGCCAUCUUCUCCACAAGAGCUGUGGCUUAUGGUAUAGUAAGUGAUAAGAAUGCUCCUCCAGCUGCAGCAUCCAUGGUUUCUCGAGCACUGUUGCUGAGCCCAUGAUAAAAUGUCUGCAUCAAUAGCCAACUCUCCAUUCCAUGAUGGGGACAUUCUAGGAUGUAGUCUUAAAAGCGCUCCCAUGCUUCUGGAACAGAUUCAUCAUUUUGUUGCUGAAAACUUCUAAUCUUCCCACGGAGAGCAUUGGUCUUGCCCAUGGGAAAGAACUUUGCCAGGAAGUUUGUUGAGCAGAGUGCCCACGUAGUAUUCUUCUCCUUUGUAGCGUAGAACCACUGCUUCGCUCUUCCUAACAGUGAGAAUGGGAAGAGGCGAAGUAGUAUAGCGUCUUUGGAAACUCCUGCUAUAGUGAAUGUGUUGCAAAUCUCUAGGAAGUGUUGUAAAUGAGCACUAGCAUCUUCGUGUGCCUUCCCACAGAACUGGUUGGAUUGCACCAUGUUGAUAAGUCCAGGCUUGAGCUCAAAGUUGCCAUCGAUCUCUGCAGCAGGUCCAGUGCGGAUGUUGUCCGUAGUGGGAGCUGAGAACUCGCGGAUUGAUUUGUUCGCCAUGGCUUCGAACUCUGAAGACAAGUUCCGGUGAUCUUCUUGAUUAGAUGAAGCUUCUUGCUGAAGUGUUGAUGAUUUCUUGAGCUUGGCUCUCGUCUUCUUGAAUAAUGCUUCGGGAUUGUCAACAAAAUUUCCUGGAAGAUGUCUUCUAUUCAUACAUUCCCCUGCAUAAGAUAAAAUAGAAAAAUAUCGGGGUAAAACUGUAUGAGAGAAUAGAUAAGCUCAAUCAUAUUAGUGAUGCGAAUGAUAACUCAAAAUCUUUUAUUCCAUUCCUGAUUGGUAAUCAACCUUCCCCGGCAAUGGCGCCAAAAAAUGCUUGUUGGGUAUUCUUAACAUCAUUACCAAAAGUAGACUAAGUUCUCUAAAUCUAGUAACGGUGCCAAAAAUGCCAAACCUAUCCCUUACACCACUUAAGCCAAGUUGUCAUCCCCAGCAUGAUAUAAGAGACGCGGUAUUGAAAUAUGCAAUUGCUCUUCUAAAUAAAUAAUGAAUGGGAUCUGCAAGCGCACAGAUUAAUACCGAUGCAGCAUUUUAACCGGGAAGUAUUCCACGUAUCGUUAUUUAUAUUUUUACCACUGGGAACGGAUUAGCAAUCAUCACUAUUGAUUACAGAAUAGAAUAUGAGAUUGAGCAUCUAUCAUUGCAUGUAUAAUUGAGAACAUUAUAUCUAACUCUUCACACAGGGAUAAGUGUCACAUAAAAGAUAUAUGAAAUAAUAAUAGUGACAAGGAUAACUAAUCUGAUCUAGCCACAUAAUAAAUAUGAUAAGCACCUCAAUUACAUACUCUAGAAAGUCAUUAGCAUGGUAUUAGAAUGAACUACAAGAAUAUUCCCUAAGUUAUUCUCAACUAUAUAGUCUAGCAUAUCAUAGUUAGUGCAAGCAUACUUAGCAAUCAUUGUGAGACAAGACUACGCCCAUGCAUAGUGAUAUUAGCAAGGAAUAUGAGAAACAUAGCAAUCACUCCCCUGUAAUAAUGUUGCUCUGCCAGCCCAAUACACGAGAGGGGGACUAUAUAAGAAUCAAUGAAGCUGUCACUAUCACGAACCACCCCACGAUCUGGCAUAUUGGGUACAAUCGCAGAUAAAUACGGUAUAAGCACCACGCCUACACAAUAUCUAUCAUUUACCCAUGGAUCCGAUGGAUAAACGCUAUACGAUCCUAAGCAUGUAUAUAGAUCCAAUCUAACUAAGCCAAGUACAUAACUAUGAUAAACUAAGAACAAUAUAAUCUUGAAUAUAAGCAAGUAGAGCAAAGUCAUAAGCAAUAUAUUGAAGUAGAACAAAGUCAUAUUCAUAAUAUUGAAGAACAAAGAUAAUUAGAAAGCAAUUAGAAGCACAAUUAGAGAAUUACCAAGAAUCCUCCUGACAGAUCCGGAAACCAAUCGAAGAUUGACUCCUUCUAGUUCUAAUCCUAUGUAGCUAUGCUAAUCUAGAUAUCUAAUUGAUGUGGUGGCUCUAAUCUUGAUCAGAGGCUUCUUCUCCCUUGAUGGAACAAUGAAUUAGGGUUGAGAGGCUCCCUCCUCCAGGGGCCAGGGGGUCUGGUUUUAUAGUCCCUUCAAGUGAAUAUGAGCCCUUGGAUCAAACCGACAUAGAUUGUAUGGUUUAGAUUCAUCCUUUAGGUCGGUGGAGACUUCCCGCAAAGCAGAGUCCUGUUUGGACUUGGGGGCAGGGCGGGCGCCCUGUCUCUUGCCCCGUUUCGCCUCCGCUUCGGUCUCGUGGCUUCUGGAGUCUUUUAGAUGUAAGAUAAUUGCGCGGCACGUUAAUAUCUUUACGUAAUCCUGACAUGUGGGCCUUUCUUACAUAUUUCCUGAUAACUCCCUGCAGAAAUAGACAAACACCAAAACUCAUGGAAUUCUGUCAGAUAAAACCCUAAGUCUAGAUCUUGAUUUCAUUUGGAUCCUUUUCUUUAUUUAUUUGAUAAUUAAAUUUGAUACUUAAGGACCGUCAACAAUCCGCAGCGCGCACUCCGUCGCGUGGAUAAAGGCCCGGGUGGCCGGGGUAUUUCCUUUCCUUUUUCUGAACCUCACCGCCGACGGCCACCAGUCGACACCAAAAUCCACCGUUGCCUUAGCUUCUUCAUCCCCGAGCUCUUGCUCCCAACUCCGGCAAGAACCCCGCAACCGUUUGCGCCCCUGAGCGCAAGCUCUACCCUACCGUAGCUCCAACCCGAGCCGUUCUUCUCCAACCCCGGCCGAAACGCCGCCGCGGACACUCCACCGUGGCCAGCUUCACUCCAAGCCUCUCCACUGCCGCUUCUUGCUCCGUUGGAAUCGCGGUGAGCCACCGAUGCUUUUGCGCUGUUCAAUUCGCGCUCUACUCGAUCGUAGAGGCCGGCGUCUGCUCGGCCGAGGUAGCCGCCCGCCGUGCCCGUGGCCAUGGGAGCUAGACUAGGAGAGAGCAAGGGUUUAGGGGGUCCAGAGGUGCACCUUGAAGUGGAGAACGCGACCAGCGAGUCGCGAGGGGCGAUGAUGGCGCGGAUGGCUCGGUCGCGCCGUCGAUUCGGCCGGCCGGAGCUUGAAGACGAAGCUGACAGCGGGGGCCCGCUGUCAGCGACGCCUGAGUGGAGGCGAGGGCGCGCGCAGCGCCCGCGUGGGCCGAGCGCGGACAGGCCGGCCUGCGGGCCGAGUUCCUGGACCGCUCGCGGCAGUGUUGUUUUUCUUUUUCUGUUUAUGCAAAAUUUGAUGUAUGUUUGAAUUUGAAUAGAAAAUCAUAUGUUGAUUCAAAAAUAAUGAAACUUUUUGUGUAAGUUCUAUAAAAUAAAUAGAACAUAGGAAAAAUAUUAGGUUCUAUUUUCUGGUAGUUUGCAUGUGUAUAAAAAUUGCCUCUCUAAUUUAGUGAAUAAAACUUCUAGGAAUUUUAAUAAUUUAUUGAUAUGUCCAAAAAUCACCAAAAUUUGUGAGAUGCCUCUGAAUAUUAUUCCCUGGCUUCACACAAAAUUUGGUGGCAUUUGGAUAAUGUUUGAAUAAAUUAAUAUUAAACCCUUAAUUAGUAAUUAAAUAAUAAUUCUAGAAUAAUCAGAUAAUAAUUAGUUAAAUUCUCAAAAUUAGGGUUUGAGUGAUUUUGGGAUUAUGUGAUGACCUGAGGUCAUUAACCUAAUGACCUUUGGCAUUUAAUUAUUGUUUGGCUUUAAUACUCAAUUGCUGUUAUUAAUAUUUAAUUAAGAAUUAUUUAAGAUAAAAGGGUUAAUAAUUAGUUAAUUAAGAAUAAUUAUGAAUUAAGAAAAGUCCUAAUUUACAGAUGCAACCUCUUGGGUAGAGACACUAAGAUGUUAGACAACUUUAAUUAUUGUUUAUUCUGUGUUGCACCGAGGAGGCCAGUUAUACCUAACUUGGUCCCUUUUUGCAUAUUCGUCAUACGCAUAUCAUGAGCAUUCAUCAUUUUGCGUAUAGUGCCCGUGACCGAAGGAGCGACCGUUGAACCGAACCCCGAGGUCUGUGCUCCGUUCGAGGAAGUAGGAUCUGAGACUUGGGAAGUCUCCGAGGGUCCCUCUCAGCUCUGCAACCAAGGCAAGCCCCGGAUGCAUUAACCCUUCCUUAAAUGUUUUAAAUCUUUUAUCACUUAUGAAUUGAAAAUGCUGCAUUAGGUAGACGAGAAUUGGGUUAACCUACUUGCUGCAUUUACUACCUUGAUAUUUGUUAUCUUGUCCUUUGCACCUGUUUCAAUUGAAAACCGCGUAGUAAUGCUUAGCCCUGCUACUAGAUAGGUUUUCAAACAAAGUUUGAAGGGUUGUUGUGGAAUACACGUAUGAUCAAUGAUGUUUCAAUUUGAGACCGGUCGGUGGACUUGCUUUAAGAAUGGAGUCUUAAAGUAGUGUCUCCAACUGUGUCGAUUAAGGACCGUUCCGUUGAUGGCCUGCUGGGUUGAGAAUUUAUAGUACUAGCCACUUGCCCUCGGUAAGCCCAAUCUUGUAAUCCCUCGACGCAAACAGCUACUCGCGCACUGGGCGUGGAGCGAUGGCGAGAGUAGCGUGUACCCACCUUACGGAUCUGAGAUGACCGGGAAACGUCUAGAUCGGCGGUAGGAUGGUGGGGUACUGUGCUCUCGGGUGCCGCGAACCUGGUCAAAUUUGGGGAGAGCUAGAGUUGGGUUGACAUAUGCAAGAUUUGGUUCUACAUAUGUCGGGUGGUUAGGAACUCCAGCUGGAUUGCUAAGCGAUUCAAAUCGUCGUUGCUCCCCGAUUGGGAGACUCAAUUCCUUCGACCCUCAUCAUAGUUAAUUAUGCAACUAAAGGAUAAAAUAAGAAAGGGGAAAAUGUCUCAUGAGGUUCGGAUCCCAAUUCCCGGACUCAGAGUGACAUGAAGCUAUGGCCGUUGGAUAAAUAAUACUUCGAUUAAGGAUUAGGAACUUAUAGACUUGUCUGUGAGAAGCAACUAGAUAGACUGUCCUCGAACUCCUCGGCCUCUUCAGGAGCGGAAUUCGCGGGUAAAACUUGAAAGUAAGGAUGCACUAUUAGUAAGCUUUUCCGCAAAACACUUCGGCUCCUUGCUCAACCACCCCUUGUCUACCCUAAGCCUGCAUCCCUAAUUUCUCCUCUUUUUCUACCGGGUAAGUCUUGUUGAGUACUCCCGUACUCAGGGUUUUAUAACCCCUAUUGCAGGUGAAGCUCAGGAGCCGACUUGUUUCGGACCCUGUUGUGUGUCCGUCGUCGAGGUUGACGACGAGGAAGAGUGAGCGUGACCCAUGGGCAGGGUCUGUAAAUUUGUAAUCUCUGUAUUAAAGUUUAAGUUGCUCCGCUGGACCUGGCUUGUAAUAACACUCUACUAUUUGGAAGAACUACUCUUGUAAGUUAAGUUAUGUAAUACUUCCGCUGUUUACUCUGAAAGCUUAUUUUGGUCUUGUGUCAUCUGUGAUACUGCAAUGUCUUCGCAACGAAUGAUCCUGCUGUUAAGGUGGCCACUUGCUAUCCUGUAAGGGAGAGAAGAAGUUCUCGUUAAUUGACCAUCGCUAGUGGUCAGGACGAGUUCGCUUGAUACUCCACAGGUAGCAGUGGGAUGAGCGUCCUGAGAUGCUCAUCGGACUCCUGGAGUGGGAGGAUCCCCGACAUCACCGUCAGAGGUCCUUGGGACAAUGACAGGUGUCGGUGGGCCCAAACACUUAGGAGGUUCUACCACAACCAGUGUCAGCUUUUGGAGCCUCAUGAACCCCUGGUUAUAAUUGUUGAGUACGAUAUGUGCUCACUCUUGCAAUUUCCCAACACCCCAGGUUAUGCUAAUGAAGAUGACUGGAAUGAGGAUUACCGUUAUGAGUACUAGGUUUGGAGUCAACCAGUCAAUAGUGUCCCUGUGUGGAGCUUCCGUCGAGAGCGUUGUUUACUUUAUGCUAUCAUUUUUGUAUGAGACUAUGUGAUAUCUUAUAUUCUGCUAUGUAAUAAACAAUGCAAUGGUACAUUUGAGAUUUGUCUACUUAUGUGUGCGACUGUUUCUGGGGCACAUAUGAGUGUUUUAUGCAUCCUAUUUUGUUCUCAAAAUAUGGGUGUGACAAAUUGGUAUCAGAGCUUUGUUUACUGUCGGACACAAGCCUAGUUAGAAAUUGGUCGUAUUAAGGUUUUGAAAUUGCUGUAAAAUCCUUGUUCUAUAAACCUUGAUAUUUUCCUCUAUACUAUAUCCUUUUCUUUGCUAUUCAUCCUCACUUUGAUGCUUAUUUUAAAGACUUGUUCUCACCCCACUCCUUGCUUUGAAUAUGCUUUUAGAACUUUUCUUACCACCUUCUAACGUCAUUGAAAUAGGAACUAUAGGAUCUUUGCCCUUAAUAGGAAGAGAACGUUAGUACCGCAAGUUGAGUCAAUUCUUGAAGUGUGAACUUUUGAUGCUUGGUUUGGUUUGUUAUUAUGCUUAUGCUUGAUUUUGAUUUUUGUAAUGAGUGCUGGAACCUUGUGGGCAUAUCCACAAGUUCCCUAGUUAAGAACCUUAAGUAAGAACAUGAAUAAAUAGUGGUUUGGGGGCAUAUCCUGCUUCUGUCCUUGCUGAUCUCUGGAGCAGUCUGCAAUAAAUCUGGUACAUCUCAAAAUCUGUUCGUGCAAUGUUCAUCACAUUUUUCUGGAGACAAGUAGACUUUCAUAUCUUUCUAAUGCCGCAAGAAUGACACUAAAAUCUGUUAUGGUCUGUGAGAUACAACUGUUCAAAGUUGAAGUUUCUGCGCAGUCUGGAAUUCUGGAACAGUUUUGGUUAUGACCAGUUUUGACUAAUUUAACAACAGAAUCUGUUAAAAUGAUCUAAAUGAAAGUUGUAGAUAAUUGCUUUAUCUUUCCAACGGUGUAUAGAAUGUAUCCUUUUGGAUUAUGGAACUUGAGAUAUGACUGGUUUUCUGAUCUGCUGAUGUUGGAUAUUCCCCAGAAAAUUUCAGAUUCCGUUAACUCUUGUAAUUGUCAUGUUGGACAUUACUAAGAUGUGUUUGUAUACCUUGGAAUGCAUAUGGCAGCAAGGGGAAGAGGCAGAGGCAGAGGCCGUGGCAAUGACAAUGGUGGCAAUGCCCCAAUCGCAGUGAGGAACUCAUGCAAACCCAAAAUGAGAUGAUGCACGUUUUCAUGCAGCACCUACAGCAGCAACCUCCACCAACACCACCACCUGUUCAUGUGAGGGAUAAGCGUAGGGAGUUUAUGAAGGGAAGACCUCCGAUAUUUACACACUCAGCUGAUCCCAUGGAGGCAGAUGAUUGGUUACGUGCUAUGGAGAGGCAACUGAACAUAGCACAGUGCAAUGACUUGGAGAAGGUGUUGUAUGCUUCUAGACAGCUUCAGGGGGCAGCUCAGACAUGGUGGGAGUCAUAUCAAGUUGCUCGUCCCAACAAUGCUCCUCCUAUCACAUGGCUGGAAUUCUGUAGAGACUUCAGAGCUCGACAUAUAAAUGAAGGAAUGAUGGAGCUCAAGCAAGAAGAAUUCAGAUCUCUUAGGAUGGGUUCUAUGUCUGUGGCUGAGUAUCAUGACAUGUUUGAGCAGUUGGCUCGCUAUGCCCCAAACGAAGUUAGAGAAGAUGCUGACAAACAACGUCUCUUCAUGAAAGGUCUCUACUAUGAACUUAGGUUGCAACUAGCUGGAAACACAUAUCCUACCUUCCAGGCUCUGGUAAACCGUGCUAUUGUGUUGGAUAACAUGCGUAAAGGUCAAGAUAAUAAGAGGAGGAUGCUGGCACAAGGUUCUGGAGGCAACAACCGCCAACGUUUCAAUUCUCAGCAGGGCGAUCAACAGAGGUACCAGGGACCGGUUGGUCAAUGGGAUCGCAACCAACAAUCCCAGCGUAAUCCUAAUCAACAACAGAGUGGACAGCAGACUUCCCGCUCAGGAAAUUCAAAUGCCACCUCUAUGAAGAGAAGUGCUCCCAAUACCCCUACUAGGUGUUUUCGCUGUGGAAAAGAAGGUCAUAUGUCAUAUGAUUGCCCGAAGAGAUCCAACCAGCAGAACAACAAUAAAAAGUCUAAUUCUCAUGGAGCAAAGGUGAACCAUGUGGCUGCAGAGACAGUACAAGAGGGACCGGAGAUUAUGAUGGGUACGUUCAGUAUCAACUCUAUACCUGCUACAGUUUUAUUUGAUUCUGGAGCUUCGCAUACAUUCAUAUCACAAGCAUUUGUUAGAGUUCAUAGCAUACCACUAGUUGCCAUGAAAACCCAUAUGCUAGUAAACUCACCGGGAGGGACUAUACCAGUUUCAUAUUGUUGCCCCUCAGCAAGUCUUUCUUUAAGGGGGUAGAUUUCCCGGUUAGACCCAUGGUUAUGAGAACCUCAGGCAUAGAUGUGAUAUUGGUUUUGGAUUGGAUGAAGAAAUAUGCUACGAAAAUUAAGUGCAAAGAGAAAGUAGUAGUUGUGACAACACCUAAGGGAGAGAGAAUCAGUGUGGAUGUAGCAGUGCAGGCUCCACCCACAGCUACAGUGAAUCAGCUGGAUGAUGGUGUUGAUCUUCAGGACUGUGUAGAGAAUAAAUUUUUAGAUAAGUUACCAGGUAUGUUACUUGACUAGAGACAUGAAUUUGCUAGUGCAAUGGAAUCGGUUGUUAGAGGCAGAAGCAACUUGGGAAAGAGAUGAUGAUCUGAGGAAAUCAUACUCAUACUUGUUUGAGUAAACACCUUUCAAUCUCGAGGACGAGAUUCUUUUAAGGGGGGUAGAGUUUGUAACACCCAAAAUUUGAUUUUCAAAUAAUAGGAUUUAAUUUGAUUUAUUUAAGUAUUUUUGUGAGCAUUUAAUCUAGAAAAUAAGUAAUUUUUGGUGGAAAAUAAAAUUUAUCAUAAGUUUAGAAACUUGAAUUUUGCAUUUCAUGCUGGAGCAUAUUUAAUUCUGUGUUGUUGCCCUUCUUGUUUGAAUUCAUUUGAUUCAAAUUUCAUUUGAAAAAUGCUUUAGAAAAAGGAACAAAAGAAAAAAAAGAAAAGGGGAAGGACCCCAGCCGAACCCCAGCUUCCCCCCUCCUGCGCGCGGCCCAUUUCUCUCCCCCGGCCCAGUUUCCUUUCCCCCCCGCGCGGCCCAGGCGCGCGCCUCCCCCCUUCUCCCAUCCGCUGACUGUCGAACCCCACCUCUUCUUUCACCGCCAGCCGGGACCCGCAUGUCAGCGCACUGUUUAUCCCCUUCCUUUCUUCUUCACUUAACCGAGCCGGCUUCUCUCCCUCACCGAUUUGGAAACAAACCUCCAAUCUCGGGAUUCCUUGCCAAAUCACGCGCAACUGAGCCCUAUAAAGCUCUCUAUCCACCACGUAUCCCUAUUUUCGCAUCCAAAUCGCCCUAAUACACCCUACCUUCGCUGUUUGGAUCUUGCCGUGAGCCACGCGAAGCUGCCGCCGUGACGCGACCUCCCCACCCUCUUUCGGCUCGAGUAAACAAUCUAGGUGGGUUCUCCUCCUCCCCCUCGACCCCCCGGUGCUUUUCCUUCAAGAAACGGUGUUCGGAAUCGGCCAAGCAGCGAGCUCCCGCGAGCUCGGUCUCCCCGGCCAUGGCGCCACCGCGCCGGAGGCCAGAGAGCCAGCCGGCCCGCCGCCUGGUGACCCCUGGAGAAAUCUCGGCCGUCGGAUGGAGAUCACAUGGCCCGCAAAUGAAGAUAGCCCUUCGUUGGAAAUCUUUCUAAAGAGUCCCUGUGUUCUUUUGCAAUUUAACCCGCGGUCCUUUACGUACUUUCCCGUUUACGCUUUCCAGUUUUAAAAGCGUAAUCCUGUCCGGUUCAAUUCAAUUUACGCUUUCGAUUAUUUACAGUUUUGCCAUCAAUUUUAUAAUGCUCAUAAAAUACUCAUUUUAACUACGUUUUUGUCCAUUCAAAUUUCGUUAGAUUCGUAUUUACGAGCUCUACAUGUUAGAAGUAUUUAUUCUCUGUAUUGAAACUUUUUAAUUCUGCAGUAGCAUUUAAUUAAUUAUUUCUCUAUAGGAAAUCUUAGAAAAUUCAUAACUUCUACGUUUUAAUUCCGAUUUUCGUGAACUUUAUGUUUGUGUGAUCGUAGCGCUGCGUAGAAUAUUUUCAUAAACUUUAUCUUUGAUUUCUCACUGUGGGUGUAAUGUUCUAAUUAUAGCUUGUUUGCUUUCUGUAUGAUUGACUACAUUGGAUUGCGUGUUGUUGACUGAUGUUUGGGAAUAGACGGUGAGCCGUACGUUGGUGAUCAAGACCAAGCUUUCGAAGACCAGCAGGCUCAAGAGAGCUUUGAUCAAGGCAAGUAUAACUUGGAAUCAUCCUUGUUGCCUAUUCACUUAUAACUACACAUAUAUGUCAUAUGCAUGCUAUCACCUUGUCGACCUUAGCAAAAUCAUAGAUGAUUGUUACCUGGAUUCCUUGCUACCUACUUGAUAUGCAUUUGUUGUAGAUGUGCUAGUGCUUGAUAUAAUCCAUGAUCUUGUAAGAUGAUUAAUAGCUAUGCAAUGAACAUAAAAGAAUGACAAAUAACUGUAUGAGAUCUUGUCUGUAAGUGACCACCGGGACAACAGUGCAACCAUGAGGGCUAUAGUGGCUCUGGCUUUAGCUCAGUAUGAAGACCUUUUCUAGCUUGUUAGAGGUUACCCGAAAGGGCGGAGGGGCUGAACCAUUUUGGGUAUAGUGCGAGCCCCUGUCCCUAUGUGUAUAGGCUGCGCGUCAUUGUCCCAUUCGGAAGGGGGGUAUCUAUAUCUGCGUGCAAAUGAAACCUUGCGGCCCUAACAGGUUAGACAAACUUUUGAAAGGCUUCAUAGUGAUCCCUGCCGACCUCCCUAGGAAGGGGGUUAAGAUAUUAGCUACCUUGGGCGAAAGGGUAAAUCAUGACUCAUGGGUAAAGAUGUACAACCUCUGCAGAGUGUUAAAACUGGUAUACUAGCCGUGCUCACGGUUAUGAGCGGCCUUGGGGGUUCUUGCUGCGCGGACGAUGAGCUUAUUAAGUUGUUAUGUCCAUUUGAUUAUCGUUUAUGCUAUGGAUUAAUUAUGCUUACACUUGAUCAUGUGAUUAAUGGAUUAUUUAUGCUACCUUGACAUUUGCUAUUUAAUUAUGAAUAUUCUAUCCACUAUUAAAAGCAAAAUGCAGUCAAACCAGUGUCAGCUUUUUGAGCCUCAUGAACCCCUGAUUAUACUUGUUGAGUACGAUAUGUGCUCACUCUUGCAAUUUCCCAACACCCCAGGUUGUGCUAAUGAAGAUGACUGGAAUGAGGAUUACCGUUAUGGGUACUAGGUUUGGAGUCAACCAGUCAACAGUGUCCCUGUGUGGAGCUUCCGUCGAGAGCGUUAUUUACUUUAUGCUAUCAUUUUUGUAUGAGACUGUGUGAUAUCUUAUAUUCCGCUAUGUAAUAAACACUGCAAUGGUACAUUUGAGAUUUGUCUACUUAUGUGUGCGACUCUUUCUAGGGCACAUAUGACAAGCUCCUAAGGGUCUACACAGCUUGACCACACUCAAUGCUCAUAAGCAGCAAAAAGUAAAUGUGUGGCUUAAAGUCUAGCAAGCAUGUAUAUAUGGCUGUGGUAGGAAUUUAAACUCUCAUCAUAGAGGAACUCAUCAUGUGUUAUUUUAAAUAUUUUCAAAGAUAAAAUUCUCCAGAUUUCUAGCAUAUCUAGGAAUAGAUAAACAGCAGCUCAACCUUCCCAUAUCAUAUCCGUUAACAACUUAGACUUUAGAUCAAGUGCUCUUCCCACAAGUUCAAGUUUAGAGCAGGUUUAAAUUAUAACAGUUAUGCCUAAACUUGAGAGAGAGCACAAACUUGAAAACUAGGUACAUGGCAAAGCAACUAUUUAUCAUUUCCAUAUGAGAGCUUAUCAUGAGGGUUGAUAGCAAACUUUAUUUAUUUAUUUAUUUAGCAAACUAAGCAAAGAUAUAUAUAUAAGCACAAAAUCUUUAUUUGGGUUUUUUAUGAUUAUGAAAUUUUUUAUUAUUUGAGUAAAGUAUAAACGCGAGUAGAAACACUUAGCUGGAUAAAUGGGGGUGCUCUCCCCCAAGCUGGAUUUUGACGUAAUUUCUUCUGAUAUAGCUAGCAGGUGGUGGAGGUGUAUUUGAAUGUCGGCAGCACCCUGACAGCGAUUACUAUGUCCUCCGUCUACUAGUCUUCUUUGAUCCUUGAAUUCUGUGGAGCUCAAAUAGACAACAAAGCUUUGUGGAACUGGUUAAGUGUUAGCAUAAAUAUCUAGCCUUUAUCAUGUUGAGCCUCCUUAAUAAAUGUUAUUUAUUUAGCACGAUCAUGCACUUAUUAUUUUUAUAUUUUUAUUGUAAGAUGAAAACAUAUUUAUUUUAUGCCACCACAGUCAAUAUACCUAUGGGUUUUUAAACCACAAGUCUACUCACAUGGGGCAUACUAUUUUUAACAUUUUUAUUUUCUUUUCAAGAUAGCAUGAACCUGAUUAACUAAGCAAACUAUUGAAAGGAAAAGGAUAACUACCAAGUUUACCUCUUGGCAAGGCGUUCAGUGUUUUAAGUCCUCCGAAUGGGACUCUCCGUUUUCUCAGUCGUCCUGGGAUUCGCUGGAUAGCGUAGUCGGUGGUUCCGGUGGCGCCUCCUCUUCGUGUAUAACUAUCUUCUCUCUCCACACCUGACUCGGUGCUACGGUCUCCUUAGGACAAUCCUGUUCAAGAUGUAUAUCUUCAGACCUUACCACUUCUCCUUCGUAGUCUGCCCAUCCGUCCUUGAUGAUUUGCCUCCUCUGGUUGCGGUUGCGUCGUCUUCUUCUUGUCCUCACUUGCUUAGAGUCUUCAACUAUAUAGUUAGGGUCAGUAAAAUAGUGGCGUACCUUCUCGGAGGGGAAGUGCAUGUGGACUUCUCCAGUUCCAAUGUAGAUGAUAACUUUGAUAGUGUUGAGGAACGGUCUUCCAAGGAUGAUGGGUGGAUCCUACUCGUCUUCUCCCAUGUCAAUGACCUGAAAAUCAUCUGGAGCUGAAUGUAUAUUGGUUGUAGGGGCAUGGUUCCAUGCAGGAGCUGAUAAGUGACUGCGGCCAUUAUGUUGACGUCAGAUCCGGUGUCGUAGAGUGUCUUCUGAAAAGAGUAUCCGUUGAUUGUGCACUCGAUGCUUGGAACACCAGGGUCACCCUUCUUGAUCAGGAAAGGUUACUUGAGUUGACGAUCUUGACCUCCUCUGACAAGGAUCUAAUGUUUUAAGUCUUCUGGACAAGACUUUUCACCGUCUUCAUCCUUUAGGUGCAUCAUUUGAUUAGUUGUGGACCUUGACGUCUGCACCUCUUGAUACGGAGUCACCCAUGUUCUUCGUUUGCCUAGCAGUUCGAAGUGUCGUGUUGGCAAUAUCCUGCUCAUUGUGUUUGUGCUCGUAGAUCCAGGUCCUUCACUUGGUGGAGUCUAGGAGUUGUAAAACUUCUCCAUGUUUUGCUUGAAGUGUACCUGUUCAUAGAGACAAGGCAGAGAUCAAGUGCAUGGGCCCUGUUGGUGGAAAACACCAACAGAACCAAAAGUGUAUUUGUUCUUCUCUAACCUUAAGCGUAGUGAGCAAGACAAAGUUGAUGGAUCAUGAGUGUAGCAUUUGAAACAUUUGUCAGAUCAGAUGGCUCAACCUAAUUGAAAGAUAAUCUAUCUAUAUUUAUGUUUUGUUUAUAUCUUCCAAAGAUUGAAUGUGCAACAUUUUAGCUUAUAUGAUUAGGAGUGUGGGAUCACGAAGGUAGUACUUAAGAACAAAGAUUAAAGGACUAACAUGUUGAAUUAACUGGGUUGGUUAAUUUAUGUUUGUCUCUUUAUUCAUCUGUAUGCCAGAACCAAGGAGAAGCUUAUAAAAGUGAUAGUCAAGUACCUUAAGGUGUUACCUUACUUGAAGAGUGAUGGUAUAGUAUCACCUUGUGGAAGCUUUCCUUUCUUAGCGGUUGUGCAUCGUGUUUGUGGCAUUCUUUGUCUCGUUCCAUGGAUCAUCUCUCUAUGACGAAUGAGCUAUGUCUUCCUUGUGCAAAUUGUUAAACUUCAUGUGUCUCCUUUAUCUCCAAUAUGUUUGUAUAUCAGGACUUCCCAGGUUGAUAUUGAAAGUUUUCCUGCAGGGGUUAGUCCGACAACAUAUACCAGUGCCUACUCAAGCAGUUUUUAGUUCAGUUACCAAACUAGACUCCAUGUCUAAUCAGAUUAAGGAAGGCUAUUUAACCUAAGCACCACGCUUAAUUUAAAAGCCAAUAGAAGUAUGUACAGUACUUCCAAACUAACACUUACUAAGAUAAACAUAGGUAGCAUGAUGGCUUUUAUAGAGAUCUACUCAAGUGGAGAUGAAGUAGUGUGGUUAGUAUUUAACAAAUUGAGCAUGUCUCAAAGGUAAGGACAACCAACAUAGCAACAUGGCAAAAGAUGUUUUUAUGUAAAGUACUCCCCCAAGCUUGAAUUUUGCAAAAUUCAAGAUUGGAUGAAUUUAAUUCAAUGUUGUGUGAUGGUUGGUUGGACAUACCUUGUGCUUGUCAUUCAUCCGAUCUUCUUGCUCCAAUCCUAGAAAGGUUAGUGACAAGAAUACCUGAAGGAAUAUUUAUACAAUUAUCUUUAUAUGCUCAAUACACAAGGAAAUGUUGCAAAUAAUUAAAAGUUUAUGUUACAAUCUGAUCAGUGCUUGUUUUAGGACACUAAGCUUGUCCUUGGGAAACCAUCAAUUUAUGUCAGCGAAGUGGUUUCCCUUCCAACGCUGACCUAUAUCAAGAUCAACUGAACGAGAUCUACAAUAUUUAUUAUAGGCACAUGCAUCGACAACCUCCCUUUUAAAGUUUUUAUAAAUAGAAAGGAAGAGGGGGUUGGAGAUCUCAAAUGUGGUGAUGUUGGAGAGACCAAUUGAUUGGGGAGAUGUUUUAUAUGAGCAAAGACUUGGUGAGGUAUUUAUGAAAUAACUUCCAUGCUCACUGUUGUUUCUCUCAUUCUCAAACUCCAAGGAUGAUUCUUCAUGAAUGCUUAAAAUUCCUCUAGGAUUGUCUCUCAAGUUUUUUUUAUCUAUCCAUUCAAUGGUGAUAGCAUAUGGAUUUUUAAUGCCCUCUAGCCAUUGAUGUUGCUCUUCUCGAUCCUCCUUGUGGUCUUGGUGACUCUUAUGCAUGGGAUGUCUAGAGAGAUUCAUAGGAUUAUCGGAAGGUUCAAGAGAAAGAGCAUAGUAGAAAUUAUUAGGCUCAAGGAUGGGUUGGAUAGCUGAAUCAUGGGAUUGGAAUGUUUGGAAAUCAGCUAUUGAAACUUUCUUUCCUCGUUUGGGAGAUGAUUCCUUCUCUAUCUCUAAGAUUUUUCUAUGAAGACUAGUACAAGAAGGAUGUCCACGAAUGAAGUCAUACCUUGGUUUACUAACAGAUAAAGAAAAAAAACUCUACCAAAGGUUAUAUGAUUAAGACCAGUGUGAAAAUAUCGAGAAAAACCAUGGUCUUGUAGGGCUAGGUCUAAACCAGAAUUUAUAGAAAGAUUAAAAGAUUCCCUAAGUGUAGCUAAAAGUUCAUUAUCUUCUUGAUUAAAAGAUAGGACCUCUGCUAUAGAAAAGGGUUGGUUUUGACCUAUUGCAAUCAACUCCGGAUAUAGAUCAUAACUAGGGGUAGGACUUGUUGACUCCCAUGGUCAAUGGCGGGUCUCCGAAGUUGCAAGGAAUUCAACAGUAGGUAUGGAAUUUGAGUUAUCCACAAAGAUGGAAAAAAUAAAAAGAUAAAAGAAUAAAAGUAUAAAAGUAUAAUACAAGAUAAUAGCAAGACUUAAAGUUAUCUCAGCAAACCGUCUUUCUCCCCGGCAACGGCGCCAGAAAUGCUUGUUGAUAUUUGGUAACACAAUAAGGAAAUGAUCCGCAAGCGCACGGAUAUCGGUGAGCAUUUCACCCGGGAGGUUAUCUAGAGUAUCGUAUUUAUAUUUUUACCACUGGGAGAAAGCGUGCAUCUGACUAACCAAAUCUAUUGCUACUACCCUUUAGGCUACAAAGAAUGUUUCUCGAUGUGAGCGAUGUAUAGAGGAGACUGCAACCGUAGUCUCGUUCUAACCUUGGUAAGGAUGAUCUACUAAUUGGAGAGGCUCACGGAAUCUAGACACCACAGAGGAUGUUCAACCCGCACCUAUAAACCCUAUCCUUCCUACUAACGAGAUAUGGUUUGCAAAGGUAACUCGGAAAUGUCACGUUCCUUGCUACUACCACGGUCCAGCUAGUCAGGGGAUAUCUAUGAGUACCCUAGCCCAAACACCACGUUUACGCUAGCAAUGAUUACUCUAAACUCAACCAGAAGAGAUUAAAGUAAACUCAUAAACCAAAGAACAAUAAAACAAGAACUUACUAGAAUUAGAAGUCGAAUUACUGAAGAAUCCUAGGAGCAAGCCUCGGGUUAGAAGACUUGAGCCCGCAGGUACAACCUCGGAGUAGACACCGACAGGCCGGGCUUCCUCUGAUCUACACCUCCACUCUAUCUCUCUCAAUCUAGUAGAAACUAGAAGAUCUAAUUCUACUCACAUUGGAUGCUAAGCCUAAAAGAAAUUUUAUUUAGAGGAGAGGUAUUCCUUCAAGGGCUCCUCUCAACUCUAUGAUGAACUUGUCUCCUCCAGGGGCCAGGGGGUCUGGUUUUAUAGUCCCCUCAAGUGAACGUGAGCCGUUGGAUCAAACCGACAUUGAUUAGACGGUUAUCCUUGAUCCUUUAGGUCGGUGGAGCUUGGUCCCCGAGAAGAGUUCUGGUUGGACUCUGGGACAGGGCGGGCGCCCAAGGGGGGAGGGCGGGCGCCCUGCCUCCGGGCCCGUUCGCCUUCCCGUUCGUUCCCGUGGCUUCUAGAGUCUUCUAGAUUACAGAAAAUUGCGCGGCACGUUAAUAUCUCUAUGUAAACCCGAUGUGUGGGCCUUUCUUCCAUAUUUCUUGAUAACCCCCUGCAGAAAUAGACAAACACCAAAACUCGUGGAAUUCUGUCAUAUAAAACCCUAAGUCUGGGUGUUGGUUGCAUUUGGAUCCUUUUCUUUAUUUAUUUGAUGAUUAUAUUUGGUACUUAAGGACCGUCAACAAUGGAUACCGUUGUAGCUUUCACCCAGAGGUUUUAAAUAUCAUAUCCAUAGGGAAACGUGUGAAACUAACUACGAUCUAACUCAACAAAAGGAGUGAUAACUAGGUGGAGAUGGAUGAUAACUAAGAGUAGCAACAAGGUUAGGAUAAAUAGGAGCAUAAAAAGGAUAACUAUGGAUCCUCUACUUCUAACUUAGGUAAACUAUAUUUUCUAUUGUCCAACUUUGGCGGAUGUCUUAUAAUUAAAGAACAUAUGAAAUUUCUUCUCUACAAGCACCAUAAAACCUGUCAAUCGUAUUAAUGGAAUAGUGGACUACAGAGGACUCAACGGGUCUAUCACACCCGUGAUCUACCAUAGAACUCCAAAAAAUAGGGGACCUUUAUGAUUAACCUAAGCCCAAGCACCACACAUACACCUAACCUUAAUACUCUACUCUCUUUAGUUGCACAAAUAAAGCACUCAAAAGAGUCACAAACAAUUGAACAAUAUAGACAAAGUAAACUUAGAUCAAAAGUUGAUUACUAGAGAAUCUCAAAGAAAAGCUCAAGUACAACUUGGAUCCACUGAAGUAGAGGUUGUAGAGGGAGCACCUACAGGCCAGCACAUCCUCUAAACUCUUCCCUCACUCUUUAUCUCUCUAUUUCUAUUCAUAAGACUAGAUCCUAUGAAGAUCUAAUCUUCUCUUGAUGGCUAACUCUAGGAGGUAGAUCCAUUCAUGGGACCCCUCUCUUGAUCCUAAUAGACGAAUAUGAAUUAGGGUUUUGGGACUGCUCUAGGGAGGGGGACACGGGUCUGAUUAUAUAGCCCGGUGGGAUGAACGUGAGGUCUUGGAUCAAACCAACUUUGAAACAUGGUGGAGAUGCAUCGUAGGAGGUGGUGGAGGAAGCUUUUGGAAGCAGGAUGCGAGACGGUGCAGGGAUAGGCUGGCCGACUCUUGGGUGGGACCGACUGGCCCCACUUUGGGCUCUUUCGGGGCUCGCAUUUGCAUGGUGUCUUCUUGAUCCUUCUAGAGUCUUCUCUCAUAAUUUUCAUAAAUUAAAUCGGUUGGUUUAUUUGACGAAUAGAUCCUCCUUGAUUGUUUUUCAGAAAAAUCCUAUAGAAAAUAAUAAUUCACCAAAACAAACCCUAAACUUAUGUAGAUUCAUUCUAUUGUAUCAUUUAUCAUGUUUAUUCAAUUAUAAAUUGUUGACAUUAUCCACCGACAACAUCUAUGUCACACUUCCUUUCUUCAUUACUCUUACGCACAUCUAGAGUCGAGAGAUAAUUUGUAACUUAGUGCUUAGAAUCCAUAUGAAUCGAUCAUCUUUGUAACUUAGUACUCAAAAUCCAUAUCAAUCAAUCAUCUUAGUCAUACGCUUUCCUUGAACAUAUAAAUAUGGUGCCUAUACUCCUAAGUGAAGUGAUGCAUCGAUUUUAUUAUCUUGGGGAAUUAUCAUUUUGAGAAUAAGACAUACCAACAUCUUGACCUUUCAGAGGCAUAGGCUUGUCAUGGCUCGUAGACGUAGUGGCUACUCCACCCCCUUUGAUACGCUGUUGCACCUUUUGUAGAUCCCACGAUGGUGCUAGAACAGUAUUUGUGUGGUGAUUAUAUUAAAAUGUGUUUAUAGAUUAUGAUGCUAACAUUAGCCUAGUCAAAGAAAGGGGUACCUCUUUCUUGAAAAGCUCUUUGUUAUCGUAUAUAAGUUUUAUUCUAAGGUCUUUGUUAUCUAUCAUGUAUGUAAUUUUAUUUUAAGGUCCUCAAAAUGAUUCUAUGUCUAAAAGUUUGGAUGGACAUAUCUAAAAGUAAGACAUAAAUGGCUACAAAACCUAACCUUGUGAUCUGGACCUAUAGAAGAUGUGGUCAUAGUUGGGACUGCCUUGCUUCUUCACCUUGAACUUCAACAAUGUGUGGCGCCCACACUUGUUGCACUCAGUGAGAGGGAACUACAGCCUCAAUCGCUAACCAUUGGAGGCAAAUGGCCUGGACAGGUACGCCAUCUAUGGCAAGGAACACUAACUGGGUCUCCCUUUGAAUCCACGAUGACAAGGGUGACAGCUGCCUUGCUUCAUUGUGAUAAGGUGAUAAGGAUGAGAGAUUGAGGAUAAAUUGGUCAACAUCGUACACAUUGGCAAAAAUAAAAGGCAUAGACUGGUUGUAUGUCACACCCAAUUUCAAGGAAGAAAUUGAAUGCAUAAACUUAUGUGUGCCCAGGGAUCAAUCACACACAUAAAUUACAAAUUAAAUAUUAUCUUCGUAGUGUUUACAUCAAAUGUAGUCAUAACAACAUAAAGUGUGGUACAACAAAGGAAUAUAAAUAAGAUAAAUCUAAGAUAACUCUCUCUUGGCCCCCACACACUGAAGGUCGACUGAUGAAGCACAAGCCUAAUAAUCCUCCACGUAGUCCUCAUAGCUACCAUCAUCUAUUACCCAUCCGGGAUUUUUAUCCACAAAGAAGUAUAAACAAGCGUGAGUACAUCUCGUACUCCAUAAGCAUAGCAUGAGGAUUCAUGAUGCUCAAAAAGGCUAAACUAGGUUUACUACAUCAGCAUUUUAGUAGGUCAGUAUUUUAACAUUAAUUAUUAUUAAGUUACGCUUAAGCUCCGAAUUAACCCAUAUGAUCAGUUGUUAGAACCAUAGUAAAUCUGUUGAUGCAAAAGCUGAUCUGCAAACACAAAGGGCUAAUACCCGGUUUAAAUGUUAAGGCGUGCGAGCCGAUUUGACCUUACUAUCGGCAAAGGUGAUAACUCGAAUACUUUGGUCCCGACAACAGCGAUGCGCUCCGAUGCCACGGCCAAGAGGUAUUCACGCGGAACUCGAGAAUACGCCGAGCUUAAGUCGACGAACUUCUAAGAACUCGUAAUGAAAAGGAAAAUAUGACGAAGUCAUCGAAAAAGUAGAUGCUGGAAUAUGAGUAAAAACUUGUGUUUGAUUGAUUGAUAGAUUGUCCCAUUACAAGGCCCCAGGGUCUACAUUUAUACCCUGCUUAAAGAGCUGUAAUCAGACACGACUAGGACUCGAAUUCCAAAUUAAACAGAAUCCGUAUACAAAACUAUUUAAAUAACUAAGGAAAGCACAAAACUAUCCUCCCGUGACAAACUGGGACACCACCAUGGACCAAUCGGGAACCUUCACGUUCUCCUUCCGAGUCAUCAGCAGACUCCUCAUCACAGCCAUCGGCAAAGGCUAAUGCUGAUCAUCAGCAUGAACGCGUCACCACUUAUGGACUUAGCCAUAUUCAGCUGUCUCUUCAUCCGCAACCACCUUCAUCGGCAACUCCCCUGCAAACCAUUUACUGUUGUCCUAUCUUGCCGAUCUGUACUCUACCGAUUCCUGGGUACGUGUCCAAAAACGGUGUCAACACAUGCCCCCCAAUUUCGGAGUAUAAAAUCAUUAAUGCUCCCAAAUUCUCUGCAGUAAUGAUGCCUUUCCGCAAUUAAUCCUCUCAAUUUGGUAACCGACCGUUGAAGCCGAACAACUCUGGCCCGAUUCUUCCGCAGAUUCCUCGAAUUCCUCAACCUCCCAAACUGGACAUCUCCACUUUAUUCGCCCAUUGGCAAUAUUACCAUUAGAGGGAGCUGCCGAUGGACCGACCAGGAAAUCCCGCACAUUGAAAUAUCUCCAGAUUAUGGAUGCUUCCUGUCAAAUCACCUGCGCAAUCCCUUGAUUACCGUGCGAACAGUUACCAUAUCCACCUGAGUAUCCUCGGAUUUCACGGAUACGGCAAAGAGAUAAGUCAAAUUUGCCCUUUGCCCGUUUUGUCCUAUAAAUAGUUCCUUCUCGGGUACUCCUUCUCCAUCGCAUCAUUCUACAGCCCAACUCUGCUUUUCUGGCGGCGGCACUGUUCGAGAGCUCCAAAAACUCCAACAAGAACCUCCUCCAACAACCCCAAGUUCUCAAUCUUCUCUCCUGCGAGGAGAUGGCCAUCAACUUCGUCGUUCCUGAGGUCAGCGUACUGCUCUUUUUCCUGCACUUUCAUUGUAUCCCCGUUUAUCCGCAGUCUAUCUUACCGAAUUCUUUUUUCUUUUUGUUCUUCUUUUCGCUCCCAAAAAUUUCUAGGAUUUGGCCAAUAAAAUCGUUAUUCCUACCGAUCAACCCCACCUUCAAUGCCUUGGUCCACUAGGAAACUUGGAUCCCACCGAUCUUAUAAAUGCGGAGACAAACAGAAUCCCUUUUAGAGCCGAGAAUUUCUCUUUAGAUCUAUGGAAGGAUGCUUUUUGUUCCUAGCCCAAUCCUAUCAAGGGAUGGAAGGAUUGGUUCCUGAGAGUCAGUAACUCAAAUGAGGUCCAAUGGGGUGAACGGAAACUGGAUCAAUGCAUUAGAUUGUCUCUUGCCGAUAUGGAGAGAAACGAGUCGCUAGUGAUAGCUGCCUCAUACUUUUGGUCAGACACACUUAACGCUUUUGUUUUUGGCCAUGGCCCUCCUUCCCCCACUCUUACCGAUGUGCCUAUGCUCACUGGCUUAGAUGUAUCCACUGCUGAUAGUAGUCACAUAUUUGACACCCAACCUAGCGCUAAGGUGGAAACUCGCUCUAUCGGUGGCUGGUCUGGGUACAUUCAGAAGUACCGUAAAACAGGGCCUGUCGACAUAAAGGAACAGACCACCUUCCUAAACAUGUGGUUAGACAAAUUUGUAUUCUGCGGUCGAUCGGCAGGACCAACCUCCGUUUACCUAUCGGCAGCAGAGAGAUUAGCCAAUGGUGGCCGAUUUCCCCUCGGCCGAUACCUGCUUGGUUCUGCCUAUCAUCUUCACCACCAAGUAGCCCAGAAACUACUGCUUGGUCAACCCAUCGGCAACUUAGGGGGCCCUUGGUGGUUCAUCAACAUGUGGCUUAGCCUCCAUAUGCACAAGCGACUGGAAUUUGACCUCUUUGCACAGCGUUUCCCCAGGGAUAUAGCAGAGGAUCAUGAGUUAGAUGAAGAAGAAUCGGCAACCCGUCCUCCCUUAAACUGUGGUGAAGCCAUCACAGUUUUGCCUGGUAUUGGAGGCAAAGGAGAUCAACUCAGCCGAUUCUUUCAGACUCUUUACGAGGGUCUGAACAAAGAACAGCGAGAAUGGAUGCCUUAUGAAGACUCAGACACCAGAUUUCCUCUGACCUUUCACCCCUUCGACGAUGCUCUCAAUAAAGAUCAUGAUGUGAUGAUGGCUCUUAUCACUACCAGAGCUAUACCAGUAAACUUCUUUGGUAGUGGGAAAGCCUCCAACCAGACCUAUGAAUUCUACAACCCAUCGGCACUAGCCCGUCAGCUAGCUUUCGGUCAGCUGCCGAUUGCACUCUGUUAUGCCGAUGUGAUAAAACCCAGGGAAACCAUCACUAGUCUUCUCGAGUGGACCAGAAUAGCUCAACUGCCACCAAAUGCCGACACAGAUGCCGAUCUAUCAGAUUGGAUCCCGGCCCUCUUCAUUACUUAGGCAUACAAGCAAUGGUGGGAAGAAUGGAAAGAGCAUUUGUUCUGCAAAUCGGCUCUCACGUACCUCGGCAUGAUCGACCCCCAGUACAAAGUCCCUGAUAAUACUGUAAGUAUUUCUAAACCGAUGUUUCAAUCCUUUCACUUUUAUUUCCAUCGGUAACUCACUUUUUGUGUUAUAUUAUAGGUUGAUAACACACCCCCUUCGGUAAGCAGGAGUGGUAAGCCGAUUGAGCUCCUUCCAUCGGGUCCGAUUUCUUUGAUCGGCAACAACUCUCCAUCCCUGGCCGCUAUAAUGCAUCGGGGUGUACGUCUCAAGAAAGUCACUACCAAGCGGACGAAGGCAUCUCCGUCGGUAGCUGCCUCUACCUUAGCACAAGCCUUCAAGGUAAAUUUUCAAAUUCUUUUACCCAUACUGAUUCCAUUCUUACAUCUGUUACACUUGUACUCACAAAUUUUCAUUGUUGUAUUAGCAAACUGGCACAUCGGCAAAGACCAGAGGUGUGACUGCGAUGCCCCCCAGUCCAGCCAACCAAAGAGGAAAAGCUCCAAGAGUACCAGAACCCAGGCGAAGCGCCAGAGAACAGCAAUACCUUCUCCUCCCCCAGUGUCUCCAAUCCCAGUAGCAUCAUCCUCCUCUUCUCCAGAAAUCCAGACACAGCAGAUUCCAUCUCCUCCUCAGUCACAAGAAGAACUCCAACUGGAAGAGCUCCAGCCAGAGGUACCUCAGCCAGAAGAAAUACCGGCUGAUGUACACGAGCAGACCACCGAUUCAGCAAACCUAGUCACAGCAUCGGUAGUCUCCUCGAUUCAAACAAGCACUGCACCCCCUCCAGGUAACAUACUUUCCAUUUACUGCCGAUGAACCUGUUUUUCCACUUUAUUAAUCACUUCUGUCAAUCUUUCAGCUGACAAAGUUUCAUCGGCAAUCUCAGCCGAUCAGCCCAUGAUUCCAUCGGCGUCAUCCAGUCAGAGGCGAGAGAGGGCCUUGAAGCAAGUAAGUUACCUAAUCUCUAUCUGUAUUGUUUAUCAGUGCUUGAUCAUAGAAUAACUUAUUUUAUUUUCCUUUUCAGGAACAGGACUCUCCUGAUAGCUUGUUUUCUUUUGCCAUCGACAUCUCUGAGGAUGAAGGCGAGGAGGCAAGUUCUUCUCGAGCUAUCGGAAUCUCAUCGGCAGAAAUCGGAGCAAAGUUAGAAGAAUUGUCGGCCCUCCUUCAUCAAGACACGGCCCAAUUGGUUGACGAUUCCGAUCUAGCCAAGGCCUUGUUCAAGACUCUCAAUCGAAACUCUUGAACAAGAGCGAAACAUCCAGGCUCGUAAAGCACUGCAGAUGAAGAAGAAGCUGAAGCCGGUGGAGGGCUCUGCCGAUGAUGACAUGAAGGAGAUAGAAGAAGCCAACCAGAUCCGUCUACGCGCCAUAUCAAUGAUCUAGGCUUUGUUAAACAUCUGAAUUCUUCAUCGGCGGCAUAUUUGCCCUUUUCUUUUGAACACUCCUAAUAUUUUGCUCUAGCCGAUAGGACUGUUAUCGGCACCUUUUAAACGUUAAGUCCGGCCCCAGAUAUAGUUUAAUCCAGCCGAUAGGAAUGUUAUCGGCACUUAAUACUUUCAUGCAUCGACCCAUAUGCUCGGGUAAUAUUUCUUUAGAUAUUUGCCAUUUAAUGCCCUCGGAAAUUCAACUCCUUCGAGAGUUUCUAAGAUAUAGGCGUUGCCAGGAGCAGAUCGAUUUAUCCGAUAGGGACCCUCCCAAUUAGGAGACCACUUCCCAAAUUUUGAACUUUUAGUCCCGAUCGGUAAGACUAGCUUCCAUACUAAGUCUCCAUCGGCAAACUCCUUAGCUUUUACCUUCUUAUCAUACCAUCUAGCAACUCUCUUCUUAUUUUCUUCUAUACUCAUCAGAGCCCUUAGCCGAUGCCCUGCUAGAUCAUCCAACUCGUCUGUCAUCAAAGCAGCAUAAUCAUCGGCAGCCAAUUGAUCUUGAAAAGAUAGUCGCCUAGACCCAGUCUUAAUUUCCCAAGGUAACACUGCAUCAUGCCCAUACACCAACUGAUAAGGUGAAACUUUGGUCGACCCAUGACAAGCCAUCCGAUAUGACCAUAAAGCUUCAUUCAACAAUGUAUGCCACCUCCUAGGAUUUUCUUCAAUCUUCCGUUUAAUAAGCUUGAUGAUUCCUUUGUUAGAUGCCUCGGCCUGCCCAUUAGCUUGAGCAUAAUAAGGAGAAGAAUUUAAUACUUUAAUUCCCAUACCGAUUGCAAACUCAUCACUCCCCUGAUGUAAACAUAGUACCCUGAUCGGUAGUAAAUGUUUGAGGAAUUCCAAAUCGGUAUAUAAUAUGCUCUUUCACAAAAUCAAUCAUAUUGGCCGAUGUAACUUUCUUCAAAGGAAUAGCUUCAACCCAUUUGGUCAAAUAAUUAGUGGCAACCAAAAUAAACUUAUGUCCUUUGCUGGAUGGUGGAUAAAUCUGGCCGAUCAAGUCAAUAGCCCAUCCUCGGAACGGCCAAGGUUUAAUAAUGGGAUUCAUGGCCGAUGCGGGUGCCCUUUGAAUGUUGCCAAACUUCUGACAUCCUUGACACCCUUUGAAAUACUUAAAACAAUCCUCAAGUAUAGUCGGCCAAUAAUACCCAUUUCUUCUCAUCAUCCACUUCAUCUUAAAUGCCGACUGAUGUGCUCCACACACUCCCACAUGGAUCUCUCCCAUCAAACUUCUAGCCUCAUCAUUACCUAAGCACCUAAGAAGAAUUCCAUCAAUAGUCCGAUAAUAUAACUCAUCUUCAAGGAGCACAUACUUGGUAGCUUGAAACCGAACACGUCUCUCAACUUUCUUGGACGGGUCCUUUAAAUAAUCAAUGAUUUCUUUUCUCCAAUCAUCGGCACUGAUUGCCGAUACUGCGUUUAUCAUGGGCUGAUAUCCCGAGGCAUGCUGAGCCAACCGAUUGGCCUCAUCAUUAUGCAACCGAGGAACAUGCUCUAAUCAGAAAUCCUUGAAUUCCUUUAACAGUUGCAUACUCCUUUCGUGAUAAGUUAUCAGGACUUCGCUUCGGCACUCAUAGCUUCUAGCCAAUUGAUUUAUAACCAGCAUAGAAUCCCCGAAGAUUUCAACAGCAUCAGCAUGAACUUCCCUUAGUAAUUCCAACCCCUUUAUCAAAGCUUGAUACUCAGCUUGAUUAUUUGUUGACGUGGCAACAAUCGGCAAGGAGAACUCAUACUUCCUUCCCCGAGGGGAAAUUAACACUAUGCUGAUCCUUGCCCCCCGGUCACACAUGGAUCCAUCAAAGAAGAGCGUCCAAGGUACAAUUCCCAAAGUCUCCACUGUACCGCAAUGUUGAGUUACAAAAUCAGCCAUAAUCUGUCCCUUAACCGCUUUAGCCGAUUCGUAACGCAAAUCGAAUUUCGAUAGCGCCAAAAUCCACUUACCGAUCCUGCCACUCAUAAUCGGCAUAGACAGCAUAUAUCGGACCACGUCAUCUUUGCAUAUGACAGUGCAUUCAGCCGAUAACAAAUAGUGUCUCAACUUAAUACAUGAGAAAUAAAGACACAAACAUAACUUUUCAAUGGCCAAAUACCUGGUCUCAGCAUCAACCAAUCUCCUGCUUAAAUAGUAAAUCACACGUUCCUUCCCUUCAAAUUCUUGAAUUAAAGCCAAACCGAUGACCAUCCCAUCGGUAGACAAAUAUAACUUGAAGGGCUAUCCUUGUUGAGGUGGAAUUAGAACUGGAGGAUUUACCAAAUAAUUCUUGAUUUCAUCUAAGGCCAACUGUUGCUCUUUCCCCCAGACGAACUCUUGAUCGGCUUUCAUCUUAAGUAAAGGACUGAAAGCAUGAAUUUUACCAGACAAAUUAGAUAUAAACCUCCUGAUAAAAUUUACCUUGCCGAUCAAGGAUUGGAGUUCAGUCUUGUUGGUAGGAACAACUAUUUUGUUGAUAGCAUCAAUGGAUCUCCGGCUAAUUUCAAUCCCCCUUUGAUGCACCAUGAAACCAAGGAAUUGUCCUGCCGAUACACCAAAUGCACACUUAUUGGGAUUCAUCUUUAAACCAUGAUUCCUUGUGCAUUCUAACACCUUUCGCAAAUUGGCGAGAUGCUUUGUGAAGUCUCCAGACUUAACCACCACAUCAUUAAUAUAAAUUUCCACCAGUUUGCCGAUGAAUUCAUGAAAUAUAAAAUUCAUAGCCCUCUGAUAAGUAGCACCAGCAUUUUUCAAGCCAAAGGUGAUGACUAUCCAUUCAAACAACCCAACAUGACGAGGACAUCUAAAUGCAGUCUUUGGAAUAUCCUCUUCAGCCAUGAAUAUCUGAUUGUAUCCUGCAUUGCCAUCCAUAAAGCUGAUGAUCCGAUGUCUAGCCGCAGCAUCAACUAGUAGAUCGGCAACUGGCAUUGGAUAGCCAUCCAUCGGUGUAGCUUUAUUAAGAUUUCUGAAGUCAAUGCAGACCCGAAGCUUCCCAUUUUUCUUGUAAACCGGAACAACAUUGGAAAUCCACUCGGCAUACCGACACUGCCGAAUAAAUUUAGCUUCAAUAAGUUUGGUUAUUUCAGCCUUAAUAUCAGGAAGAAUAUUAGGAUUACAUCGGCAAGCUGGCUGUUGAUGUGGCCGAAAUCCAGACUUGAUAGGCAACCGAUGUUCAACAAUCGAUUGGUCCAAACCAGGCAUCUCAGUAUAAUCCCAAACAAAGCAAUCUUUAUAUUCUUUUAACAAAUCGGUUAAUUGCCGCUAACACUCACAUUAACUUAGCACUAAUAAAAGUCGGUCUAGGCUUAUCACCACUACCUAUAUCUACUUCUACCAAAUCAUCGGCCGAUGUGAAUCCCUGGCCCAAUUUUCCAUCAUCGGCGAACCUAUCCAUUAAAAACCUUCAUCAGAACCGACUGCUUGGAUCGGUGGAAUUUCAUAAUCGGCAACUUUGAGAAAAUCCUUCUCCCAAAUUUCUCCCGAGAUACACCUAGUCCUUUCAUAAGUGUCUGCUUCUGCCGAUGCAAUGACAUAAGAAGAAUCCCCCGGGACAAUCUCAAUCUUGUCACCUACCCACUGGACCAAGCACUGGUGCAUUGUAGACGGAUGCAACAAUUGGCAUGAAUCCAAUCUCUCCCUAACAGCAAGUUAUAAGCACCUUUUUCGCUGAUCACGAAGAAAGUUGUCAGCAAGGUUUUGCUACCGAUGGUCAACUCGACGCAUAUUGCCCACUUAACCGGAGACACGUUUCCCUCGAAAUCCUUUAACAUCAUAUCAGUCUUGGUCAAAUCUUGAUCCCCUUUUCCAAGCUUCCGAUAUACUGCAUACGGCAUGAUGUUGAUAGCGGCUCCACCAUCAAUUAAUAUCUUCGUCAUUGGCUGACCAUCAACCCUUCCUUUGACAAACAAAGCUUUAAGAUGCUGCCUUUCAUUGUCGGCAGGCUUUUCAAAGAUAGCCGUCAUCGGAUCUAGAGCCAACUGAGCUAUCUGGUCUGAAAACUCCAACUCCUCAUCAUCGCUGGACGGCGCAAGGAAUUCCAUCGGCAACAUAAAUACCAUGUUGACAUCUGCCGAUGGCCCUUUCCCCUUAGGAUCUAAUUGUUGCUGAUCCCCAGACUGGCCAGAGUUCUCGCCCUUGCUUAGCUCUUCUCAUCUUUCGCGCUGCAGUCUUCUUUUCUGUGUUUUAGUCAACCCCUCUGGACACCAGGGGGAAGUGGUGACUGCCUUUCCGAUGGACGACGAUGUUCCCUUGACUCCAUCCGAUAAGUGUUAGCGUCCCUGCAAAAUAUGAACUCAUCGGGAACCCGUGCAUUAGCCAUCUCCUCAAGCUCUUCCUAGUUACUGGGAAAAUAUUCAACACGAUCACCAAGUCUAUCGUGCACACUGAGCCUGCCCCCUAGUCGAUCAUGAACCGACGCUUUUCCCCUAAUCGGCCUAUUAAAUCACCGAUCAUCAUUAUGAUAGCGCCGGUCGUAUCUGUCAUACCGAUCACAACCGUUGCACUCAGGGCAAUCCCUAACAGUAGGCAACUUGAUGUUCUGCUCCCAGCAAUGGAUAAAGAAUGGGCAGUUCCAAUGAUCCUUGUGCCGAUUCCACUCCUGUCGGUGUCUUUCUUCUUCCUGAUGAUAGUUUUCUUGCUAGCGCCGAUACCGAUGCUCACGUUGCUGCCAAGUUUUCCGAGGCCUUCUGUGAGUUAUCAGAAUACCAGAUCGGGGAGGCCUUCCCGAGUUAAUCCCCUCCUGGAUCAAGCCUUUUCCUUUUGCAUUGGCAGUAGUAAUCUGAUGCUGAGGAUCCACCGAUGCACUUCUUUCAGCUGCUUCCGAUGUCAAGACCUUGGCCUUUCCCUUAGCAUCCAGCAUAUUUGUUGGGAAAGGAUGUUGAUCAAUCUUCAUCGGCUUCUGAGUUUUGGAGCUAUCAAAUUUGAUCCUCCCAGAUUCUGUAGCCGAUUCCAGCUGUUGUCUAAAAACUUUUGCACUGCAUUGGUGCUGUUAGAGGUUGCAUUAUGCCACUUGCAGUAUUUCAUCUUCUUUAACUCUUCAGCCGAUGGAAUCACAUGAUUGGGCGACAACUUGAUCUGGCCUUCCUAAAGUAGAAAGUCAAACAUCCUAUCGGCCUUGGUGAUAUCAAAUGCAAACUUCUCUGGCUCCUUAUGCCCGAAAGGACAAGACAUCGGCUUCUUAUUCUUUACCCAUUCUGCCAAGCCGAUGACUGGUUCUUCAUCAGAAUUUGAGCUUGCUGCCUCAUCAACAAAUGACACCUUUUUGUUCCAAGCCCUCUUAGGUUCAAAGGGCUUAAUAUCCUGGUCGGAAAUCCUCUGGACCAAGUGACUCAGGCUCUCGAACUCUUGAGAAGCAUAUUUGUCUCCGAUAUGUGGCAACAAACCUUGGAAAGCCAAAUCAGCUAGCUGCCGAUCAUCUAAAACCAGACUAUAGCAUUUAUUCUUGACCUCCCGCAACCUCUGCACAAAACUUUCAAUCGAUUCAUCAUUACGCUAUUUCAAUCUAACCAAAUCAGUUAUCUUCUUCUCAUGAACUCCAGAAAAGAAGUACUUGUGGAACUGCUUCUCUAGAUCGGCCCAAGUAAUCACCGAGUUGGGACGUAACGAAAUAAACCAGGUAAAAGCCGAUCUAGACAAAGACGAUGAAAACAAAUGAACCCUGUUUGUAGCUUCUCCACACUGGAUGAUGAACCUGUUGACAUGCUCCAUGGUUGACGUAUCAUCCUGCCCAGAAAAUAUAGUGAAAUCCGGUACCUUGUACCGAUUUGGAAGUGGAAUCAAAUCGUAUGCAGGAGGAUACGGUGUCCGAUAAGAGUAAGUGUUGACUUUGGGUUUUAUCCCAAAUUGGUCCCUCAUUACUUCAGCUAUCUUAUCGGCCCAAUAGGCAUCAGUAUCUUGUCGAUGGGGCGGUUGUGGAUCUGGUGCCUGCGGAUACACUUCCACAUGUCGAUGAGGCGCACGAUCUGCAUGGAACAUGGGGUUGAUUGUCUGACCACCAAACUGUUGACCAAGAUUCAUCGGCUGGUUGGGCAACCCUUGAUUGUGGAACCCGGGGUAGAUCUGGCCUUGCUGGAACCCUGAAGCUUGAUGAUUCUGUUGGGGCAUUUGUGGAAAGACUUGCUGCACAGGCCAUCCACUAUUGGCAUUCAUCGGUAUAGGUCCUGCCGAUGACUGGUAAUUGGGCAUCAUCAUUGAAUUGAUAUACCCUGGCUGAGUCAUAAACCUCUGCUGCGUCGGCAUUGAAUCUGCUGAUGCGUUAGGCAUCUAGAAUGUUGGAGCUUGAGAAUUCCCAGUGUAAGGUCUCGUAGUAGUAGUUGUAGUAUACUGGGGACUCUGGUUCAUCGGCAUAUUUGGAGGUGCCGAUGCCAUAGGAGCCUUGCCUCUCAUAUCAGCCGUUUGAGAUGUAUAGGUGUCUUCAACAUGAACUCUAGAGGCAUACCAAAACCCCACCAAUUAGGAGGAAUAGAUCCCAACAUUGCCGAUGCCAAUAGGUCUGUGGUGAGCUUGAUCGACUCAUCUGAUGUUGAUGUAUUGGCCGGCAUUGGCGUGGAUUAAGCGUUAGUGACUCCUAACGUGCUUGGAGGAACAGCUGUUUCUGCGCCCGCAGCGGCUGUCGCAGCCGAUGGAGCUGUGACAACUGGUGACCCCGGCUGAUGAUGAGAAGGACUGUUGGGUAUUUUAAACGCAAACAGAAAAAUCCGCAAGCGCACGGAUACCGAUGUAGCUUUCACCCGGGAGUAUUCCAGAGUAUCGAUUUUCCACAGAGAACGUGAGUGUACUAAUUAAGAUCCAAGAUCGCCCAAGGAUAACUAUAUAAGUAUUUUUGGUGGGAAGAGAGGAAGUUUCCUGAGAGUUCUCUAGUUGAUCUAAGAAUCAAGAAUUACUUCAAGAUUAUCUAUAUCGGGACAUCAGAGCACUAACCACAGAAAGAAAUGAGAAGGGGGCUAGGAAGGUCUGACUACGGUCCUACAAACACCGAUCCGAACGAGGUGGAAUACGUCGACCGUUAGGGUUGUCACUACCCUAAGGCUACCACAACAAUCCGCAGGAUUGGGUGCAAUUCCAGGUAAUCGCAAGACUAAACACCACGUCUAAUCUAUUAAUUACUACUCUAGCGUUAUAAAGACUAGAGCACUUGAUGCAAGCGGGAAUCCAAUAAAUAACUUGAAUGUAAAUAAAAGUAAUUAAAGAACUCAGGAAUUAUGAAUUGAAGAACUUGGAGAACGAUGAAGAACGAACCAGUUGCUGCAAAAGUAUAAUGUUGAGGAAGAUCCGACAGAUCCGGCUCCUCCUCCGCUCUCCUCUUCUCUCUCCCUAUUUUCUAGAUUACAACUAGAACUAACUAGAACUAGAACUAGAGGAACUAGAACUAGAACUAGAUGAACUAGAACUAGAUCUAGAUGAACUAGAGGUAGAACUAGAAGAACUAGAGGGAUCCUCUCUACUUGGAUGAAGAAUUGAAACCCUAGCUUUUCUGUAGAAGAGGUAUGAUCUCCAGGGGCCAGGGGGUCUAGUUUUAUAGUCCCUUCAAGUGAAUCUGGGCUGUUGGAUCAAACUGACAUUGAUUGAACGGUUAUUAUUGAUCCUUUAGGUCGGUGGAGCAAUAUCCUGAAAGAGAGUCCUGAUUGGACUCUGGCUGAGGGCGGGCGCCCUCAGAACUAGGGCGGGCGCCCUGUCCCUGAGGCCUCUCGUCUUCCGCUUUGUUCCCGUGGCUUCUGGAGUCUUCUAGAUGAUAGAAAAUUGCGCGGCACGUUAAUAUCUUUAUGUAAACCCGACGUGUGGGCCUUUCUUCCAUAAUUCCUGAUAACCCCCAGCAGAAAUAGACAAACACCAAAACUUGUGGAAUUUUGUCAGAUAAACCCCUAAGUCUAGGUGUUGGUUGCAUUUGGAUCCUUUUCUAUGAUUAAUUGAUGGUUAAUUGUGAGCAUUAAGGACCGUCAACAAGCUCCCCCAAGCUUAACCUUUGCUCGUCCCUGAGCAAAGAUGGACUCAAGAGUUUCUGCAGUGGUUUCAUGCCUUAAAGAUACACAUGUGUUCAAACAAGAUCUCAUCUCUAGGUUAGGGUAAACUGUUAAGAUUUAAACUUACUCAUUUUACCUUCCACCAUGGGGCUUGUAACCAUCACUUGUGUCUUGAGCAGUUAAAAGAUAGAACGGUCUAGUCAAGCACCUUGUCUCUUGUUCUUCGAUUAACUAUAGCUCUGGAGUUUUUGCAGAUUUUCAAAUAAAACUCAGAGAUUCCUUGUAUGACUCUCUCUAGUCUCUCUUUUGUGGUAUUUCUGGAUCCUUACCAAGGCAGUAAUGGUGUACGCCUUCUCUCAAAGUAUGUGGUAUUUGUGGUAUAAGGCAUAGUGACAUUGCCUUCUCUCUCACCCUACUCUAAUAAGGUUUUGAUAUAUGGAGCUCAUAGGUGGGAGACAGCUAAUACAUACUUACAAGACAUUUAUUGCAUAGUCAAACCAUGGAUCCAAAGUAACAAGUCAAUAAGUCAAAUCAAGAUGUGCAUGUGUGGCGAAUGAAUGGUGUAUGGUGAUGAUGGUGAUAACAAUGGUGAAAGUCUAAUUCUACUUGUGCUCUUUUGAGGGGAUACAUACCUUUCUUGCUCUUUUAAAACUUUUUGAGGAGAAUGAGAUGCUCUAUAUUUUUUUUCUUUUCUCUCAGGUGGGUAUCUUGUACCCCUAAUUCUACUAUCGAACACUUGUCCAUUUUUACCUCUCGUCUCACUUUUUCUUUUCUUUCGAGGUUCCGGGCACUUGCCCCUUUUUAUUUCCUCGUAUCUAUUUUUUUUUCUCUCUUUUUUUUUAUAUUAGAGCACUCAUCUCCUGAAAUAAUAUAGCAAGUGGUAGUAACCAAGAUAACUUGAGCAUUUAUUUCACAGGGGAAAACAGAAAUGUUUUUGGUUAUUCUCUCCCUGAUUAGGAGUAGAAUAUUUUUGGGUGGUUUUGGAGAUGGAAAUGGAUGGAUAUAUGUGGAUGCGUACUUCUAGAGUAGAAGCAGCAUGUAUGAGUGAACGUGCAAGUGAAUCUUGAUUUAACCACAUGACAAGCUCCUAAGGGUCUACACAGCUUGACCAUACUCAAUGCUCAUAAGCAGUAAAAAGUACAUGUGUGGUUCAUAGUCUAACAAGCAUGUAUAUAUGGCUGUGGUAGGAAUUUAAACUCUCAUCAUACAGGAACUCAUCAUGCAGCAUUUUAAAGAUUUUCAAAGAUAAAAUUCUCCAGAAUUCUAGCAUCUCUAGGAACAGACAAACAGCAGCUCAACCUUCCCAUAUCAUAUCCGUUAACGACUUAGACUUUAGAUCAAGUACUCUUCCCACAAGUUCAGGUUUAGAGCAAAUUUUAAUUCAUAACAGUCAUGCCUAAACUUGAGAGAGAUUUCAAUUUUUAGAACUAAUCAUGCCAGAGCAACUAUUCAUCAUUUCCAUGUGAGAGCUUAUCAUGAGGGUUCAUAGCAGACUUUAUUUAUUUAUUUAUUUAGCAAACUAAGCAAAGAUAUAUAUAAGCACAAAAUCUUUAUUUGGGUUUCUAUGAUUAUGCAUCUUUUUAUUAUUAGAGUAAAGUAUAACCAUGAAUAGAAACACUUAGCUGGAUAAAUGGGGGUGCUCUCCCCCAAGCUGGAUUUUGACGUAGUUUCUCCUGAUGUAGCUAGCAAGUGGUGGAGGUGUAUUUGAACGUCAGCAGCACCGUGACAGCGAUUAGGAUGUCCUCCGUCUGCUAGUCUUCUUUGAUCCUUGAAUUCUGUGGAGCUCAAAUAGACAACAAAGCUUUGUGGAACUAGUUAAGUGUUAGCAUAAAUAUCUAGCCUUUAUCAUGUUGAGCCUCCUCAAUAAAUGUUACUCUCUUUAGUAGGAUCAUAAAUUUAUUUUUAUAUUUUCAUUUUUAUAGGACAGGAAUAUAUUUAUUUUAUUUUUACGCCACCAUAGUGAAUGUACUUAUGUGUUUUAUGCCAUGAGCAUACUCACAUGGGGCUUACUAUUUUUAACAUUUUUAUUUUAUUUUCAAGAUGAUAUGAACCUGAUUAACUAAAAUAAUUGAAAGGAAAAAGAUAACUACCAAGUUUACCUCUUGGCAAGGCGUUCGGUGUUUUUAAGUCCUCCGAACGGGACUCUCCAUAUUCUCAGUCGUCCUGGGAUUCGCUGGAUGGCGUAGUCGGUGGUUCCGGCGGCGCCUGCUCUUCAUGUAUAACUAUCUUCUUUCUCCACACCUGACUCGGUGCUACGGUCUCCUCACGACAGUUCUGUUCAAGUUGUAUGUCUUCAGACCUUAUCACUUCUCCUUUGUAGUCUGACCAUCCGUCUUUGAUGAUUUGCCUCCUCUGGUUGCGGUUGCGUCGUCUUCUUCUUGUCCUGACCUGCUUAGAAUCUUCAACUAUAUAGUUAGGGUCAGUAAAAUGGCGGCGUACCUUCUCAGAGGUGAAGUGCAUGUGGACUUCUCUAGAUCCAAUGUAGAUGAUUGCUUUAACAGUGCUGAGGAACAGUCUCCCAAUGGUGAUGGGUGGAUUGUACUCGUCUUCUCCCAUGUCAAUAACCUUAAAAUCUUUCGGAAUGUCUGAUCUGCCAUCUGGAGCUGAAUGUAUGUCGGUUUUAGGGGCAUGGUUCCGAACAGGAGCUAAUAGGUGACUGGGUCGUCCUUUUUGGUUAGGAAUGGUGACUUAAGUCGCCGAUCUUGACCUCCUUAAACUGUAGUGACCAUCUUAGCUGACUUGGUCCACAUUUGCUUAUUCCUGUUGCUCCUGUUGGUCCUCUUCCUUGGUUCAUGUUGGGAUUGCUCUGAGAUUUGUGUAGUCUUGUUCUCGAUGAAAACGUCUCCUUCAUCCCCUUGAUGUAGAAACUAAUAUUGGCAGCACUAGCGUAGAUGACAGCUCCCGAGGUGUUCAGGAAUGGCCUCCCUAAGAUGGGUGCCCUCUCAUCAGUACCAGUCUCUAUCACCACAAAGUUUGCUGGGGCGUACAAGGUACCAACUCAGACGUAGAGGUUCUUCAAUAUUCUCUUUGGGAAACUUAGCGUACGAUCUGCAAGCUAAAAACACAUGGCUGUUUCUAAUAAAGGAUGUGUAAAGAAUUUUUCAUAGAGUACCCUAGGCAUAAUGUUGACGCUCGAGCCAAAGUCGCAAAAUGCUUCUAGGAAGUCCACCAUGUCGAUGGAGAUCGGGAUGACGCGGCGUCCUGGAUCGUCUCUCUUGACCGGCAGAAGGUCAGUAAUUACUUCCACAACGGGGUUACUCCAGUAGUUACGUCCUCAAGCAUCUCAGGGCAGUGAUUGCCUGAGUGUCCAGUAUCUCCAGUGUGUUUAUGCUCGUAGAUCUAGGUUCUUCACUUGGUGGAGUCUAGGAGUUGUAAAAGUCCUUCAUAUUUUGCUCAAAGUGUACCUGCUCAUAGAAAGAAGGCAGAGAUCAAGUGCAUGGGCCCUGUUGGUGGAAAACACCAACAGAACCAAAAGUGUAUUUGUUCUUCUCUAACCUUAAGCAUAGUGAGCAAGAUAAAGUUGAUGGAUAAUAAGAUCAUGAGUGUAGCAUUUAAAACAUUUGUCAGAUCAGAUCACUCAACCUAAUGGAAAGAUAAUCUAUCUAUACUUAUGUUUUUUUUAUAUAUAUAUCUUCCAAAGAUUGAGUGUGCAAUAUUUUAGCUCAUAAGAUUAGGAUUGUGGGAUCACAAAGGUGGAAGGACUAAACAUGUUGAACCGAUUGGGUUGGUUAAUCUAGAGUUGUAAAUCAUACAUGUUUGUCUCUUUUAUUCAUGUGAACGCCAGAACCAAGGAAAAGCUUAUAAAUGUGAUAGUCAAGUACCUUAAGAUGUUACCUUACUUGAAAAGUGAUGGUACAGUAUCACUUUGUGGAAGCUUUCCUUUCUUUGUGGCACCCUCCAUGGAUCAUCUCUUGUGAGCUAUGUCUUCCUUGUGUAAAUUGUUAAACUUCAUGUGUCUCUCUCUUUAUCUCCAAUGUGAGUUUAUCUCAGGACUUCCCAGGUCGAUAUUGAAAGUUUUCCUACAGGGGUUAGUCCAACAAAAUAUCCAAUACAUACUAUAGCAUACUAUCGGCUCAAAAAUCAACCUAGACACCAUGUCUAAUUUGAUUUAGGAGGGCAUUUUAACCUAAGCACCAUGCUUAAUUUAAAAUCCUUUGGAGGUAAGAUCAUCAUUCCUAAACUAAGCACCAUGCUUAAUUAAGAGAUAAAUGAAACUACUCCAAACCUAAACAUAUACUAAAGCAAAUAAAGGUAGCAUGAGAGCAUUUAUAGAGAUCUACUCAAGUGGAGAUGAAGUAGUGUGAUUAGUAUUUAACAAAUUGAGCAUGUCUCAAAGGUAGGGACAACCAACAUAGCAACAUGGCAAAGGAUGAUUUUAUGUAAAGUACUCCCCCAAGCUUGAAUUUUGCAAAAUUCAAGUUUGGAUGAAAUUAAUUCAAUGUUGUAUGACGAUUGGUUGGACAUACCUUGUGCUUGUCAUUCAUCCGAUCUUCUUGCUCCAAUCCUGGAAAGGUUAGUGACAAGAAUACCCGAAGGAAUAUUUUUACAAUUAUCCUUAUAUGCUCAACACACAAGGUAAUGAUGCAAAUAAUUAAAAGCUCAUGUUACAAUCUGAUCGGUGCUUGUUUUAGGACACUAAGCUUGUCCUUGGGAAACCAUCAAUGUAUGUCGGCGAAGUGGUUUCCCCUCCAACGCUGACCUAUAUCAAGAUCAACUCGACGAGAUCUACAAUAUUUAAUAUAGACAUAUGCAUCGACAACCGACCUUUUAAAGUUUUUAUAAAUAGAAAGGAUGAGGGGUUGGAGAUCUCGAAUGUGGUGAUGUUGGAGAGACCAAUGGAUUGUGAAGAUGUUGCAUAUGAGCAUGGAGUAAAUGAAGUGGCUAUGAAAUAAAUUCCAUGCUCAUUAAUGCUUAGAGUGAAAAUCCAUGUGGUGUGGUGAAAAUGGUAAGGUGAAUGUGGUAAAAAAAGGAAAAGAAAAAGGAUACACGGACGACUUGGUUCGAAACUAGCACAGCUACCGUUCCCCGGCAACGGCGCCAGAAAGCUUGUUGGGUAUUUUAAACGCAAACAGAAAAAUCCGCAAGCGCACGGAUACCGAUGUAGCUUUCACCCGGGAGUAUUCCAGAGUAUCGAUUUUCCACAGAGAACGUGAGUGUACUAAUUAGGAUCCAAGAUCGCCCAAGGAUAACUAUAUAAGUAUUUUUGGUGGGAAGAGAGGAAGUUUCCUGAGAGUUCUCUAGUUGAUCUAAGAAUCAAGAAUUACUUCAAGAUUAUCUAUAUCGGGACAUCAGAGCACUAACCACAGAAAGAGAUGAGAAGGGGGCUAGGAAGGUCUGACUACGGUCCUACAAACACCGAUCCGAACGAGGUGGAAUACGUCGACCGUUAGGGCUAUCACUACCCUAAGGCUACCACAACAAUCCGCAGGAUUGGGUGCAAUUCCAGGUAAUCGCAAGACUAAACACCACGUCUAAUCUAUUAAUUACUACUCUAGCGUUAUAAAGACUAGAGCACUUGAUGCAAGCGGGAAUCCAAUAAAUAACUUGAAUGUAAAUAAAAGUAAUUAAAGAACUUAGGAAUUAUGAAUUGAAGAACUUGGAGAACGAUGAAGAAUGAACCAGUUGCUGCAAAAGUAUAAUGUUGAGGAAGAUCCGACAGAUCCGGCUCCUCCUCCGCUCUCCUCUUCUCUCUCCCUAUUUUCUAGAUUACAACUAGAACUAACUAGAACUAGAACUAGAGGAACUAGAACUAGAACUAGAUGAACUAGAACUAGAUCUAGAUGAACUAGAGGUAGAACUAGAAGAACUAGAGGGAUCCUCUCUACUUGGAUGAAGAAUUGAAACCCUAGCUUUGAUUUUGUAGAAGAGGUAUGAUCUCCAGGGGCCAGGGGGUCUGGUUUUAUAGACCCUUCAAGUGAAUCUGGGCCGUCGGAUCAAACCGACAUUGAUUGAACGGUUAUUAUUGAUCCUUUAGGUUGGUGGAGCAAUAUCCCGAAAGAGAGUCCUGAUUGGACUCUGGCUGAGGGCGGGCGCCCUCAGGACUAGGGCGGGCGCCCUGUCCCUGAGGCCUCUCGUCUUCCGCUUUGUUCCUGUGGCUUCUGGAGUCUUCUAGAUGAUAGAAAAUUGCGCGGCACGUUAAUAUCUCUAUGUAAACCCGACGUGUGGGCCUUUCUUCCAUAAUUCCUGAUAACUCCGUGCAGAAAUAGACAAACACCAAAACUUGUGGAAUUUUGUCAGAUAAAACCCUAAGUCUUGGUGUUGGUUGCAUUUGGAUCCUUUUCUAUGAUUAAUUGAUGGUUAAUUGUGAGCAUUAAGGACCAUCAACAAGGACCAACAUAAUUUGGUGGCAAUUGUCCUUCUUUGAAAGUUCUAGCCACGGCAUUGAAAACCGUAUUGGACAGCACACCAGCUUGAUUGAUCAAGGCACGGUUAAUAAAACUAUCAACCAUGUCUUGAAGUUUACCACGAUUGGCUUCAAAAGUAACCUGCCGAGGCAUCGGUAGUGCUUCCUUCUGGAUCACCUCGCCACUCCUGUUAAUGCUGAAGGACUUGAGACAUUGUUGCUUGUAAUCCUCCAUAGCCUUUGCAAUAGCUUGCUUCUACUCAUCUUUGAGAUUAGCUUCCGUCACGGGGAUGACAUUCUCCAAGUCGAAAUCGCUAGUCGCCAUGUCGAUCUUGGUCUUGAAUCUGGUCCCACUGGGUGUGCCAAAAGAUGUGUUGAUGCAAAAGCUGAUCUGCAAACACAAAGGGCUAAUACCCGGUUUAAAUGUUAAGGCGUGCCAGCCGAUUUGACCUCACUAUCGGCAAAGGUGAUAACUCGAAUACUUUGGUCCCGACAACAGCGAUGCGCCUGGAUGCCAAGGCCAACAGGUAUUCACGCGGAACUAUAGAAUACGCCGAGCUUAAGUCGACGAACUCCUAAGAACUCGUAAUGAAAAGGAAAAUAUGACGAAGUCGUCGAAAAAGUAGAUGCUGGAAUAUGAGUAAAAACUUGUGUUUGAUUGAUUGAUAGAUUGUCCCAUUACAAGGCCCCAGGGUCUACAUUUAUACCCUGCUCAAAGAGCUACAAUCAGACACGACUAGGACUCGAAUUCCAAAUUAAACAGAAUCCGUAUACAAAACUAUUUAAAUAACUAAGGAAAGCACAAAACUAUCCUCCCGUGACAAACUGGGACCCCACCAUGGACCAAUCGGCAACCUUCACGUUCUCCUUCUGAGUCAUCGGCAGACUCCUCAUCACAGCCAUCGGCAAAGGCUAACGCUGAUCAUCAGCAUGAACGCGUCACCACUUAUGGACUUAGCCAUAUUCAGCUGUCUCUUCAUCGGCAACCACCUUCAUCGGCAGCACCCCUGCAAACCAGUUACUGUUGUCCUAUCUUGCCGAUCUGUACUCUACCGAUUCCUGGGUACGUGUCCAAAAACGGUGUCAACAAAAUCAUUAAGUCACAUUAUAACAUAACUAUACAUCAUCGAGCACCACAUAAUCAUUAGUAGCCAGCUAUUUUGUGAGUUUUUUGGGCCGCUCGUAACCGUGAGCAUGGCUGUUAUAACAAUUAUACACUCUGCAGAGGUUGUGCACUUUCACCGUGAGUCAUGCUGCCCAUAUGCCCGAGGUCCAUCAACCCCCAAACACUACCAAGGUGAAUGGGUAGGGUACACUAUGAAGCCUUCCAUAGGCCUAUUCUAACAAGUUAGGGCUGCGAGGUUUCCUUGGCACGUAGAUGUAGAAAACCCCCCUUUUCUAUGGCACAUUUCCAUCGUGGCUAAACUCAUAGAAACAAGGGCAGCACUACACCCAAAGUGGCAAGCCCCUCUUGCGCCCUUUCGCAUAACCUCUAAUGAGUUAGAAAAGAUCCUAUUACUAAGCUAAAGUCAGAGCCAUGUGACUCUCCCGGUUGCACUGUGAAUCCCAGCUUUUGCUGACAGAUAAGUCCUUAUGGAGGGUCUAGGACAACAUGACCAACAGUCAUUUGUACCAUAGCCCUAAGUUCAAUUUACCAUAAUCAUGUUUAAUCAAUUAACCAUGGUUACAUAACUGAUUUCAGAUCAUAUAUGUAAGUAGAGUUAGAGCGCUAGCACUUCUACCAACAUGCAAUUAAACCCUUAGGUAUCAAAGUGAUUGUCAUCAACAACUAGGAUAUCCUUAUAAUAGGCAUAAUAGACACAUGCAGUAUGAAAUGGUUAAAGUGAGUGGGACAUCAAGGUAAGCCCAUGCUAUACUUGCCUUGGUUCACGAACUCCUGCUGGUCCUCGUAGAACUCCGGACUCCUGAAAUACUCCUCACCGUCUGAACUCAAUCAACACAUUACAACCAACACGCAUUACAAGAUAGACUUGGAAGAAAUCAAUUCCUAGGGUUAGAACAAUACACCAGCAGUAAAUAAACUAAAAUAAAAGUUUUAUAAAGACAUCUAUGCGCUGCAAUGAUCACGUCAACACGAAAUUCAUGAAAAAUGGACUUACUGUUGGGACUUCUUAACGUCACUACCAAAAGUAGACUUAGUUUUCUAAUUUUGAUAACGGCGCCAAAAAUGCCAAACCUAUCCCUCAUGCCUCUUAAGCCAAGUUGUCAUCCCCAGCAUGACAUAAGAGACGCGGUAUUGAAAUAUGCAAUUGCUCUUCUAAAUAAAUAAUAAAUGAGAUCUGCAAGCGCACAGAUUAAUACCGAUGUAGCAUUUUAACCGGGAAGUAUUUCAGGUAUCGUUAUUUAUAUUUUUACCACUGGGAAGGGAUUGCUAAACAUCAAUGUUGAUUAUGGAAUGGAAUAUAGAAUUGGGUAUCUAUCAUUGCAUGUAUAAUUGAGAGCAUUUAUCUAUCUCUUUCAUACAGGGAUAAGUGUCACAUAAAAGAUAGAUAAAGUAUGAAUGGUGACAAAGAUAAUUAAUCUGAUCAGCAUAACUUAGCCACAUAUAAAUAUGAUAAGCACCUCAAUAGAUAUUCUAGCAAGUCAUUAGCAUGGAAUUAGGACGAACUACAAGAAUAUUUCCUAAGUUAUUCUUAACUAUAAAGUCUAGCUUAUCAUAGUUAGUGCAAUUAUACUUGGCAAUCAUUGCGAGACAGGACUACGGCCAUGCAUAGUGAUAUUAUCAAGGUAAAUGAGAAACAAAGCAAUCACUCCCCUGUAAUAAUGUUGCUCUGCCAGCCCUAUACACGAGAGGGGGACUAUAUAAGAAUCAAUGGAGCUGUCACUACCACGAACUACCCCGCGAUCUGGCAUAUAGGGUACAAUCGUAGAUAAAUACGGUAUAGGCACCACGCCUACACAAUACUUAUCAUUUACCCACUGUACACAUGGAUAAACGCUAUAUGAUCCUAAACAUGUAUAUAAAUCCAAUCUAACUAAGCCAAGCGUAUAACUAUGAUAAACUAAGAACAAUAUAAUUGCAAAUAUAAACAAGUAGAGCAAAGUCAUAAUCAAUAUACUGAAGUAGAACAAAGUCAUAUUCAUAAUAUUGAAGAACAAAGAUGAACAAUUGAAGAAGAGUAGAGGAAUUACCAAGAAUCCUCUUGACAGAUCCGGAAACCAAUCGAAGAUUGACUCCUUCUAGUUCUAAUCCUAUGUAGCUAUGCUAAACUAGAGAUCUAUUGAUGUGGUGGCUCUAGGGCUUGAUCAGAGGCUUCUUCUCCCAAGAUUAAUAAUAAAUUAGGGUUCAGAGGUCCUCUCCUCCAGGGGCCAGGGGGUCUGCUUAUAUAGUCCUUCCAAGUGAAUGUGGGCCAUUGGAUCAAACCGACAUUAAUCGCACGGUUUUCCUUGAUCCUUUAGGUCGGUGGAGCAUGAUCCGCGAAGUUGAAGCUGAUUGGCCCCGAGGCCAGGGCGGGCGCCCUGCCCCCGAGCCCGUCCGGUCUCCCGUUCGUUCCCGUGGCUUCUGGACUCUUCUAGAUGUUAGAUAAUUGCGCGACACGUUAAUAUCUCUAUGUAAACCCGACGUGUGGGCCUUUCUUCCAUAAUUCCUGAUAACCCCUGCAGAAAUAGACAAACACCAAAACUCAUGGAAUUCUGUCAGAUAAAACCCUAAGUCUGGGUGUUGAUUUCAUUUGGAUCCUUUUCUUUAUUUAUUUGCUGAUUAUAUUUGAUACUCAAGGACCGUCAACACUUACGACGUGAAAGUUACACAUUAAACGUGACUUCAAAAGCAAUCUACGGACUCAUAAUUAUCUAGGAAAUCUAAGAGUGGUAAACCUAGACAACAGUGGUACCAACACAAAGCUUAUAAAAUUAUGAAACUAACACAACUUGAACGGAUCGAAUCAGAGCUAAAAUGAUGAUUUUACAAGCAAAACAGUGCAGUGGCAGUUCUAUAAAUAUUGCAAAUAUUAAACAUUUUAAAAUAAAUCAAGAAAUUCUGGAAUUUCCCUAGCCAGGGACCGUGGGCACGAAAUCUAGGAAACUAGGGGUUUCUUUAUCAAUUUGACCCGCGAAGGGGUAUGGGGUGUUUCUGGCCAUCGAUCUAGCGAUGGGCGGCUAGGAUUAAAAGAAAGAGAAGAGAUAUGGAGAAGAGAGGUGCGGCUGCUAGAGGGGAGAGAGGAGACGGUAGUGCUGCCAAUGCCGGCGACGCGGAGCUCACCGGCGUGACCCGUUCGGUAGCUAUGGUGCACCGAUUUCCAAUCUGUUUGAACCAGGAGAAAGAGGAGAGCAAGGCGAGUCUGAUCCCCUCCCUUGCGUGGCCGGGGGUGAGCCCGCGCUGGGUGCGGCAAGGCCGGGGGCCAUGGAGCUCACCAGAUAUCAUGGUGAAGGCACUAGAGGGCUUCAAAUCACACAAAAAUUGACCGGAAGAAAGCGGGAGAGGAGGAGAGCUCACCACGACGAAGAAUGGAGGCGGAAACGGCUCAAUGAUGGCUGACCACGUGGAACAGUGGUGGUGUCGCUCCUGCGCACAUUGGCGAUGGUUAGCGAACAAACCAAAACAGGAAAAAAAAGAGGGGAAAAUACUUGGCGACUUUGCGGGGCCGAAGCAAAGCUCAGCAAGGAGCUCAUGGAGGGAGACUCGACGAAUCGGGAGCUCAACCACGGCGGUGAUCUCGGCGGGUUCGGCGAGUUCACUACGUGCUCGAAAGCGAGACAGAGUGGGGAAGGGGCAGAAUGGGAGCGAGGGGUUGCGGCACUGGCUAUUGCCUAUUCAAAAGAGAGCGAGGCGCGGGGGCGUGGGGGAGAAAGUGGGGAGCGGGCAUGCGGUCGAACCGCACGGGCGGUUGCCGAAGCCACUGGAGAGAGAGGAGGGGGAGGAAAGGCGCUGGCGGGCUGGAGCUUGGGCCACGGUGCUAGGCCAUGCAGGCCAAAAGAGAGAGAGAGAGAGAGAGAGAGGAGAAAUAAUUUUUUUUUCAAACCACAUUUUCAAAUUGAAUUUGAAACAAAUUUGACCUUUGGAUUUUUUAUUUAAUCAUCACAAUAAAAAUACACCAGCAUGCAUGCAUAAAAAAUGUUUUCUAAACUUAUAUUAAAUUUUUUAUUUCCCCAAAAUUUAUUAUUUUCCUAUUUGUAAUGCUUCAAAAAAUAUUUAUUUUAAACAAUUUCAUCUAUUUAAAAGAAGUAAAUUAUUGGGUGUUACAAUUCUACCCCCCUAAAAAUAAUCUCGUCCUCGAGAUUGGAUGGUGGCUUACUCAAAGAGUUGUGGGUACUGUUGACGGUCCUUAAGUAUCAAAUUUAAUUAUCAAAUAAACAAAGAAAGGGAUCCAAAUGAAAUCAACAUCUAGACUUAGGGUUUUAUCUGACAGAAUUCCACGAGUUUUGGUGUUUGUCUAUUUCUACAGGGGGUUAUCAGGAAAUAACGAAGAAAGGCCCACAUGUCAGGAUUACAUAGAGAUAUCAACGCACCGUGCAAUUUUCUACCAUCUAGAAGACUCCAGAAGCCACGAGACCGAAGCGGAGGCGAAACGGGGCCAGGACCUGGGCGCCCGCCCAGUUUCCUUGGGCGCCCGCCCACCUGCCAAGCCCAAUCAGGACUCUUUCUCUCGGGAGAUCUCCACCAACCUAUUGGAUCCAGAAUAACGUAGUACCACCUCGCCUACCGACCCAAAAACGCAUAGAAGGGGAGGACUAUAUAAGGAGAACCCCCUGGCCCCUGGAGAAGACAUGAAGAAAUUAUCAUAGAGAUUGAGGGGUGCCCUCGAAGGAAAACCUCUUCUCUAAAUAAUAUUUCUUUUUAGGUUUAGCAACCAAUGUAAAGUAGAAAUAGAUCUUCUAGUUUCUACUAGAUUGAGAGAGAUAGAGUGGAGGUGUGGAUCGGAGGAAGGCCGGCCUGUCGGUGUCUACUCCGAGUUGUACCUACGGGAUCAAGUCUCCUAACCAGAGGCUUGCUUCUAAGAUUCUUCAGUAAUUCGACUUCUAAUACUAGUAAGUUCUUGUUUUAUUGUUCUUUGGUUUAUGAGUUUACUUUCAUCCUCUUCCGGUUGAGAAUUAGAGUAAUCACUUGCUAGCAUAAACGUGGUGUUUAGGCUAGGGUACUCAUAGAUAUCCUCUGACUAGCUGGACCGUGGUAGUAGCGAGGAACGUGACAUUUCCGAGUUACCUUUGUAUCCCACAUCUCGUUAGCAGGAAGGGUAGGGUUUAUAGGUGCGGGUCAAACAUCCUUUGUGUUGUCUAGAUUCCGUGAGCCUCCCCAAUAGAACAGUAGAUCAUCCUUACCAAGGUUAGAACGAGACUACAGUUGCAGUCUUCUCUAUAUAUCACUCACAUCGAGAGACAUUCUUUGUAGCCUAAAGGGGUAAUAGCAAUAGAUUUGGUUAGUCAGAUGCACCCUUUCUCUCAGUGGUAAAAAUAUAAAUACGAUAACUCUGGAAAACCUCCCGGGUGAACUGCUCACCGAUAUCCGUGCGCUUGCGGAUCAUUUCCUUAUUGCGUUAUCAAAUAUCAACAAGCAUUUCUGGCGCCGUUGCCAGGGAGAAAGAUGGUUUGCUGAGAUAACUUUGAGUCUUGCUAUUAUCUUGUAUUAUACUUUUAUACUUUUAUUCUUUUAUCUUUUUAUUUUUAUGGAUAACUCAAAUUCCAUACCUAUUAUUGAAUUCUUUGCACCUUCGGAGACCAGCCAUAGACCAUGGGAGUCAACAUGUCCUGCCCCUAAUUAUGAUCUGUGUCCGAAGUUGAUUGCAAUAGGUCAAAACCGACCCUUUUCUAUAGCCGAGGUCCUAUCUUUUAAUCAAAAAGAUAAUGUACUUUUAGCUACACCUAGGGAAUCUGUUAAUCUUUCUAUAAAUUCUGGUUUAGACCUAGCCCAACAUGACCAUGUUUUUCCUCGAUAUUUUCAUAUUGGUCUUAAUCAUAUACCCUUUGGUAGAGUCCUUUUUUCUUUAUCUAUUAGUAAAGGAAGGUAUGUCUUCAUUUGUGGACAUCCUUCUUGUACUAGUCUUCAUAGAAAAAUCUUAGAGAUAGAGAAGGAAUCAUCUCCCAGACAAGGAAAGGAAGUUUCAAUAGCCGAUUUCCAAACAUUUCAAUCCCAUGAUUCGGCUAUCAAACCCAUCCUUAAUAAAUUCUACUAUGCUCUUUCUCUUGAACCUCCCGAUAAUCCUAUGAAUCUCUCUAGACAUCCCAUGCAUAAGAAGGAGGAUCGAGAAGAGCAACACCAAUGGCUAGAGGGCAUUAAAAAUCCAUGUGCUAUCACCAUUGAAUGGAUAGAUAAAACAAACUUGAGAGACAAUCCUAGAGGAAUUUUACAUAUUCAUGAAGAAUCAUCCUUGGAGUUUGAGAAUGAGAAACAACAGUGAGAAUGGAAGUUAUUUCAUAAAUACCUUACCAAAUCCUUGCUCAUAUAAAACAUCUCCCCAAUCAAUUGGUCUCUCCAACAUUACCACAUUUGAGAUCUCCAACCCCCUCUUCCUUUCUAUUUAUAAAAACUUUAAAAGGGUGGUUGUCGAUGUAUAUGUCUAUAAUAAAUAUUGCAAUAUUGAAUUAAAUUCAUCCAAUCUUGAAUUAUGCAAAAUUCAAGCUUGGGGGAGUACUUUACAUAAAAACAUCAUUUACCAUGUUGCUAUGUUGGUUGUCCCUACCUUUGAGACAUGCUCAAUUUGUUAAAUACUAAUCACACUACUUCAUCUCCACUUGAGUAGAUCUCUAUAAAUGCUCUCAUGCUACCUUUAUUUGCUUCAGUAUAUGUCUAGGUUUGGAGUAGUUUCAUUUAUCUCUUAAUUAAGCAUGGUGCUUAGUUUAGGAAUGAUGAUCUUACUUCCAAAGGUUUUUUAAAUUAAGCGUGGUGCUUAGGUUAAACAGCCUUCCUUAAUCUGAUUAGACAUGGAGUCUAGUUUGGUUAUUGAACUAAAAACUGCUUGAGUAGAUAUUGGUAUAUUUUGUCGGACUAAACCCUGCAGGAAAACUUUCAAUAUCAACCUGGGAAGUCCUGAGAUAAACUCACAUUGGAGACAAAGAGAGAGACACAUGAAGUAUAACAAUUUACACAAGGAAGACGUAGCUCGUAAGAGAUGAUCCUUGGAGGGUGCCACAAACACGAUACACAACCACUACGAAUGGGAAGUUUGCACAAGGUGAUACUGUACCAUCACUCUUCAAGUAAGGUAACAUCUUAAGAUAUUUGACUAUCACUUUUAUAAGCUUCUCCUUGGUUCUGGCAUACACAUGAAUAAAAGAGACAAACAUGUAUGAUUUGUAGCUCCAAAUUAACCAACCCAAUUAAUUCAACAUGUUUAGUCCUUUAAUCUUUGUUCUUAGUACUACCUUCGUGAUCCCACGCUCCUAAUCCUAUAAGCUAAAAUAUUGCACAUUCAAUCUUUGGAAGAUAUAAACAAAACAUGAAUAUAGAUAGAUUAUCUUUCCAUUAGGUUGAGCCAUCUGAUCUAACAAAUAUUUUAAAUGCUACACUCAUGAUCCAUCAACUUUGUCUUGCUAUGCUUAAGGUUAGAGAAGAAUGUUGACGGUCCUUAAGUAUCAAAUUUAAUUAUCAAAUAAAUAAAGAAAAGGAUCCAAAUGAAAUCAAGAUCUAGACUUAGGGUUUUAUCUGACAGAAUUCCACGAGUUUUGGUGUUUGUCUAUUUCUGCAGGGGGUUAUCAGGAAAUAUGGAAGAAAGGACCACAUGUCAGGAUUACGUAAAGAUAUUAACGUGCCGCGCAAUUAUCUUACAUCUAGAAGACUCCAGAAGCCACGAGACCGAAGCGGAGGCGAAACGGGGCCAGAGACAGGGCGCCCGCCCUGCCCCCAAGUCCAAACAGGACUCUGCUUUGCGGGAAGUCUCCACCGACCUAAAGGAUGAAACUAAACCAUACAAUCUAUGUCGGUUUGAUCCAAGGGCUCAUAUUCACUUGAAGGGACUAUAAAACCAGACCCCCUGGCCCCUGGAGGAGGGAGCCUCUCAACCCUAGUUCAUUGUUCCUCAAGGGAGAAGAAGCCUCUGAUCAAGAUUAGAGCCACCACAUCAAUUAGAUAUCUAGAUUAGCAUAGCUACAUAGGAUUAGAACUAGAAGGAGUCAAUCUUCGAUUGGUUUCCGGAUCUGUCAGGAGGAUUCUUGGUAAUUCUCUAAUUAUGCUUCUAAUUGCUUUCUAAUUAUCCUUGUUCUUCAAUAUUAUGAAUAUGACUUUGUUCUACUUCAAUAUAUUGCUUAUGACUUUGCUCUACUUGCUUAUAUUCAAGAUUAUAUUGUUCUUAGUUUAUCAUAGUUAUGUACUUGGCUUAGUUAGAUUGGAUCUAUAUACAUGCUUAGGAUCGUAUAGCGUUUAUCCAUCGGAUCCAUGGGUAAAUGAUAGAUAUUGUGUAGGCGUGGUGCUUAUACCGUAUUUAUCUGCGAUUGUACCCAAUAUGCCAGAUCGUGGGGUGGUUCGUGAUAGUGACAGCUUCAUUGAUUCAUAUAUAGUCCCCCUCUCGUGUAUUGGGCUGGCAGAGCAACAUUAUUACAGGGGAGUGAUUGCUAUGUUUCUCAUAUUCCUUGCUAAUAUCACUAUGCAUGGGCGUAGUCUUGUCUCACAAAGAUUGCUAAGUAUGCUUGCACUAACUAUGAUAUGCUAGACUAUAUAGUUGAGAAUAACUUAGGGAAUAUUCUUGUAGUUCGUUCUAAUACCAUGCUAAUGACUUUCUAGAGUAUCUAAUUGAGGUGCUUAUCAUAUUUAUUAUGUGGCUAGAUCAGAUUAGUUAUCCUUGUCACUAUUAUUAUUUCAUAUAUCUUUUAUGUGACACUUAUCCCUGUGUGAAGAGUUAGAUAUAAUGUUCUCAAUUAUACAUGCAAUGAUAGAUGCUCAAUCUCAUAUUCUAUUCUGUAAUCAAUAGUGAUGAUUGCUAAUCCCUUCCCAGUGGUAAAAAUAUAAAUAACGAUACCUGGAAUACUUCCCGGUUAAAAUGCUGCAUCGGUAUUAAUCUGUGCGCUUGCAGAUCCCAUUCAUUAUUUAUUUAGAAGAGCAAUUGCAUAUUUCAAUACCGCGUCUCUUAUAUCAUGCUGGGGAUGACAACUUGGCUUAAGUGGUGUGAGGGAUAGGUUUGGCAUUUUUGGCACCGUUACUAGAUUUAGAGAACUUAGUCUACUUUUGGUAAUGAUGUUAAGAAUACCCAACAAGCAUUUUUGGCGCCGUUGCCGGGGAAGGUUGAUUACCAAUCAGGAAUGGAAUAAAAGAUUUUGAGUUAUCAUUCGUAUCACUAAUAUAAUUGAGCUUAUCUAUUCUCUCAUACAGUUUUACCCCGAUAUUUUUCUAUUUUAUCUUAUGCAGGGGAAUGUAUGAAUAGAAGACAUCUUCCAGGAAAUUUUGUUGACAAUCCCGAAGCAUUAUUCAAGAAGACGAGAGCCAAGCUCAAGAAAUCAUCAACACUUCAGCAAGAAGCUUCAUCUAAUCAAGAAGAUCACCGGAACUUGUCUUCAGAGUUCGAAGCCAUGGCGAACAAAUCAAUCCGCGAGUUCUCAGCUCCCACUACGGACAACAUCCGCACUGGACCUGCUGCAGAGAUCGAUGGCAACUUUGAGCUCAAGCCUGGACUUAUCAACAUGGUGCAAUCCAACCAGUUCUGUGGGAAGGCACACGAAGAUGCUAGUGCUCAUUUACAACACUUCCUGGAGAUUUGCAACACAUUCACCAUAGCAGGAGUUUCCAAAGACGCUAUACUACUUCGCCUCUUCCCAUUCUCACUGUUAGGAAGAGCGAAGCAGUGGUUCUACGCUACAAAGGAGAAGAAUACUACGUGGGCACUCUGCUCAACAAACUUCCUGGCAAAGUUCUUUCCCAUGGGCAAGACCAAUGCUCUCCGUGGGAAGAUUACAAGUUUUCAGCAACAAAAUGAUAAAUCUGUUCCAGAAGCAUGGGAGCGCUUUCAAGACUACAUCCUAGAAUGUCCCCAUCACGGAAUGCAGAGUUGGCUAUUGAUGCAGACAUUCUAUCAUGGGCUCAGCAACAGUGCUCGAGAAACCAUGGAUGCUGCAGCUGGAGGAGCAUUCUUAUCACUUACUAUACCACAAGCCACAGCUCUUGUGGAGAAGAUGGCGUCCAAUCAAAGUUGGAAUGAAGAGAGGACCCAGACAUGCAAGAGAGGUGGAGGUAUGCAUCAGCUCAAGGAGGUAGACAUGCUGUCUGCAAAGCUAGACCUGCUCAUGAAGAAGCUCGAUGAUAGAGCUGGAGACAAGAAAGAAGUUAUGCACAUCUACGACUCUCACAUGACUUGUGAGGAGUGUGGAGACACUGGACACUCAGGCAACCACUGCCCUGAGAUGCUUGAGGAUGUGAACUACAUCAACAACAACAACAACAACUACUACAACCGUCCUCAACAAAAUCAAGGUUGGAAUCAACAGAGGCCUAACUACUCAGGUAAUUAUCAAGGUAACAAUUCUUACAACAAUAAUAAUAAUUUACCACCUUUGAGAGAGUUAGUGUCUAAUCAAGGAAAGCUAAUGGAUAACCUAUCUAAGAAAUUGGCAUCUAAUGAUAAAAUGCUAGAAAAUAUAAAUAAUAGAAUGGAUAAUUUCUCUACUGCCAUCAAGAAUCAAAUUAGCUUUAAUAAAAUGAUUGAAUCCCAGUUAAAUCAAAUAGCUACUGCUGUUCCUGCUACUAACCCCGGUAUACCAUCACAACCGGAAGGAUUAGAAUCUGCAAAUCUUAUAGACAUGUUUGAUGCAGGUAAUUGGAGUAACCCCGUCAAUGAAUUCUCUACUGACCUUCUGCCGGUCAAGAGAGGCGACCCAGGACGCCCCGUCAUUCCGAUCUCCAUCGGCAUGGUGGAUGUCCCAGAAGCACUCUGUGACUUUGGCUCUAGUGUCAACAUUAUACCCAGGGUACUCUAUGAAAAAUUCUUUACAUAUCCUUUAUUAGAGACAACCAAGUGUUUGCAGUUUGCAGAUCAGACGAUAACUUUCCCAAAAGGAAUCGUGAGGAACCUUUGUGUCCGAGUUGGUACCUUGUAUGCCCCAGCAGACUUCGUAGUGGUAGAGACCGAAAAUGAUGAGAGAGCACCUAUCAUCCUAGGGAGGCCAUUCUUGAACACCACGGGAGCUAUCAUCUACGCCAGUGCUGCCAAGAUCAGUUUCUACGUCAAAGGGAAGAAGGAGACAUUUUUCUUCAAGAACAAGACUACACAAAUUCCAGAUCAAUCCAGACGUAAAUCAAGGAAGAGGACCAACAGGAGGAACAGGAACAAGCAAGUGUGGACCAAGUCAGCUAAGAUGGUCACUAUAGUUCAUGGAGGCCAAGAUCACCAACUUAAGUCACCGUUUUUGACCAAGAAGGACGACCCAGGAAUGCCAAGCAUUUACUGCUCCAUAAAUGGAUACAACUUUUACAAGACGAUUUGCGACACCGGAUCGGGCGUCAAUAUAAUGGCUGCAGUCACCUAUUGGCUCUUGUUCGGGACCAUGCCACUAAGACCAACAUACAUUCAGCUUCAGAUGGCAGAUCAGACAUUUCGAGAAGUUAAAGGAAUAGUAUCCGAUGUCCCAGUCAAAAUAGACGAUCACUUUGUCUAUACAGACUUUCAAGUUAUUGACAUGGGAGAAGACGAGUAUGAUCCACCCAUCAUCCUUGGAAGACCGUUCCUCAGCACCGUUAAAGCAAUUAUCUACAUUGGAACCGGAGAAGUCCAUAUGCACUUCCCCUCAGAGAAGAAUCUAAGCAGGUCAGGAAGAGACGCAACCGCAACUAGAGGAGGCAGAUCAUCAAGGACGGAUGGGCAGACUAUGAAGGAGAAGUUGUAAGGUCAGAAGACGUAGAGUUUAAACAGAAUUAUCUAGAGGAGAUUGAAGCACCGAGUCAGGUAUGGAAAAUGAAGAAAACUAUACAAGAAGAGGAGGCGCUGCCGGACGUACCGACUACGCCACUCAACGAACCUCAGGACGAUUGAGAAAAUGGAGAGUCCCGUUCGGAGGACUUAAAAACACCGAACGCCUUACCAAGAGGUAAACUUGGUAGUUAUCCUUUCCUUUUCAAAUUAUUUCAACUAGUUUACUAUGUUCGUGCUAUUCUCAAAAGAAAAUAAAAUUGUGAAAAACAGUAAGCCCCAUGUGAGUAGACGAGUGGAGUAAAACCCAUAAGUACAUUCACUGUGGUGGCAUAAAAAUAAAAUAAAUAUUUUUCUGCUUUAUAAAACAAAAAUAUAAAAACAAGGAGUAAUAAUUAUUAAGGAGUCUCAAGAUGAUGAAGGCUAGAUAUUUAUGCUAACACUUAAUUAGUUCCACAAGCUUUGUUGUCUAUUUGAGCUCCACAGGAUUUAAGAAACAAGAAGACUAGCAGACGGAGGACAUUCUAAUCGCUGUUAGAAUGCUGCUGACUUUCAAAUACACCUCUGCCACCUGCUAGCUACAUCAAGAGAAAUUACGUCAAAAUUCAGCUUGGGGGAGAGCACCUUCAUUUAUAUCGAUAAGUAUUUCAAUCUAUCUUUAUAUUUAUAUUAUUUUAGAAUAUUAAAAUACAUAACUAUGGAAAACCAAAUAAAGAUUUUAUGCUUAUAUAUAUAUCUUUUGUUUAGUGUGUUUAAUAAAUAAAUAAAGUGGCUAUGCUAAUCUGUAUCUAAAUAAAACUUAAGCAUGGAUAUGAUGAAUAGUUGCUCUGCCUAAUUUGCACAUUUUAAGUUUUCUCUCAAGUUUAGAUAUAACUGUUAUAAUUUAAAGCUUGCUCUAGACCUAAACUUGUGGGAUGAAAACUUGAUCUAAAGUCUAAGUUGUUAACGGAUAUGAUAUGGGAAGGUUGAGCUGCUGUUUAUCUGUUCCUAGAGAUGCUAGAAUUUUGGAGAAUUUUAUCUUUGAAAAUCUUUAAAAAUGUUGCAUGAUGAGUUCCUGUAUGAUGAGAGUUUUAAAUUCCUACCACAGCCAUAUAUACAUGCUUGCUAGACUUUGAGCCACACAUUUAUUAUUUACUGCUUAUGAGCAUUUAGUGUGGUCAAGCUGUGUAGACCCUUAGGAGCUUGUCAUGUGGUUAAAUCAAGAUUUCACUUGCACGUUCACUCAUAUAUGUUACUUCUACUCCGGAAGUACCAUCCACAUAUAUCCACCCAUUCCAACUCCAGAAUCACCCAAAAAUAUUCUACUCCUAAUCCAGGAGAGAAUAACCAAAAAUAUUUCUGUUUUCCCUUUGUGAAAUAAUUGCUCAAGUUAUCUUGUUACUACCACUUGCUAUAUUAUCUCAAGAGAUGAAUGCUCUGAAAAAAAAGAGAAAAAAAAGAUACGAGGAAAUAAAAAGGAGCAAGUGCUCGGAACCUCGAAAGAAAAGAAAAAGUGAGACGAGAGGUAAAAAUGGACAAGUGUCCGACAGUAGAAUUAGGGGUGCAAGAUACCCACCUGAGAGAAAAGAAAAGAAAAACAAGAGCAUCUCAUUCUCCUCAUAAAAUUUCAAAAAGCAAGGAAGGUAUGUAUCCCCUCAAAGAGCAAAAGUAGAAUUAGACUUCCACCACCAUUGUUAUCACCAUCAUCACCAUACACCAUUCAUUCGCCACACAUGCACAUCUUGAUUUGGCUUAUUGAUUUGUUUCUUUGGAUCCAUGGUUUGACUCUGCAAUAAAUGUCUUGUAAGUAUGUAUACUUUAUCUCCCACCUAUAAGCUCCAGAUAUUAAAGCCUUAUUAGAGUAGGGUGAGAGAGAAGACAAUGUCACUAUGCUUUAUACCACAAAUACUACAUAUCUUGAGAGAAGGCAUAUACCAUCACUGCCUUGGUAAGGAUCCAGAAAUACCACAAAAGAGAGACCUGAGAGAAUCAUACAAGGAAUCUCUGAGUUUUAUUUGAAAAUCUGCAAAAAAACCCCAGAGUUAUAGCUGAUCAAGAAUAAGAGACAUGGCACUUGGCUAGACUGUUCUAUCUUUUAACUACUCAAGACAGAAGUGAUAGUUACAAGUCCCAUGGUGAAGGUAAAGUAAGUAAGUUUUAAGUCUUGACAGUUUACUCUAACUCAGAGAUGAGAUCUUAUUUAAAAGCAUAUGCACCGUCAAGUUUUAAAAUAUUGCAGCAACUUCUGAUCCAUAGCUGAGUCUAUCCUUGCUCAGGGACGAGCAAGAGGUAAGCUUGGGGGAGUUUGUUGACGGUCCUUAAGUAUCAAAUUUAAUUAUCAAAUAAAUAAAGAAAAGGAUCCAAAUGAAAUCAAGAUCUAGACUUAGGGUUUUAUCUGACAGAAUUCCACGAGUUUUGGUGUUUGUCUAUUUCUGCAGGGGGUUAUCAGGAAAUAUGGAAGAAAGGCCCACAUGUCAGGAUUACGUAAAGAUAUUAACGUGCCGCGCAAUUAUCUUACAUCUAGAAGACUCCAGAAGCCACGAGACCGAAGCGGAGGCGAAACGGGGCCAGAGACAGGGCGCCCGCCCUGCCCCCAAGUCCAAACAGGACUCUGCUUUGCGGGAAGUCUCCACCGACCUAAAGGAUGAAUCUAAACCAUACAAUCUAUGUCGGUUUGAUCCAAGGGCUCAUAUUCACUUGAAGGGACUAUAAAACCAGACCCCCUGGCCCCUGGAGGAGGGAGCCUCUCAACCCUAAUUCAUUGUUCCUCAAGGGAGAAGAAGCCUCUGAUCAAGUUAGAGCCACCACAUCAAUUAGAUAUCUAGAUUAGCAUAGCUACAUAGGAUUAGAACUAGAAGGAGUCAAUCUUCGAUUGGUUUCCGGAUCUGUCAGGAGGAUUCUUGGUAAUUCUCUAAUUGUGCUUCUAAUUGCUUUCUAAUUAUCCUUGUUCUUCAAUAUUAUGAAUAUGACUUUGUUCUACUUCAAUAUAUUGCUUAUGACUUUGCUCUACUUGCUUAUAUUCAAGAUUAUAUUGUUCUUAGUUUAUCAUAGUUAUGUACUUGGCUUAGUUAGAUUGGAUCUAUAUACAUGCUUAGGAUCGUAUAGCGUUUAUCCAUCGGAUCCAUGGGUAAAUGAUAGAUAUUGUGUAGGCGUGGUGCUUAUACUGUAUUUAUCUGCGAUUGUACCCAAUAUGCCAGAUCGUGGGGUGGUUCGUGAUAGUGACAGCUUCAUUGAUUCUUAUAUAGUCCCCCUCUCGUGUAUUGGGCUGGCAGAGCAAUAUUAUUACAGGGGAGUGAUUGCUAUGUUUCUCAUAUUCCUUGCUAAUAUCACUAUGCAUGGGCGUAGUCUUGUCUCACAAUGAUUGCUAAGUAUGCUUGCACUAACUAUGAUAUGCUAGACUAUAUAGUUGAGAAUAACUUAGGGAAUAUUCUUGUAGUUCGUUCUAAUACCAUGCUAAUGACUUUCUAGAGUAUCUAAUUGAGGUGCUUAUCAUAUUUAUUAUGUGGCUAGAUCAGAUUAGUUAUCCUUGUCACUAUUAUUAUUUUAUAUAUCUUUUAUGUGACACUUAUCCCUGUGUGAAGAGUUAGAUAUAAUGUUCUCAAUUAUACAUGCAAUGAUAGAUGCUCAAUCUCAUAUUCUAUUCUAUAAUCAAUAGUGAUGAUUGCUAAUCCCUUCCCAGUGGUAAAAAUAUAAAUAACGAUACCUGGAAUACUUCCCGGUUAAAAUGCUGCAUCGGUAUUAAUCUGUGCGCUUGCAGAUCCCAUUCAUUAUUUAUUUAGAAGAGCAAUUGCAUAUUUCAAUACCGCGUCUCUUAUAUCAUGCUGGGGAUGACAACUUGGCUUAAGUGGUGUGAGGGAUAGGUUUGGCAUUUUUGGCACCGUUACUAGAUUUAGAGAACUUAGUCUACUUUUGGUAAUGAUGUUAAGAAUACCCAACAAAGAACAAAUACACUUUUGGUUCUAUUGGUGUUUUCCACCAACAGGGCCCAUGCACUUGAUCUCUGCCUUGUCUCUAUGAGCAGGACACAUUUUGAGAAACAUGAAGGCGUUUUACAACUCCCAGAUUCCAUCAAGUGAAGAACCGGGAUCUAUGAGCACAAACACAAUGGAGAUCAGACACUUAGUUUCCCAAAGGAAAUAUUGAAGAACCUAUGUGUCCGAGUUGGUACCUUGUACACUCCAGCAAACUUUGUGGUGAUAGAGACUGGUACUGAGGAGGGGGCACCCAUCAUCUUAGGGAGGCCAUUCCUAAACACCAGAGCUGUCAUCUACGCUAAUGCUGCCAAGAUCACUUUCUACAUCAAGGGGGAAAAGGAGACUUUCCUUCAAGAACAAGACUACACAAAUUUCAGAGCAAUCCCGACAUGAACCAAGGAAGAGGAUCAACAGGAGGAACAGGAACAAGCAAAUGUGGAAAGAGUCAGCUGAGAUGGUCACUGCAGCUCAAGGAGGUCAAGAUCGUCGACUCAAGUCACCUUUCUUGAUCAAGAAGGACGACCCUGGUGUUCCAAGCAUUGAGUGCACAAUCAAUCGAUACUCUUUUUAGAAGACACUCUACGACACCAGAUCUGACGUCAACAUAAUGGCCGCAGUCACUUAUCAGCUCCUGAAUGGAACCAUGCUCCUACAACCAAAAUACAUUCAGCUCCACACGAUUUUCAGGUCAUUGACAUAGGAGAAAACUAGUAUGAUUCACCCACCAUUCUUGAAAGACCGUUCCUCAACACUAUCAAAGCAAUCAUCUACAUUGGAACCGGGAAAGUCCACAUGUACUUCCCCUCUGAGAAGGUACGCAGCUAUUUUACUGACCAUAACUAUAUAGUUGAAGACUCUAAGCAGGUCAGGACAAGAAGACAACGCAACCGCAACCAGAGGAGGCAAAUCAUCAAGGACGGAUGGGUAGACUACGAAGGAGAAGUGAUAAGGUCUGAAGACAUAUAGCUUGAACAGAACUGUCCUGAUGAGACCGUAGCACCGAGUCAGGUGUGGAGAGAGAAGAUAGUUACACACGAAGAGGAGGCGCCGCCGGAACCACCGACUACGUCAUCCAGCAAAUCCUAGGACGACUGAGAAAACGGAGAGUCCCGUUCGGAGGACUUAAAAAUACCGAACGCCUUGCCAAGAGGUAAACUUGGUAGUUAUCCUUUUCCUUUUAAUUAUUUAAAAUAGUUUGCUUAGUUAAUCAGGUUCAUGCUAUCUUAAAAAGAAAAUAAAAAUGUUAAAAAACAGUAAGCCCCAUGUGAGUGUACGAGUGGCAUAAAACCCAUAAGUACAUUCACUGUGGAGGCGUAAAAAUAAAAUAAAUAUAUUCUUGUCCCAUAAAUAUAAAAAUAUAAAAAUAAAUUUACGAUCCUACUAAAGAGAGUAACAUUUAUUGAGGAGGCUCAACAUGAUAAAGGCUAGAUAUCUAUGCUAACACUUAACCAGUUCCACAAAGCUUUGUUGUCUAUUUGAGCUCCACAGAAUUCAAGGAUCAAAGAAGACUAGCAGACGCAGGACAUCCUAAUCGCUGUCGGGGUGCUGUCGACUUUCAAAUACACCUCCAUCACCUGCUAGCUACAUCAGAAGAAAUUACGUCAAAAUUCAGCUUGGGGGAGAGCACCCCCAUUUAUCUCGCUAAGUAUUUCUACCUAUCUUUAUACUUAUAUUAUGUUAGAAUAUUAAAAUACAUAAACUAUGAAAAACCCAAAUAAAGAUUUUGUGCUUUUAUAUAUAUAUCUUUGCUUAGUUUGCUAAAUAAAUAAAUAAAUAAAAUUUGCUAUGAUCCCUCAUGAUAAGCUCUCUCAUGGAAAUCAUGAAUAGUUGCUCUGCCAUGACUAGUUCUUAAAAUUGAAAUCUCUCUCAAAUUUAGGCAUAACUGUUAUAAUUUAAAGCUUGCUCUAAACCUAAACUUGUGGGAAGAGUACUUGAUCUAAAGUCUAAGUCAUUAACGGAUAUGAUAUGGAAGGUUGAGCUGUUGUUUAUCUGUUCCUAGAGAUGCUAGAAUUCUGGAGAAUUUUAUCUUUGAAAAAUCUUUAAAAUAUCACAUGAUGAAUUCCUGUAUGAUGAGAGUUUAAAAUCCUAUCACAGCCAUAUAUACAUGCUUAUUAGACUUUGAGCCAAACAUUUACUUUUUUACUGCUUAUGAGCAUUGAGUGUGGUCAAGCUGUGUAGACCCUUAGGAGCUUGUCAUGUGGUUAAAAUCAAGAUUCACUUGCACGUUCACUCAUACAUGCUGCUUGUACUCCGGAAGUACGCAUCCACUUACAUCCACUCAUUUCCAUUUCCACAUUCACCCAAAAUUAUUCUACUCCUAAUCCGGGAGAGAAUAGCCAAAAAUAUUUUCCUAUCCCUGUUAUUCCCUGUGAAGUAAAUGCUCGAGUUAUCUUGGUUACUACCACUUGCUAUAUUAUUUAAGGAGAUGAGUGCUCUAAAAAAAAGAGGAAAAAUACGAGGAAAUAAAAAGGGGCAAGUGCCCGGAACCUCGAAGAAAAAGAAAAAGUGAGACGAGAGGUAAAAAUGGACAAGUGUCCGACAGUAGAAUUAGGGGUACAAGAUACCCACCUGAGAGGAAAGAAAAAGAAAAUAUAGAGCAUCUCAUUCUCCCCAAUAAGCUUCAAAGUGCAAGAAAGGUAUGUAUCCCCUCAAAAGAGCAAAAAUAGAAUUAGACUUUCACCAUUGUUAUUACCAUCAUCACCAUACACCAUUCAUUCACCACACAUGCACAUCUUGAUUUGACUUAUUGACUUGUUUCUCUGGAUCCAUGGUUUGACUAUGCAAUAAAUGUCUUGUAAGUAUGUAUUAGCUGUUUCCCACCUAUGAGCUCCAGAUAUCAAAACCUUAUUAGAGUAGGGUGAGAGAGAAGGCAAUAUCACUAUGCAUUAUACCAAAAAUACCACAUACUUUGAGAGAAGGCAUAUACCAUUACUGCCUUGGUAAGGAUCCAGAAAUACCACAAAAGAGAGAUCUGAUAGAGUCAUAUAAGGAAUCUCUGAGUUUUAUUUGAAAAUCUGCAAAAACCCCAGAGCUAUAGCUGAUCAAGAACAAGAUACAUGGUGCUUAACUUGACCGUUCUAUCUUUUAACUGCUCAAGACACAAGUGACGGUUACAAGCCCCAUGGUGAAAGGUAAAAUGAGUAAGUAUUAAGUCUUAACAGUUUAUUCUAAAUCAGAGAUGAGAUCUUGCUUGAAUGCGUGUGUACUUUUAAGAAAUGAAACCACUGCAGAAACUCUCGAGUUCAUCCUUGCUCAGGGACGAGCAAGAGGUAAGCUUGGGGGAGUUUGUUGACGGUCCUUAAGUAUCAAAUUUAAUUAUCAAAUAAACAAAGAAAGGGAUCCAAAUGAAAUCAACAUCUAGACUUAGGGUUUUAUCUGACAGAAUUCCACGACUUUUGGUGUUUGUCUAUUUCUGCAGGGGGUUAUCAGGAAAUAAGGAAGAAAGUCCCACAUGUCAGGAUUACAUAGAGAUAUCAACGCACCACGCAAUUUUCUACCAUCUAGAAGACUCCAGAAGCCACGAGACCGAAGCGGAGGCGAAACGGGGCCAGGACCUGGGCGCCCGCCCAGUUUCCUUAGGCGCCCGCCCACCUGCCGAGCCCAAACAGGACUCUUUCUCUCGGGAGAUCUCCACCGACCUAUUGGAUCCAGAAUAACGUAGUACCACCUCGCCUACCGACCCAAAAACGCAUAGAAGGGGAGGACUAUAUAAGGAGACCCCCCUGGCCCCUGGAGAAGACAUGAAGAAAUUAUCAUAGAGAUUGAGGGGUGCCCUCGAAGGAAAACCUCUUCUCUAAAUAAUAUUUCUUUUUAGGCUUAGCAACCAAUGUAAAGUAGAAAUAGAUCUUCUAGUUUCUACUAGAUUGAGAGAGAUAGAGUGGAGGUGUGGAUCGGAGGAAGGCCGGCCUGUCGGUGUCUACUCCGAGUUGUACCUACGGGAUCAAGUCUCCUAACCCGAGGCUUGCUUCUAAGAUUCUUUAGUAAUUCGACUUCUAAUACUAGUAAGUUCUUGUUUUAUUGUUCUUUGGUUUAUGAGUUUACUUUAAUCCUCUUCCGGUUGAGUAUUAGAGUAAUCACUUGCUAGCGUAAACGUGGUGUUUAGGCUAGGGUACUCAUAGAUAUCCCCUGACUAGCUGGACCGUGGUUGUAGCAAGGAACGUGACAUUUCCGAGUUACCUUUGUAUCCCACAUCUCGUUAGCAGGAAGGGUAGGGUUUAUAGGUGCAGGUCGAACAUCCUUUGUGUUGUCUAGAUUCCGUGAGCCUCCUCAAUAGAACAGUAGAUCAUCCUUACCAAGGUUAGAACGAGACUACGGUUGCAGUCUUCUCUAUAUAUCACUCACAUCGAGAGACAUUCUUUGUAGCCUAAAGGGGUAAUAGCAAUAGAUUUGGUUAGUCAGAUGCACCCUUUCUCCCAGUGGUAAAAAUAUAAAUACGAUAACUCUAGAAAACCUCCCGGGUGAAAUGCUCACCGAUAUCCGUGCGCUUGCGGAUCAUUUCCUUAUUGCGUUACCAAAUAUCAACAGGUACGACUUUCUCAAAUCCUGUUCUCUUUCCUAGGUGGCUUCAUCUUCGGUAUAGCGAUUCCUGUGUACUUUGCACAUCUUUAUGGUUCUACUUCUUGUAACUUUGUCUGCAGUUUCCAAGAUCUUUAUUGGGUACUCUUCAUAUGUGAGAUGUUCUCUAAUGGUCAACUCUUCUAUAGGAAUAUGCUCUUUCGGUACUCGCAAACACUUCUUCAACUGAGAAACAUGGAAUACAUCAUGUACACCUAAGAAAAGCUCUCGAAUUUCCGUGUCGUUUCAUAUACUAGUCGCUUUGGUGUAGACUGUUAAGUUGAACUUCCACCUAGAGUACAUACUACACUUAGUCACAACUUGAACAAUGGACUAUGCCUUGAAUUGCAAGUUUUGUGUGAUAUAAGUUUCAUCUAAACUCAUAACUGAUAUCGGGUUGCAUGAACAUCCCCUUUGGUUGAAGCAUAUAAGUCAUACUUCUAGCCCAUUCAUGAGUAUCUUAGAGAUCACCCAAAUCUCAUAGACUGUGCCUAGCAGUCAAACUCGUAUAGGUGUAUUCCUUAAAGAUGUUCUGUAGGACAACAUCUAUCGCUUCACAAGCCGCUUUGGAAUACAUUAAGGUAUAUAACCAGCCUUCCUUACAGACAUAGGAAAGAAGUGCAAUUGAGAUGAGUUAAGUAACAGGUCUUUCCUCACAAUCUACUUCUGGCUUGUUUCACCAUUCUACUUCACGGGAUCUCCGAUCAUAUAGAAUAGGUUGCCACCAUGGUAGACCUCACGUGGGUCUCAAACCCAUCUCACUCGAUGCACUAUCUAUCACAUUACGUGAUAGUCCCUUUGUGAAUUGAUCUGCCAGAUUCUUAGACGUAUGGACAUAGUCCAAGCUAUAACUCCAGAGUUUCUCAAUUUUGACAGUCUUCAAACGCCGUUUGACAUGCCUAGUAGACUUCAUGUUGUCCUUAGGACUUUUGACUUUUGUGAUCACCGUUUGAUUGUCACAGUUCAUGGAAAUAGCCGGCACAAGUUUUUCAACCACCGGUAGAUCCAUCAGGAGUUCACGAAGCCACUCGGCCUCAGCGCCGGCGGUGUCUAAUGCUGUGAGUUCUGCUUCCAUGGUUUACUUUGUUAAGAUAGUCUGCUUGCUAGACUUCCAUGAAACAGCACCACCUCCAAGCAGAAACACAUAUCCACUUGUGGCCUUUAACACAUCAGCAUCAGAUAUCCAAUUUGCAUCACAAUAACCCUCUAAUACCUUCGGGUAUCCGGUAUAGUGAAUGCCAUAGCUCACAGUACCUUUCAGAUAGCGCAUCACUCUCUUAAGAGCUUGCCAAUGAAUAUCUCCUGGAUUUGACACAAACCGGCUAAGUUUGCUCACUGCAAACGAGAUAUCAGGCCUCGUUGCACUUGCAAGGUACAUCAAUGAGCCUAUAAUUUUGGAGAAUCUUAGUUGAUCCCUUGUUAUUCUUCAAUUUUUCCUCAAUAGCACACUAGGAUCAUAAGGCGUAGGAGCAGAUUGACAGUCACUGUACCCAAAGCGACUUAAAAUCUUUUCCACAUAGUGGGAUUGCACAAGUGUAAUCCCACCAUUACCUUCUCUUGAAAGCUUAAUGUUUAAAAUAACAUCAGCUUCUCCCAAAUCUUUCAUCUCAAAGUUAUUAGACAAAAAGUCUUUAACUUCCUUGAUCACAUCAAGGCUUGUCCCAAGGAUCAGUAUGUCAUCCACGUACAGACAAAGGAUCACACCUUCACCCCCACCAAACCGAUAGUACACACAUUUCUCAGCUUCAUUAACAGCAAAGCCGGCAGAAGUUAAAGUUCUGUCAAACUUCUGAUGCCAUUGUUUUGGAGCUUGUUUUAGGCCAUAUAGGGAUUUUAAUAAAUUACACACCUUGCCCGUUUGACCACUUGUUACAAAUCCAUCAGGCUGAUCCAUAUAGAUCUCUUCCUCUAACUCUCCAUUUAGGAAAGUUGUCUUCACAUCCAUCUGAUGAAUGAGAAGACCAUGAGAGACAGCCAAGGAUAAUAACACUCAAAUUGUUGUCAAACGGGCAACUAGUGAAUAAGUAUCAAAGAAAUCUUCCCCUUCUCUUUGGGUAUAACCCUUAGCCACAAGCCUAGUCUUGUACCUCUCAAUUGUACCAUCAGGCCUAAGCUUUUUCUUGAACACCUAUUUACACCCUAUAGGUUUACACCCAUAAGGCCGUUCAACCACUUCCCAAGUUCCAUUAGACAUUAUUGAAUCCAUCUCAUUCCUUAUUGCUUCCUUCCACAAGUCACCAUCAGGAGAGGAAAAUGCCUCUUUAAUGGUUGUUGGGGUAUCAUCCAUGAGGUACAAAAUAUAGUCAUCUCCAAAAGACUUCACUUUUCAUUGUCUUAUGCUCGUUCGAGUGACUACAUUGUCAUCCUCCUCAGGAUAAUGAACAUGGGGUUCCUGAGAUUGUUCUAUCGGAAUAAAUUGCUCAUGGGAAUUUAUAGACUCAUGACUAGAAAUAUUAGGUGUACUUGUCAUAGGGAACUCAUUUUCAAAGAAUGUUGCAUCUCUGGAUUCUAUUAUAGUACCAACAUUCAUAUCUGAUACUCCAAAAUUUGUAAUUAAAAACCUAUACCCUACGCUGUGAGUAGCAUAACCAAGGAAAAUACAAUCAACUGUCUUAGGUCCAAGUUUGUGUUUCUUGUUUAUUGGCACAUUCACUUUAGCCAAACAACCCCAAGUACGCAAAUAGGAGACAUUUAUUCUUUUCUUUUCCCAUUCCUCAAAUGGUGUGAUUUCUUUAUUCUUUGUAGGAACUAUAUUCAGGACAUGACAUGCUGUCAAUAUCGUCUCACCCCACCAUUCCUUAGAUAGUCCCAAAGUUCUCACAUGGCGUUAACCAUCUCAGUUAGAGUACGGUUCUUUCUUUCGGCAAUCCCAUUGGACUGUGGUGAAUAUGGCGGUGUCCUCACAUGAAUAAUACCAUGUUCUACGCAGAAAUCAGAAAAAUCGCUUGAAAAAUAUUCUCCACCACGGUCGGACCUUAAGUGUUUAAUUUUCCCCUCAAGUUGAUUUUCUACUUCAGCUUUAUAGGCUUUAAAAUAUUAUAAUGCUUCAUCCUUUGUUUUAAGCAAGUACAUAUGACAAAAUCUAGUACAAUCGUCUAUAAUGUAAUGAAGUAUCGUUUACCACCUUUAGUCAACUCACCAUUCAUCUCGCAUAGAUCAGAAUGGAUUAGUUCUAAUGGUGCCAAGUUCCUCGCCUCCGCAGCCUUGUGUGGCUUGCGAGGUUGCUUGGAUUGCACGCAUACAUGACACUUAGAACCUUUGACUAAAUUAAAUUUCGGGAUUAAAUUCAUAUUUGCUAGCCGCGUUAAACAACCAUAAUUAACAUGACAAAAACGCGAAUACCAAAUAUUCGACUCACUCGAACUAACAGUAUGGUUCACGAUUUUAUUACACACAUCAUGCAUAGAUAAGCGGAAAAGCCUCUGCAGUCAUAACCUUUACCAAUAAAAGUUCUAAACUUUGAAAGUAUAACUUUAUUCGCCUCAAAGACUAUUUUGUAGCCAUCUCUGCAAAGCUGUGAGCCGCUAACUAGAUUCUUUUUGAUGGAGGGGACAUGCUGCACGUUCUUCAACAGCACCGUCUUUCCCGAAGUGAACUUAAGAAUGACCGUACCAACACCAAGAACACGCGCAUGAGAGCCGUUCCCCAUCAGUAAGGCUCCAGUGUCGCCGGCCUGAUAAGAAGAAAAUAAAGAGAUGUCAGCACAUACAUGAACAUUAGCCCCAGUAUCCAUCCACCACUCAGUUGAAUUUACCAUACCCAGAUGUUCCUCCUUCAGCCUCGCUAAUGACCAUGUUCACUGAUUUUUUCUCUUCUCGUUUGAAUUUGCGGUUUGGACAAGCACUUGCCCAGUGGUCAUCGCUACCGCAAACAAAGCAGCCUCCAUCUACCUUUUUCUUCUUAAAGGUUGCAGUUUCCUUUGGCUUCGGAUUUGUCCCUUGCUUGUUCUCUUGCUUGUUCUUUUCUUAUUACAGAAUGCAAAUUGCUUUUUCUUUUGCACCACAUUGGCACUAGAAGACUCAACGCCUUUCCCAUGUGUAUCUUUUGCUCUCGCCUUCUCCUCAACAUCAAGAGUUUCCAUGAGUUUGGCAAGACCAAACUCUUUCCUCUGAUGUUUUAGAGAAGUAGCAAAAUCCUUCCAAGAAGGUGGCAACUUAGCGAUUAUACUGCCGGCCACAAACUUUUUAGGCAACACAUUAGGGAAUUGUUCUAGUUCCUUAGCUAGUGCCUGUAUCUCAUGUGCUUGUUCAAUCACAGAACGGUUAUCCACCAUUUUGUAAUCAAACAGUUGCUCCAUGAGGUACAGCUCGCUACCAGCAUCAGAAACCCUGAACUUGGCCUCAAGCGCAUCCCAUAAUUCCUUAGCAGUGGUGCAAAUGAUAUAGUUAUCAACAUACUUUUUAUCGAGCGCACUAAUCAUGGCACCUCUGAAGAGGUUAUCGGCUGCCACGAACGUUCGCUCCUCCUCAGGAGUAAGCUGUUCCGGCUUCCACAUCGCGGUGUGAUAGCAACUCAUAGCAGUUAACCACAAUAUCAUUCUCGCGCGCCACCGCUUAUAGUUUGAACCAUCAAACAGAUCCGGUUUUAACGCAGCAGCAAAACCACUAACAGAAAAAUGCCUAAUAUCAGGUUUUUAGAUUGUUAGAAAAUUAGACAUUUUAAUGUUUGAUUUAAUCCAGAAAAUUACACAUAAUAUUUUGGUGGCAUAGAUGUGCACGUGUGCAAUUUUAUCACUACUCAGAUUAGAGAUAAACAUUGCAAAUAUUAAUGCAACUACUGCAGACAUAUUAAAAAUAAAAGGCAAUCAUUUAAGAUUGUACCCCGAGGAGGGACCAGUGCCGAAGGCACCGGCGGCUCCAUUCGCACUAGUCGACAUAGUGCGUUGCUUGCAGUAGUGGACCACAGUCAAUGCAGGAAGAUGAUCGCAGUGCAGUCCCACAAACAUCCAUCAGGAAGAAGACAAAGUAGUUGCAGUUCUGAACUCGACCGUCCACCAGGAAGAAGACGAUCUCGUCGGUGAGCAGUCGCGGAAGACGCUCCCCAAAAACCUGAUUGCCUGCACACCCGAGCCGGUGUCUCGAUGCAGGGCGUCGGGUUCCGGAGGCCUGCUCUCCUGAUCUCUGUGCGCGCAGAGGUGCGGCACGGGGACGAACAAAGAGCAACUCGACAGGAGAUGAGAGGACUGAGUGUUGUGUCUCGCAGGUAAGGAAAGAGUGUCUGCGUAUGGAAUAUAUAGGCUCUAGGAGGAAAAGUCUGGUUAAUGGCAAUCAAUCACAACUAAUUGCCAUUAAGGAGUCAAUCAAUUAGCAAUUAAUUGCCAUUAAUUGCACAACGGUCAGAUCCCGUUUUCCUCCCUUUCCUUAUUCACCACGUGAGUGCCACGUCACGUCUGGUCUGGUCCUCGUGUGUCAUGUCAUGCACGUCUCGACAAGACAAGACAACAAGACAAGACACGCACGCACGCCACGCCACGCCACGCCACGGCUCGGCUUGGCGGCGACACGCGCGCGCGUGUGGCACCCCUUUUCCCUUCCUCAAAUUAUCCAUAGGGGCUAUCAAAGGCCACCUAUUUAAGUUGAGUUAACACAUGGUCAAUCAUCAAUACGGUACUAAAUCGUUUUUAUUAUAGCAUUUAUUAUGGGCCCUUGAAUUAAUCAUCGAAUAUAACUAUGGGCUAAAAGCCCAUUAUAUUCAACAUUACCCUGCAAGAGAGAUAGAUAAAGACAUGGUUAAGAUCUCCAUGACUAACAUGCAGUGCUCAUUGCUCAUUAUCCAUUGCAAGUACCUUCCUAGUGGUAAAAAUAUAAUAACGAUACCUCGAAUACUCGUGGUGAAAAUGCUACAUCAGUAUUAUCUGUGCGGUUGCGGAUCCUUUAUUUAUUUAUUCCUAGAAAAACAUAUAGAUUUAAUACCAGCACUUCUAUAUCAUGUUAUGGCUGACAACCUAGCUUAAGUGAUAUUAAGUAAUUUUACGCUGUUGCUAGGGAUAGGUUUAAAAGUAUAUUUUUAGUAGUUGCGAUAAGAAGUGUCAACAAGCAUUUUUUGGUGCAGUUGCCGGGGGUAGGUUUAAUAGUCUAUUUUUAGUAGUUGCGUUAAGAAGUGUCAACAAGCAUUUUUGGUGUCGUUAUUGGGGAAGGUGAAAGCAUCAAAGGAUAAUGAGCAUCACUACAUCAACUCAUGGAUUGAGCACCAUCCACCCUUCUCACUCAUCCAGCUUUGCCCUUGUCUUUUUGUCUAUUUUUGUCAUAUGCAGGGUAAUGUAUGAACAAGUUUGAUCUCCCAAAUAACUUCAUUGAUAAUCCGAAGACAUUGAUUAGGAAGACAAAGGCUAAGUUGAGAAGGAAUCUAUCAACAUCAUCAACACAUCUCAGCUUGCUAAUCCUCCUGAGUCAGAAGGUCAACCUACUCAAAGUUUGACACCAGAGAUUGACAUCAUGGUUGUGUUGACAUCGUUUUUGGACACGUACCCAGGAUCGGUAGAGUGUAGAUUGGCAAGAUAGGGCAACAGUGACUGGUCUGCAGGAGAGUUGCCGAUGAGGGUGGUUGCCGAUGAAGAGACAGCUGAAUGUGGCUAAGUCCAUGGGUGGUGAUGUGUUUGUGCUGAUGGCCAGCAUUAACCUUUGCCGAUGGCUGCGAUGGAGAGUAUGCCGAUGACGUGGAAGGAAGGCUUGGAGGUUGCUGAUUGGUCUAUGGUGGCGUCCUAGUGUGUCACGGGGGGAUAGUUUUAUGUUUUCCUUAGUUAUUUAGAUCGUUUUGUAUACGGAUUCUGUUUGAUUUGGAAUUUGAGUUCUAGUCGUGUCUGGUUGUAGCUCUUUGAGUAGGGUAUAAAUGUAGACCUUAGGGCCUUGUAAUGGAGACAUCUAUCAAUCAAUCAAAUAUAAGUUUUUACUCACAUUCCAGCAUCUACUUUUUCGACGACUUCGUCAUAUUUUCCUUUUUCAUUACGAGUUCUUAGGAGUUCGUCGACUUAAGCUCAGCGUAUUCUCAAGUUCCGCGUGAAUACCUCUUGGCCGUGGCAUCCGGGCGCAUCGCUGUUGUCGGGACCAAAGUAUUCGAGUUAUCACCUUUGGCGAUAGUAAGGUCAAAUCGGCUGGCACGCCUUAACGUUUACAUCGGGUAUUAGCCCUUUGUGUUUGCAGAUCAGCUUUUGCAUCAACACAUCUUUUGGCACGCCUGGUGGGACCAAAUUCAAGAUCAAGAUCGACAUGUCGACUACUGAGUUUGAUCAGGAGAAUGCCAUCCCUGUGACGGAAGCCAAUCUCAAGGAUGAGCAGAAGCAAGCUAUUGCGAAAGCCAUGGAGGAUUACAAGCAGCAAUGUUUGAGAUCCUUCAGUAUCAACAGGAGCGGUGAAGUGAUCCAGAAGGAAGCACUGUUGAUGCCUCGGCAGGUUACUUUUGAUGCCAAUCCUGGUAAACUUCAAGACAUGGUUGAUAAUGCUAUUAACCGUGCUUUGAUCAAUCAAGCUGGUGUGCUGUCCAAUACGGUUUUCAAUGCCGUGGCUAGAACUUUUAAUGAAGGACAGUUGCCACCAAAUUAUGUGGGCCCUUCUCAUCAUCAGCCAGGAUAACCGGUGGUCACAGCUCCAUCGGCUGCUACAGCCGCUGCGGGCACAAAAACUGCUGUUCCUCCAAGCACGUUAGGAGUCACUAAUGCACAAUCUAGGCCGAUGACGACUAAUCCACCGACUUCAGAUGAGCAGAUUAAGAUUACUACAGAUCUAUUGGCAUUGGCAAUGUCAGGGUCAGCCCCUCCUCCAAACUGGUGGGGUUUCGGUAUGCCUCCGGAAUAAUUGUUGAAGACACCUGGCACGUCUCAGGCGGCUGAUAUGAGAGGCAAGGCUCCUAUGGCAUCGACACCUCCAAAUAUGCCGAUGAAUCCGAGUCCCCAGAAUACUACAACUACUGCUGCAAGACCUUACACUGGGAAUUCUCAAGCUCCAACGUUCCAGAUGCCUAACGCAUCGGCAGACUCAAUGCUGAUGCAACAGAGGUUUAUGACUCAGCCAAGGUAUGUCAAUUCAAUGAUGAUGCCCAAUUACCAGUCAUCGGCAGGACCUAUGCCGAUGAAUGCUAAUAGUGGAUGGCUUGGGCAGCAAGUCUUUCCGCAAAUGCCCCAACAGAAUCAUCAGGCUACAGGGUUUCAGCAAGGCCAGAUCUACUCCGGGUUCCAGAAUCAGGGAUUGCCCAACCAGCCAAUGAAUCUUUGACAGCAGAUCAGCGGACAGCAGAUCGGCGGGCAACAACUUGGUGGUCAGCAGAUAGGUGGCCAAAUGAUUAACCCAAUGUUCCAUGCAGAUCGUGCACCGCACAGACACGUGGAAGCUUACCAGUAGAUGCCAGAUCCGCAACCGCCUCAUCGGCAAGAUGCCGAUGCUUAUUGGGCCGACAAGAUUGCUGAAGUAAUGAGAGACCAAUUUGGGAUAAAACCCAAAGUCAACACUUACUCUUAUCGGACACCGUAUCCUCCCGCAUAUGAUUUAAUCCCGCUUCCAAAUCGGUACAAAGUGCCGGAUUUUACCAAGUUUUCUGGGCAGGAUGAUACAUCAACCAUGGAGCAUGUCAACAGGUUCAUCAUCCAAUGCGGAGAAGCUGCUAACAGGGACGAGUUAAGGGUUCGCUUGUUCUCGUCAUCAUUAUCUGGAUCGGCUUUCACUUGGUUUAUAUCGUUACCUCCUAACUCAGUAAUUACUUAGGCCGAUCUAGAGAAGCAGUUCCACAAAUACUACUUAUCUGGAGUCCAUGAGAAGAAGAUCACCGAUUUGGUCAAAUUGAAGCAACAUAAUGAUGAAUCGGUUGAAAGUUUUGUGCAGAGGAUACGAGAAGUCAAGAACAAAUGCUAUAGCCUGGUUCUGGAUGAUCGGCAGCUAGCCAAUUUGGCUUUCUAGGGCUUGUUGCCACAUAUCAGGGACAAGUAUGCAUCUCAGGAGUUUGAAAGCUUAAGUCAUUUGGUGCAGAGAAUCUCUGAUCAAGAUAUCAAACCUUUUGAACCCAAGAGAGCAUGGAAUAAAAAGGUGUUAUUCGUUGAUGAGGCAGCAAGCUCGGAUUCUGAUGAGGAACCAGUCAUCGGUUUAGCAGAGUGGGUGAAAAAUAAGAAACCGAUGUCUUGUCCUUUUGGGCACAAAGAGCCAGAGAAGUUCGCAUUUGACAUCACUAAGGCCGAUAGGAUAUUUGACUUUCUACUUCAGGAGGGUCAGAUCAAAUUGUCACCUAAUCAUGUAAUCCCAUCGGCUGAAGAAUUAAAAAGGAUGAAGUACUGCAAAUGGCACAAUGCAACUUCUCACAGCACCAAUGAGUGCAAAGUUUUUAGACAACAGUUGCAAUCGGCUAUAGAAUCUGGAAGGAUCAAAUUCGAUAGCUCUAAGCCGAUGAAGAUUGAUCAACAUCCUUUCCCAACAAACAUGCUAGAUGCUAAGGGAAAGGCCAAGGUCUUAACAUCGGAAGCAGCUGAAAGAAGUGCAUCGGUGGAUCCUCAGCACCAGAUCACUACUGCCGAUGCGAAAGGAAAAGGCUUGAUCCAGGAGGGAACUAACUCAGGAAGGCCUCCCCGAUCUGGUAUUGUGAUAACUCACAGAAGGCCUCGGGAGACUUGGCAGCAACGUGAGGAUCGGUAUCGGCGCUAGCAAGAGGACUAUUGUCGGAAGAGGAAAGACACCGACAGGAGUGGAAUCGGCAUAGAGAUCACUGGAAUUGUCCGUUCUUCAUCCAUUGUUGGGAGGAAAAUAUCAAGCUUCCUACUGUCAGAGAUUGUCCUGAGUGCAAUGGUUAUGAUCGGUAUGACAGAUCCGACCGGCGCUAUCGUGAUGAUGAUCGGCGAUUCAAUGGGCCGAUUAGGGGGAGAGCGUCCGUUCAUGAUCGGCUGGGGGGCAGGCUCAGUGUGCACGAAAGACUCGGCGAUCGUGUUGAAUAUUUUUGUAACAUCCCCGAUGUUACGGUUACUAAAAUUUGGAUCAUGUCAUCAUGAGCAUUGCAUUGCAUACCUGUUAAGCACAUUAUUAUGCAUCCACCUAAAACAAGUUUAUUUUGAAUGGUUGUGCUUAGGGAAUUAAAGUGUGUAUAUGUGGUGUAUGGGUGCUUGUGUUGGGUGCUAAAACCCUAGGGUGAAAGAUUCCCGAAAGAUCAGGGGGGAAACCCUGAUUUUUGAACCCUAGAGUUGCCCCCUUUUGUGCAAUUCAAAAACCAAGCAAAGUUCUAGAUCUUGUCAAGAUGUACAACUUUAGUGUUUUGAGUUUUUGAAGUUUCAUUAUAGAAUUCAAAGUAAUUUUGAAAAUACAGAAUUCAAGAAAGUGUCCCCUUUUCCAAUUUGAACCUCCAAUUCAAAAUCUAUUUGGAAUUUUGAAAAGUGACCAAUAUGAAAGUUGUAGAGCUCAAAAAGUUGAACAACUUUGAUGUUGGGAGUUUUUCAAGUUCUUUGGAAAAAUCAAAAGUAAUUUUGGAAAUCCUGAUCUGCCCCAAUUCAAAAAUUUGAAUAUUCCCAAAUUGGAUUUUGAACUUCAAACUGUUUGGUCAAAUUCACCAUGUUCCACUCAAAAUUAGCUCUGGUCACCAAAAUAUGAUUUGUAGCUUAUAAAAUUUUGCACAACUUUCAUUUUGGUGGCAAUUUGGCUUUAGUUCAAAUUUUAGUCGAAUUUCACAAAAAACAGAGAAGAGGGGAUAAGGGCCAGCUACAGUGAUCCGAUGAGGAUCACCGGUCCCUGUCCAGCGCAGCCGCCGCGCAGGCAGCGCCGCGCGCAUGCGUGCGAGCACGCAGCUGCUUGCUGCCAGUGCCGCCAGGCGACAUGGACGCCCCGGGCUCGCUUCCUCCUCCACUUGAGCCCCAGCGUGGACGACGCCGCCCGAUUUCUCUGCCCACGACCAUGGAACCCCGACGGCUCUCUCUUUCAAAUUCACCGUGCUCAGUCCCUCUCGAGCCAAAUUGAGCACUCCACUGCGUUCGCCACCUCCUUGCGAACCCAGUGCACCCUCGAGCUCACUCCCUAGUCCACUCAAUCGCCGGAGCCCCUCUGUCUUCUCCAACUCCGGCCGGAACCGCCGCCGUGGAGCUCUUCCCGUGGCCACGGUGUUCCCGUCGGUACCACGCCUAUCUAGCGGCCGUUUCAAGUUCUUUCCGUGCUCCAGUUGCUCAUGCGCUCGCUCCUUCUCCCUGGGCGUGAACAGGUCCACCGAAACGACAUCGCCAAGGCUAGAGCGCCCGCCCGACGACACCGCCUCCGUCGCCAGCGACCUUGGCUACUCCCGCGAGCCUUGCAACGUGAGCACCACCCUCUCUAACCUGCGUGGAAGCUCUCUAGCUCAUCCGUUUGCGCUCUACCGAGCUCUAGUGGCCGGUCUACGGGUGACCGCCAUGGCCGCCCGCCUCUCGCGUGGCCGAGGUGGAAGGGAAAGGGUAGAACGAGAGUAGAGGAUGCCGACAGAGUCGCAAAGGCGAGGCGAAGCCGAUGCGCACGCGCGCGCGGGCCGGGAACCACGCUAGCGGCGGCCAGAACCGUGGCCGAGCCGCCGUGCGCGGUAGAGACGAAGCUGACAAGUGGGGUCUUCCUGUCAGCGUCUCGCAGAGAGGAGAGGAGGGGGAGCCUGAUGAGCGGGACCCGCCCGUCAGCGACCGCCUGAGGAAGGAGGAGGCGCGCGCAGCGCCUGUGUGGGCCGAGCGGGAGCGGGCCGGCCUGCGGGCCGAUUUCCCGGCUGCUCGCUGCGCAGCAGUUUUUCUUUUUCUUUUUGUGCAGUUUUUGCUUUAAGUUUGAUUUGGUGUAGAAAAUUGUAGAUUAAUUCAAAAAUCAUGGAAAUUUUUGUAUAGCUUCCAUAAAAUGAAUAGAACAUAGGAAAAAUAUUAGGUUCUGUUUUCUAAUAGUUAGCAAGUGUAUAAAAAUUACAUCUUUUAUUUAAGGAAUAAAACUUCCAGGAAUUUUAAUAAUUUACUGAUAUGUCCAAAAAUCACCAAAAUUUGGGGAAUGUCUCUGAGGAUUAUUCCCUGGCUCCACACAAAAUUUGGUGGCAUUUGGAUAAUGUUUGAAUAAAAUAUUAUUAAACCCCUAUUUAGUACUUAAAUAAUAAUUCUAAAAUAAUUAGAUGAUAAUUAGUUAAAUCCUCCUAAUUGGGGUCGAGUGAUUUUGAAAUUGUGUGGUGACCUAAGGUCAUUAACCCUAACGACCUUUGGCAUUUGGUUAUUGUUUGGCACUAAUGCUUAAUUACUGUCAUUAAUAAUUAAUUAAGGUAAAUAGGAUUAAUAAGUAAUUAAUUUGGGAUAAUUAUGAAUUAAGAGGAGUCUUAGUUUACAGAUGCAACCUCUUGGGUAAAGACACUGAGUUGAUAAGAAACUUUAAUUACUGUUUAGUCUAUGUUGCACCAAGAAGGCAAGUUGUACUCGACUUAGUCCUUCUUGCAUAUUUGUCAUACGCAUAUCAUGAGCAUUCAUCCUUUUUGCGUAUAGUGCCCGUGACCGAAGGAGCGACCGUUGAACCGAACCCCGAGGUCGGUGCACCAUUCGAGGAAGUCGGAUCCGAGACUUGGGAAGUCUCCGAGGGUCCCUCUCUGCCCUGCAACCAAGGCAAGCCCCGGAUGCAUUAACCCCUCCUUGAAUGUUUUAAAUCUUUUAUCACUUAUGAAUUGAAAAUGCUGCAUUAGGUAGUUGAGAAUUGGGUUAACCUACUUGCUGCAUUCACUACCUUGAUUUUUGUUAUCUUGUCCUUUGCACCGUUUAUUUUAAAAAUUGCGUAGAGAUGCUUAGCCCUGCUACUAGAUAGGUUUUCAAACAAAGUUUGAAGGGUUGUUGUGAAAUACACUUAUGAUCUAUGAAAUUUCAAUUUGAGACCGGUCGGUGGACUUGCUUUAAGAAUGGAGUCUUAAAGAAGUGUCUCCAACUGUGUCAGUUAAGGACCGUUCCGUUGAUGGCCUGCUAGGUUGAGACUUUAUAGUACUACCCACUUGCCCUCGGUAAGCCCGAUCUUGUAAUCCCUCGACGCGAACAGCUACUCGCGCAUUGGGCGUGGAGCGAUGGCGAGAGUAGUGUGUACCCACCUUACGGAUCCGAGAUGACCAGGAAACAUCUAGAUCGGCUGUAGGAUGAUGGAGUACUGUGCUCUCGGGUGCCGCGAACCUGGUCAAAUUUGGGGAGAGCUUGAUUUGGGUUGACAUAUGCAAGAUUUGGUUCUACAUAUGUCGGGUGGUUAGGAACUCCAGCUGGAUUGCUAAGCGAUUCGAAUCGUCGUUGCUCCCCGAUUGGGAGACUCAAUUCCUUCGACCCUCAUCGUAGAUAAUUAUGCAACUAAGUGAUAAAAUGAGAAAGGGGAAAUUGUCUCAUGAGGUUCGGAUCCCAAUUCCCGGACUCAGAGUGACAUGAAGCUAUGGCCGUUGGAUAGAUAAUACAUUGAAUAAGGACUAGGAGCUCAUAGACUUGUCUGUGAGAGGCAACUAGAUAGACUGUCCUCGAACUCCUCGGCCUCUCAAGGAGAGGAAUUCGCGGGUAAAACUUGAAAGUAAAGAUGCACUAUUAGUAAGCUUUUCAGCAAAACACUUUGGCUCAUUGGUUAUCCACUCCUUGUCUACCCUAAGCCUGCAUUCCCUAAUUUCUCCUCUUUUCCUACCGGGUAAGUCUUGUUGAGUACUCCCAUACUCAGGGUUUUAUAACCCCUGUUGCAGGUGAAGCUCAAGAGCCGACUUGUUUCGGACCCUGUUGUGUGACCGUCGUCGAGGUUGACGACGAGGAAGAGUGAGCGUGACCCAUGGGUAGGGUCUGUAAAUUUGAAAUCUGUGUUCUAAAGUUUAAGUUGCUCCGCUGGACCAGGCUUGUAAUAACACUUCACUAUUUGGAAGAACUCCUUUUGUAAAUUAAGUUAUGUAAUACUUCCGCUGUUUUACUCUGAAAUGUUAUUUUGAUCGUAUAUCGUCUGUGAUACUGCAACGUCUUCGCAACGAGUGAUCCUGGUGUUAAGGUGGCCACUUGCUAUCCUGUAAGGGAGAGAAGAAGAAGUUCUCGUUAAGUGACCAUCGCUAGUGGUCAGGACGAGUUCGCUUAAUACUCCAUAGGUAGCGGUGGGAUGAGCGUCCUGAGGUGUUCAUCGGACUUCUGGAGUGGGAGGAUCCCCGGCGUCACCGUCAGAGGUCCUUGGGACAAUGACAGGUGUCGGUGGGCCCAAACACUUAGGAGGUUCUGCCACAGCUGGUAUCAGAGCAUUCGUUGCUAGGAUGACUGCUGUAUCCUUUGAAAAACUUCAAAAUCAUUUGGAUCUAAUGCUAUAAACUUGCCUAUUUUGAGUCUAAGUGCUGUAGCCCUAUCUUACCCCUGUCUGUAGGCCUUCUUAGAAUUUUUGAAGUGGUGUGGUGGAGCAACAUAAGGUAUUGCCCUAUGUUGUAAAUUUUUAAGUAAUAUUGUUACGAAUCUCUAGUACGACUCGUAAGUUCGUGCAUGCAUCAUGAUAUAUUACUUGGUUAAAGUUCCUUCCUCCUUAUUCGGGUUGGGUUGCAUAGAAUCAUUCCCAUUCUUGCUAACCUUUAAGGUCUCUCUUACUAAUCCAAACUUACCCUCUACAGGAUGGGCCAUUGGAAACAGACCCCGCGCAAGAGGACUGGUCCAAAAGGAGUCCCUAAACACCCGUUGGCCCCACGAAGCGAUCAAGCAAGCAGUAGCCGUUCACCGCCUCAGCAGGAGGUGGACAGGUUGUCCGCCGAGUUGACCGAAGUGAUGAGAGAAAGGAUGUACAACGUCAUGGAGAUCGGUGAACUUAAAGCCCAACUAACCAAAGAAAAACAAGCCACAGAGAACUGUGAGGCCAUGCUGUCCCGUAUGGUGGAGGAGAGGAAUGCCGCUAUUGCCCGAGAAGAGGAAGCCAGGAGUGCACGCAGGCACGAGCUGACCAGGAUGAAGGCAAAGCUGGACAAAACCAAGUACCUUAAAGAUCUGUACGUGAAGAUGACGGCCACGGUCACCGCGCAGCGGGAUGUCGCGUGGCAGUGGGAGGACUAGCUCCAGUUGGAGAAGCUGGAGCUGGCACAUCAUUUAGACACCGUCAAUGACUUGGCAAUGCAAUAUCGUGAUAUUGCAUUUGACCUAUAUCAUCAACUCCAUCCACCUCUAGGCGAAGGAGAGAUGGAUACGAACGGAGAGUUGGCGGAUGCUGGGGAACCCGAUCAAGACCCUAGUGACGGGGAGGAGUCUGACUCCGGUGAUGACAACCCGGCGGGUAAUCUUGACGAUGGCAAUGACGACCCGGGCUACAGCUCUGGCCACACCGACUAGUUCGGUGAAGCCGCGGGCAACGUCGUUGUAGGAUUUCUAGUUUACCGUAGUGGGGUCAGGUUUGUAGUAUAAAGUUUUCUUUCAGUCUAAGAAGUUGUACACGUUUGUUUGCAGUAUGUUGAACUGAUGUUUGAUAAAUAAAUGGAAGUAUGUAAGAUAUGUUCUAAGUUAUGAAUUUCAUGUGGUAACAAGUACCUAUAACUUUUGUAGCAGAUGCCGAUGCGUACCCGAGGAUCUGAUGGAGCCGGGACGUCUCAGGGAGGGGAGGAUAUCCCCAACCCUCCACCUGCUCCACCUUCUCUGGCUGAUGCCAUUGCUAUCCUUUUGAGUGCCACUACCGACAACGCUCGCUUGCUGCGCGAGUUAGCACAACGUCAACCACACCCCGCCCCAAACCUCAGAGCACAGCACAAUGGGGACGGAGAAACUCGGUACGUGGACUUUACCGAGACCAGGCCCCCGGUAUUCACAAAGGCUGAUGAGCCGUUAGAAGCGGAUGACUAGCUCCGGACCAUGGAGCACAAAUUCAGUCUGAUUCGAUGUUCGGAAACUCAGAAGCCCCUGUUCGCAGCUCAGCAGCUUCGGGGAGCUGCGGGUGCCUGGUGGGAGAACUUUCUAGCCAUCCAAGCUCCGGGACACCAGGUUACCUGGCCAGAGUUUAAGGACGCGUUCCGCGCCGAUUACAUCCCUGAAGGGCUCAUGGCCAUGAAGGCCGAAGAGUUUCUCGCCUUGCAGCAAGGCGAUAAAAGUGUCAUGGAGUACGUGGCAAAAUUUAAUCAUCUUUCUCAAUAUGCCACAGACCAUGUGAACACGGAUAGAAAGAAGAAAGCCUGUUUCAUGCGUGGUCUAAACACUAAACUUCAGACCAUGAUGACCACCUGUCAAAAUGCUACCUUCUACGAGGCGGUAAAUAUUGCCAUCGCCUCAGAAGAAAAGAAUAGAAAGCACAAAGAAGCCAAGAAGAAGGCUGCUUCUUCCUCCCUCUCUGGUCACGGUCAAAAGCGCCAGAGAAUCAUUUAUCAUCCGCAGGGCCACGGACGCUUUCAAGCGCCGUCACCUUAUCGUGGUCCCUUCUCCCCUCCACAAUAUAGACCAGGGCAGCAGGUAUACCCUCAACCUCCUGCCAUCGUCACUGCACCACGCCAGCCGAACGCCCCAGGUGUUCGUCCCACUGCUCCGCCCAGCCACAAUUAUCCUUGUUUCAAUUGUGGUAAGCCUGGGCAUUUUUCUAAAGAAUGCCCUUACCCCCUCCAAACCAUCCCCACCUUCCAAAGGCCACCCACUGGCCAACCCCAGCCAAGCCAAUUCAGGACUGGGGCUCAGAAAGGACAACAGGUGCAAAAGGGUAGACCCGUAAAGAAGACGGGGCAAGUCUUCCAUACAGAGGUGGAGACGAUACCGGAAGGAGAACCGGUGAUGAUGGGUACGUUUCCUGUUGCGAAACAUCCUGCUUUAAUGCUUUUCGAUUCUGGUGCAUCUCAUACAUUCAUCAACCGCACCUUUGUGUUAAAGCAUGGCAUACCCAUUGGGGAAACGAAAGAUCAUUUUUAUAUACAGUCGCCAGGAGGACGGUUGAUGUAAAAAGAAAUGGUUCACCAGGUACCCAUCGAAUUUAGUGGGCAUAGUUUUCCCACUAGCAUGAUUGUUCUUAAGGACCAAGAGAUUGAUGUCAUACUAGGCAUGCAUGAACUGGAUGGCACAACGAGGGGUUGUGCUAGACACUUUGCAUCGAACCAUUAAAAUACCAUUGCCCCAUGAGAAUUCCUAUCUGCUAAUUCAAUUAGUUACUCCCAAGCAGGCAAUUGGGCAAGUUCAUGCCACUAAUGUGUCUGCAGUCCAAGAUAUCCCGGUAGUUCGGGAUUUUCCGGAUGUGUUUCCUGAAGCCUUACCAGGUCUGCCCCCGGACCGGGAUGUCUAGUUCAGUAUAGAAUUGAAACCAGGGACAGCCCCAAUAUCUCGAAGAGCCUACAGAAUGGCACCGAAAGAACUGGCCGAAUUAAAAACCCAACUACAAGAGCUGUUACAGAAAGGUUUUAUUCAGCCCAGCUCCUCACCAUGGGGUUGCCCAGCCUUAUUUGUGAAAAAGAAAGAUCAAACACUAAGGCUGUGUGUCGAUUAUCGUCCCCUGAAUGAGGUGACGAUUGAGAACAAGUACCCAUUGCCCCGUAUUGACUUACUAUUUGACCAGUUGGCCGGGGCCAAAGUGUUCUCAAAAAUUGAUUUGAGAUCAGGGUACCACCAAAUUAAAAUUAGGCCGGAGGAUGUACCCAAAACGGCGUUUACAACCCAUUAUGGGUUGUAUGAAUACUUGGUGAUGUCUUUUGGGUUGACUAAUGCACCAGCCCAUUUCAAGUACCUGAUGAACUCUGUCUUCAUGCCAGAACUAGACAAAUUUGUGGUCGUCUUCAUUGAUGACAUCUUGAUUUAUUCCAAGACCAAGAAAGAACAUGCUGAACAUCUGAGGAUUGUGCUGACCCGUCUUAGGGAGCAUCAAUUAUAUGCCAAGUUCAGCAAAUGUGAGUUCUGGCUGGACAAAGUCCAUUUCCUGGGUGAUGUAUUAUCAGCAGAGGGAGUCGCUGUAGACCCAGGCAAAGUAGAAGAAGUGUUGAAUUGGAAGCCCCCGACUACGGUACAUGAGGUCCGUAGUUUUCUGGGUAUGGCGGGAUAUUACCGUCGUUUUAUCCCAGACUUUUCAAGAGUCGCCAAACCAAUCACGACCUUGCUCAAGAAUCAAACAAAAUUUCUUUGGUCACCUCAAUGUGAGCAAGCCUUUCGAACUCUAAAAGGAUUAUUGACAACUGCACCUGUCUUAGUCCAGCCAGAUAUUGAAAAGCCCUUUGAUGUGUAUUGUGACGCAUCAGGAAUAUGGAUAGGCUGUGUGCUAAUGCAGGAGGGUCGCGUAAUUGCAUAUGCUUCCAGGCAGCUUAAACCACAUGAAGAGAAUUACCCGACCCAUGAUCUUGAACUAGCCGCCGUAGUACAUGCAUUAAAGAUCUGGCGCCAUUACCUGUUGGGAAGCACUUGUCAUCUAUACACAGAUCACAAGAGCUUGAAGUAUAUCUUCACUCAAGCUGAAUUGAAUAUGCGCCAGCGAAGGUGGCUAGAGUUGAUUAAAGAUUACGACCUUGAGGUGCAUUAUCACCCGGGCAAGGCAAAUGUAGUCGCUGAUGCCCUCAGUCGUAAGGCUCACUGUAAUUGUUUAACAGUGACGCCUAAAGAUAUAACUUUGUGCCAAGAGCUAGAGAACUUGGGGAUUGAAAUGAUUUCCCAAGGAAGCCUUGCCAAUCUAAAGAUUGAUUUUAAUCUCGAAGCUCAGAUCAUAGAGGCACAAAAGGAAGAUAAAGGCAUGAAAUAUCUUAAAGAGAAAAUUUCUAAUAGCGCACCCACAGACUUUAAGGUGGAUGAUGCAGGAGUGAUCUGGUUCAAGAACCGGUUAGUGGUUCAACAAAUCGUGGAUGAAGCUCAUACUACCAGAUAUUCUAUUCAUCCGAGAAGCAAUAAGAUGUAUCAGGACCUAAAGCAAAGGUUUUGGUGGACGAAAAUGAAGAUAGAAAUAGCUCGCUAUGUGGCCCAAUGUGACACCUGCCGAAAGGUCAAAGCUAUUCAUCUCAAAUCCGCUGGAGAGUUGCAACCUUUGCCUAUUCCAGCAUGGAAAUGGGAUGAUAUUAGUAUGGAUUUCAUAGUAGGGUUGCCAAAGAUAGCCAAAGGCUUUGAUUCAAUUUGGGUCAUUGUAGAUCGUCUCACCAAAACAGCACACUUCUUGCCUGUAAAGACAUUAUAUCCUACCUCCACCUAUGCUAAGAUUUAUUUUGAUCGUAUACUAAGUCUGCAUGGGGUGCCAAAGACAAUAGUGUCAGAUAGAGGCACACAAUUUGUCUCCCAAUUCUGGAAAUAUUUACACGAGUCCUUGGGCACCAAACUUUUAUACAGUACAGCCUACCACCCUCAAACCGGUGGGCAAACUGAAAGGGUGAAUCAAACCCUAGAAGAUCUAUUAAGAUCUUAUGCCCUGAAUUUUCCAGAUAAGUGGGAUGACUGCUUGCCUCUAGCAGAGUUUUCUUACAACAAUAGCUACCAAGAGAGUAUCAAGAUGGCUCCCUUUGAGGCACUAUAUGGUCGUCGAUGUCGAACUCCAUUACACUGGUCGGAGCCCGGAGAAAGAUGGUUCUUCGGGGUUGACUUAGUGAAAGAGACUGAGAACAAAGUUAGACAAAUCCAAAAUAACUUGAAGGUUGCUCAGUCUCGGCAGAAAAGCUAAACCGAUAAAAGACAUCGACCGUUAAGGUUCGCUAAAGGUGAUCAUGUGUAUUUGAAAGUAUCCCCAAUGAAAGGAGUAAAUCGUUUUGGUGUUAAAGGCAAGUUAGCGCCCCAUUACAUUGGUCCAUUUCCAAUCAUUGACCGAUGUGGACAGGUAGCUUACCGCCUUAAACUGCCCGAACGAUUAUCCGGGAUACAUAAUGUGUUCCAUGUGUCUCAAUUGAAAAAGUGUCUUCGGGUACCAGACCAAGUUCAAGAUGUCGAAGAUGUAGAACUUGAACCGGAUCUGACUUAUGCGGAAUACCCUAUCCGAGUAUUGGACCAAAGAGAUAGAGUAACUCGAAGAACAACUACCAAGUGGUACAAGGUGCAAUGGAGCCAGCACUCUGAAGAGGAAGCCACAUGGGAAUCUGAAGAUUUUCUAAUGGAGAAUUUCCCUGAGUUCUACGCUUCUCAUCAAGACAACAUUUGAUAAAUAGGGAGUGUACUCUAGUGAAGGAAAGGAAUAGUUAAAGUCAUGUACUUAGUGCACAUAUAUGUUUAUAAUGGAAUAGUUUUCCCCAGCUUCUUGUUUUAUGAAGAGAGUCGAAGAUGAAAUAGUUUGACACAUUUCCUUUUCCAUUACAUACCCUAAGGCUUUAAAUCUCGGGGACAAGAUUUCUUUAAGGGGGAAGGGCUGUAACAUCCCCGAUGUUACGGUUACUAAAAUUUGGAUCAUGUCAUCAUGAGCAUUGCAUUGCAUACCUGUUAAGCACAUUAUUAUGCAUCCACCUAAAACAAGUUUAUUUUGAAUGGUUGUGCUUAGGGAAUUAAAGUGUGUAUAUGUGGUGUAUGGAUGCUUGUGUUGGGUGCUAAAACCCUAGGGUGAAAGAUUCCCGAAAGAUUAGGGGGGGGAAACCCUGAUUUUUGAACCCUAGAGUUGCCCCCUUUUGUGCAAUUCAAAAACCAAGCAAAAUUUGAGGUUGAGUUCAAAAGCAGAGUUGUAGAUCUUUUCAAGAUGUACAACUUUAGUGUUUUGAGUUUUUGAAGUUUCAUUAUAGAAUUCAAAGUAAUUUUGAAAAUACAGAUUUCCAGAAAGUGUUCCCUUUUCCAAUUUGAACCUCCAAUUCAAAAUCUAUUUGGAAUUUUGAAAAGUGACCAACAUGAAAGUUGUAGAGCUCAAAAAGUUGAACAACUUUCUUGUUGGGAGUUUUUCAAGUUGUUUGGAAAAAUCAAAAGUAAUUUUGGAAAUCCUGAUCUGCCCCAAUUCAAAAAUUUGAAUUUUCCCAAAUUGGAUUUUGAACUUCAAACUGUUUGGUCAAAUUCACCAUGUUCCACUCAAAAUUAGCUCUGGUCACCAAAAUAUGAUUUGUAGCUUAUAAAAUUUUGCACAACUUUCAUUUUGGUGGCAAUUUGGCUUUAGUUCCAAUUUUGGUCGAAUUUCACAAAAAACAGAGAAGAGGGGAUAAGGGCCAGCUACAGUGAUCCGAUGAGGAUCACCGGCCCCUGUCCAGCGCAGCCGCCGCGCAGGCAGCGCCGCGCGCAUGCGUGCGAGCACGUAGCUGCUUGCGGCCAGUGCCGCCAGGCGACGUGGACGCCUUGGGCUCGCUUCCUCCUCCACUUGAGCCCCAGCGUGGACGAUGCCGCCCAAUUUCUCUGCCCACGACCAAGGAAUCCCGACGGCUCUCUCUUUCAAAUUCACCGUGCUCAGUCCCUCUCGAGCCAAAUUGAGCACUCCACCGCGUACGCCACCUCCUUGCGAACCCAGUGCACCCCCGAGCUCACUCCCUAGUCCACUCAAUCGCCGGAGCCCCUCUAUCUUCUCCAACUCCGGCCGGAACCGCCGCCGUGGAGCUCUUCCCGUGGCCACGGUGUUCCCGUCGGUACCACGCCUCUCUAGCAGCCGUUUCAAGUUCUUUCCGUGCUCCAGUUGCUCAUGCGCUCGCUCCUUCUCCCUGGGCGUGAACAGGUCCACCGGAACGACAUCACCAAGGCUAGAGCGCCUGCCCGACGACACCGCCUCCGUCGCCAGCGACCUUGGCCACUCCCGCGAGCCUUGCAACGUGAGCACCACCCUCUCUAACCUGCGUGGAAGCUCUCUAGCUCGUCUGUUUGCGCUCUACCGAGCUCUAGUGGCCGGUCUACGGGUGACCGCCAUGGCCGCCCGCCUCUCGCGUGGCCGAGGUGGAAGGGAAAGGGUAGAACGAGAGUAGAGGAUGUCGACAGAGUCGCAAAGGCGAGGCGAAGCCGAUGCGCACGCGCGCGCGGGCCAGGAACCACGCUAGCGGCAGCCAGAACCGUGGCCGAGCCGCCGUGCGCGGUAGAGACGAAGCUGACAAGUGGGGUCUUCCUGUCAGCGUCUCGCAGAGAGGAGAGGAGGGGGAGCCUGACGAGCGGGACCCGCUCGUCAGCGACCGCCUGAGGAAGGAGGCGCGCGCAGUGCCCGUGUGGGCCGAGCGGGAGCGGGCCGGCCUGCGGGCCGAUUUCCCGGCUGCUCGCUGCGCAGCAGUUUUUCUUUUUCUUUUUGUGCAGUUUUUGCUUUAAGUUUGAUUUGGUGUAGAAAAUUGUAGAUUAAUUCAAAAAUCAUGGAAAUUUUUGUAAAGCUUCCAUAAAAUGAAUAGAACAUAGGAAAAAUAUUAGGUUCUGUUUUCUAAUAGUUUGCAAGUGUAUAAAAAUUACCUCUUUUAUUUAAGGAAUAAAAUUUCUAGGAAUUUUAAUAAUUUAUUGAUAUGUCCAAAAAUCACCAAAAUUUGGGGAAUGUCUCUGAGGAUUAUUCCCUGGCUCCACACAAAAUUUGGUGGCAUUUGGAUAAUGUUUGAAUAAAAUAUUAUUAAACCCCUAUUUAGUACUUAAAUAAUAAUUCUAAAAUAAUUAGAUGAUAAUUAGUUAAAUCCUCUAGUUAAAUCCUCCUAUUUGGGGUUGAGUGAUUUUGAAAUUGUGUGGUGACCUAAGGUCAUUAACCCUAACGACCGUUGGCAUUUGGUUAUUGUUUGGCUCUAAUGCUUAAUUACUGUCAUUAAUAAUUAAUUAAGAAUUAAUUAAGGUAAAUAGGAUUAAUAAGUAAUUAAUUUGGGAUAAUUAUGAAUUAAGAGGAGUCUUAGUUUACAGAUGCAACCUCUUGGGUAAAGACACUGAGUUGAUAAGCAACUUUAAUUAUUGUUUAGUCUAUGUUGCACCAAGAAGGCAAGUUGUACUCGACUUAGUCCUUCUUGCAUAUUUGUCAUACGCAUAUCAUGAGCAUUCAUCCUUUUUGCGUAUAGUGCCCGUGACCGAAGGAGCGACCGUUGAACCGAACCCUGAGGUCGGUGCUCCGUUCGAGGAAGUCGGAUUCGAGACUUGGGAAGUCUCCGAGGGUCCCUCUCUACCCUGCAACCAAGGCAAGCCCCGGAUGCAUUAACCCCUCCUUGAAUGUUUUAAAUCUUUUAUCACUUAUGAAUUGAAAAUGCUGCAUUAGGUAGUUGAGAAUUGGGUUAACCUACUUGCUGCAUUCACUACCUUGAUUUUUGUUAUCUUGUCCUUUGCACCGUUUAUUUUAAAAAUUGCGUAGAGAUGCUUAGCCCUGCUACUAGAUAGGUUUUCAAACAAAGUUUGAAGGGUUGUUGUGGAAUACACUUAUGAUCUACGAAAUUUCAAUUUGAGACCGGUCGGUGGACUUGCUUUAAGAAUGGAGUCUUAAAGUAGUGUCUCCAACUGUGUCGGUUAAGGACCGUUCCGUUGAUGGCCUGCUGGGUUGAGACUUUAUAGAACUAGCCACUUGCCCUCGGUAAGCCCGAUCUUGUAAUCCCUCGACGCGAACAACUACUCGCACACUGGGCGUGGAGCGAUGGCGAGAGUAGUGUGUACCCACCUUACGGAUCUGAGAUGACCGGGAAACAUCUAGAUCGGCUGUAGGAUGGUGGAGUACUGUGCUCUCGGGUGCCGCGAACCUGGUCAAAUUUGGGGAGAGCUUGAUUUGGGUUGACAUAUGCAAGAUUUGGUUCUACAUAUGUCGGGUGGUUAGGAACUCCAGCUGGAUUGCUAAGCGAUUCGAAUCGUCGUUGCUCCCCAAUUGGGAGACUCAAUUCCUUCGACCCUCAUCGUAGAUAAUUAUGCAACUAAGUGAUAAAAUGAGAAAGGGGAAAUUGUCUCAUGAGGUUCGGAUCCCAAUUCCCAGACUCAGAGUGACAUGAAGCUAUGGCCGUUGGAUAGAUAAUACAUUGAAUAAGGACUAGGAGCUCACAGACUUGUCUGUGAGAGGCAACUAGAUAGACUGUCCUCGAACUCCUCGGCCUCUCAAGGAGAGGAAUUCGCGGGUAAAACUUGAAAGUAAGGAUGCACUAUUAGUAAGCUUUUCAGCAAAACACUUUGGCUCCUUGCUCAGCCACUCCUUGUCUACCCUAAGUCUGCAUUCCCUAAUUUCUCCUCUUUUCCUACCGGGUAAGUCUUGUUGAGUACUCCCGUACUCAGGGUUUUAUAACCCCUGUUGCAGGUGAAGCUCAAGAGCCAACUUGUUUUGGACCCUGUUGUGUGACCGUCGUCGAGGUUGACGACGAGGAAGAGUGAGCGUGACCCAUGGGCAGGGUCUGUAAAUUUGAAAUCUGUGUUCUAAAGUUUAAGUUGCUCCACUGGACCAGGCUUGUAAUAACACUUUACUAUUUGGAAGAACUCCUUUUGUAAAUUAAGUUAUUUAAUACUUCCGCUGUUUUACUCUAAAAUGAUAUUUUGAUCGUAUAUCGUCUGUGAUACUGCAACGUCUUCGCAACGAGUGAUCCUGGUGUUAAGGUGGCCACUUGCUAUCCUGUAAGGGAGAGAAGAAGAAGUUCUCGUUAAGUGACUAUCGCUAGUGGUCAGGAUGAGUUCGCUUAAUACUCCACAGGUACGGUUGGAUGAGCGUCCUGAGGUGUUCAUCGGACUUCUGGAGUGGGAGGAUCGCCGGCGUCACCGUCAGAGGUCCUUGGGACAAUGACAGGUGUCGGUGGGCCCAAACACUUAGGAGGUUCUGCCACAAUUUUCCCAGAAACCAGGAAGAACUUGAAGAGAUGGCUAAUGCGCGGGUUCCCGAUGAGUUCAUCUUCUGCAGGGACGCCAAUACUUAUCGGAUGGAGUCAAGGGAAAAUCAUCGCCCAUCGGUAAGGCAGCGGCAACUUCUUCCAUGGUGACCAGAGGGGUUGACCAGGACACAGAAGAGAAGACUGCAGCGCGAGAGGCGAGAAGAGUUAAGCAAGGGCGAGAACUCUGGCCAGUCUGGUGAUCAGCAACAACCAGAUCCUAAGGGAAAAGGGCCAUCGGCAGACAUCAACAUGGUAUUCAUGUUGCCGAUGGAAUUCCUUGUGCCAUCCAGUGAUGAUGAAUUGGAGUUUUUCGACCAAAUACCUCAGUUGGCUCUGGAUCCGAUGACAACCAUAUUUGAAAAGCCUGCCGAUGAUGAAAGGCAACAUCUUAAGGCUCUGUUUGUCAAAGGAAGGGUUGAUGGUCAGCAGAUGACCAAGAUUUUAAUUGAUGGUGGAGCUGCUAUCAAUAUCAUGCCAUACACAGUGUAUCGGAAGCUUGGAAAAGGAGAUCAGGAUUUGACCAAGACCGAUAUGAUGCUUAAAGACUUUGAAGGGAAUGUGUCUCCGAUCAAGGGAGCCAUAUGCGUUGAAUUGACCAUCGGCAGUAAAACCUUGCCGACAACCUUCUUCGUGAUCAGUGGAAAGGGUGCUUAUAACUUACUGUUGGGAAGAGAUUGGAUUCAUGCCAAUUGUUGCAUCCCGUCUACAAUGCACCAGUGCUUGGUCCAGUGGGUAGGCGACAAGAUUGAGAUUGUCCCGGGAGAUUCUUUCUAUGUUAUUGCAUCGGCAGAGGCAGACACCUACGAGAGAACUAGGUGUAUUUCAGGAGAAGUUUGAGAAAAGGAUUUUCUCAAGGUUGCCGAUUGUUGACACUUCUUAACGCAACCACCGGAUAUCGGCGACGGCGCCAGAAGUGCCCUGGUAGGGUAACUCUAUUUACUAUUGGAUAAUUCCGCAAGCGCACAGAAUGUACCGCUGUAGCACUUCACCAAGGAGUAUUCCAAGGUAUCGUAAUUUAUAUUUUCCCAAGGGAAAGCGGCUAAGUGUGUUUAACAAAAAGGGGAAUGAGAUUCCUUGAGUUGUCUAGUAUCAACUAGUGAAUAAGGGUGGUAAAUAACGAAUAGGAAGGGUAGUGGUGAAUCCAAGGUCCUAUGCUAAAGGUAAAUGGUAGAGUUAGCUAGGUGGGAGGACAACGAGUGAGUAAAGGACUCCUAUGUAUCUAACUUGACUUCUGUGACUUACUUUAAUAGAUAAUUGCCUUAACUACGCUAGAGCCUUACUAACUGUGUGCGAGGGAUAGCCGAGCUGGUAAGACGCUUAGAAGGUUUUUCACCUAACCCCUUACCGAAAGCGACUAUUGGGCUUAUGGACGCCUUACCUUUUAAGAACUAGCCUGUACGUGAGGAGAACCUAAUGCCGCCCACGAUCUGUCACCUACUAGGGAGUGCGCUCCUACUUUCCGUUCAAGCCAGCGGUAAUCAAAGGUAAUCUUAAGUAUGAGCACCACGCUCACACUUAAUCCUACAACUCUAACUAGUUGCAGCUAGCUAGAGCUCCUAUACAAGAUAGGACGAUGAUGCACACACAGGAGUGGUUACAGGUCACUAACUUCACUAAGACAACUAUAUUACUAAAGUAAAUGCACAACAAGACUAAAAGACUUGCACUAAGUAAGAACUCAGUAAAGUAAAGUAAGAAUAAUAUAUUAAUAAAAGGAAAGUCUUACAAAAGUAGAAAGGUACAAGAGCUAUACCAGACUCUCCAGAAGACGACUCCGGAGACCCCGAGCUUCGCUCGACUCGACUCUAACUCCCACUCUAGACUAACUACUACUCUACUUGUAUGCUUGGAACUUGUAAUGCACUUGGCCUUGGAAUUGCACACUUGAAAUGAAGGGUGGAGGCUGCCUUUUAUAGAGGGAGAUGGAGUAGGGGUUACUCCAUCGCCACGUCAUCGAUCCGCGUGACAUCUUCUCUCCACCCUUGGAUCAAACCGACCUCACAACCGCCAUUUGAUCAACGGCAGGGGCAAAUCAACAUGUGGGACAUGUGGGGAAGGUCGGUGGGAGGCCACCGACCCUGGAACCGCCUUUGAUGUGGGGUCGGGCGACCCCACUUCUGGGCCUCUGGGCCCACCAGCAGUGUCCACAGGGGUCCCUUAUGUCGGUGGACUAGGUGGCACACCUGGGUCCCACCAAAGAGGGGUCGGGCGACCCCCUCCCUGUGGGCCCAGGGUGUCACCUGUUGUCCCCUCGAUCUCCUCUUGAUGAUUUUGAUGUUGGCUUUGUCAAAUAAUGUCUUGAAUUUGUUGUUCCUGCAUAAACAAGCUAAGAGUACAAGUGGAACUAGUUAUGGAUAAAAUAUGUUCAUGUCAUGUCAUUUCCCCUUGCAACCGAGGCAUGUUGACGGUGUUUUGUAUGUGGAUUUCUAUGGUAUAUCCACCGUCAACAAGAUCCCCCAAGCUUAACCUUUGCUCGUCCCGAGCAAACAAUCAAACUUAGCCUCGGUGGAUCAGGUAUUGUUACUAUGUUCACAUUUCAAGAGUACCAUGUGUACAACAAAGUUCUUCUCUUUGCAUGAAAAAUUUAGCUAUGUAAACUUACCCCUAUUACCUUAGUCCCUUAUGGGGCUUAUGGAUUUUCCUUUGUCUUAGGUGGUUGAGAGACAGAACAGUUUGACUUGAGCACUAACUUUCUCAUUCUUAGCAAGUUUCAUAUCAGAGGUUUUGUGAUAUUUUCAAAAGAAAGCUUAAAUGUUCCUCUUAUGGUUCUCUCAUGUCACUCAAAUGGUGUAUGAUUCCUCACCAAGGCAUAUGGUAAGAGUUGCCUUCUCUAUUUCAUCCUAUUUCUAAAAGGCUUAUGUGGAGUUCAAGGUAGGGAUGAAAGGAGAUAGCAUACUUACUUUGCAUGUAUUGCGAAGUCAAAGCUCGGAUCCUUGAAGAGAAGUGUCAUACUCCCAGAUCAAGAUGUGCAAGUGUGAUAUAUGGUGGACUAGGUUGCUCCUUUAUUUGAUAGACUCUCUAUGUAUUGAGACAUGGCUAGCAUUUUUUUCUUCUUUUUUUUUCUUUUUUUUUAUAUAUGAGCUUUCAUGUGCUCAAUUUUCUUUUUCUGUGGACUUGCACAUGUCCAUCUUUUUAUUUCAUUUUGCCUAGCCUUUUGAUGUCUCAUUUACCAAAUAAUGCUUAGAGAGAUGUUCUAACAUUUAGAGUAUGGAGCAACCUAUUUAGUGGAUGCGAAAUACAUGUGGUUGCGUACUUCCAGUGUAGAAGCAGCAUAUAUAUAUGUGGUGUGUACGUGAUCUUGAUCUUAGGAGCAUGAAAAGUCUCUUAACAAGGGUCAACAAGACUUGACGACACUCAACCCAAAGCAAAUAGCUUAUGUGGAAAGGUUGCAAUUAUGUAAAGUAGAUAUGGCUGUGGUAGGAAUUCAUCACCAUUGAGGAACAAUUAAGGUUUUGAUCAUUUUAAGAAUAAAUCUCUGAUAAUCAUGCAUGCUUAGAAAAAUAUUAUAGUAGCUCUUGUCUUACUAUCUCAUGUCCCACAACAACUUAGACUUAGUUCUAACACUUGCAACCCACAAAGUUUUUAGGUUCAUGGCAGUUUAAGUGAGCUAAGUGAUCCAUACUUAGUGAAAUACUAAGUUGUAUACUAGGCACUAGAGAAACAUUAACAAGCAACUAGUCAUCAUUUCCAUGAGGGAUAUAAACAUACAUGAAGCAUAUAUGCUAAAGGGAAAUGCUAAUAAAUAUUUUUUUUAAGUAAGAAUGAUAAAAUGCAUGAAAAUAAAUAGGAUAGAAUACUUACCUUAGUGGGGGAGAGGAUCUCCCCCAAGCUAGAUCUUCGCUCACUGUGGUGGCGGAAAAUUCUGGUACCAUCCAGCCCAGCGUUGUGCGUCUUCCUCUCGCACACGUCGGAUAUGUUGGCCGUUUUGUAACGCCAGUUGCAAUGUUGCUUCUUGCCCAAUCUGCAAUUCGCCCAUGUCAUUAAUGAGACUGUCCAUACCUGUGGGCUGGUGACGCCUAGCCUUGUCCCUUGGGCGUGGAGUGCGUUGUGGAGGUAGACCCAUGGAGUCUGAAGCAUCUACUGACAUCGCUUCAUCGCCCUCUUCAACGUCAUGGUGCGAGGAUCCUCCUUGCUCCAUCUGGGCGGCUUGCAUCAUCCUUCUUGUCACCCUGCGUGUCCCUGCAAUAUCUGGACUUGCCACUUGGGCUAGUCUAAUGGUAAGUGUGCGGACCCCAUACAACCGGCGCCUCGCACAUGGGAGAGGAAUUUCGGUUGUAUAGCCCGGAUAAAUCAUUUUAAGUUCACCAUUUGGAUUUCUUAUGAGCAUGUUAGCAUUGAUAAAGAAGUUCUCAUCUACCACUCCUCUAACAUAGCCAAUGUCUUCAAAAUAAUGUGAUUCAAGUAAUCCAAAAGUAUCGGCUAUUCGAGUAAUAAAGGAUGUGAAAUAGAUGGGCUUCCCAUACUCAAUAGAGUUAAGCCAAUAGUUCACUAGCAGUUUCACAGGGGAGACCUUGAUUUUACUAACCAUGGCAUAGAGAAUUUUAAGUUCAUCAUCAAUUAAAGUAUCAGUUCCCAUGCCAGGAUAUAGAGUGCACAUGAUCCAGAAGUGAAGAAAGCGCAAGGUUGGAUUAUGGAUUUCAAUGGGAGUAGGAUUUGAACAAUCAUUAGAGCCAGAAAUUGCUUUCCAGAAUCUAAAUUUAUCGAACAUUCUAGUGGCAUGAUCUAGAUCAAGUUCACAUUCAUGUUCACACCCUAAAGCAGUGUUUAGCAAACUCCAAUUUAAUUGAUGUUCUUGCUCACACAUGCGAAAAGAUAUUCCAUUAUUUGUGAGUUUUAGGGUGCAUAGAAAUUCCUUAGCAAGCAAUUCUUUUCCAAAUUCAGGCACUUGCCAAAAACUACUCCAACCAAUUGCUCUAAACACCUUAUCGAAUUCAACAUCCAUACCUGUGCGGGCCAAAAGGUCCGGAUCGAUGAUGCUAGUGUGUAGGAAGAGACCCUCUCGGAUGAUGUAGUACCUUUGCAACUCUUCUUGGCUUAACAUGAGGCCGCUCUCGGGCUCUCUCAUCCUUGAUGGAGGCUCGUAGGGUACCAUCCCAUGGUAACCUUCUUCUUCCUCCCUUCCAUGAGCAUGGUGAGAGCCUUGAGAAGAGCUCUCACCCUUUGCUUUCUUGAACUUGCCGAAGAUAUGCUUCUUCAUCCUCCUACACAAGUGAGGCAAACCAAGCUCCUACUACUACUACUAUGCAAGGGGAAUCUUUUUGGGUUUUUGUUUUGAUGACUAUUUCUAAACUAAACUUGAGAAAUGGCUUGUAACAAAGAGAGAAGAGAAAGGAUUGUGAGCUCGAAAUGGUUCUGGUGGUUUUGGGUGUGGAGUUGAGCUCACAAUGCUGUGGUAUUUAUAGGGGGAGAAGGGCAAGUAGUGGACCCACAAUAUAGGGGUCGGCCGACCCCCCCUAGAAGCACUUUGAAUUUGAACUUAGCUUUAUACAGGGAACCAUUCUGCAUGCUUUCAAGAUUUUGCAGAGAUGGUCCAAAAUGGGGGUCGGCCGACCCCCAUCCUAGCCCCUCCUCCACUUUAAACAUUGUGUCAUUGAUUGUCCAGAAAAGUAAAGGCUAGGUGUGGACCAAAAGUUUUCAAAUUGUUUCUGAGAUUCCCUGUUUUAGUGCUUUGUGAAAGGUAAAAGAUGAAUGGCAAAAGUGGAGACAUGUCUAAAGUGAUUCCUAUGGACCAUGGGAGCACUCAAGCAUGCCUAGGUGACCACUUUGCAGAAUUUAAGCUAGUGGAGUGGUCCCAAAAGAAUCAAAGAUGAAAGGAGCAUCUUAUGACUAAAGUAAAGGAUCAAGGGACCACUCUUUUUCAAACUUUAGCUAGUGUUACAAGCAUAGGACUCCAUUGUGAUUCAAAUGGUGGCCAGCAGGAGGCAAGUGGGGCCAAUAUGGGGGUCGGCCGACCCCCACAUUGGAGCUCCCAGAGCAUCCAAGUGCUGGGUUGGAACCUCUAUGACUAGCAAGGUUGAAAUGUGGUGAAGUGGGCCCCAAGGUGGGGUCGGGCGACCCCCCUUUGGGAGCUCCAGCAGCUCAAAUUUUUAUGACAAGUUAUUCUCAAGAUUUUAUUUAUUAUGGCUAAACAUUUUGUCGAGAUAAGAUAUGCAAAAUUCAAAGUAAGAAUGCAAUUGAAAAGUGAAUAGUAGAAAUUGAAAUGCAGAAAAUAAAUAUGGGAUAACUACUGAUUUACCUUAUCAGCAAGGGCUCCAUGUUUUAGGUCCGUAGAGCAGGACCUCUCCAUCUUGUUCAUUCUUCGGGUGCAUCAGAUGGUCCCGGAGACGUGGACCUUGAUUGCACCUCUUUCUCCCGCCAUACUUGCUUGGUAUUGAUUUUUGGUUCAGCGGGUUCCUCUUCUUUCUUUUCGGCCCUUUUGGCCGACUUACCUCUCUUGUCCCUUCGGCGUCGGAUGUGGCGAGGCUUAGUCGGAGGUUCUUUGUCCUUCACCUGCAUGUUAGCUUUAUAACCAUUGAAUGGACAUUUUACCUUCCAUCCUGGGAAUUGGAGGUGAAUCUGGCCGGACCCCACAUAGAUGACUGCAUUGACCGUGUUGAGGAAUGGCCUUCCCAAGAUGAUCGAGACAUCAUUAUUGGAUCCCAUAUCCAAAAUGAUGAAGUCGGCAGGGUCGUAGUCGUCUUGGACCUUUACCAGUAUGUCCCUUGCCAACCCCUCAGGGAACCUGAUCGUCUGAUCUGCCAUCUGCAAACGAACAAAUGUGGGGUGAAAAGGCCCCCCUAGCAAAUUAUCAUAAGUUACCUUGGCCAUGAUGUUGACACCCGAUCCAAGGUCGCAGAAGGCGUUGUGGAAGAUUUGCGGUCCGAUCUCACAGGUGAUGGUCGGCAGGCCUGGGUCGUCUUUCUUGGUGAUGAAGGGCGAAUCCAGAAGAUAGCUCCAGUUGGAUUGUACCGGAGGCUUACCGAACCUCGUAGUAACUAGUUUAACUCCUUCAAUUGGGUCCUCAGGUUUCCCUGGGAUCUUACCUUGCUCGAAGGAUGGGACAGCUGCUGCUAAUUGAGCUAAUUGUGUUUCUAGCAUUUUGUUAAAGCUCAACUGAUUUUUCAUAGCAGAGUUAAAGCUAUCCAACUUUUCACUUAAGUUUUCAAGGAUCUUAUCAUUAGCCAUCAUUUUCUUGUUAAUGCUAUCAUUGAUUUUAGAUUGGCCUAAGACAAGAUCUCUAAGAGAAGGUUGGUUACCAAAAGAAUUAUUGAAAUUUUGAUUGUAACCAUUACCUUGAUUACCUUGGUAGAAGGGGCGCGAGUUCCAUUGCUGUUGUUGGGGCCGGUACCCAUUGUUGUUGUUGUUGUUGAUGAAGCUCACUUCCUCCUUUGUUUCGGGACAAUUGUUUCCCGAAUGAUCAUCUCCUCCGCACACUUCGCACCAUGAAUCAGAUUCAAUGGCCCGUGUAGUGGCGUAAGGUUGAAUGGCCUCUUGCUUGGAACUUUCUUCCAUCUUCUUCAUUAAGAGGUCCAUCUUAGCAGAGAGCAUGUCCACCUCAUUCAAGGCAUGGACACCUCUUCUCUUGGGUUGGAGGCGUUCCUCAUUCCAUCCUUGGUUUAUAACCAUCUUUUCAAUGAGGUCCUUGGCAUCCUUGACAUUGUGUUGCAAGAAUGCUCCUCCAGCGGCAGCAUCAAGGUGACUACGGGCCAAACCGGUCAGGCCAUGGUAGAAACCUUGGAUUAGGAGCCACUCCUCUAUCCCAUGAUGAGGACAGGCGCGAAUGUACUCCUACAGACGUUCCCAUGCUUCGGGAAUCGUCUCAUCCGCUUGCUGUUGGAAGCUGGAAAUCUUUCCACGAAGGGCGCUGGUCUUGCCCAUCGGAAAGAACUUCUUGAGAAAUGCAUUGGCGCACCUCUCCCACGUGGUCACUUCACCCUUGUUGGCGUAGAACCAUUGCUUCGCCUUCCCCAAUAACGAGAAUGGGAAGAGGCGAAGACGGAUGGCGUCUGCGGCGACAUUCUUGAUGGUGAAGGUGCCGCACACCUCCAAGAAGUGUUGGAGAUGGGCAUUGGCAUCCUCGUGUGGCUUUCCACAGAAGGGAUUGGCUUGCACCAUAUUGAUAAGCGCAGGCUUCAACUCAAAAGUCGCAUCCCCCAAGUUAAGCUGCGGACCCGUGGCGACAUUGUCAGCCGACGGCGCAGAGUACUCAGAGAUGGUCUUCUGGGCCAUAGCUUCUUUGAUAACCGGUGCAGAUACUCCUUCCUCUAACGGAUUCAGGUUCGAGAUGAACCUUUGAGGUGGAACUUGACGACGUCUAGUUCUCCUCAACAGUUGCUCAGGAUCUUCAACGAAGUUUGACGGCAAUUGGAAACCGCUCAUACACUGUCAGGCUUCACAAUAAAGGAAGACAAGACAAGUGAUGGGUUAUCCCUAUCACUACUUGAUAACUAGCAAACUCUGGAUUCUCUUUUUGUUAAAACUCUUAGACAGACGCUCUCCCCGGCAACGGCGCCAGAAAUGCUUGUUGACACUUCUUAACGCAACCACCGGAUAUCGGCGACGGCGCCAGAAGUGCCCUGGUAGGGUAACUCUAUUUACUAUUGGAUAAUUCCGCAAGCGCACAGAAUGUACCGCUGUAGCACUUCACCAAGGAGUAUUCCAAGGUAUCGUAAUUUAUAUUUUCCCAAGGGAAAGCGGCUAAGUGUGUUUAACAAAAAGGGGAAUGAGAUUCCUUGAGUUGUCUAGUAUCAACUAGUGAAUAAGGGUGGUAAAUAACGAAUAGGAAGGGUAGUGGUGAAUCCAAGGUCCUAUGCUAAAGGUAAAUGGUAGAGUUAGCUAGGUGGGAGGACAACGAGUGAGUAAAGGACUCCUAUGUAUCUAACUUGACUUCUGUGACUUACUUUAAUAGAUAAUUGUCUUAACUACGCUAGAGCCUUACUAACUGUGUGCGAGGGAUAGCCGAGCUGGUAAGACGCUUAGAAGGUUUUUCACCUAACCCCUUACCGAAAGCGACUAUUGGGCUUAUGGACGCCUUACCUUUUAAGAACUAGCCUGUACGUGAGGAGAACCUAAUGCCGCCCACGAUCUGUCACCUACUAGGGAGUGCGCUCCUACUUUCCGUUCAAGCCAGCGGUAAUCAAAGGUAAUCUUAAGUAUGAGCACCACGCUCACACUUAAUCCUACAACUCUAACUAGUUGCAGCUAGCUAGAGCUCCUAUACAAGAUAGGACGAUGAUGCACACACAGGAGUGGUUACAGGUCACUAACUUCACUAAUACAACUAUAUUACUAAAGUAAAUGCACAACAAGACUAAAAGACUUGCACUAAGUAAGAACUCAGUAAAGUAAAGUAAGAAUAAUAUAUUAAUAAAAGGAAAGUCUUACAAAAGUAGAAAGGUACAAGAGCUAUACCAGACUCUCCAGAAGACGACUCCGGAGACCCCGAGCUUCGCUCGACUCGACUCUAACUCCCACUCUAGACUAACUACUACUCUACUUGUAUGCUUGGAACUUGUAAUGCACUUGGCCUUGGAAUUGCACACUUGAAAUGAAGGGUGGAGGCUGCCUUUUAUAGAGGGAGAUGGAGUAGGGGUUACUCCAUCGGCACGUCAUCGAUCCGCGUGACAUCUUCUCUCCACCCUUGGAUCAAACCGACCUCACAACCGCCAUUUGAUCAACGGCAGGGGCAAAUCAACAUGUGGGACAUGUGGGGAAGGUCGGUGGGAGGCCACCGACCCUGGAACCGCCUUUGAUGUGGGGUCGGGCGACCCCACUUCUGGGCCUCUGGGCCCACCAGCAGUGUCCACAGGGGUCCCUUAUGUCGGUGGACUAGGUGGCACACCUGGGUCCCACCAAAGAGGGGUCGGGCGACCCCCUCCCUGUGGGCCCAGGGUGUCACCUGUUGUCCCCUCGAUCUCCUCUUGAUGAUUCUGAUGUUGGCUUUGUCAAAUAAUGUCUUGAAUUUGUUGUUCCUGCAUAAACAAGCUAAGAGUACAAGUGGAACUAGUUAUGGAUAAAAUAUGUUCAUGUCAUGUCAUUUCCCCUUGCAACCGAGGCAUGUUGAUGGUGUUUUGUAUGUGGAUUUCUAUGGUAUAUCCACCGUCAACACCGAUUAUGAAAUUCCACCGAUCCAAGCAGUCGGUUCUGAUGAAGGUUUUUAAUGGAUAGGUUCGCCGAUGAUGGAAAAUUAGGCCAGGGAUUCACAUCGGCCGAUGAUUUGGUAGAAGUAGACAUAGGUAGUGGUGAUAAGCCUAGACCUACUUUUAUUAGUGCUAAGUUAAAUUCUGAGUGUAAGCAGCAGUUAACUGAUUUGGACCCUGGUUUGAUAGCUUUGCUUGGGCUUAUACCGAGAUGCCUGGUUUGGACCGAUCAAUUGUUGAACAUCGGUUACCUAUCAAGUCUGGAUUUCGGCCACAUCAACAGCCAGCUCGCCAACGUAAUCCUAAUAUUCUCCCUGAUAUUAAGGACGAAAUCACUAAACUUAUUGAAGCUAAAUUUAUACGGCAGUGUCGGUAUGCUGAGUGGAUUUCCAAUGUUGUUCCGGUCUAUAAGAAAAAUGGGAAGCUUCGGGUCUCCAUUGAUUUCAGGAAUCUUAACAAAGCUACACCUAUGGAUGGCUACCCAAUGCCAGUUGCCGAUCUGCUAGUUGAUGCUGCGGCUGGGCAUCGGAUUCUCAGCUUUAUGGAUGGCAAUGCAGGAUACAAUCAAAUAUUCAUGGCUGAAGAAGAUAUUCCAAAGACUGCAUUUAGAUGUCCUGGUCAUGUUGGGUUAUUUGAAUGGAUAGUUAUGACCUUUGGCUUGAAGAAUGCUGGUGCUACUUAUCAAAGAGCUAUGAAUUUUAUAUUUCAUGAGUUCAUCGGCAAGCUGGUGGAGAUUUAUAUUGAUGAUGUGGUGGUUAAGUCCGGAGACUUCACAAAGCAUCUUGCCGAUUUGCGAAAGGUGUUGGAAUGCACAAGGAAACAUAUAGAUUUAAUACCAGCACUUCUAUAUCAUGUUAUGGAUGACAACCUAGCUUAAGUGAUAUUAAGUAAUUUUACGCUGUUGCUAGGGAUUGGUUUAAAAGUAUAUUUUUAGUAGUUGCGAUAAGAAAUGUCAACAAGCAUUUUUUGGUGCAGUUGCCGAGGGUAGGUUUAAAAGUCUAUUUUUAGUAGUUGCGUUAAGAAGUGUCAACAAGUAUUUUUGGUGUCGUUAUUGGGGAAGGUGAAAGCAUCAAAGGAUAAUGAGCAUCACUACAUCAACUCAUGGAUUGAGCACCAUCCACCCUUCUCACUCAUCCAGCUUUGCCCUUGUCUUUUUGUCUAUUUUUGUCAUAUGCAAGGUAAUGUAUGAACAAGUUUGAUCUCCCAAAUAACUUCAUUGAUAAUCCAAAGACAUUGAUUAGGAAGACAAAGGCUAAGUUGAGAAGGAAUCUAUCAACAUCAUCAACAUAUCUCAGCUUGCUAAUCCUCCUGAGUCAGAAGGUCAACCUACUCAAAGUUUGACACCAGAGAUUGACAUCAUGGUUGUGUUGACACCGUUUUUGGACACGUACCCAGGAUCGGUAGAGUGUAGAUCGGCAAGAUAGGGCAACAAUGACUAGUCUGCAGGAGAGUUGCCGCUGAGGGUGGUUGCCGAUGAAGAGACAGCUGAAUGUGGCUAAGUCCAUGGGUGGUGAUGUGUUUGUGCCGAUGGCCAGCAUUAACCUUUGCCGAUGGCUGUGAUGGAGAGUAUGCCGAUGACAUGGAAGGAAGGCUUGGAGGUUGCCGAUUGGUCUAUGGUGGCGUCCCAGUGUGUCACGGGGGGAUAGUUUUAUGUUUUCCUUAGUUAUUUAGAUCGUUUUGUAUACGGAUUCUAUUUGAUUUGGAAUUCGAGUUCUAGUCAUGUCUGGUUGUAGCUCUUUGAGCAGGGUAUAAAUGUAGACCUUAGGGCCUUGUAAUGGAGACAUCUAUCAAUCAAUCAAAUAUAAGUUUUUACUCAUAUUCCAGCAUCUACUUUUUCAACGACUUCGUCAUAUUUUCCUUUUUCAUUACGAGUUCUUAGGAGUUCGUCGACUUAAGCUCGGCGUAUUCUCAAGUUCCGCGUGAAUACCUCUUGGCCAUGGCAUCCGGGCGCAUCGCUAUUGUCGGAACCAAAGUAUUCGAGUUAUCACCUUUGCCGAUAGUAAGGUCAAAUCAGGUGGCACGCCUUAACGUUUAAAUUGGGUAUUAGCCUUUUGUGUUUGCAGAUCAGCUUUUGCAUGAACACAUCUUUUGGCACGCCAGGUGGGACCAGAUUCAAGAUCAAGAUCGACAUGUCGACUACUGAGUUUGAUCAGGAGAAUGUCAUCCCUGUGACGGAAGCCAAUCUCAAGGAUGAGCAGAAGCAAGCUAUUGCGAAAGCCAUGGAGGAUUACAAGCAGCAAUGUUUGAGAUCCUUCAGUAUCAACAGGAGUGGCGAAGUGAUCCAGAAGGAAGCACUGCCGAUGCCUCGGCAGGUUACUUUUGAUGCCAAUCCUGGUAAACUUCAAGACAUGGUUGAUAAUGCUAUUAAUCGUGCUUUGAUCAAUCAAGCUAGUGUGCUGUCCAAUACGGUUUUCAAUGCCGUGGCUAGAACUUUUAAGGAAGGACAGUUGCCACCAAAUUAUGUGGGCCCUUCUCAUCAUUAGCCAGGAUCACCGGUGGUCACAGCUCCAUCGGCUGCUACAGCCACUGCGGGCAAAGAAACUGCUGUUCCUUCAAGCACGUUAGGAGUCACUAAUGCACAAUCUAGGCCGAUGAUGACUAAUCCACCGAAUUCAGAUGAGCAGAUUAAGCUUACUACAGAUGGUGAGGUCGUUGUCCCGAUCUUCACGACGUAGGAUAACUAGCUGAAGAUCAGCCGAUAACUUGCUGCAAGCAGCGAGGAUAACUAGUGCAACCUGACGACACGCACAAGGAGCCAACCACCGUCUCUAUACGGCAGCCUGAACCAAGGAUUCGCCCAACCACACUCUCAAAGAACCAACCUACGCAACCUGAACUCGAGGAUCAGGAGCACGGAUUGGGUGCCGAUGACGCGGCCGCUUCUGUAAUCUCCACGAAGGAAAACACAAGAGCAAAGGGGUAGAGAUCACUCUCUGAAUUUGUUAGGACGCAGCUGAACAAAGGGGUUCUGUAUUUCAAUUAUCAAAGUCUUUGAUUACAAUGAGUCUUAGGGGGUACUUAUACUAGCAACAGCCCUGCUAGAUAGGCAUGAAAACGAAAUAGAGUUUCUGAGGGAAGGCAAUGUGAAAGGUCCCCUCGAAAUGGAUUCCCGAAGUGGCUUCGCGUGACUGUUGGCCUCCAGAGCAGUUUCUAAUAAACUGACCAUAACUUUUUAUUGGGAAGUCCAAAUGAUGAUCCGUUUCUUGGGUGUGAAACUAGACUCCAAGAGCUUUCCAUCAAUGUAUUCCAUGCACCACGAAACGCUGUAGAUUGGUACAGUUUCACUUGGCAAGUUGUACCAACAUUCUGUCAUGACAGACUAUUGACCUUCUGAGCAGUCUGUACUAAUUCUGGUCUGCAGGCAAUAUGGAGUAUCCAAACUGGUCGCCACUAGACUCAUUGGAAAGUAGACUCGAAGGGCUUUCCAACAAAUGCUCAUGGGCCAUCAUAGCAUCUCGGAAGUGAAAGUUAUGAUCUUUUCUUUCAACUGGUCCGUUCUGCACCGCACUGGUCCGAUCUGCCCUUCUUUCAACUGGUCCGUUCUGCACCGUGUUGUUCCAAUCCUUGCGAUCCAGGUCACCUCCCUCCUCAUGUGUAUACCUAAGCACAACCAAAGUAGAACACUUAGGUAGUAUAAUAUUCUCAUUAACAUUAAUAGAACUCUCACAAAGUAGCGCGUUCACCUCUUGUUGUAGCUUCUUGGCCCGGCUACGUGUAAUUGCUCCAUCAAUGGCUUGGGCUGGUGCCGGCGUAGUCAGUGUAGAGGUUGGCGUGGAAUUAGAGGGAGCAUGCUUGGUUGGGAUGUCCUCAUCAUCCUCCCCCUCUUGAAAAGGAGUCGACCUCGACUUUGAUUCUUCUAAUCCGAAGAAUGGUGUCAAGUCAGCAACAUUGAAGGUUGUGCUAACACCAUAAUCUUCAGGAAGCUCAAUCUGGUAGGCAUUAUCAUUGAUCCUGGACAGCACUCUGAAUGGACCAUCUCCCCGUGGCAUCAACUUGGAUUUACACUUAUCAGGAAAGCGGUCUUUGCGAAGAUGUACCCACACUAAAUCUCCGGGCUCAAAUAUCACCUUCUUGCGAUGCUUGUUUGCCCAAUCAGCAUAGUACUUGGACCUUCUUUCGAUUGCUUCUUUGGUCUUCUCAUGAAUCUUCUUGACAUAUGAUGCACGCUUGGAUGCUUCCAUGUUAAUCCUUUCCUGCAAUGGUAGAGGCAACAAAUCGAUCGGAGCAAGGGGUUUGAAUCCAUACACAACUUCAAAAGGACACAUAUUAGUUGUAGAAUGUACUGCCCUGUUGUAAGCGAAUUUCACAUGUGGCAAGCACUCUUCCCACUCCUUCAGGUUCUUCUUUAUCAAGGCUCAUAGCAGCAUAGAAAGUGUUCUAUUCACAACUUCAGUUUGUCCAUCCGUUUGAGGAUGACAAGUGGUGGAAAACAGCAGCCUUGUUCCAAGCUUUGCCCACAAUGUCUUCCAAAAGUAGCUCAAGAACUUGGUGUCAUGGUCUGAAACAAUUGUUUUGGGUACGCCGUGUAAUCUUACAAUAUCCCUGAAAAAUAGAGAGGCUACGUGGGAAGCAUCAUCGCUUUUAUGACAAGGUAUAAAAUGUGCCAUUUUAGAGAACCGAUCAACAACAACAAAAAUUGAAUCCAUUCCCCUCUUUGUCCUAGGUAAACCCAAAACAAAAUCCAUGCUAAUAUCUUCCCAAGGGGUACUAGGAAUAGGCAAGGGAGUAUAUAAUCCAUGAGGGUUCAGUUUUGACUUAGCUUUGUGACAUGUGAUGCAUCUUUGCACAAGUCGUUGGACGUCUCUUCUCAUCUUUGGCCAGUAGAAGUGAUCAGCUAGCAUCUCAUAUGUCUUUCUCCAUCCAAAGUGACCCAUCAAUCCACCUGCAUGUGUUUCCUGUAGCAACAAAAGCCAAGGCAUACAAUUCUUUGUCAUACACCGAGUAGUUCAGUUGCGCACCUCCUAACUUUUCACUGAAGUAUGCAACCGGCUGUCCAUUUUGCAUUAGGACACCACCGAUUCCGAUCCCACUUGCAUCACAUUCAACCUCAAAGGUUUUAGUGAAAUCCGGUAACACCAGCAAGGGGGCUUCGGAUAGCCUCUUCUUCAAUUCUUGGAAUGCUCUCUCUUGUGGUUCACCCCAUUGGAAGGCAACACCUUUCUUUGUUAACUCAUUCAGCGGAGCAGCUAUGGUGCUGAAAUCUCUCACAAAUCUUCUGUAAAAACCAGCAAGUCCAUGAAAACUUCUCACCUGACUCACAUUUUCAGGAGUUGGCCAAUCCUUGAUUGCUUUCACCUUUGAUUCAUCAACCUGAAUUCCUGAACCUGAAACAACAAAACCAAGAAACACAACCUGAUCUGUACAAAAUAUGCACUUCUCAAGGUUAGCAAAUAAUUUUUCUUUUCUUAGCACAUCCAAAACUUGCUUAAUAUGAUCAACAUGUUCCUCCAAUGUCUUGCUGUAAAUUAGAAUAUCAUCAAAGUAAACAACAACAAACUUUCCAAUGAAUGCUCGCAAGACAUGGUUCAUCAAUCUCAUGAACGUACUAGGGGCAUUGGUCAAACCGAAAGGCAUAACUAACCAUUCAUACAGCCCAAACUUUGUUUUAAAAGCAGUUUUCCAUUCAUCUCCAAUCUUCAUUCUAAUUUGAUGGUAACCACUUCUCAAAUCAAUUUUAAAAAACAUCAUAGAACCACUCAAUUCAUCAAGCAUAUCAUCUAGCCUAGGAAUAGGAUGACGAUAACGAACGGUGAUAUUGUUUAUGGUUCUACAAUCUACACACAUCCUCCAAGAACCAUCUUUCUUUGGCACCAAAAUCACAGGAACAGCACAAGGACUUAAACUUUCUCGCACAUAUCCUUUAUCUAAAAGUUCUUGUACUUGCCUUUGAAUCUCCUUGGUUUCUUCCGGAUUGGUGCGGUACGCCGGACGGUUUGGAAGUGCAGCUCCAGGGAUGAGAUCAAUUUGAUGUUCGAUACCGCGCAAAGGAGGAAGUCCAGCAGGUGUUUCCUUUGGAAAAACAUCGUCAUAGUCCUGCAAAACAUGUGCAACAACACUAGGGACAGAUGUUAAGUCAUUAGCUGAAAGCAAUGUGUCCUUGCACACAAGUACAAAUAGUACUUGAUCUGGGUUUUUCCUCACAUCUCUCAGUUCAGAUUUGGUGGCUAUCAUCACGAAGUUCUCUCCCUCUCUUUUUCUGUCAUCUCUCAUGUUUGGCUUGUGGCUCUCACUCACUGAUUUGUGGAGGGCACUCAAAUUAUUUUUCUCUUUCUUUUGCACUCUCAUUCCUCACUUCGGAGCUCUUUUGCAAGUGCUCAGCUAGGAUUUGCUGCGGUGUCAUGGGUUUAAGAAUCAACUCCUUGUUCUUCCACUUGAUGGUGUAUUGAUUGGUUCUACCACAAUGUAGAGACGAUCGAUCAUAUUGCCAUGGUCUUCCCAACAGCAUGUGGCACACUGUCAUAGGCGCCACAUCACACUCUACAGUGUCAAUAUAUUCACCAAUCUUGAAUGGAACUUUCACUCUUUGUGCAAUCUUAAUAGAACCUGAAUUAUUAAGCCAUUGCACAUGAUAUGGAUGGGGAUGUUUCAGCAGCUUCAACCCAAGCUUUUCAACCAUUUCUUUGCUUGCAAGAUUGUGGCAACUGCCACCAUCAAUGAUUACUUUGACAACCUUGUCUUGCACUUUAGCUCUAGUCUGAAAAAGAUUGUGCCGCUGUCCAUUUUCAGCAUCACUCAUUUGUACACUCAAAAUCUGAGUUACAACAAGAGCAGCACCAGAUUCAAAUUCACAGAUGUCCUUCUCAAGAUUACUCUCACUUCCACUAUCUUCUUGUUCUUCCUCACUAGCAGAUUCAUACUCCCCGUGAUCAUUCACAAUGAUGGUUCUAGCGUUUGGACACUCUCUUGCAACAUGACCACGACCACCACACUUGAAGCACUGAAUUCCACUACUCUUGCUGGAAGAACCUACUGAGUUUGCUGAUUUGAAUUUCUCAUUUUGAGCAGCCAACUCUUUGCUACUAGAAGAACCAAGGUUGCUAGAUCGUGCACCACCGUUUGAGCUGGAAAAUGUACCUUUACUUCCACUUCCUUUGGGUGCAAAUUUACUUCCACUUGCUGCACUCUUUGUGCUGAAAGAAAGUCCUCUAGUGGACUUCAUAUCCUGCUGCAAUUGCCGCUCAGCUUUGCUAGCUUGAUGCACCAAUUCAACAAGAUUACGAUAUUGCUGAAAUUCAACAAUGCGCUGAAUAUUCCGAUGCAGCCCUGACAUAAAUCUUGCAAUUGUUUGCUCUUCAUCUUCAGUUACAUUGGCUCUAAUCAUCGCCUUCUCCAUCUCUUUAUAAUACUCAUCAACACUGAGGCUUCCUUGCUUCAGAUUCUGUAGCUUGUCAAAUAAAUCACGGCGAUAAUGUUUGGGGACAAAUCUUGCUCUCAAUUAUCUCUUCAUUUCAGCCCAUGAACGAACAUCACCUUGACCAGCUUCUUCUCUUUCAUUCAACAUUUGCUCCCACCAGAUUAGAGCAUACCCAUCGAACUCAAGAGCAGCCAUGGCCACCUUCUUUCUCUCAGAAUAAUUAUGCACACGAAAAAUUUUAUCCACCUUCAACACCCAUGUAAGAUAUGCUUCAGGAUCAGAUCCUCCUUCAAACUGGGGCAUGGUGAAUUUUAACUUGCCAAACUCUCUCUUCAUUGUGCUGAUUACGCCUACGAUUUCUGCGGUGACGACGAUCAUCAUAAUGGGGCUGUUCAUCCUCUUCUUCAGUUUCACUUUCUUCCAAUCCAAUACCUCUCCCAUGUCCAUGACCAGCACCUCUACCACCAUGAUCACGUCGUGGAAAAGGAGGUCUUCUUGCAUUGGCAGCAGCACGCUCUCUACGCCGUUCCCUUGCACGACGAGCAGCUUCUCCUUCGCUUUCUUCAACUUCAUCUUCAUGGUGACUGCCAUUUGCAAUAUCAUGAGGAUGAAUUUGCAACCGGUUUAUGAGUGCUUGAACAUUGUUUGUUAGCGUCUCCAUGCUUUGUUUCAUCUCAUUGAAUUGUGCCAUGGUGACACAAUCAUCAAUCUCCGGAUGCUCAGUCAUCUUGCUGUAAAAAAUUAGUGAAGGCAAAGCAACAAUAUAUGUAGAAUAGGGAAUUAUAUGUGGAAUCUCACAAUCUCACCUCUCUUGCCAACCGAAGCUCAUGUGAGUUCUCCGCAGAUUACAACGGCCAAUGCGAGGUGGUAACCGAGAAUGAUGGUUGGGAGAAUCCAAGAUCAGUAUUUUCCUAUGACAGUGGGUUAUUUAUGGAGCUUGGUGGGGAUAUAAUUCACAAGGAAUGCAGUCUGAAUUCUUGAUAUUGUAAAGUUAAACCACAAUCCAAACUAGAAGUUCAAUGCCUAGUGCUGACCACAAGAUAUGAGUGAUGUAAAUAGAUCAAACACACGCGCAAAGAUAAUUCAGAUUUGAUGCAAACAAGGAGUAUGUCUAGCAUGCAAGUGUUGCAAUCAAACCCAAGCAAAAUUUUAGACCAAAGAUGGAUAAUGACUGAUUGUGUGACUUGAUAUAAAAUUCAGAACUUGAGCACAUAAACAGAGUGAACUUUCUACUCUUUCUUCACAACUUUUCUUCCUCAACUCUCCUUUUUUUUCACUUUCCUUUUUUUGAUACUCUGUUUUUUUUAUAACUAAGAACAAGGGCAGAUAUAACACUUACACACACUUUUUUUUUGAAACAAGACACAACCGUCAGCGUUCUAACUUGAUAGGCUCAAAGUUUACGUGAAGGUUGAUACCGGUUUCAGAUUUUCUUUAGGGAUUUAUAGAUAUAAAAGAGGCACAAAGGACACACAAAGGAUAUGAUGAUCAGCAACUAAACAAAACUCUAAUGGACUGAAACUUAACCAAACUCACAAGAAAAACAGAUUGAAACAAAGGGCUAAUGCAAUUUUUUUAUGGCUUUUUGGUGGAUAGGACGAACAAGAUAUAUAUAUGUAGCUAAGGGUAAAAAUCCUACCGUGAAAACUUGAGCUUUGAUGCUAGAUGGUGAGGUCGUUGUCCCGAUCUUCAUGACGUAGGAUAACUAGCUGAAGAUCAGCCGAUGACUUGCUGCAAGCAGCGAGGAUAACUAGUGCAACCUGACGACACGCACAAGGAGCCAACCAUCGUCUCUAUACGGCAGCCUGAACCAAGGAUUCGCCCAACCACACUCUCAAAGAACCAACCUACACAACCUGAACUCGAGGAUUAGGAGCACGGAUUGGGUGCCGAUGACGCGGCCGCUUCUGUAAUCUCCACGAAGGAAAACACAAGAGCAAAGGGGUAGAGAUCACUCUCUGAAUUUGUUAGCACGCAGCUGAACAAAGGGGUUCUGUAUUUCAAUUAUCAAAGUCUUUGAUUACAAUGAGUCUUAGGGGGUAUUUAUACUAGCAACAGCCCUGCUAGAUAGGUAUGAAAACGAAAUAGAGUUUCUGAGGGAAGGCAAUGUGAAAGGUCCCCUCGAAAUGGAUUCCCGAAGUGGCUUCGUGUGACUGUUGGCCUCCAGAGCAGUUUCCAAUAAACUGACCAUAACUUUUUAUUGGAAGUCCAAAUGAUGAUCCGUUUCUUGGGUGUGAAACUAGACUCCAAGAGCUUUCCAUCAAUGUAUUCCAUACACCACGAAACGCUGUAGAUUGGUACAGUUUCACUUGGCAAGUUGUACCAACAUUCUGUCAUGACGGACUGUUGACCUUCUGAGCAGUCUGUACUAAUUCUGGUCUGCAGGCAAUAUGGAGUGUCCAAACUGGUCGCCACUAGACUCAUUGGAAAGUAGACUCGAAGGGCUUUCCAACAAAUGCUCAUGGGCCAUCAUAGCAUCUCGGAAGUGAAAGUUAUGAUCUUUUCUUUCAACUGGUCCGUUCUGCACCGCACUGGUCUGAUCUGCCCUUCUUUCAACUGGUCCGUUCUGCACCGUGUUGUUCCAAUCCUUGCGAUCCAGGUCACCUCCCUCCUCAUGUGUAUACCUAAGCACAACCAAAGUAGAACACUUAGGUAGUAUAAUAUUCUCAUUAACAUUAAUAGAACUCUCACAAAGUAGCGCGUUCACCUCUUGUUGUAGCUUCUUGGCUCGGCUACGUGUAAUUGCUCCAUCAAUGGCUUGGGCUGGUGCCGGCGUAGUCGGUGUAGAGGUUGGCAUGGAAUUAGAGGGAGCAUGCUUGGUUGGGAUGUCCUCAUCAACAGAUCUAUUGGCAUCGACAAUGUUAGGGUCAGCCCCUCCUCCUAACUGGUGGGGUUUCGGUAUGCCUCUGGAAUACUUGUUGAAGACACCUGGCACGUCUCAGGCGGCUGAUAUGAGAGGCAUGGCUCCUAUGGCAUCGACACCUCCAAAUAUGCCGAUGAAUCAGAGUCCCCAGUAUACUACAACUACUACUGCAAGACCUUACACUGGGAAUUCUCAAGCUCCAACGUUCCAGAUGCCUAACGCAUCGGCAGACUCAAUGCUGAUGCAACAGAGGUUUAUGACUCAGCCAGGGUAUGUCAAUUCAAUGAUGAUGCCCAAUUACCAGUCAUCGGCAGGACCUAUGCCGAUGAAUGCUAAUAGUGGAUGGCUUGGGCAGCAAGUCUUUCCGCAAAUGCCCCAACAGAAUCAUCAGGCUACAGGGUUUCAGCAAGGCCAGAUCUACCCCAACCAGCCAAUGAAUCUUGGACAGCAGAUCGGCGGACAGCAGAUCGGCGGGCAACAACUUGGAGGUCAGCAGAUGGGUGGCCAAAUGAUUAACCCAAUGUUCCAUGCAGAUCGUGCACCGCACAGACAUGUGGAAGCUUACCAGCAGAUGCCAGAUCUGCAACCGCCUCAUCGGCAAGAUGCCGAUGCUUAUUGGGCCGACAAGAUUGCUGAAGUAAUGAGAGACCAAUUUGGGAUAAAACCCAAAGUCAACACUUACUCUUAUCGGACACCGUAUCCUCCCGCAUAUGAUUUAAUCCCGCUUCCAAAUCGGUACAAAGUGUCGGAUUUUACCAUGUUUUCUGGGCAGGAUGAUACAUCAACCAUGGAGCAUGUCAACAGGUUCAUCAUCCAAUGCGGAGAAGCUGCUAAUAGGGACGAGUUAAGGGUUCGCUUGUUCUCGUCAUCAUUAUCUGGAUCGGCUUUCACUUGGUUUAUAUCGUUACCUCCUAACUCAGUAAUUACUUAGGCCGAUCUAGAGAAGCAGUUCCACAAAUACUACUUUUCUGGAGUCCAUGAGAAGAAGAUCACCGAUUUGGUCAAAUUGAAGCAACAUUAUGAUGAAUCGGUUGAAAGUUUUGUGCAGAGGAUACGAGAAGUCAAGAACAAAUGCUAUAGCCUGGUUCUGGAUGAUCGGCAGCUAGCCGAUUUGGCUUUCUAGGGCUUGUUGCCACAUAUCAGGGACAAGUAUGCAUCUCAGGAGUUUGAAAGCUUAAAUCAUUUGGUGCAGAGAAUCUCUGAUCAAGAUAUCAAACCUUUUGAACCCAAGAGAGCAUGGAAUAAAAAGGUGUUAUUCGUUGAUGAGACAGCAAGCUCGGAUUCUGAUGAGGAACCAGUCAUCGGUUUAGCAGAGUGGGUGAAAAAUAAGAAACCGAUGUCUUGUCCUUUUGGGCACAAAGAGCCAGAGAAGUUCGCAUUUGACAUCACUAAGGCCGAUAGGAUAUUUGACUUUCUACUUCAGGAGGGUCAGAUCAAAUUGUCACCUAAUCAUGUAAUCCAUCGGCUGAAGAAUUAAAAAGGAUGAAGUACUGCAAAUGCCACAAUGCAACUUCUCACAGCACCAAUGAGUGCAAAGUUUUUAGACAACAGUUGCAAUCGGCUAUAGAAUCUGGAAGGAUCAAAUUCGACAGCUCUAAAGCUCAGAAGCCGAUGAAGAUUGAUCAACAUCCUUUCCCAACAAACAUGCUAGAUGCUAAGGGAAAGGCCAAGGUCUUAACAUCAGAAGCAGCUGAAAGAAGUGCAUCGGUGGAUCCUCAGCACCAGAUCACUACUGCCGAUGCGAAAGGAAAAGGCUUGAUCCAGGAGGGAACUAACUCAGGAAGGCCUCCCCGAUCUGGUAUUGUGAUAACUCACAGAAGGCCUCGGGAGACUUGGCAGCAACGUGAGGAUCGGUAUCGGCGCUAGCAAGAGGACUGUCGUCGAGAAGAGGAAAAACACCGACAGGAGUGGAAUCGGCAUAGAGAUAACUGGAAUUGUCCGUUGUUCAUCCAUUGUUGGGAGGAAAAUAUCAAGCUUCCUACUGUCAGAGAUUGUCCUGAGUGCAAUGGUUAUGAUCGGUAUGACAGAUCCGACCGGCGCUAUCGCGAUGAUGAUCGGCGAUUCAAUGGGCCGAUUAGGGGGAGAGCAUCCGUUCAUGAUCGGCUGGGGGGCAGGCUCAGUGUGCACGAAAGACUCGGCGAUCGUGUUGAAUAUUUUCCCAGAAACCAGGAAGAACUUGAAGAGAUGGCUAAUGCGCGGGUUCCCGAUGAGUUCAUCUUCUGCAGGGACGCCAAUACUUAUCGGAUGGAGUCAAGGGAAAAUCAUCGCCCAUCGGUAAGGCAGCGGCAACUUCCUCCAUGGUGUCCAGAGGGGUUGACCAGGACACAGAAGAGAAGACUGCAGCGCGAGAGGCGAGAAGAGUUAAGUAAGGGCGAGAACUCUGGCCAGUCUGGUGAUCAGCAACAACCAGAUCCUAAGGGAAAAGGGCCAUCGGCAGACAUCAACAUGGUAUUCAUGUUGCUGAUGGAAUUCCUUUUGCCAUCUAGUGAUGACGAAUUGGAGUUUUUCGACCAAAUAGCUCAGUUGGCUCUGGAUCCGAUGAGAACCAUAUUUGAAAAGCCUGCCGAUGAUGAAAGGCAACAUCUUAAGGCUCUGUUUGUCAAAGGAAGGGUUGAUGGUCAGCAGAUGACCAAGAUUUUAAUUGAUGGUGGAGCUGCUAUCAAUAUCAUGCCAUACACAGUGUAUCGGAAGCUUGGAAAAGGAGAUCAGGAUUUGACCAAGACCGAUAUGAUGCUUAAAGACUUUGAAGGGAAUGUGUCUCCGGUCAAGGGAGCCAUAUGCGUUGAAUUGACCAUCGGUAGUAAAACCUUGCCGACAACCUUCUUCGUGAUCAGUGGAAAGGGUGCUUAUAACUUACUGUUGGGAAGAGAUUGGAUUCAUGCCAAUUGUUGCAUCCCGUCUACAAUGCACCAGUGCUUGGUCCAGUGGGUAGGCGACAAGAUUGAGAUUGUCCCGGGAGAUUCUUUCUAUGUUAUUGCAUCGGCAGUGGCAGACACCUACGAGAGAACUAGGUGUAUUUCAGGAGAAGUUUGAGAAAAGGAUUUUCUCAAGGUUGCCGAUUAUGAAAUUGCACCGAUCCAAGCAGUCGGUUCUGAUGAAGGUUUUUAAUGGAUAGGUUCGCCGAUGAUGGAAAAUUAGGCCAGGGAUUCACAUCGGCUGAUGAUUUGGUAGAAGUAGACAUAGGUAGUGGUGAGAAGCCUAGACUUACUUUUAUUAGUGCUAAGUUAAAUUCUGAGUGUAAGCAGCAGUUAACUGAUUUGUUAAAGGAAUAUAAAGAUUGCUUUGCUUGGGAUUAUACUGAGAUGCCUGGUUUGGACCGAUCAAUUGUUAAACAUUGGUCACAUCAACAGCCAGCUCGCCGAUGUAAUCCUAAUAUUCUCCCUGAUAUUAAGGCCGAAAUCACCAAACUUAUUGAAGCUAAAUUUAUUCGGCAGUGUCGGUAUGCCGAGUGGAUUUCCAAUGUUGUUCCGGUCUAUAAGAAAAAUGGGAAGCUUCGGGUCUGCAUUGAUUUCAGGAAUCUUAACAAAGCUACACCGAUGGAUGGCUACCCAAUGCCAGUUGCCGAUCUGCUAGUUGAAGCUGCGGCUGGGCAUCGGAUUCUCAGCUUUAUGGAUGGCAAUGUAGGAUACAAUCAAAUAUUCAUGGCUGAAGAAGAUAUUCCAAAGACUGCAUUUAGAUGUCCUGGUCAUGUUGGGUUAUUUGAAUGGAUAGUUAUGACCUUUGGCUUGAAGAAUGCUGGUGCUACUUAUCAGAGAGCUAUGAAUUUUAUAUUUCAUGAGUUCAUCGGCAAGCUGGUGGAGAUUUAUAUUGAUGAUGUGGUGGUUAAGUCCGGAGACUUCACAAAGCAUCUUGCCGAUUUGCGAAAGGUGUCGGAAUGCACAAGGAAACAUGGUUUGAAGAUGAAUCCCAACAAGUGUGCAUUUGGUGUAUCGGUAGGACAGUUCCUUGGUUUCAUGGUGCAUCAGAGGGGGAUUGAGAUUAGUCGAAGAUCCAUUGAUGCUAUCAACAAAAUAGUUGCUCCUACCAACAAGACUGAGCUCCAGUCCUUGAUCGGCAAGGUAAAUUUUAUCAGGAGGUUUAUAUCUAAUUUGUCUGGUAAAAUUCGUGCUUUCAGUCCUUUACUUAAGUUGAAAGCCGAUCAAGAAUUCGUUUGGGGGGAGGAACAACAGUUGGCCUUGGAUGAAAUCAGGAAUUAUUUGGUGAAUCCUCCAGUUCUGAUUCCACCACAGCAAGGGAAGCCCUUCAGAUUGUAUUUGUCUACCGAUGGGAUGGUCAUCGGUUCGGCUUUAAUUCAAGAAUUUGAAGGGAAGGAACGUGUGAUUUACUAUUUAAGCAGGAGGUUGAUUGAUGCUGAGACCAGGUAUUCGGCUAUUGAGAAACUAUGCUUAUGCUUGUACUUUUCAUGCAUUAAGGCAUUAUUUGCUAUCGGCCGAAUGCACUGUUAUUUGCAAAGAUGAUGUGGUCCGAUACAUGCUAUCUAUGCCGAUCAUGAGUGGCAGGAUCGGUAAGUGGAUUUUGGCACUGUCAGAAUUUGAUCUGCGUUACGAAUCAGCUAAAGCGGUUAAAGGACAGAUUAUGGCCGAUUUUGUAACUCGGCAUUGUGGUACAGUGGAGACUUUGGAGAUUGUACCUUGGACGCUCUUCUUUGAUGGAUCCACGUGUGACCGGGGGGCAGGAAUCGGCAUAGUGUUAAUUUCCCCUUGGGGAAAGAAAUAUGAGUUCUCCCUGCCGAUUGUUGCCACGUCAACAAAUAAUCAGGCUGAGUAUCAAGCUUUGAUAAAGGGGUUGGAAGUACUAAGAGAAGUUCAUGCUGAUGCUGUUGAAAUCUUCGGAGAUUCUAUGCUAGUUAUAAAUCAAUUGGCUGGAAGCUAUGAAUGCCGAAGUGAGAUCCUCAUAACUUAUCACGAGAGGAGUAUGCAACUGUUAAGGGAAUUCAAGGAUUUCCGAUUAGAGUAUGUUCCUCGAUUGCAUAAUGAAGAGGCCAAUCGGUUGGCUCAGCAUGCCUCGGGAUAUCAGCCCAUGAUUAAUGCAAUAUCAGCAGUUGGUGCCGAUGAUUGGAGAAAAGAAAUCAUUGAUUAUUUAAAGGAUCCAUCCAAGAAAGUUGAGAGACGUGUUCGGUUUCAAGCCACCAAGUAUGUGGUCAUCGAGGAGGAGUUAUAUUACCGAACUGUUGAUGGGACUCUUCUCAGAUGUUUAGGUGAUGAUGAGGCCAAGAAUUUGAUGGGAGAAAUCCAUGAAGGAGUAUGUGGAGCACAUCAGUCGGCCUUUAAAAUGAAGUGGAUGAUUAGAAGAAAUGGAUAUUAUUGGCCGACUAUACUUGAAGAUUGUUUUAAAUAUUUUAAGGGGUGUCAAGGAUGUUAGAAAUUUGGCAAUAUUCAAAGGGCACCUGCAUCGGCCAUGAAUCCUAUCAUCAAGCCUUGGCCGUUCCCUGGAUGGGCUAUUGAUUUGAUCGGCCAGAUUUAUCCGCCAUCCAGCAAAGGACAUAAAUUUAUUCUGGUUGCCACCGAUUAUUUCACCAAAUGGGUUCAAGCUAUUCCUUUGAAGAAAGUUACAUCGGCCAAUAUGAUUGAUUUUCUGAAAGAGCAUAUUAUCUACCGAUUUGGAAUUCCUCAAACAAUUACUACCGAUCAGGGUACUAUGUUCACAUCGGGGGAGUUUGAUGAAUUUGCAAUCGGCAUGGGAAUUAAAGUAUUAAAUUCUUCUCCUUACUAUGCUCAAGCUAAUGGGCAGGCCGAGGCAUCUAACAAAGGAAUUAUCAAGCUUAUUAAACGAAAGAUUGAAGAAAAUCCUAGGAGGUGGCAUACAUUCUUAAACGAAGCUUUAUGGUCAUACCGGAUGGCUUGUCAUGGAUCGACCAAGGUCUCACCUUAUCAGUUGGUGUAUGAACAUGAUGCAGUGUUACCUUGGGAAAUUAAGACUGGGUCUAGGCGACUAUCUUUUCAAGAUCAAUUGGCUGCUGAUGAUUAUGCUACUUUGAUGACUGACGAGUUGGAUGAUCUAGCAGGACAUCGGCUAAGGGAUUUGAUGAGUAUAGAAGAGAAUAAGAAGAGAGUUGCCAGAUGGUAUGAUAAGAAGAUAAAAGCUAAGGAGUUUACCAAUGGAGACUUAGUAUGGAAACUGAUCUUACCGAUCGGAACUAAAAGUUCAAAAUUUGGGAAGUGGUCUCCCAAUUGGGAGGGUCCCUAUUGGAUAAGUCGAUCGGCUCCUGGCAAUGCCUAUAUUUUAGAAACUCUCGAAGGGGUUGAAUUUCCGAGAGCAUUAAAUGGCAAAUACCUAAAGAAGUAUUACCCAAACAUAUGGGUCGAUGCAUAAAAGUUUAAGUGCCGAUAACAUUCCUAUCGGCUGGAUCAAAAUGUAUCUAGGGCCCGACUUAAUGUUUUAAGAAAGGUGCCGAUAACAGUCCUAUCGGCUAGACCAACAUGAUUGAGAGUGUUCAAAAGAAAUAAGAAAGUAUGUUGCCGAUGAAUGGUUCACAUGUUCAACAGCGUCUGGAUCGCUGAUAUAGCACGCAGACGGAUCUGGUUUGCUUCUUCUAUCACCUUCGUAUAAUCAUCGGCAGAGCCUUCCACUGGCUUCAGCUUCUUCUUCAUCUGCAAUGUCGUGCGGGCUUGGAUAUUUCGCUCUUGCUCAAGAAGCUUGAUUGUCUCCGAUAGUUGGCUUUCUUCUUGUCGGGCUUGGGACAAGGCACCUUGUACCUGUUUGAGUUCUGCCAACAGAACUUCUCUUCUUGCCGAUAGAUCAGAAAUCUUUUGUUUCAGUACAUCUCCUGAGGAUGUCAGGAUGCCGAUGCUCUUGUGUUUCUCAUCGGCAAGGAGUUUUACCUUCAUCAUCUCCUCAGAAAGCUGGGCAUGAGCAGCUCUAUCGGCAAGACGUUGGGCAGCCCUCUGGUACUGCAGCUGACGGCUCUCUAGAUGUGCAGCUUGGAAGAGGAUUUCUUCAGCAUUGGCAGGAAUUUGGCCUCUGAGGGUUUUGAACAAAGCCUUGGCUGGGUCGGAGUCAUCAACCAGUUGGGCUGUGUCUUGGUGAAGGAGGGCCGAUAAUUCUUCCAAUUUCGCCCUGAUUUCUGCCGAUGUGAUCCCAACUGCCCGAGAAGAGCUUGCUUCCUCACCUUCGUCUUCAGAGAUGUCGAUGGCAAAGGAGAACAAGCUAUCAGGAGAAUCCUGUUCCUGAAAGAGAAAUAAAGUAAGUCAUUUCAUGGUCAAGUAUUGACGAGUAAUACCGAUGGAGAUUGGAUGGCUUACUUGUUUCAAAGCAAUUUCUCGCCUCUGACUGGAAGAUGCCAAUGGAACUACAGGCCGAUCGGCUGGGGUUGCCGAUGGGACUAUGUCAGCUGAAAGAAUAACAGAAGUAAUUAUAAAACUGGGAAAAUAAGUUCAUCGGCAAUGAUUUUAUAAAAGGGAUGCUACCUUGAGGAGGAGCAGCACUUGUUUGGAUGGAAGAAACUACCGAUGCUAUGAUUGAACCUGCUGGAUCGGCAGUUUGCUCGUGUAUGUCAGCCGAUAUAUCUUUUGGCUGAGGUCCCUCUGGUUGUAAUUCUUCUACGAGAGCUUCUUCCUGUGGCUGGGGAGGAGAUGGUGCCUGUUGCAUCUGGACUUCUGGAGAGGAGGGAGAAGAUUCUACUGGAAUUGGAGACACUGGGGGAGGAGGAGGUGUUGCUGUCUUCUGGCGCUUCACUUGUGAUCUGGUGCUCUUGGAGGCUUUCCUUUUCGCCUGGCUGGACUAGGGGGCAUCGGCACCUGUGCUUCUAGUCCUUGCCGAUGCACCGGUAUGCUUUACCAAGGAUGAGAAUUCGUGAGUACAAGCAUAUUAGAUGGAAGAAUGAAAUCGGUAAAGAAAUUUGAAGAUUUACCUUAAAGACUUGCGCUAAAGCAGAGGCGGCCACCGAUGGAGAUGUCUUUGAACGCUUGGUGGUGACCUUCUUGAGGCGUACACCUCGUUGCAUUAUGGCAGCCAAGGUGGGAGCAUUGUUGCCGAUUAAGGAGAUCGGGCCUGAUGGAAGAAGUUCAAUCGGCUUGCCACUCCUGCUGAUCGAUGGGGGAACGUUAUCGACCUGCAAUAUAAUACAGAAAGUGAGUUACCGAUGGAAAUAAAAUUGAAAGAAUUGAGACAUCGGUUUGGAAUGCUUACAGUAUUAUGAGGAACUUUGUACUGGGGAUCGAUCAUGCCGCAGUAUGUAAGAGCCGAUUUGCAGAACAAAUGCUCCUUCCAUUCCUCCCACCAUUGUUUGUACGCCUGAGUGAUGAAGAGGGCCGGGAUCCACUCUGAUAGAUCUGCAUCUGUAUCGGCAUUCGGUGGCAGUUGAGCUACUCGGGUCCACUCGAGGAGGCUGGUGAUGGUCUCCCUAGGUUUUAUCACAUCAGCAUAACAGAGUGCAAUCGGUAGCUGACCGAAGGCUAGUUGACGAGCUAGUGCCGAUUGUUGAUAUUUGGGAACGCAAUAAGGAAUUGAUCCGCAAGCGCACGGAUAUCGGUGAGCACUUCACCCGGGAAAUUAUCCAGAGUAUCGUAUUUAUUUUUUUACCACUAGGAGAAAGAGUGCAUCUGACUAACCGGUCUAUUACUACUAACCUUUAGGCACAAAGAAUGUCUUUCGAUGUGAGUGAUAAAUAGAGAAGACUACAACCGUAGUCUCCUUCUAACCUUGGUAAGGAUGAUCUACUGUUCUAAUGGGGAGGCUAACGGAAUCUAGAACAACAAAGGAUGUUCAACCCGCACCUAUAAACCCUAUCCUUCCUGCUAACGAGAUGUGAUCUACAAAGGUAGCUCGGAAAUGUCACGUUCCUCACUACUACCACGGUCCAGCUAGUCAGGGAAUAUCUAUGAGUACCCCAGCCUAAACACCACGUUUACGCCAGCAAUGAUUACUCUAAACUCUACGCGAAGAGAUUAAAGUAAACUCAUAAACCAUAAGAACAAUAAAACAAGAACUUACUAGAAUUUAGAAGUCGAAUUACUGAAGAAUCAUAGGAGCAAGCUUCGGGUUAGGAGAACUUGAUCCCGCAGGUACAAGCUUGGAGUAGACACCGACACGCCGGGCUUCCUCCACUCUACACCUCCACUCUAUCUCUCUCAAUCUAGUAGAAACUAGAAGAUCUAUUUCUACCUUACAUUGAUUGCUAAGCCUAAAAAGAAAUAUUAAUUAGAGAAGAGGUUUUCCUUCGAGGACACCCCUCAGUCUCUAUGAUAAUUUCUUCAUGUCCUCUCCAGGGGCCAGGGGGGCCUUGCUUAUAUAGUCCUCCCCUUCUAUGCGUUUUUGGGUCGAUAGGCGAGGUGGUACUAUGUUUUUCUUGAUCCAAUAGGUCGGUGGAAUAUCCCGAGCGAAAGAGUCCUGAUUUGGCUCCAACAGGGGGGCGGGCGCCCAGGCUACCAGGGCGGGCGCCCUGGGCCUGGCCCAGUUUUGCCUCCGCUUCGGUCUCGUGGCUUCUGGAGUCUUCUAGAUGAUGUAAAAUUGUGCGGUGCAUUGAUAUCUCUAUGUAAUCCCGACAUGUGGGCCUUUCUUCCUUAUUUCCUGAUAACCCCCUGCAGAAAUAGAUAAACAACAAAACUCGUGGAAUUCUGUCAGAUCAAACCCUAUUUCUAGGUGUUGGUUGCAUAUUGGUCCUUUCUCAUGUUUAUUUGAUAAUUAAAAUUGAUACUUAAGAACCAUCAACAAAUACCCCCAUACUUAGGCUUUUACUCGUCCUCGAGAAAAGGAUGGUUAAGAACAAUAUCUGGGGUAAACAUUUAAAACAUUCUCUUUAUAAUUUGCAGGGUGUUAAAAAUUCCACUGUGUACCAUAGUCAGGGAAGUUUAUGAUCAAGAGUAAAGAUUCUUUCUUUUCAAUCCUGUCACUUGGAGUUUUUGUAUAUUUUUGAAAGAAAGUUAGCAUACCUUUUGAUCCUCAUAGCUUCUCUCAAAUCACUCAUUAUCUUUUAUAUAUAUCUCACUGAGGUUGUUUUAUUUUUUAUUUUAUUUUUUUUCGCAAAAAUUCUCAAGCAUUCUAACUUUGCAUUUAUUGCCUGAUCAAAAUGGGAUCCGAGGAGGGGAAUGUCAUACUCUUAGAUCAACGACUUUGGAAAUUAAAAAUCUUUGUCAACUCUUACUGGCAUAUUGCUUAUUAGAGGGACCAUGGGCUAUCAUUUUUUUCUCCUCUCUUUUUUUUAAGUGGAUACCGAGGUACCCCUAAUUCUAGUGCUGGACACUUGUCCAUUUUUUCUGCGAGGUUGUCGAGCACUUGCUCCUUUUUAUUUCCUCGAAAUAUCUCUAUUUUUGCAUAGCCCAUGCCUCUAAUGCAAUAAUACUUCGGAAGAGUGAAUCUUACUGAAUUAAUGUCUUGAUCUUAGGAGCAAGAUAAAUCUCUCAACAAGGGUCUAACUCAUUUUGAACAAACUCAAUACAGAGCAGAAAGCUUUUAUAGUUAUAAUUAAUAUUUUCAGUUUUAUCAGGCAUAUAAAACACUGAGGAUGGUAGCUAGAAAUUUGAAUAUUUUGAAAUAAAUUCUCCAAGUAACAAUGAUAUCAAGAAUAAGAAACUCAUACUCUACCAUCACAUAUUCCAUAUUGACUUAAGUAACACAGGGUUUUAAAAUGAUUUUAUAAUAAUUGCAAGUUUUCAGGAAAUAUCAUAGAUUGAGAUUAAUCAUGAUUAGAAAUAUUUUAAUCCUUUUAUGUCGGAAACAGUAUUCUGCAUAAUCCAAAAUGUGUAAAGUAAAGUGUGCAGAGUGUGUACCUGAAUCGUGGAGUGGUGUAGUCGGAGUGUGUUUGGCAUGUUGAGGGAUCUCCCCCAUACUUGUUUUUUGCUUUCUUGCACAAAAAAUAAAGUAGAGACACACAAGACAUAAUAAUACUAAUAAUAUUCUUUAUUGAUCUUGAGGCAUUUAUUACAAAAGACUGAUAGCAAACUAAUAAUAGCAAACUGAUAAUAGCAAACUUAAACCGAAUUUAAAGAUAGAUAACUAAGAUGCAUUGCCUCAAGGUCUAAUCUAGAUAACUUAGCAGCGCUCUAAUUCCUUGAUCUUCUUGUUGGCACUGGCAAGAUCCUGCCUAAGGCCUAGUAUAAUGGUGUUGUGGUUAGAGAGCUGCCUAGUGAGGGAGUUAAUCGAGGACUGGAGGUCUAUGAUAACUCUAUCUAGCCUGCGAACUUCCUCAUCAAUAUCCAUUAUAGUCUUGCGACGCUUGGGAGGUGUUUCAAAAGCAUUGAGAGAGUGCUUCGGGGCUGCCUUUGGAGGGAUGAAACGGACUUUGGCUGCUCUGAUCCCUUCAAAGUAAGGCCUUUCCUCCUCCGUAGUGUAGCGAACACUGCUGAUCUCGCCGCUCCGGUUGGUCUUGACUCCAAGGACCCUCUCAUUGGGUCUAGGUGGAAGGAUCCUCGUGCCGGUUGGCACCUUGAUAGUGGUCUUCGUCUUGGAUGAUGAUCCUUUGAGGAGUAGGGGUUGUGGUGGUGCGGUGAGAACUGGUUGAGCAUGGUAAGAUUGGGCGGAGCUGCGUUGGCGUAAUGGCAUGGCUUCUAGCUGAUGCUCUGUGUUGGCCGGGACGAGAGCACGGGCAUCGGGGUCUUCCACUGGCUCCAUGUUGAGGUUGAAGGGGACAACUUCCCAAUCGUCGUGGUACUUGUCGGCCAUUGGAGUAGCAAGGAACUAAUAAAACUUAAAUUGAAAGAGAGCUAAUCAAGCUCUAAUUGAAGGAGGGAAAGCUUGGUGGCUUGGUGUUUGAAAACUGAGGUCAGGGGUCUGUUUAUAUAGGGGUCAAAAGGGUGCCUCUAUGGGUUGUUCGGGUUACUCCCGUCGACGUGCGUGCGAAACUUUCCAUCCGAGGGAUUAUUCGGAUCACCCUAAGUGCAUUUUCCAUAACAGAGAAAGUCGGGACCGAGGGGGAACAGGGGCUGGGCGCCCGCCCACUUGAUCUGGGCGCCCGCCCUCUCUCUGGCCUCUCUGUGGGCCCACUUCUCCAAGCGCGUUUCUAGAUGCGAAAUUAUUUAGAAAAAUAUAUAUAUGACCCAAAACCAUCAGACCAAAAGUGUCGGGCUCUAAUUCUCCAUGGGAAGGUAAAAAUGGACUACGUCUAUUUCUUCAAAUUCCUCAUUGGGCUCUAAAAAUAAUUUAAGACGUUGACCAUUUACCUUGAAUAACGUACCUUCGCUAUUUUGAAGUGUGAUAGCUCCGUGGGAUGAUGAAUUGAUUACCUUGAAUGGUCCUUCCCAUUUGCUCCGGAGUUCUCCAUGCCCGAAAAGCUUCACCCUGGAAUUAAAAAGUAAUACCUUAUCUCCGGGUGUGAACUCCUUCUUCUUGAUUCUCUUGUUAUGCCACCUUUUGACUCUUUCUUUGUAGAUCUUUGAAUUGUGAUAUGCCUUCUCUCGCCAUUCUCCCGAAUUGUGAUAUGCCUUCUCUCGCCAUUCUUCCAAUUCUGAUAGUUGCAUUCUUCUAUAAUCUCCAGCAACAUCUAGGUCCAUAUUCCAUCUCUUUAUGGCCCAGUGUGCUUUGAACUCUAGUUCAACAGGUAGAUGGCAAGUCUUCCCGUACACCAAUUGGUAUGGAGACAUCCCAAUUGGGGUCUUGUAUGCUGUCUGCUAUGCCCAGAGUGCAUCAGGUAACUUGUCUUUCCACGCCGUUCCCAUUUCAUUUACUGUCUUCUGAAGAAUAUUCUUGAUUUGUUUGUUGGAAGUCUCUGCUUGGCCACUUGUCUGAGGAUGAUAUGGGGUAGCGACGUUGUGACGGAUUCCUUGUCUUGAUAGAUAUUGCUUGAAGCGUUUGUCAAUGAAGUGUGCUCCUCCAUCACUUAUCACUACUCUGGGGACUCCAAAUCUUAGAAAUAUAAUUUCUUCAAACAUCCUCUUUGAACUGACGUUGUCGGCAUGCUUGCAAGGUAAUGCCUCUACCCACUUGGAGACAAAGUCAACCACCACCAAGAUGUAUUCGCACUUCUUUGAUGGAGGAAAUGGACCAAUGUAGUCUAUUCCCCAGACAUCAAAGAGCUCAAUCUGAAGGUUGUGGGUGAGUGGCAUUGCAUCCCUUGUAUUUAUGUUUUCGUGCCUUUGACAUGGCCCACAUCUUCUGAUAUAUUGCUUCGUGUCUUCAUACAUUGUAGGCCAAUAGAAUCCACACUGCCAGAUCUUUGAAUGUGUACGGAAUGCUCCAUAGUGACCUCCAUAUGGUGAUGAAUGACAUCUGUCGAUGAUCUUCCAUCCUUCCUCAGUGGUCACACAUCUCCUGAGUAAGCCAUCAGAGCAUACUCGGAAGAGGUAUGGCUCAUCCCAUAUAUGUGAACGACUUUCUUGAAUAAGCUUCUUCUUGUUUGCUCCUGGUGGUACAUACCCUGAAACCAUAAAAUUAACAAUAUCUGCAUACAAGGGGUCAGACCUGUUAAUUCCGUAGAGCAUGUCGUCCCGGAGUGAAUCAUUGAUGGGGGUUUCCUGUGGACUCUUAAAAUACAUUCUAGACAAGUGAUCAGCAACAGAAUUUUCUACUCCUUUUUUAUCUUUUAUUUCUAAGUCAAAUUCUUGGAGUAAUAGGAUCCAUCUAAUCAGACGAGGUUUAGCAUCUUUUUUAGUGAGCAAAUAUUUUAGUGCAGCAUGAUCAGUGUAAACAAUUAUUUUAGCUCCAACUAAAUAAGAUCUAAAUUUAUCUAUGGCAAAGACAACAGCCAGAAGCUCUUUUUCAGUGGUUGCAUAGUUAAGUUGAGCUCCUGUCAAAGUUUUACUGGCAUAAGCAAUUGCAUGAUGCUUCUUAUCUUUAGUUUGUCCUAAUACUGCCCCCACAGCGUAAUCACUAGCAUCACACAUAAUUUCAAAAGGUAACGACCAAUCAGGGGGUUGAAUGAUUGGUGCAGAGAUGAGUGCUUUCUUUAAUAAGUUGAAAGAUGUUAGACAUGCAUCAUCAAAUUCGAAAGGAGCAUCCUUGGCUAGCAAAAGAGUAAGUGAUCUAGCAAUAAAUGAAAAAUCUUUUAUGAAUCUACGAUAAAAACCAGCAUGGCCAAGAAAGCUUCGAAUUCCUUUCAUGUUCACAGGUGGAGGUAGUUGUUCAAUUACAUGAAUUUUAGCUUUGUCUACCUCAAUACCUCUUUCAGACACUAGGUGUCCUAGCACUAUUCCUUCCCUAACCAUAAAAUGACAUUUUUCCCAAUUAAGGAUUAAGUGCUUUUCUUCACAUCUUUGCAAAACCUUGUCUAAGUUUUCAAGACAACUAUCAAAAGUUUUUCCAUAAACAGAGAAAUCAUCCAUGAAAACUUCUAUAAUCUCUUCAAUCAUAUCAGAAAAUAUAGACAUCAUGCAUCUUUGAAAAGAAGCUGGUGCAUUACAUAACCCAAAAGACAUUCUACGGUAAGCAUAUGUUCCAUAUGGGCAUGUAAAAGUGGUUUUGCUUUGAUCAUCGGGAUGGAUCGGGAUUUGGUGAUACCCUGAAUAUCCAUCUAAGAAACAGAAGAAUGAAUGGUUUGCUAACCGCUCUAGCAUCUCAUCUAUAAAAGGUAAAGGAAAGUGAUCCUUUCUCGUGGCUUUGUUUAGUUUUCUAUAGUCUAUGCACAUCCGCCAUCCUGUGACGGUGCGUUGCGGAAUUAGCUCGUUCUUUUCAUUCAUAAUAACAGUCAUGCCUCCCUUUUUAGGCACAACUUGUACUGGGCUUACCCACUCACUGUGCGGCACAGGAUAUAUAAUCCUUGCAUGCAGCAACUUUAUAACUUCCUUUUUAACUACCUCUCUCAUAGUGUUGUUAAGUCUACGUUGGGGUUCUCGAGAGGGUGUAACAGAAGGAUCUGUUGGAAUACGAUGAGUACAAAUCAUAGGACUGAUUCCUGUAAGAUCUUGAAGUGAGUAGCCGAAAACUGAGUGAUGUUUUUCAAGAAUGGUCAUUAAUCGCAGAGUUUGAUCCUGAGUGAGUUUAUCGCUAAUGAUCACAGGGAACUCUGGAUUAUUGUUUAGGAAAGCAUAGAUAAGACCGGGUGGUAAAGUUUUAAGCUCUAUAGGAGGUCUAGGUGUUUCUGCAAACUCAUCUAAGGGUCCAGGCUUAGAAGGUUUGUCUUCUUCUUCUGUGAAGAAAGGUGUUUCGUCUUCUAAGUCUGGUUUAUCUAAAAGCUCUAGAGAAGCAGCCUUUACUUCCUCCAUAGGAUCAGGCAAAAGAUAUGACUCGGCCUUAUUGUUUAAGGAGUGUGAAAUUAUUAUUGGGAAUUGAAAAGUUUUUCCAAAAGAAAUAUGUAGCUUUCCAAUAUGACCUUCAUAAAGGAGUCUUCUAAAAGGUUGUCCUAUCAAUAGGUUGAAGUCCCAUGUAUCAAAGAUAUAGAAGUUCAAAUAAACCAUGGAGCCUUCUACCGUAAGAGGUAGGACAUUAAUAAUUCCAAGACUGGGGACUAAUCGUCCCGAAGAUUCCUUUAUGACCUUUAUUGCGGGGGUUAAGACAAGAUUUUUAAAUAGUUUAAGUGCAAAAGAUUCAGACAUGAUGUUGAUUCCCACAAUAGGAUUAUAAAGAGCAUUAAAUCGAUCAGAAUCAUAAGCACAGCGUAUAGUUAUAGAGGGUGUGUCCAAACGGAUCACAUCAGAGGAAAGCUCCGAUUCCUCCAACCAUUCGCUACUCAUUACUGAGAUAAGCUCUCUCAAUUGAUAUUCACUUGGUAAAUAAAUGCUAUACUGGCCGUUUUGGGUUUUGUCAAUAGAAUGGUAGUUUGAAAUAUUUCCAAAAUCGGCAAAAAGAUCGGAUUCUAUAUCCAGCAUGAAGUCCGGUGGUGGAAUUUCUUCCUCUUGUGGCUCAGAACUUGGGAUAGCUAAAGUAGAUGAAGAUUUAGGCAGAGUGUCUACUUGGGCUUCGUAGGUUUCAUCAUGAAGGGUAUUAUCCAUCUCAGCUUCUAGGAUUCUAUCUAGGAUCACUCUUGCUUCAUCAGCGGGGAUGCGAAAGAAAGAACCUCUAGACAUUGUGUGUAGCAUUUGUUUGUGAUUUUUCUGAAGACCUCGAAAAAAGUGAAAUAAAAGAACAGGGUCUUCAAGAUUAAGAUUUGGACCAGAUUCUAAAAGAUCAGAAAAACGUUUCUAGGAUUUUCCCAAAAGUUUCAUUAUCUUUUUGUUUAAAAGAUAGGACUUCGAGUCUAAGGUCGGCUAUACGGUCAAGGGAAUAGAAAUCUAGACAAAAAUUGCCUCGUAAAACUCCCCAUUCACCUUGUUGUUGACUUACCUUCUGACUGUACCAUUGUCUAGCUUCUCCCCUUAGAGAAAAAGGAAAAAGCUUCCAACGUAAAGUCUUAUCAGAAAUGCCUUCAAUGCGAAGACAAUCACAUGUUUGCUCAAAAUCUCUAAUAUGAAGGUAAGGGUUUUCGUCUUCCUUUCCCAAAAAAGAUAGGUUUUGAAUCAUGGCAAUCAACCUAGAACUUAACUUAUACUGGGAUGUUUGGAUAGGCUGUGAUGAUUCCCAUGGUAAAAGGUCAGUUGCUAAAGGGAUUGCAGACUCAUGGAUCGAUUUAGAAUUUUGGUUUUCCAUAAGGUAAGAAUAAAGAAAAUAAAUAAAGAAUAUAAAAGAUAAGAAAAGAUAAAAGUAUAGAUACAAGCUAAUAGCAAGACACAGGUUAUCUCAGCAACCGUCUUUCUCCCCGGCAAUGGCGCCAGAAAUGCUUGUUGAUAUUUGGGAACGCAAUAAGGAAUUGAUCCGCAAGCGCACGGAUAUCGGUGAGCACUUCACCCGGGAAAUUAUCCGGAGUAUCGUAUUUAUUUUUUUACCACUAGGAGAAAGAGUGCAUCUGACUAACCGGUCUAUUACUACUAACCUUUAGGCACAAAGAAUGUCUUUCGAUGUGAGUGAUAAAUAGAGAAGACUGCAACCGUAGUCUCCUUCUAACCUUGGUAAGGAUGAUCUACUGUUCUAAUGGGGAGGCUAACGGAAUCUAGACACCACAAAGGAUGUUCAACCUGCACCUAUAAACCCUAUCCUUCCUGCUAACGAGAUGUGAUCUACAAAGGUAGCUCGGAAAUGUCACGUUCCUCACUACUACCACGGUCCAGCUAGUCAGGGAAUAUCUAUGAGUACCCCAGCCUAAACACCACGUUUACGCCAGCAAUGAUUACUCUAAACUCUACGCGAAGAGAUUAAAGUAAACUCAUAAACCAUAAGAACAAUAAAACAAGAACUUACUAGAAUUUAGAAGUCGAAUUACUGAAGAAUCCUAGGAGCAAGCUUCGGGUUAGGAGAACUUGAUCCCGCAGGUACAAGCUUGGAGUAGACACCGACAGGCCGGGCUUCCUCCACUCUACACCUCCACUCUAUCUCUCUCAAUCUAGUAGAAACUAGAAGAUCUAUUUCUACCUUACAUUGAUUGCUAAGCCUAAAAAGAAAUAUUAAUUAGAGAAAAUGUUUUCCUUCGAUGGCACCCCUCAGUCUCUAUGAUAAUUUCUUCAUGUCCUCUCCAGGGGCCAGGGGGGCCUUGCUUAUAUAGUCCUCCCCUUCUAUGCGUUUUUGGGUCGAUAGGUGAGGUGGUACUAUGUUUUUCUUGAUCCAAUAGGUCGGUGGAAUAUCCCGAGCGAAAGAGUCCUGAUUUGGCUCCAACAGGGGGGCGGGCGCCCAGGCUACCAGGGCGGGCGCCCUGGGCCUGGCCCAGAUUUGCCUCCGCUUCGGUCUCGUGGCUUCUGGAGUCUUCUAGAUGAUGUAAAAUUGCGCGGUGCGUUGAUAUCUGUAUGUAAUCCCGACAUGUGGGCCUUUCUUCCUUAUUUCCUGAUAACCCCCUGCAGAAAUAGAUAAACAACAAAACUCGUGGAAUUCUGUCAGAUCAAACCCUAUUUCUAGGUGUUGGUUGCAUGUUGGUCCUUUCUCAUGUUUAUUUGAUAAUUAAAAUUGGUACUUAAGAACCGUCAACACCGAUGGGUUGUAAAACUCAUAGGUUUGGUUGGAGGCUUUUCCACUACCAAAGAAAUUUACUGGUAUAGCUCUGGGAGUGAUUAGUGCCAUCAUCACAUCGUGAUCCUUGUUAAGAGCAUCGUUGAACGGAUGGAAGACCAAAGGAAACAUGGUGUCUGGAUCUUAAUAUGGCAUCCAUGCUCGCUGCUCUCUGGUCAGGCCUUCAUACAAGGUCUAGAAGAAUCGGCUGAUCUGGUCUGUGUUGCCACCUGUGCCAGGCAGAACUAUGACAGCCUCGCCAAAGUUCAGAGGAGGCCGAGUUGCCGAAUCUUCUUCAUCCAAUUCAUAGUCCUCGGCUAUGUCUCUGGGGAAGCGCUGUGCAAAGAGGUUGAACUCACGGCGCUUGUGCAUGUGGAGACUGAGCCACAUAUUAAUGAACCACCAGGGACCCCCUAAGUUGCCGAUGGAUUGACCAAGUAGGAGUUUUCUAGCUACUUGGUGGAGGAGGUGGUAAACCGAGCCAAGCAGGUAUUGGCCGAGGGGAAAUCGGCCACCGUUAGCUAAUCUCUCUGCUGCCGAUAGGUAGACAGAGGUUGGUCCUGCCGAUCGGCCACAGAACACAAACUUGUCCAGCCACAUGUUCAGGAAAGUGGUUUGCUCCUUUAUGUUGACAGGCCCCAUUCUGCGAUACUUCUAGAUGUACCCAGACCAGCCGCCGAUAGCGCGGGUGUCCACUUUGGCGCUAGGCGUAGUGUCAAACAGGUGACUACUAUCGGCAGUGGAUACGUCUAGGCCAGUGAGCAUGAGCACAUCGGCAAGAGUGGGAGAAGCAGGGCCGUGGCCAAAGACAAAGGCAUUGAGCGUGUCUGACCAGAAAUAUGAUGCAGCUAUCAGCAGUGAAUCAUUCCUUUGCAUAUCGGCAAUGGACAACCUAAUGCAUUGGUCCAGUUUUCGCUCACCCCACUGAACCUCAUUUGAGUGGCUGACUCUCAAGAACCAAUCCUUCCAUCCCACUGUGGAUUGGGCCAGGAACGGAAGGUGUCCUUCCAUAGAUCUAGAGAAAAAUUCUCGGCUCUAAAGGGGAUUCUAUUUGUUUCUGCGUUGAUCAAAUCGAUGGGAUCUGGGUUCCCUAGUGGACCGAGACAUUGAAGGUGUGGCUGAUCGGUAGGGAUGACAAUUUUAUUGGACAGAUCCUGAUGGUUUUUGGGGCGAAAAGAAAAAACAAAGAAAAAAAGGGAAGGGAUGUUCAGUAAAAUAAAUUGCGGAUGAACAAGGAUGUGGUAAAAGUACGAGAAGUAGGGUGAUGAACUGACCUCGGGAACAGCGAAGUUGAUGGCCAUCUCCUCGCAAAAAGGAUGAUCGAAGAUUUUGAGGUUGGUGAAGAAAGGGCUUCGUUGGAGUUCUUGGAGCUCUCGAACAGCGCCGCCGCCGAGAAAGUGGAGUUGGGGCUGUAGAAUGAUGUGAUGGGGAAGGAGUACCCGAGAAGGAACUAUUUAUAGGACAAAACAGGCAGGGGCAAAUCUGACUUAUCUCUUUGCUGUAUCCAUGAAAUCCGAGGGUACUCAGGUAGAUAUGGUAACUGUUCGCACGGUAAUCAAGGGAUUGUGCAGGUGAUUUGACGGGAAGCGGUCAUAAUCCAGAGAUAUUUCACUGUGCGGGAUCUCCUGGUCGGUCCAUCGGCAGAGCCUUGUAACGGUAAUAUUGCCGAUGGGCGAAUAAAGUGGAGAUGACCGUUUGGGAGGUUGAGAUAUUUCGCUGUGCGGGAUUUCCUGAUCGGUUCAUCGGCAGCGCCUUGUAACGGUAAUGUUGCUGAUGGGUGAUUAAAAUGGAGAUGUCCGUUUGGGAAGUUGAGGAAUUCGAGGAAUCUGCGAGAAAUCGGACCAAGGUUGUUCAGAUUUAUGAUGUCGUUUGCCGAAAUUGGGAGAAUUAAUUGCGGAAAGGCGUCAUUACUAUAGAGAAUUUCGGAGCAUUAUUGAUUUCAUACUCUGAAAUUGGGGGGCAUGUGUUGACACCGUUUUUGGACACGUACCCAGGAUCAGUAGAGUGUAGAUCGGCAAGAUAGGGCAACAGUGACUGGUCUGCAGGAGAGUUGCCGAUGAGGGUGGUUGCCGAUGAAGAGACAGCUGAAUGUGGCUAAGUCCAUGGGUGGUGAUGUGUUUGUGCCGAUGGCCAGCAUUAACCUUUGCCGAUGGCUGCGAUGGAGAGUAUGCCGAUGACGUGGAAGGAAGGCUUGGAGGUUGCCGAUUGGUCAAUGGUGGCGUCCUAGUGUGUCACGGGGGGAUAGUUUUAUGUUUUCCUUAGUUAUUUAGAUCAUUUUGUAUACAGAUUCUGUUUGAUUUGGAAUUCGAGUUCUAGUCGUGUCUGGUUGUAGCUCUUUGAGCAGGGUAUAAAUGUAGACCUUAGGGCCUUGUAAUGGAGACAUCUAUCAAUCAAUCAAAUAUAAGUUUUUACUCAUAUUCCAGCAUCUACUUUUUCGACGACUUCGUCAUAUUUUCCUUUUUCAUUACGAGUUCUUAGGAGUUCGUCGAUUUAAGCUCGGCGUAUUAUCAAGUUCCGCGUGAAUACCUCUUGGCUGUGGCAUCCGGGCGCAUCGCUGUUGUCGGGACUAAAGUAUUCGAGUUAUCACCUUUGCCGAUAGUAAGGUCAAAUCGGCUGGCACGUCUUAACGUUUAAAUUGGGUAUUAGCCCUUUGUGUUUGCAGAUCAGCUUUUGCAUCAAUAGGUUGACAAGUCACUUCAUGAGUUCUCAGCUCCCACUACGGCCAACAUCCAUACUAGACUAGCUAUAGACAUUAAUGGAUCAUUCCUGCUCAAGCCGGCGCUGAUCAACAUGGUGCAAGCAAGUCAAUUCUGUAGAAAGGCCCUUGAAGAUGCUAGUGCUCAUCUCCAACACUUUCUAGAGAUCUGCAGCACUUUCACUAUCAAGGACGUCCCUAGAGAUGAUAUAUUUACUUCGCCUCUUUCCAUUCAAACUCUUGGGAAAAGCGAAGCAGUGGUUCUACGCCAAAAGGGAGUAGAAUAGUACAUGGGCAUUAUGUUCCACCAAUUUCCUGGCGAAGUUCUUUCCUACAGGCAUGACCAAUGCUCUUCGUGGGAAGAUAUCAAGUUUUCAGCAACAACAUGAUGAGACAGUCUCAGAAGCUUGGGAACGCUUUCAAGACUACAUACUUGAGUGUCCUCAUCAUGGAACGGAGAAUUGGUUGUUGUUGAUAUUAGUUACGCACACGAAAGAAUCAAAGAGAAAUAAUCCACAAGCGCACAGAUAUCGGUGAGCACUUCAGCCAGGAGAUAAGUCCAGAGUAUCGUAUUUAUUUUUUACCACUAGGAGAAAGCGUGCAAAAGACUAACCUUUUAUCCUACCUACUACCCAUAGGUUGCAAGAGAAGAUAGUGAGAAUUAAGCGAUAUAGAGUGAACUCUUUCUUCAGUCUUCUUCUAACCUAUGAUAAGCUGUGUAGAUAUUGUUCUAAGGGGGUUUAUCAGGAAUUAUGGAACAAAGGCCCACACGUCGGGUUUACAUAGAGAUAUUAACGUACCACGCAAUUAUCUUACAUCUAGAAGAGUCGAGAAGCCACGGGAACGAACGGGAGACCGGACGGGCUCGGGGGCAGGGCGCCUGCCCUCCCGCCUAGGGUGCCCGCCCUGGCCUUUCCACCAAUCACAGCCAACUUCGCGGAUCAUGCUCCACCGACCUAAAGGAUCAAGGAAAACCGUGUGAUUAAUGUCGGUUUGAUCCGACGGCCUAUAUUCACAUGGAAGGACUAUAUAACUAGACCCCCUAGCCCCUGGAGGAGAGCACCUCCCAACCUUAAUUCAUUAUUCAUCUUGGGAGAAGAAGCCUCUGAUCAAGCCCUAGAGCCACCACAUCAAUUAGAUCUCUAGAUUAGCAUAGCUACAUACGAUUAGAACUAGAAGGAGUCAAUCUUCGAUUGGUUUCCAGAUCUAUCAAGAGGAUUCUUGGUAAUUCUCUAUUGUUCUUCAAUUGUUUAUCUUUGUUCUUCGAUAUUAUAAAUAUGACUUUGUUCUACUUCAAUAUAUUGAUUAUGACUUUGCUCUACUUGUUUAUAUUCACAAUUAUAUUGUUCUUAGUUUAUCAUAGUUAUAUACUUGGCUUAGUUAGAUUGGAAUUAUAUACAUGUUUAGGAUCGUAUAGCGUUUAUCCAUUGGAUCCAUGGGUAAAUGAUAGAUAUUGUGUAGGCGUUGUGCCUAUACCGUAUUUAUCUGCGAUUGUACCCUAUAUGCCAUAUCGUGGGGUAGUUCGUGGUAGUGACAGCUCCAUUGAUUCUUAUAUAGUCCCCCUCUCGUGUAUUGGGCUGGCAGAGCAACAUUAUUACACGGGAGUGAUUGUGAUGUUUCCCAUAUUCCUUGAUAAUAUCACUAUGCAUGGGCGUAGUCCUAUCUCACAAUGAUUGCUAAGUAUAAUUGCACUAACUAUGAUAUGCUAGACUGUAUAGUUAAGAAUAACUUAGGAAAUAUUCUUGUAGUUCGUCCUAAUUCCAUGCUAAUGACUUGCUAGAAUAUCUAAUUGAGGUGCUUAUCAUAUUUAUAUGUGGCUAAGUUAUGCUGAUCAGAUUAACUAUCUUUGUCACCAUUCAUACUUUAUCUAUCUUAUAUGUGACACUUAUCCCUGUAUGAAAGAGAUAGAUAGAUGCUCUCAAUUAUACAUGCAAUGAUAGAUACUCAAUUCUAUAUUCCAUUCUAUAAUCAACAUUGAUGUUUAGCAAUCCCUUCUCAGUGGUAAAAAUAUAAAUAACGAUACUUGGAAUACUUCCCGGUUAAAAUGCUACAUCGGUAUUAAUCUGUGCGCUUGCAGAUCCCAUUUCUUAUUUAUUUAGGAGAGCAAUUGCAUAUUUCAAUACCGCGUCUCUUAUGUCAUGCUGGGGUUGACAACUUGGCUUAACUGACAUUAGGGAUAGGUUUGGCAUUUUUGGCGCCGUUAUCAGAAUUAGAAAACUAAGUCUACUUUUGGUAGUGACGUUAAGAAUGCCCUACAAGCAUUUUUGGCGUCGUUGCCGGGGAAGGUUGAUUACUAAUCAGGAAUGAAUAUAGAAUUUUGAGUCAUCAUUCGCAUCACUAAUAUGAUUGAGAUUAUCAAUUCUCUCAAACAGUUUUACCCCGAUAUUUUUCUAUUUUAUCUUAUGCAGGGUAAUGUAUGAAUAGAAGACAUCUUCCAGGAAAUUUUGUUGACAAUCCCGAAGUGUUAUUCAGAAAAACAAGAGCCAAGCUCAAGAAGAGAUCAUCAACACUUCAGCACGAAGCUUCAUCCAAUCAAGAAGAUCACCGAAGUUUCACCCGGAACUUGUCUUCAGAGUUCAGACCCAUGGCGAACAAAUCGAUCCGUGAGUUCUCAGCUCCACUAUGGACAACAUCCGUACUGGACCUGCUGCAGAGAUCGAUGGCAACUUUGAGCUCAAGCCUGGACUUAUCAACAUGGUGCAAUCCAACCAGUUCUGUGGGAAGGCACACGAAGAUGCUAGUGCUCAUCUCCAACACUACCUGGAGAUUUGCAACACAUUCACCAUAUCAGGAGUCCCCAGAGAUGCUAUACUACUUCGCCUCUUCCCAUUCUCACUGUUGGGGAGAGCGAAGCAGUGGUUCUACGCUACAAAGGAGAAGAAUACUACGUGGGCACUCAGCUCCACGAACUUUCUGGCUAAGUUCUUUCCCAUGGGCAAGACCAAUGCUCUCCGUGCGAAAAUUACAAGUUUUCCGCAACAACAUGAUGAAUCUGUUCUAGAAGCAUGGGAGCACUUUCAAGACUACAUCCUAGAAUGUCCCCAUUAUGGAAUGGAGAGUUGGAUAUUAAUGCAGAUGUUUUAUCAUGGGCUCAACAACAGUGCCCGAGAAACCAUGGAUGGUGCAGCUGGAGGAGCAUUCCUAUCACUCACCAUAUCACAAGCCACAGCUCUUGUGGAGAAGAUGGUGUCCAACCAAGGCUGGAAUGAAGAAAGGACCCAGACACGCAAGAGAGGUGGAGGUAUGCACCAGCUCAAGGAGGUAGACAUGCUAUCUGCAAAGCUAGACCUCCUCAUGAAGAAGCUCGAUGAUAGAGCUGGAGAUAAGAAAGAAGUUAUGCACAUCUACGACUCUCACAUGACUUCUGAGGAGUGUGGAGAUACUGGACACUCAGGCAAUUACUGCCCUGAGAUGCUUGAGAAUGUGAACUACAUCAUCAUCAACAACAACAACAACUACUACUACAACUGUCCUCAACAAAAUCAAGGUUGGAAUCAACAAAGGCCUAACUACUCAGGUAAUUAUCAAGGUAACAAUUCUUACAACAAUAAUAAUAUUUUCCACCUCUGAGAGAGUUAGUGUCUAAUCAAGGAAAGCUAAUGGAUAACCUAUCUAAGAAAUUGACAUCUAAUGAUAAAAUGCUAGAAAAUAUAAAUAAUAGAAUGGAUAAUUUCUCUACUGCCAUCAAAAAUCAAAUUAGCUUUAGUAAAAUGAUUGAAUCUCAGUUAAAUCAAAUAACUGUUGUUGUUCCUGCUACUAACCCCGGUGUACCAUCACAACCGGAAGGGUUAGAAUCUGCAAAUCUUGUAGACAUGUUUGAUGCAGGUAACUACUGGAGUAACCCCGUCACUGAAGUUACUACUGACCUUUUGCCAGUCAAGAGAGGCGAUCCUGGACGCCCCAUCAUCCCGAUCUCCAUCAGCAUGGUGGACUUCCCAGAAGCACUCUGCGACUUUGGCUCCAGCGUCAACAUUAUGCCUAGGGUACUCUAUGAGAAAUUCUUUACAUAUCCUUUAUUAGAAACAACCAUGUGUUUGCAGUUUGCAGAUCAGGCGUUAAGUUCCCAAAGGGAAUAUUGAAGAACCUUUACGUCCGAGUUGGUACCUUAUACGCCCCAGCAGACUUCGUGGUGAUAGAGACCGGUAAUGAUAAGAGGGCACCCAUCAUUUAGGGAUAUCAUUCUUAAACACCUCGAGAGCUGUCAUCUACGCUAGUGCUGCCAAGAUCAGUUUCUACAUCAAAGGGAGGAAGGAGAUGUUUUCCUUCAAGAACAAGACUACACAAAUCCCAGAGCAAUCCUGACAUGAACCAAGGAAGAGGACCAACAGGAGGAACAGGAACAAGCAAGUGUGGACCAAGUCAGCUAAGAUGGUCACUGCAGUUGAUGGAGGACAAGAUCAUCGACUUAAGUCUCCGUUUCUGACCAAGGAGGACGACCCAGGAAUGCCAAGCAUCUAUUGCUCGAUAAAUGGAUACAAUUUCUAUAAGAUGUUUUGCGACACUGGAUCGGGCGUCAACAUAAUGGCCACAGUCACCUAUCGGCUCUUGUUCGGAACCAUGCCCCUAAAACCAACAUACAUUCAGCUCCAGAUGGCAGAUCAGACAUUUUGAGAGGUUAAAGGUAUAGUAACUGAUGUCCUUGUCAAAAUAGACGAUCAUUUUGUCUAUACAGACUUUCAGGUUAUUGACAUGGGGGAAGACGAAUACGAUCCACCCGUCAUCCUUGGAAGACCGUUCCUCAGUACUGUUAAAGCAAUCAUCUACAUUGGAACUGGAGAAGUCCAUAUGCACUUCCCCUCAGAGAAGGUACGCCGCUAUUUUACUGACCCUAACUAUAUCGUUGAAGACUCUAAGCAGGUCAGGACAAGAAGAAGACGACGCAACCGCAACCAGAAGAGGCAAAUCAUCAAGGACGGAUGGGCAGACUACGAAGACGAAGUGGUAAGGUCUGAAGACAUACAACUUGAACAAGAUUAUCCUGAGGAGACCGUAGCACCGAGUCAGGUGUGGAAAGAGAAGAUAACUAUACACGAAGAGGAGGCGCCGCCGAAAGCACCGACUACGCCAUCCAACAAAUCCCAGGACAACUGAGAAAACGGAGAGUCCCGUUCGGAGGACUUAAUAAAACACCGAACGCCUUGCCAAGAGGUAAACUUGGUAGUUAUCCUUUCCCUUUCAAAUAUUUAAAAUAGUUUACUUAGUUAAUUAUAUUCAUACUAUCCUAAAAAGAAAAUAAAAAAUGUUAAAAAUAGUAAGCCCCAUGUGAGUAUACGAGUGACAUAAAACCCAUAAGAACAUUCACUGUGGUGGCAUAAAAAUAAAAUAAAUAUUUUUUCUGCUUUAUAAAAAUGAAAAUAUAAAAAUAGAGAGUAAUAUUUAUUGAGGAGUCUCAACAUGAUAAAGGCUAGAUAUUUAUGCUAACGCUUAAUUAGUUCCACAAAGCUUUGUUGUCUAUUUGAGCUCCAUAGAAUUCAAGAAUCAAGAAGACUAGCAGACGGAGGACAUCCUAAUCGAUGUCAGGGUGCUGCCGACUUUCAAAUACACCUCUGCUACCUGCUAGCUACAUCAGAAGAAAUUACGUCAAAAUUUAGCUUGGAGGAGAGCACCCCCAUUUAUCUCGCUAAGUAUUUCUAUCUAUCUUUAUACUUAUACUAUAUUUAAAUAUAAAUAUGCAUAAACAUGAAAAAACCAAAUAAAGAUUUUGUGCUUAUAUACAUAUAUAUAUCUUUUGCUUAGUGUGUUUAAUAAAUAAAUAAAGUGGCUAUGCUAAACUGAAUCUUAAUAAUAAAACUCUAGCAUGGAUAUGAUGAAUAGUUGCUCUGCCUAAUUUUCAAAUUUGAGUUCUCUCUCUAGUUUAGACAUAACUGUUAUAAUUUAAAGCUUACUCUAAACCUAAAACUUGUGGGAAGAGAACUUGAUGUGAAGUCUAAGUUGUUAACGGAUAUGAUAUGAGAAGGUUGAGUUGUUGUUUAUCUUUUCCUGGAGAUGCCAGAAUUCUGGAGAAUUUUAUCUUUGAAAAUCUUUAAAAUAACACAUGACGAGUUCCUGUAUGAUGAGAGUUUAAAUUCCUACCACAAACAUAUAUACAUGCUUGCUAGACUUUGAGCCAUACAUUUACUUUUUACUGCUUGUGAGCAUUGAGUGUGGUCAAGCUGUGUAGACCCUUAGGAGCUUGUCAUGUGGUUAAAUCAAGAUUCACUUGCACGUUCACUCACACAUGUUGCUUCUACUCCGGGAGUACGCAUCCACAUAUAUCCACUCAUUUCCAUCUCCAGAACCACCUAAAAGUAUUCUACUCCUAAUCCGGGAGAGAAUAGCUGAAAACAUUCUCCUAUUUCUGUUUUUCCCUGUGAAAUAAAUGCUCCAGUUAUUUUGGGUACUACCACUUGCUAUAUUAUUUCAGGAGAUGAGUGCUCUACUAAAAAAGAAGAGAAAAAAAGAUACGAGGAAAUAAAAAGGGGCAAGUGCCCGGAACCUUGAAAGAAGAGAAAAGGUGAGACGAAAGGUAAAAAUGGACAAGUGUCCGACAGUAGAAUUAGGGGUACAAAAUACCCACCUGAGAGGAAAGAAAAAGAAAAUACAAAGCAUCUCAUUCUCCUCAAGUUUCAAAAGAGCAAGAAAGGUAUGUAUCCCCUCAAAAGAGCAAAAGUAGAAUUAGACUUUCACCAUUGUUAUCACCAUCAUCACCAUACACCAUUCAUUCGCCACACAUGCACAUCUUGAUUUGACUUAUUGGCUUGUUUCUUUGGAUCCAUGGUUUGACUAUACAACAAAUGUCUUGUGAGUAUGUAUACUUUAUCUCCCACCUAUGAGCCCUAGAUAUCAAAAGCCUUAUUAGAGUAGGGUGAGAGAGAAGGCAAUGUCACUAUGCCUUAUACUACAAAUACCACAUAUUUUGAGAGAAGGCAUAUACCAUCACUGCCUUGGUAAGGAUCCAGAAAUACCACAAAAGAGAGAUACGAGAGAGUCAUACAAGGAAUCUCAGAGUUUUAUUUGAAAAUCUGCAAAAACUCCAGAGCUAUAGCUGAUCAAGAAUAAGAGACAUGGCACUUGAUUAGACCGUUCUAUCUUUUAACUACUCAAGACAGAAGUGACGGUUACAAGUCCCAUGGUAAAAAGUAAAAUGAAUAAGUUUUAAGUCUUGACAGUUUACUCUAACUCAGAGAUGAGACCUCAUUUAAAAGCAUGUGUACCGUCAAUUUUUAAAGGUAUUUCAGCAACUUCUGAUCCAUCACUGAGAUUAUUCUUGAUCAGGGACGAGCAAGAGGUAAGCUUGGGGGAGUUUGUUGUCGGUCCUUAAGUAUCAAAUUUAAUUAUCAAAUAAACAAAGAAAAGGAUCCAAAUGCAACCGACAUCCAGACUUAGGGUUUUAUCUGACAGAAUUCCACGAGUUUUGGUGUUUGUCUAUUUCUGCAGGUGAUUAUCAGAAAUUAUGGAAGAAAGGCCCACACGUCGGGUUUACAUAGAGAUAUUAACGUACCGCGCAAUUAUCUUACAUCUAGAAGUGUCGAGAAGCCACGGGAACGAACGAGAGACCGGACGGGCUCGGGGGCAGGGCGCCCGCCCUGGCCUUUCCACCAAUCACAGCCAACUUCACGGAUCAUGCUCCACCGACCUAAAGGAUCAAGGAAAACUGUGCGAUUAAUGUCGGUUUGAUCCGAUGGCCUAUAUUCACUUGGAAGGACUAUAUAACUAGACCCCCUGGCCCCUGGAGGAGAGCACCUCUCAACCUUAAUUCAUUAUUCAUCUUGGGAGAAGAAGCCUCUGAUCAAGCCCUAGAGCCACCACAUCAAUUAGAUCUCUAGAUUAGCAUAGCUACAUAGGAUUAGAACUAGAAGGAGUCAAUCUUCGAUUAGUUUCCGCAUCUUCAAUCAGCUUUUUGAAAUGUGAUGCAGCACCCUCAUUUCCAUCUUCAGUUCUAGCCUCAUUUCUAUGUGUUUCAGAAGUGACUAGUUCAUCUAACAUCUCUUCAAGUCCACCAUCACCAUUGGUGUGCUCAGGUACAAAAGAAACAUCAUUUGCAUCCUCAGCUACUGCUACUUCCUCCAAAACAUGAAUAUUUCUAUCCUCUCCAUGAUCUAUCCACCUAGUAUAUGUGCUGGACAUACCAUUGAGCAGUAGGUGCCUCUCUACUUCAUUUUGCUCUAAAGAUAUAGUGUUUAGACAACUUGAACAUGGGCACAAAAUCUACUCAGACUCAGAAAACCUAUCUUUGACAAAUUUCAUGAAAGACCGGACACCACAAAUGUACUGAGGGGUAAAUAAAGCACCAUGAAUCCAACGUCUGUCCAUCUACAAAUAAAUUGCAGAAAUUAAGUAGAUCAUUCUAACCUACAAUUGCAGACACACAUCAACUAACAAAGUACAACACUAAUUUACACUAUGUAUUCAAAUCCAUACCAAUUCACAGCUAGCGAGGACAGGGCACAGGGGGUACACAGCCGACGCGGACAAGACCCGCACGGUGGCAACGGAUCCACUGCAGGGGGGCUCCACGGAGUCGAUGUCGUGGCUGCUCCCCGGUAUCCCUGUCGCCGCGGGCAAGGACGGGGGCCAGACGACUGGCGCCUCCGGCACAGACAAGGACCGCGUGCACGGACGGCGCGGACAGGAUGGCGGCGGCGGCGGGCGAGGAUAGGGCGGCCUGCGUGGAUAGGAUGCCCGGCAAGGAGAGGGGCCGUGGGCGCCGAGCGGCCGCCAAGCAGAGGGGCGAUGUCGGGCGGCCAGCAAUAGGGGCGACGCUGGGCGGUGAAGAUAGGGGCGCGCCGUCGCGGACAGGGUCGUCUAAUUUGUUUAAGAACUAUCCCAAAUUUCAUUCAUAGGUCAAAAGAAAAAACAAGUCAGCAUUAUGCACACUACGACCGAUGACCAACUGGUUAGGUCCUUGCAGUUGGGAAUUUUGUGGACAGCCACGGUUCAAAUCCCAACCAGCGCCAACCACAUGACAUUUAGCUUCCCUAUUUUCCCUAUCUAAAUCUCUCACCGACAGGUGGGUCCCACCAGACCAGCGCCAACCACAUGACAUUUAGCUUCCCUAUUUUCCCUAUUUAAAUCCCUCACCGACAGGUGGGUCCCACCAGACCAGCGCCAACCACAUGACACGUAGGAACGACGUGGACGCACACAUCAGCAUGCCACCUGCAUGUUAUAUCUGUGACCUUCCAAUGAGUCCGUCAUACAUGACCAAAUUGAUCCGUAAAAUGAUUUUGCAUGAUUCGUGACGUUCCACUUAUGACGGUAAUUCAACCAAUCGUCAUGCAUCAUCACCUGGGAUUUGGACCGUCAUGGAUGACUACAUUCUGUGAUGAUUUGUUAGAAGGUCACAAUCAAACUGUCACAUAUAAGGGAAUUUCUUGUAGUGUUCUCUUGAUUGCUUUGGUUCUGAUGAUGAAGAGUUGAAUGUACCCAAAGUCAAUCCUGAUAUACCCUAUAUAGAAAUAUAAACAUUGAAAAACAACAGGGUGAACCUACCAAAGCAGAGGUGCCUUGUUAUGAUUUCUCACUUAGUAGCUGUUUUAUGCAAUUAUUUCUCUAUAGCCAAAGCAGAGGUGCCUUGUUAAGAAUCAACGAAGCUGUCACUAUCACGAACUACCACAAAACCCGACCAAUAGGAUACAUUUGCAGGUAAAUAACAUCUAAGCACCACGCCCACAUAUGAUCUACCACUUAACUCCCUCGCGUCAAGAGCUAAGCGCUUUGCAAACUUACACAUAAACUCAUUAUCAAUCAUAACUAUAUCAAAUAUAGAACUAGAGCAAACUAAGAUCAUAAUAAAUAGAGACAUAAUGCAAUUAGAACAAAGUAUUAGAGAAAUAUAUGAAUAAUACCAAUCUUUAUUACCGAAGAUCCGAAUCCAGAGCGUAGUGCUCUACUUCUCUAAUUGCUAUCUAAUCAAUCCUCUAAACUUGAAGGAUUAGGGUGUAGCUAAUUCUAAUUCUCUGUGGGAGAGAAGCUCUAAACCCUAACUUUGAUGGCUACCUCUGAUAAUGAUUUCUCCUCUUCUCUUCUCUCCUCCAGGGGUGGAGAGGCCUUGGUUAUAUAGUCCUUUCAAGUGAAUUUGGGCCGUCGGAUCAAACCGACAUUGAUCACAUGGUUUUCCAUGAUCCUUUAGGUCGGUGAACACGAUCCAAGAGUUUGGUUCAGAUUGGACCCGAGACCAGGGUGGGUGCCCAAGGGGGAGGGCGGGCGCCCUGCCCUCGAGCCCGUCCGAUCUCCCGUUCGUUUCCGUGGCUUCUGGACUCUUCUAGAUUGAGGAAAAUUGCGCGGCACGUAAUUAUCUCGUUGUAAACAUGACAUGUGGGCCUUCUCUCCAUAUUUUUCUGAUAACCCCUGCAGAAAUAGAUAAACACCAAAGCUCGUGGAAUUCUGUCAGAUAAAACCCUAAUUCUAGAUGUUUGGUGCAUAUUGAUCCGUUUCCAUGUUUGUUUGAUGAUUAAAUUUAGUACUUAAGGACCGUCAACAGUCCAUUUCCAAUUUCCCUCAGAAAAGGUACGCCUUCACUUCAAUAGUAAUUAUAUAAUUGAGGAAGAUCCCAAGAAGAAUAGGUCAAGAAGAAGGAGAUGUACCCGCCACCAGAAGAAGAAGAAUGUUGUAGAUGGAUGGGCCGACUAUGAAGGAGAGGUUUCAAGAUUCAAAGCUUGAUACCUUGACAAGGAGAACCUCGUCAAAGAGGAGGUACCAGCAGAAGAAGAGAUAGUAACUCUAGACACUAAAAUCACCGAACGCCGUGCCAAGAGGUAACUUGGUAUUUAUCCGCAUUUCCCUUUAGCAUAUUUACUUCUCUUAGUUCCAUUAGUAGUUGCAUCUUUAUGUUUAUUAUUGCUGCAUUAGAAAAGAAAAUAAAUAUGCUUUGCAUUGCAUCUAGAAAAUUGCUAAGCCCCAUGUAUUUAAUAUGUGAUGCAACAGCUCACAUACUUAUCUACUCUGGAGGCACAAAAAUAAUUUUUAGCAUAUUUAUUUUCCUGUCUGCAUACCAUAAAUAUGAAAAGCAUAAAAAUAUAUUGAUCCUGCUAAAACAUAAAUAGACAUGAAGAAAUUAUCAUAGAGACUGAGGGGUGCCCUUGAAGGAAAACCUCUUCUCUAAUUAAUAUUUCUUUUUAGGCUUAGCAACCAAUGUAAGGUAGAAAUAGAUCUUCUAGUUUCUACUAGAUUGAGAGAGAUAGAGUGGAGGUGUAGAGUGGAGGAAGCCCGGCCUGUCGGUGUCUACUCCAAGCUUGUACCUGCGGGAUCAAGUUCUCCUAACCCGAAGCUUGCUCCUAGGAUUCUUCAGUAUUUCGACUUCUAAAUUCUAGUAAGUUCUUGUUUUAUUAUUCUUAUGGUUUAUGAGUUUACUUUAAUCUCUUCGCGUAGAGUUUAGAGUAAUCAUUGCUGGCGUAAACGUGGUGUUUAGGCUGGGGUACUCAUAGAUAUUCCCUGACUAGCUGGACCGUGGUAGUAGUGAGGAACGUGACAAUUCCGAGUUACCUUUGUAGAUCACAUCUCGUUAGCGGGAAGGAUAGGGUUUAUAGGUGCAGGUUGAACAUCCUUUGUGGUGUCUAGAUUCCGUUAGCCUCCCCAUUAGAACAGUAGAUCAUCCUUACCAAGGUUAGAAGGAGACUACGGUUGCAGUCUUCUCUAUUUAUCACUCACAUCGAAAGACAUUCUUUGUGCCUAAAGGUUAGUAGUAAUAGACCGGUUAGUCAGAUGCACUCUUUCUCCUAGUGGUAAAAGAAAAAUACGAUACUCUGGAUAAUUUCCCGGGUGAAGUGCUCACCGAUAUCCGUGCGCUUGCGGAUCAAUUCCUUAUUGCGUUCCCAAAUAUCAACAAGCAUUUCUGGCGCCGUUGCCGGGGAGAAAGACGGUUGCUGAGAUAACUUGAGUCUUACUAUUAGCUUGUAUCUAUACUUUUAUCUUUUCUUAUCUUUUAUAUUCUUUAUUUAUUUUCUUUAUUCUUACCUUAUGGAAAACCAAAAUUCUAAAUCGAUCCAUGAGUCUGCAAUCCCUUUAGCAACUGACCUUUUACCAUGGGAAUCAUCACAGCCUAUCCAAACAUCCCAGUAUAAGUUAAGUUCUAGGUUGAUUGUCAUGAUUCAAAACCUAUCUUUUUUGGGAAAGGAAGACGAAAACCCUUACCUUCAUAUUAGAGAUUAUGAGCAAACAUGUGGUUGUCUUCGCAUUGAAGGCAUUUCUGAUAAAACUUUAUGUUGGAAGCUUUUUCCUUUUUCUUUAAGGGGAGAAGCUAGACAAUGGUACAGUCAGAAGGUAAGUCAACAACAAGGUGAAUGGGGAGUUUUACGAGCCAACUUUUGUCUAGAUUUCUAUUCCCUUGACCGUAUAGCCGACCUUAGACUCGAAGUCCUAUCUUUUAAACAAAAAGAUAAUGAAACUUUGGGAAAAUCCUGGAAACGUUUUUCUGAUCUUUUAGAAUCUGGUCCAAACCUUAAUCUUGAAGACCCUGUUCUUUUAUUUCACUUUUUUCGAGGUCUUCAUAAAAAUCACAAACAAAUGCUACACACAAUGUCUAGAGGUUCUUUCUUUCGCAUCCCUGCUGAUGAAGCUAGAGUGAUCCUAGAUAGAAUCCUAGAAGCUGAGAUGGAUAAUACCCUUCUUGAUGAAACCUACGAAGCCGAAGUAGACACUCUGCCAAAUUCUUUAUCUACUUUAGCUAUCCCAAGUUCUGAGCCACAAGAGGAAGAAAUUCCACCACCGGACUUCAUGCUGGAUAUAGAAUCCGAUCUUUUUGCCGAUUUUGGAAAUAUUUCAAACUACCAUUCUAUUGACAAACCCCAAAAUGGCCAGUUUAGCAUUUAUUUACCAAGUGAAUAUCAAUUGAGAGAGCUUAUCUCAGUAAUGAGUAGUGAAUGGUUGGAGGAAUUAGAGCUUUCCUCUGAUGUGAUCCGUUUGGACACACCCUCUAUAACUAUACGCUGUGCUUAUAAUUCUGAUCGAUUUAAUGCUCUCUAUAAUCCUGUUGUGGGGAUCAAUAUCAUGUCUGAAUCUUUUGCACUUAAACUAUUUAAAAAUCUUGUCUUAACCCCCACAACAAAGGUCAUAAAGGAAUCUUCGGGACGAUUAGUCCCCAGUCUUGGAAUUAUUAAUGUCCUACCUCUUACGGUAGAUGGCUCCAUGGUUCAUUUGAACUUCUAUAUCUUUGAUACAUGGGACUUCGACCUGUUGAUAGGACAACCUUUUAGAAGACUCCUUUAUGAAGGUCAUACUAGAAAGCUACACAUUUCUUUUGGAAAAACUUUUAAAUUCCCAAUAAUAAUUUCACACUCCUUAAACAAUAAGGCCGAGUCAUAUCUUUUGCCCAAUCCUAUGGAGGAGGUAAAGGUACAUCUCUAGAGCUUUUAGAAGAACCAGACUUAGAAGACGAAACUCCUUUCUUCACUGAAGAAGAAGACGAACCUUCUGAGCCUGAACCAUUAGAUGAGUUUGCAGAAACACCUAGACCCCCCAUAGAGCUUAAAACUUUACCACCCGGUCUUACCUAUGCUUUCCUAAACAAUAAUCCAGAGUUCCCUGUGAUCAUUAGCGAUAAACUCACUCAGGAUCAAACUCUGCGAUUAAUGACCAUUCUUGAGAAACAUCACUCAGUAUUCGGCUACUCACUUCAAGAUCUUACAGGAAUCAGUCCUAUGAUUUGUACCCAUCGUAUUCCAACAGAUCCUUCUGUUUCACCCUCUCGAGAACCCCAACGUAGACUUAACAACACUAUGAGAGAGGUAGUUAAAAAGGAAGUUAUAAAGUUGCUGCAUGCAGGGAUUAUAUAUCCUGUGCCGCACAGUGAGUGGGUGAGCCCAGUACAAGUUGUGCCUAAAAAGGGAGGCAUGACUGUUAUUAUGAAUGAAAAGAACGAGCUAAUUCCGCAACGCACCGUCACAGGAUGGCGGAUGUGCAUAGACUAUAGAAAUCUAAACAAAGCCACGAGAAAAGAUCACUUUCCUUUACCCUUCAUAGAUGAGAUGCUAGAGCGGUUAGCAAACCAUUCAUUCUUCUGUUUCUUAGAUGGAUAUUCAGGGUAUCAUCAAAUCCCGAUCCAUCCUGAUGAUCAAAGCAAAACCACUUUUACAUGCCCAUAUGGAACUUAUGCUUACCGUAGAAUGUCUUUUGGGUUAUGUAAUGCACCAGCUUCUUUUCAAAGAUGCAUGAUGUCUAUAUUUUCUGAUAUGAUUGAAGAGAUUAUGGAAGUUUUCAUGGAUGAUUUCUCUGUUUAUGGAAAAACUCUUGAUAGUUGUCUUGAAAACUUAGAUAAGUUUUUGCAAAGAUGUGAAGAAAAGCACUUAAUCCUUAAUUGGGAAAAAUGUCAUUUUAUGGUUAGGGAAGGAAUAGUGCUGGGACACUUAGUGUCUGAAAGAGGAAUUGAGGUAGACAAAGCUAAAAUUGAAGUAAUUGAACAACUACCUCCACCUGUGAAUAUAAAAGGAAUUCGAAGCUUUCUUGGCCAUGCUGGUUUCUAUCGUAGAUUCAUAAAAGAUUUUUCAUUUAUUGCUAGACCACUUACUCUUUUGCUAGCCAAGGAUGCUCCUUUCGAAUUUGAUGAUGCAUGUCUAACAUCUUUCAAUUUAUUAAAGAAAGCACUCAUCUCUGCACCAAUCAUUCAACCCCCUGAUUGGUCGUUGCCUUUUGAAAUUAUGUGUGAUGCUAGUGAUUAUGCUGUGGGGGCAGUAUUAGGACAAACUAAAGAUAAGAAGCAUCAUGCAAUUGCUUAUGCCAGUAAAACUUUGACAGGAGCUCAACUUAACUAUGCAACCACUGAAAAAGAGCUUCUGGAUGUUGUCUUUGCCAUUGAUAAAUUUAGAUCUUAUUUAGUUGGAGCUAAAAUAAUUGUUUACACUGAUCAUGCUGCACUAAAAUAUUUGCUCACUAAGAAAGAUGCUAAACCUCGCCUGAUUAGAUGGAUCUUAUUACUCCAAGAAUUUGACUUAGAAAUAAAAGAUAAAAAGGGAGUAGAAAAUUCUGUUGCUGAUCACUUGUCUAGAAUGUAUUUUAAGAAUCCACAGGAAACCCCCAUCAAUGAUUCACUCCGGGAUGACAUGCUCUACGGGAUUAACAGGUCUGACCCCUGGUAUGCAGAUAUUGUUAAUUUUAUGGUUUCAGGGUAUGUACCACCAGGAGCAAACAAGAAGAAGCUUAUUCAAGAAAGUCGUUCACAUAUAUGGGAUGAGCCAUACCUCUUCCGAGUAUGCUCUGAUGGCUUACUCAAGAGAUGUGUGACCACUGAGGAAGGAUGGAAGAUCAUCGACAGAUGUCAUUCAUCACCAUAUGGAGGUCACUAUGGAGCAUUCCGUACACAUUCAAAGAUCUGGCAGUGUGGAUUCUAUUGGCCUACAAUGUAUGAAGACACGAAGCAAUAUAUCAGAAGAUGUGGGCCAUGUCAAAGACACGGAAACAUAAAUACAAGGGAUGCAAUGCCACUCACCAACAACCUUCAGAUUGAGCUCUUUGAUGUUUGGGGAAUAGACUACAUGGGUCCAUUUCCUCCAUUAAAGAAGUGUGAGUACAUCUUGGUGGCGGUUGACUAUGUCUCCAAGUGGGUAGAGGCAUUACCUUGCAAGCAUGCCGACAACGUCAGUUCAAAGAGGAUGUUCGAAGAAAUUAUAUUUCCAAGAUUUGGAGUCCCCAGAGUAGUGAUAACUGAUGGAGGAGCACACUUCAUCGACAAACGUUUCAAGCAAUAUCUAUCAAGACAUGGAAUCCAUCACAACAUCGCUACCCCUUAUCAUCCUCAGACAAGUGGACAAGCAGAGACUUCCAACAAACAAAUCAAGAAUAUUCUUCAGAAGACAGUAAAUGAAAUGGGAACGGCGUGGAAAGACAAGUUACCCGAUGCACUCUGGGCAUACCGGACAGCAUACAAGACCCCAAUUGGGAUGUCUCCAUACCAAUUGGUGUACGGGAAGACUUGCCAUCUACCUGUUGAACUAGAGUUCAAAGCACACUGGGCCAUAAAGAGAUGGAAUAUGGACCUAGAUGUUGCUGGAGAUUAUAGAAGAAUGCAACUAUCAGAAUUGGAAGAAUGGCAAGAGAAGGCAUAUCACAAUUCAAAGAUCUACAAAGAAAGAGUCAAAAGGUGGCAUGACAAGAGAAUCAAGAAGGAGUUCACCCCCGGAGACAAGGUAUUACUUUUUAAUUCCAGGGUGAAGCUUUUCGGACAAGGAAAACUCCGGAGCAAAUGGGAAGGACCAUUCAAGGUAAUUAAUUCAUCAUCCCACGGAGCUAUCACACUUCAAAAUGACGAAGGUACGUUAUUCAAGGUAAAUGGUCAACGUCUUAAAUUAUUUUUAGAGCCCAAUGAGGAAUUUGAAGAAAUAGACGUAGUCCAUUUUUACCUUCCCAUGGAGAAUUAGAGCCCGACACUUUUGGUCUGAUGUUUUUGGGUCAUAUAUAUAUUUUUCUAAAUAAUUUCGCAUCUAGAAACGCGCUCGGAAAAGUGGGCCCACAGAGGGGCCAGAGAGAGGGCGGGCGCCCAGAUCAAGUGGGCGGGCGCCCAGCCCCUAUUCCCCCUCGGUCCCGACUUUCUCUGUUAUGGAAAAUGCACUUAUGGUAAUCCGAAUAAUCCCUCGGAUUGGAAAGUUUCGCACGCACGUCGACAGGAGCAACCCGAGCAACCCAUAGAGGCACCUUUUGACCCCUAUAUAAACAGACCCCUGACCUCAGUUUUCAAACACCAAGCCACCAAGCCUUCUCUCCUUCAAUUAGAGCUUGAUUAGUUCUCCUUCAAUUAGAGCUUGAUUAGUUCCUUGCUGCUCCAAUGGCCGAGAAGUACCACGAUGAUUGGGAAGUCGUCCCCUUCAACCUCAACAUGAAGCCUGUGGAAGACCCCGAUGCUCGUGCUCUCGUCCCAGCCAACACAGAGCGACAGCUAGAAGCCAUGCCAUUACGCCAACGCAGCUCCACCCAAUCUUACCAUGCUCAACCAGUUCUCACCGCACCACCACAACCCCUACUCCUCAAAGGAUCAUCAUCCAAGACGAAGACCACUAUCAAGGUGCCAAUCGGCACAAGAAUCCUUCCACCUAGACCCAAUGAGAGGGUCGUUGGAGUCAAGACCAACCGGAGCGGCGAGAUCAGUAGUAUUCGCUACACUACGGAGGAGGAAAGGCCUUACUUUGAAGGGAUUAGAGCAGCCAAAGUCCGUUUCAUCCCUCCAAAGGCAGCCCCGAAGCACUCUCUCAAUGCUUUUGAGACACCUCCCAAGCGUCGCAAGACUAUAAUGGAUAUUGAUGAGGAAGUUCGCAGGCUAGAUAGAAUUAUCAUAGACCUCCAGUCCUUGAUUAAUUCCCUCACUAGGCAGCUCUCUAACCACAACACCAUUAUACUAGGCCUUAGGCAAGGUCUUGCCAGUGCCAACAAGAAGAUCAAGGAAUUAGAGCGCCGCUAAGUUAUCUAGAUUAGACCUUGAGGCAAUGCAUCUUAGUAAUCUAUCUUUAAAAUUCGGUUUAGGUUUGCUAAUAUCAUCAGUUUACUAUUAUCAUCAGUUUGCUAUCAGUUUGCUAUCAGUCUUUUGUAAUAAAUGCCUCAAGAUCAAUAAAGAGUAUUAUUAUUAUUAUGUCUUGUGUGUCUCUACUUUAUUUUUGUGCAAGAAAGCAGAAAACAAGUAUGGGGGAGAUCCCUCGACAUGCCAAACACACUCUGACUACACCACUCCACGAUUCAGGUACACACUCUGCACACUUUAUGUUACAUAUAUAUAUAUAUAUAUUGGAUUAUGCAGAUUAUUGUUUCCGACAUGAUAAAAUAAAAAGAUUAAAAUAUUUCUAAUCAUGAUUAAUCUCACUCUGUGAUAUUUCCUGAAAACUUGCAAUUAUUAUAACUCAUUUUAAAACCCUGUGUUACUUAAGUCAAUAUGGAAUAUGUGAUGGUAGAGUAUGAGUUUCUUAUUCUUGAUAUCAUUGUUGCUUGGAGAAUUUAUUUCAAAAUAUUCAAAAUUCUAGCUACCAUCCUCAGUGUUUUAUAUCCCUGAUAAAACUGAAAAUAUUAAUUAUGAUUAUAAAGCUAUCUACUCUGUAUUGAAUUUGUUCAAAAUGAGUUAGACCCUUGUUGAGAGAUUUAUAAUGCUCCCAAGAUCAAGACAUUAUUUCAAAAAGAUUCACUCUUCCGAAGUAUUAUUGCAUUAGAGGCAUGGGCUAUGGAAAAAUAGAAGUAUUUUGAGGAAAUAAAAAGGAGCAAGUGCUCGACAACCUCGCAGAAAAAAUGGACAAGUGUCCGGCAGUAGAAUUAGGGGUACCUUGGUAUCCACAUAAAAAAAAGAGAGAAAAGAGAAAAAAAUGAUAGCCCAUGGUCCCUCUAAUAAGCAAUAUGCCAGUAAGAGUUGACAAAGAUUUUUAAUUUCCAAAGUCUUUGAUCUAAGAGUAUGACAUUCCCCUCCUCGGAUCCCGUUUUGAUCAGGCAAUAAAUGCAAUGUAAGUAUGCUUGAGAAUUUUUGCAAAAAUAAAACAACCUCAGUGAGAUAUAUAUAAAAGAUAAUGAGUGAUCUGAGAGAACCUAUGAGGAUAAAAAGGUAUGCUAAUUUUCUUUCAAAAAAAAUAUACAAAAACUCCAAGUGACAGGAUUGAGAAGAAAGGAUCUUUACUCUUAAUCAUAAACUUCCCUGACUAUGGUACACAGUGGAAUUUUAACACCCUGCAAAUAUAAAGAGAAUGUUUUAAAUGUUUACCCCAGGUAUUGUUCUUAACCAUCCUUUUCUCGAGGACGAGUAAAAGCCUAAGUAUGGGGGUAUUUAUUGACGGUUCUUAAGUAUCAAUUUUAAUUAUCAAAUAAACAAGAGAAAGGACCAAUAUGCAACCAACACCUAGAAUUAGGGUUUGAUCUGACAGAAUUCCACGAGUUUUGUUGUUUAUCUGUUUCUGCAGGGGGUUAUCAAGAAAUAAGGAAGAAAGGCCCACAUGUCGGGAUUACAUAGAGAUAUCAACGCACCGCGCGAUUUUCCACCAUCUAGAAGACUCCAGAAGCCACGGGAAGAAGACGGAGGCCGACAGGGGCCAGGCCCAGGGCGCCCGCCCCCUGCUGGAUGUCAAUCAGGACUCUCUUCGCACGGGAUGUUCCACCGACCUAUUGGAUCAAGAAAAACAUAGUACCACCUCACCUAUCGACCCAAAAAUGCAUAGAAGGGGAGGACUAUAUAAGGAGACCCCCCUGGCCCCUGGAGAAGACAUGAAGAAAUUAUCAUAGAGACUGAGGGGUGCCCUCGAAGGAAAACCUCUUCUCUAAUUAAUAUUUCUUUUUAGGCUUAGCAACCAACGUAAGGUAGAAAUAGAUCUUCUAGUUUCUACUAGAUUGAGAGAGAUAGAGUGGAGGUGUAGAGUGGAGGAGCCCGGCCUGUCGGUGUCUACUCCAAGCUUGUACCUGCGGGAUCAAGUUCUCCUAACCCAAAGCUUGCUCCUAGGAUUCUUCAGUAUUUCGACUUCUAAAUUCUAGUAAGUUCUUGUUUUAUUGUUCUUAUGGUUUAUGAGUUUACUUUAAUCUCUUCGCGUAGAGUUUAGAGCAAUCGUUGCUGGCGUAAACGUGGUGUUUAGGCUGGGGUACUUAUAGAUAUUCCCUGACUAGCUGGACCGUGGUAGUAGUGAGGAACGUGACAAUUCCGAGUUACCUUUGUAGAUCACAUCUCGUUAGCAGGAAGGAUAGGGUUUAUAGGUGCGGGUUGAACAUCCUUUGUGGUGUCUAGAUUCCGUUAGCCACCCCAUUAGAACAGUAGAUCAUCCUUACCAAGGUUAGAAGGAGACUACGGUUGCAGUCUUCUCUAUUUAUCACUCACAUCGAAAGACAUUCUUUGUGCCUAAAGGUUAGUAGUAAUAGACCGGUUAGUCAGAUGCACUCUUUCUCCUAGUGGUAAAAAAAUAAAUACGAUACUCUGGAUAAUUUCCCGGGUGAAGUGCUCACCGAUAUCCGUGCGCUUGCGGAUCAAUUCCUUAUUGCGUUCCCAAAUAUCAACAACCGCACCGCCAUAAGCAGCAGCCGACCAAGCCAUGGCUGAGCCCCUGCCCUCCCUUCACGUGGGCAGCAGUAGACAACCUCCAUGGCCAUGGUUGCUGUCCAUAUGAAGACCACGACCAAACCAAGGUAGAAGAUGCUCUUAAUUACGAUUUUGCCACUACGUGAAAAUAGUAAUAGCUUAAAUGUUUUAGCUUUGUUUCGAGUUAUUCCAGUUGCGUUAGAUUCGUAUCAACAUGCUCUACACAGUAGUCCUAGAGUUUAUCAUAGCACUUAAUUAUAAAUUUAUUAUUUUAAAUAUUAACUAGAUUAAUAUUUAUUUACUAGCUUUCCAAAUAAAUGCAAUAUAAGGUUAACUCAUUGUUUUUGUUGCAUUAUGAUCGUACCGACCGUAAGCUACAUGUUUGUAGGAGCAUUUAAUAUGUCUCCAUUAUUGAAUUUUAUAAUUAUUAAUUUAAUUUAUACUUAUACAAUUAAGUCUCAAAUUAAAAGCAACACGAGUUUGUACUUCGGUCUUUUAGAAAUUAACAUUAAUCUAAUUAAUGUCAACCUUAAUGCCUUUUAAAUUAUAUUAUGCUUAGUUCAACCUUAAAACAUAAGUACUUUAAAUUAGUUAUCACAUGUUUUUCUACAUAUAGUUAAAUAUUAAAUUAAUUAAUAUACUUGCAUUUAGUUUCAUGAUUAAAAAUCAAUAUAGACUUUAUGCUUAUAUAUUUUAUGUAUACAUGUUAACAUGAUUAAAUGCUAUACAUAAUCAUGUUUUUAAAUUAUAAUUUAUUUAGUCCAAACAUGUAUGUUAAAUUCGAUUAGAUUUUACAUGCUCUUAUAUGUUAGUUUGUAUUUACAUAUAAGUGUUGAAUUGGCAUAAAUGGUAUCUAAAUAUUUAUAAAUAAAAUAUGAUUAGUUAUAACUCAACUUUUGAAAAUAAAUAUGUUAACCUUAAUUGUGAUUAAUAAAUUUAUAUUAUUUUGCUUACUUAAAUAAAUCAAAUAUAUAGGCUUCACUUUUAUAAUAUAAAACUAUCUUUAAUUAUUUAUUUUAACGAUAGGUUCGGUUACGAUGCUUCUUGCGAUCUUGUAGUAUUGAUUCUCUUUUAAUACGCUCUUUUCUCUUGUGUGGUGUAUUGUCUUAGUUGCUUCUACUUGUUGCUUGUAUGUUUGCGGUGCUUGCUACGAGUAGACGAGAACUGCUUGUGACCGCUGAAGAUUAGAAGGUGAUGACCAAAAGUUGAUUGUGUGAGGAUUGAGCAGUUAGAUCAAGGCAAGUAUAACUUGGGAUCAUCCUUUUUACCUAUUCACAUUUAAUACAAUAUAUCAUAUGCAUGUGUCCACCUUGACAACCUUAGCAAAAUCAUAGAUGAUUGUUACCUGGAUUCCUUGUUACCUACUUGUUAUGCAUUUGGUGUAGUUUUGCUUGUGCUUGAGAUAAUCCAUGAUCUUGUAAGAUGAUUAAUAGCUAUGCAAUGAACAUAAAAGGAUGACAAAUAACUAAAUGAGAUCUUGUCUGUACGUGAUCACCCGGGACAACAAUGCAACCAUGAGAGCUAUAAUGGCUCUGGCUUUAGCUCAGUAUGAAGACCUUUUCUAGCUUGUUAGAGGUUACACGAAAGGGCGCUAGAGGGGCCUAACCGUUUUGGGUAUAGUGCGAGCCUCUAUCCUUAUGUGUAUAGGCUGCGCAUCAUUGUGCCAUUUGGAAGGGGGGCAUCUAUAUCUGCGCGCCCGGGAAACCUUACGGCCCUAACAUGUUAGACGAACUUUUGAAAGGCUUCAUAGUGAUCCCUGCCGACCUUCCUUGGUAGUGGGUUAAGAGGCUGAUCACCUCGGGUGAAAGGGUAAAUCAUGACUAAUGGGUAAAGAUGUACAACCUCUGCAGAGUGUUAAAAACUAGUAUACUAGCCGAGCUCACGGUCAGGAGCGGCCUUGGGAACAUCUACAUUAAGAUGAUGAGCUUAUUAUGUUAUUAUGCUCAUUUUAUUAUCGUUUAUGUUUAGUAUUAAUUAUGCUUACAUUUGAUCAUGUGGUUAUGAGAUUUAACUAUGCUACCUUGACAUUUGCUAUCUAAAUAUGAACAUGCUCUAUACAUAUAAAAGCUAAAUGCAGUCAAACCAGUGUCAGCUAAUUGAGCCUCAUAAACCUCUGUUUAUACUUGUUGAGUACGAUAUGUGCUCACUCUUGCUAUUUCCCACCACUGCAGUUUACUAGUAAGAGUUGAUCAGAAGAGCGAUGGAAUCAUGAAGGAUGUCCUCAGAAUACAAGAAGUGCUGGGCAUAUGUUACCCCCAGUCAACCGUCCCUGUGAAGAUUGAAUCUGAAGAAUAGUUACCGUUCCGAUACUAUGACGUAAGUGUUAGUUAUAAGUAUGUUUCCGUUAUGUAACAUUAUUUCUGAUAUUGUUCCUUUAUGUUGUUGUAUGUGUGGACUUCUUGGGCACACAUAUAGCUAGCCUGGUUUUGUUCUUUAAAACUAGGUGUGACAGAGUGGUAUCAAAGCAGUGUUGACUGUAGGACGUAUGCCUAAGUAGCACUUGUCGAUUAGAAAACUCUAAUUUGCUACAAAACUAUUUUCUUAUCCCUUGACUUUUGAUUUUGGUUAUUUCUCAAUCCUUGUCUCAUUGUAUCCUCUCCUUGAAUAGCUUCCUUUGAGCUAUUUCUGUUUAUCACCUUGGCCUUUAUUUACUUUUUCCUUUACUACUUAUUUUACUUAACUUUUCGAAACUUGCUUUAUUCAAAAUUCAAUGGCCUUUCAUUAUCUCUAACCCGCCCUUUAUGAUGACCACCAUCAUUGAAAAACACGUAUAGAAUCGAUGAUGUGUUGUGUGCUUGUCUUGUUUGUGUGAUGCUUGUGUGUCGUCUCUGUUCUUGUGUUACAAAGGAGCUUGAAAGAUACUAUCUUUAGAAGUAGCUCAAUCUUGUUAAGUGGGGUAGCGUCCGCUACCGUCAUCUAAGUAUCUCAAGUAAGACAUGAAGACCUAAUGAUCAGUCUUAUCCUUCUUGUGUAUCUCUUUGUUGUAUAUCAAACUUUAUCGUGUUUGUCAUCAUCUUCAUCUACUUAUGCUCUUUUGUUAGUCUUUGCCCCUUGAUUGUUUACUUUAUAAUAUAAUGGUCUGAAGGUCAAACUUCAUCGAUUCAGUCUACUUUUCUUGUCAGUGAUCUUUGUGUUUCUUGUGAUCGAUCAUUAUUUUUCUAGUUAACCCUUGUCAGUCUAUAGUCAUCUUAUCAUCUCUCAUCAUAGAGCUCGAAAUAACCUUGAGAAACCCAUCUUCAUUCUCCAUAUCAAUCCUUGCUACUCUAUAGUCUUUUAUCAUAAACCUCAUAAAUCUUGAAUUAAGGAUUUUUGAGGACUAUAAGAUGUAUCUUUAUCUUUUAUAUUAUCCCUUAUUGAUCUUCACUCCUUGACUUUAAACCUCACAAUGUGUCAACCUUUAUCUAUUUCUUUUAAACCAUCCUUAACCUUUCUUUUCCACCUAUGCUGAUCAUCAAUCCUUUGAUCUUAUGUCAUAAAUUCCAAUUUAAUCUUGAGAAUCAAACCUUGACAUCUUUGUCAACUUUUAUUAAUCCUCAAUCCCUAAAUCAUAUCUAGUCAAAAGUAUCAAAACAACCUUGAUGAUCUACUUUAUCUUUAUCUCUAGUCUUUUCGAAUCUCGGGACGAGAUUCCUGUUAAGUGGGGUAGAAUUAUCACACCCCAAAAAAAUCUUAAUUUUAGGUUAUGCAUAGAAAACACUAAUUAAAAUAAAUAUUUUGAUAUUUGGAUAAAAAAUAAUUUAACCUUAGUUUAGAAUAGAGUGAAUUAGUUAUGUGAAAUAUAUCAUUCAUCAAAUUUUCUACAAUUUAAUUUGAAGGGCUUCUGCUUGAUGUGAUGUGAUGUGAUGCUUGUUUGUUGUUUGAUUUUGCUUGGUAAGUGGGUACAGUAUUAGAGCGCGCUUAGUAAGUCGUUAACUUGUACCCGGCGUAUCGCUAUCUUUUUCUAUAAUCAAGUCUCUUCUUUUUUUUGAUCUUAAACUUUUCAUUUAGAGUUUUCUAUAUCCCCUUAUUAUACUCUAAAUCAUUCCUUUGAGUACAUCUUCUGUCAAUCGACCUAUUAAAACUUAUCAGGAAUUAUUUCAGCAUUUUCCUAGAAUGUAUUUCCGCUUGAAUUUGAGCAUAAUCUAAUUUUGAGAUAUUCCUAGAUAUCUUUUUAUGAGCUCUAAAUACUUUAUUUGAGUUCUUCAUGUUCUAAAAUAUCUCUAAGAAUUUUCUCAUAUUUUUUGGAGCCUUUGGAGUAUUUUUCGGACUUUAAAUAUCAAUUCUGGACUUUCUAGAAUUAUUUUUAUUCACGAAAUUAAUUAAUCCCGAAAAUAAUAAAAUAUCUUGUUUUUCCAUCAACCCAAAUACCUAACAGUAUAUAUAUGCCGGCACAGCCCUCGACGCGCUGAAUCCAAAAGUACGGCCCGUUUCGCGAGCCGCCACUCCUAUCGUUGUAAUACCCGAUUUUAAGGACAAAACCAGAUAUACACCAUAUGCGAGUUUUAAAAGCCAAGUCUCACAUAUAGCUACAAAUAAGGUGUAAUAUCAAAAGACAAUGCAUAAAUAUAUAACGUACUUAGUAUAAAAGGGAUAACCUUCAGUAACAAACAGCGGAUAGACAACUCCAAACUUCGGGUAUUAACUCCUCUCCACACGAUCAAACUAACUGGUUGAUCACAAGCCCAAAACUUCUCCUGAGGUGUGGGGGAAAUUGCAAGAGUGAGCACAUAUCGUACUCAACAAGUAUAACCAGGGGUUCAUGAGGCUCAAAUAGCUGACACUGGUUUGACUGCGUUUAGCUUUUAUAUGUUGAUAGCAUAUUGAAUCAUUAGAUAGCAAAUAUCAAGGUAGCAUAAUUAAUUCCCAUAACCACAUGAUCAAAUGUAUACAAGAAUUAUGAAUAACACAUAUAAAUAACAUAAUAAACCAUCAUUUAUCACCAUUAAUCAUGUUCAUCAGUGUCCAUCUAUUCCGUCAGUUUUCCGGGCCGCCCGUAUCCGUGGGCACGGCUAGUAUACCAGUUUUAAACACUCUGCAGAGGUUGUACAUCUUUACCCAUGAGUCGUGAUUUACCCUUUCGCCCGAGGUGAUCAGCCUCUUAACCCACUACCAAGAAAGGUCGGCAGGGAUCACUAUGAAGUCUUUCAAAGGUUCGUCUAACAAGUUAGGGCCGCAAGGUUUCCUUCGCGAGCAGAUAUAGAUACCCCCCUUCCGAAUGGCACAAUGACGCACAGCCUAUACACAUAGGGACAGGGGCUCGCACUAUACCCAUGUCGAUUCAGCCCCUCUAGCGCCCUUUCGGGUAACCUCUAACAAGCUAGAAAAGCUUACUCAUACUUGACUAAAGACGGAGCCAUAUAGCCCUCAUGGUUGUAUGAGUUGUCCCACCUUUUGCCAAGGGAUAAGUCCUUAUGGAGCGUCAAGAUCAAUCCAGCAAAAGCCAGAGUUCUUUCCACCCUUUAUAUUCAAGUUGCUAGAAAGCUCAUUUUAUUGUUUAUUGUAUAUCCAAACAUUCAUGUUACAAGAUCAUGGAUUAUAUUCAAGCACUAGCAAGAACUACCCAAAUGCAUAUCCAAAAUAGGUAACAAGGAAUUUAGGAUAACAAUCAUCUAUGAUUUUGCUAACGUCAUCAAGGUGGACACAUGCAUAUGAUAUAUAUUGUAUUAAUUGUGUAUAGGUAACAAGGAUGAUCCCCAAUUAUACUUGCCUUGCUCAAAGCUCUCCUGAGCCUGCUGGUCUUCAAAGGCUUGGUCUUGCUCACCAACGUACGGCUCACCGUCUAUUCCCAAACAUCAACCAACAACACGCAAUCCAAUGGAGACAAUCAUACACAAAGCAAACAAGAUGUAAUUAGAACAAUACACCAGACAGUGGUAAAUAAUAGAUAAAAGUUUAUAAAAAUGUUCUACGCAGCGCUACGAUCAUACAAACGUAAAGUUCACGAAAAUCGGAAUUAAAACGUAGAAGAUAUGAAUUUUCUAAGAUUUCCUAUAGAGAAAUAAUUAAUUAAAUAGGAUCACGAAAUUAAAAAGUUUCAAACUGGGAAAAUAAAGUUACUAACAUGUAGAGCUCUUAAUUACCAAUCUACGAAAUUUGAAUGGACAAAAACGAGUUAAAACGAAUAUUUUAUGAGCAAAACAAUUUCAGUGGCAAACUUGUAAUUACUAGAAAGCGUAAUUUGAUUCAAACCGACGAAAAUACGUUUUCCAAACUGAAAAGCGGAAAGCUGAAAUUACACCAUGGACCGCGGGUUGAUUCCUAGAAAAGUCCAGGGACUCUUUAGCAAAAUAGCCGAAGAGGUAUGUUCUAAUCUCCAUUCUUGAUUCAAGAUCGGACGGUUGAGAUGGAUUCCAGGGAGCCCGCGGUGGCCGGUGGCGUUCUCCACGGCGGCGCGCCAUGGCUGGGGGCUCUGAGCUCGCCGGAGUUCAUCGUUAACGCGAUUCUGAGCACGGUUUGAGGAACUAAAAGCAUGGGAGGCAAGCGGAGGGAAAGGCGAACUCACCCAGGGCACAAACGGGGUUGGAGAAGACUCGGUGAAGGUGCUUGACGCGAGGUGGCGAUCGGUGACCCCCUGCACACGUUCGGCGUGAAUAAAACUCUGUGAAAACUAGUAGAGAGCAAGAAGAAGGGGUCGGGGCUUCGUUACCAACUGGCAAGGCACGGCCACUGCUCGGAAACGCUGGCACGGCUGUGGGUCGCGAGCACCAUGGCAGCGGGCGUAGCUUGCGGCUUAGCAAGAUCCAGACGGCGGCGGGGUGGCUAGGGCAUAAUUUCUAAACACGUAGGGGAGGAAGAGAAGCCGCAGAAUAUGCCUAGAGGCUUUAUAGGGGUCGGAUUGGGGCUUGGUUUGGAAGUUCCCAUGAAAGCUGGGAUUCGGUGGCCAGCUCCAGAACAGAGUCCAAGCUGCUCGCGAGUUGGGGAAGAAGAAAGAAGGAGAUCGUGACACUGACGCGCGGGCCCAGAGUGGCAGUGAGAGGAACAGCGGGGUCGGGCUGUCAGGGAAAGAAGGGAAAGGGGUGGCGCGGGCUGGCUUCUGCCACUGAGCCGCGAGUUGGGCCGUGGAGGGGGAAAAGAGGAGUGGCGCGCUUGGGCUGGGAAGGAAAGAAAGGGGGAAGGAGGAGAGUUUGGGCCUUCGAGCCAGAAAGAGGGGUGAGUUUUCUUCUUUUCUUUUCUUUUCUUUUCUUUUCUUUUUAUUUCUUUUUAUUUCAAAGUCCUUUUUAAAACAGUUUAGAAAUCAAUUUAAAAAUAUUUUGACUUUGCUCAAAUUCACACAGUACAAUGAAAAUAAAUGCUCCAAUAUGAAUGCACAACAAGUUGCUAAGUCCUAUAAUAAAUUUUAUUUAAAUGAAAAUAUUAUUUUCCUAUGUUUCAUGAGCACAAAAAUCCAAAAUUAAAUCAUUUUCACCUAUUUCAAAAAGUAGUAAAUUUUAGGGUGUUACAAAUCUACCCCCCUUAAAAUGAAUCUCGUCCUCGAGAUUCAGAAGAGACAUGGGUCCUUUGAGAGAACACAGAAUAAAGAUCUUGAUAACUCUUUCAACUUCACAACUUGUAUACCAAGGCAAAUCCAGUUUUCCAUAGAAUGCCUAUCAUUCAUAAUUGAUCAAAGUCCAUCUUCGCUAUCAACUGUUUGAAUUAUACAACUCAAAAAUUUGAUAACUUAGCAUGGAUUUGCCUCCUCACGUAGGAGUGGACCACCUUGAUACUCAAUUCUUUUCCCUGAUGGUGCGGUUAAGAAAAUUUUCCACCGGGUAGCAUAGAUCACUCCUUUUUGUGCACAUAACCAUCUAUUGCCAAGAACCAGAGGAAUGUCGAGUGACCCUAGCAUAAUGAGGUUUUCAGUGAAGUUUUCCAUUGAUAUAAUUUCGCUGCACUUUACUUCCAAGAGCAGGCUUCUUACGAACUUUCCUUUUACGCUUCCUUCGUUGUGGAUUCUGAUUUGAUUCGAUGUCAACUUUCUCCUCAAUAUUGUCAUUUGGAUAGUACUCAGCUUUAUCAUACUCAUAACAUCUUUCUUCAAAGGUGAUCAUAAGGUAUCUCAGAAGACAAUUAUCACUUCAAGCUAGUUUUGAAAUGCAUCAUCUCAUGAUAUCAAGGUACUACCCCCCUUAAAAUUAGAUUGAUUGGGGGACACUAGGCACUAGUUCUCCUAACCUUUUUGGACGCUACACAUCCAUAGUCUUUUACAUUCGUUGUACCGAGUCUCUUGAUCCAAGGUUAGUUUCAUCACUAAGUUCCAAUUAUCGGUACCUUUAUCACAGUUAAGUUGCUUCACUCUCAUAUUGUAUAUAUAACUUCAUAAACUUUGGUGUCAUCUGAUCCUCAUAAACACAACUCUCAAUCCAUGAGUAUCAGCAAUGACAUAUAUCUCUGUUAAUAUUCCCUUAAUGGGAUGAUACCUUGAAUCCAAAAACCAACUUCACCAAGCACUUGAUGUAUUUAUAGAUGAUCCAGCUUUUACCAAUCAUUCUCCUUGUAACUCCUUUAACUAGGCUACCCCCCUUAAAAGGGUCAACUAGGGAAUACAAGGAAGGUAGCUUGCAUGUUUUCCAGACAAGUUAAUUAACAUUGAGAACUUCUGGCGUCCCAAAGAACUUAUGUGCAAGAGAACAAACAGGUAUCCUGGAAUUUUCCUCUUGAUAUGAAAACACUGGCGUAGUAAAACAGGUAUAACUCUUAUUUUGUUAAUCCAAUAGAGUUAUAGCUUAUACCGUUAGAAAACUUUUGAAAUUCUCUACCACUUUCAUGUAGAAGACCUUCUUAGGUUCUGUCUUUAAGCUUAGGUAAAACAACCAAACUUAAUAUCCAUCCUGAAAAUGUCUCAGCAAAGGUGCAAUAACUUCCAGAAAUUAUAUCUCGAGCUUCUUAACUCAUCUAGAGAUGAUCCUUACAUUUUUGAAAAGCUUAGGAAAUCCUCUACAACUUUCGUAUACCAUGUUUUCCCAGAUUCUGUUUUUAACUUGGCCGAAAGUAGGGAAUACCAAAACUGUCCAGACUUUGAUACAAAACUGAAACAUCCAAUUUUAAAUAUCAUAUCUCAGGUUCUACUUAGCCAAAUAAGUUCCAGCUUAUACCGUUGAAAAGCUUAGCAAAUAGUUUAUAACUUUUCUAUAGAACACUUUUCCAAAUUCUAUAGUUAUAUUUGUCUCAAACAGUAAGUAACCAAAACUGGUCCAGGUUCUUGACAGCACAUCUGUAUCAUCUUGUGAUUUUUGUAACUUCCAAACCAUAAUAGCUAUGAGGGUGAUUCUUGCAUUCAGGGAAAGAUCUUGAAGUCUAAUUGUUCCUAGAAAAAUUUGACAAACUUUGCACUAACAGAUCUUGAGAUACACCAGAAUAAUUGCAGACUGCUCCAGAAAUCAGCAAAGGACAGAAACAGAUAUAACCAAGCCCAACUACUUAUUUCAUUACUCCUUAUGCCUUAGGCCUAUGAACUAAUGAAAUUGUGAAGUAAUUCAAAAAGAUCAUUGCAAUCAUUACAAAGAUCCAAAUCAAACAUAAGCAUAAUAACAAAGCAAUUAAGCAUUGAAGGUUCACACUUCACUCAACUUGCGAACUAUCGUUCUCUUCAUAGUAAGGGUAAAGAUCCUAAAACUUAUAUUUCAAAGACGCAAGAAGGUGAUAAGAAAAGGUUCUAAAAUCAUAUCAAAUCAAGGAGUGAAGGUGAGAACAAGUACUUUUAAAAUAAGCAACAAGGUAGAGACAAAUAGCAAGGAUAGAGAUAUAGUAUGGAUGAAAGUACCAAGGUUUAUAGAGCAAGGAUAUCAUGACAAUUCCAAAACCUUAAGACGACCAAUUUCUAACUAGGCUUGCGUCCUACAGCCAGCGUUGCUUUGAUACCACUUUGUAAUACCUGAUUUUAAGGACAAAAUCAGAUAUACACCAUAUGCGAGUUUUAAAAGCCAAGUCUCACAUAUAGCUACAAAUAAGGUGUAAUAUCAAAAGACAAUGGAUAAAUAUAUAACGUACUUAGUAUAAAAGGGAUAACCUUUAGUAACAAACAGCGGAUAGACAACUCCAAACUUUGGGUAUUAACUUCUCUCCACAGGAUCAAACUAACUGGUUGAUCACAAGCCCAAAACUUCUCUUGAGGUGUGGGGGAAAUUGCAAGAGUGAGCACAUAUCAUACUCAACAAGUAUAACCAGGGGUUCAUGAGGCUCAAAUAGCUGACACUGGUUUGACUGCGUUUAGCUUUUAUAUGUUGAUAGCAUAUUGAAUCAUUGGAUAGCAAAUAUCAUGGUAGCAUAAUUAAUUCCCAUAACCACAUGAUCAAAUGUAUAGAAGAAUUAUGAAUAACACAUAUAAACAACAUAAUAAACCAUCAUUGAUCAUCAUUAAUCAUGUUCAUCAGUGUCCAUCUAUUCCGUCAGUUUUCCGGGCCGCCCGUAUCCGUGGGCACGGCUAGUAUACCAGUUUUAAACACUCUGCAGAGGUUGUACAUCUUUACCCAUGAGUCGUGAUUUACCCUUUCGCCCGAGGUGAUUAGCCUCUUAACCCACUACCAAGGAAGGUCGGCAGGGAUCACUAUGAAGUCUUUCAAAGGUUCGUCUAACAAGUUAGGGCUGCAAGGUUUCCUUCGCGAGCAGAUAUAGAUACCCCCCUUCCAAAUGGCACAAUGACGCACAACCUAUACACAUAGGGACAGGGGCUCGCACUAUACCCGUGUCGGUUCAGCCCCUCUAGCGCCCUUUCGGGUAACCUCUAACAAGCUAGAAAAGCUUACUCAUACUUGACUAAAGCCAGAGCCAUAUAGCCCUCAUGGUUGUACGAGUUGUCCCACCUUUUGCCAAGGGAUAAGUCCUUAUGGAGGGUCAGGAUCAAUCCAGCAAAAGCCAGUUCUUUCCACCCUUUAUAUUCAAGUUGCUAGAAAGCUCAUUUUAUUGUUUAUUGUAUAUCCAAACGUUCAUGUUAUAAGAUCAUGGAUUAUAUUCAAGCACUAGCAAGAACUACCCAAAUGCAUAUCCAAAAUAGGUAACAAGGAAUUUAGGAUAACAAUCAUCUAUGAUUUUGCUAAGGUCAUCAAGGUGGACACAUGCAUAUGAUAUAUAUUGUAUUAAUUGUGUAUAGGUAAUAAGGAUGAUCCUAAGUUAUACUUGCCUUGCUCAAAGCUCUCCUGAGCCUGCUGGUCUUCAAAGGCUUGGUCUUGCUCACCAACGUACGGCUCACCGUCUAUUCCCAAACAUCAACCAACAACACGCAAUCCAAUGGAGACAAUCAUACACAAAGCAAACAAGAUGUAAUUAGAACAAUACACCAACCAGUGGUAAAUAAUAGAUAAAAGUUUAUAAAAAUGUUCUACGCAGCGCUACGAUCAUACAAACGUAAAGUUCACGAAAAUCGGAAUUAAAACGUAGAAGAUAUGAAUUUUCUAAGAUUUCCUAUAGAGAAAUAAUUAAUUAAAUAGGAUCACGAAAUUAAAAAGUUUCAAACUGGGAAAAUAAAGUUACUAACAUGUAGAGCUCUUAAUUACGAAUCUAACGAAAUUUGAAUGGACAAAAACGGAGUUAAAACGAAUAUUUUAUGACCAAAACAAUUUCAGUGGCAAACUUGUAAUUACUGGAAAGCGUAAUUUGAUUCAAACUGACGAAAAUACGUUUUCCAAACUGAAAAGCGGAAAGCUGAAAUUACGCCAUGGACCGCGGGUUGAUUCCUGGAAAAGUCCAGGGACUCUUUAGCAAAACAGCUGAAGAGGUACGUUCUAAUCUCCACUGUUGAUUCAAGAUCGGACGGUUGAGAUGGAUUCCAGGGAGCCCGCGGUGGUCGAUGGCGUUCUCCACGGCGGCGCGCCAUGGCGGGGGCUCUGAGCUCGCCAGAGUUCAUCGUUAACGCGAUUCUGAGCACGGUUUGAGGAACUAAAAGCAUGGGAGGCAAGCGGAGGGAAAGGCGAACUCACCCAGGGCACAAACGGGGUUGGAGAAGACUCGGUGAAGGUGCUCGACGCGAGGUGGCGAUCGGCGGCCCCAUGCACACGUUCGGCGUGAAUAAAACUCCGAGAAAACUAGUAGAGAGCAAGGAGAAGGGGUCGGGGCUUCGUUACCAACUAGCGAGGCACGGCCACUGCUCGGAAACGCUGGCACGGCUGUGGGUCGCGAGCACCACGGCAGCGGGCAUAGCUUGCGGCUCAGCAAGAUCCAGACGGCGGCGGGUGGCUAGGGCAUAAUUUCUAAACACGUAGGGGAGGAACAAAAGCCACAGAAUAUGCCCAGAGGCUUUAUAGGGGUCGGAUUGGGGCUUGGUUUGGAAGUUCCCGUGAAAGCUGGGAUUCGGUGGCCGGCUCCAGAACAGAGUCCAAGCUGCUCGCGAGUUGGGGAAGAAGAAAGAAGGAGAUCGUGACACUGACGCGUGGGCCCAGAGUGGCAGUGAGAGGAACAGCGGGGUCGGGCUGUCAGGGAAAGAAGGGAAAGGGGUGGCGCGGGCUGGCUUCUGCCACUGAGCCGCGAGUUGUGCCGCGGAGGGGGAAAAGAGGAGUGGCGCGCUUGGGCCGGGAAGGAAAGAAAGGGGGAAGGAGGAGAGUUUGGGCCUUCGGGCCAGAAAGAGGGGUGAGUUUUCUUUUCUUCUAUUCUUUUCUUUUCUUUUCUUUUCUUUUCUUUUCUUUUUAUUUCUUUUUAUUUCAAAGUCGUUUUUAAAACAGUUUAGAAAUCAAUUUUAAAAUAUUUUGACUUUGCUCAAAUUCACACAGUACAAUGAAAAUGAAUGCUCCAAUAUGAAUGCACAACAAGUUGCUAAGUCCUAUAAUAAAUUUUAUUUAAAUGAAAAUAUUAUUUUCCUAUGUUUCAUGAGCACAAAAAUCUAAAAUUAAAUCAUUUUCACCUAUUUGAAAAAGGAGUAAAUUUUAGGGUGUUACAAUCGUCCUAAAUCUAAAGCCGAAGUUUCGAAACCUACAGCCCCGACAAACUUCCGGCGAACCUUUGACGAGCUUUUCCGGUCAUGUUUGUCAUCUCUGGCAAAUUCCGCUUCCACCCCGAGAUUCGUCUCAUUGUUCUCUACACCGGCACGCUAUUGCUUUUACGAAUCUAUAUCUUGUUUAUCUGGCUCUCCAUCUCCUCUCUCUUCUCCGGCGACAAAACUCCAUUGCCGGCGACGCUAACUUCAGUUCUCUGCAGUCUUCGUAGCUUGGGGUCUCUUCUUCGGUUAUCCUGGCCUAAUCCGGCUGCUGCCCCUGGAGCCAUCCUGCGCGGAUGUGGGCAGGUCCAUGGAGGCCCUGCCUCGCAUCCCUGUGCGAGCAGACCAGCCACCGCCGCUUGGUGCCCUCCUCGAGGUGAGCCUGUGGACCUCGUCUUGCGAGCCCCGCAGCUUGGAGCACCGCACCGCCACAAGCAGCAGCCGACCAAGCCCUGGCUGAGCCCCUGCCCUCCCUUCACGUGGGCAGCAGUAGACAACCUCCACGGCCAUGGUUGCUGUCCAGAUGAAGACCACGACCAAACCAAGGUAGAAGAUGCUUUUAAUUACGAUUUUGCCACUACGAGAAAAUAGUAAUAGCUUAACUGUUUUAGCUUUGUUACGAGUUAUUCCAGGUGCGUUAGAUUCGUAUCAACAUGCUCUACACAGUAGUCCUAGAGUUUAUCAUAGCACUUAAUUAUAAAUUUAUUAGUUUAAAUAUUAACUAGAUAAAUAUUUAUUUACUAGCUUUCCAAAUAAAGGCAAUAUAAGGUUAACUCAUUUUUUUUUUUGCAUUAUGAUCGUACCGACCGUAAGCUACAUGUUUGUAGGAGCGUUUAAUAUGUCUCACAUUAUCGAAUUUUAUAAUUAUUAAUUUAAUUUAUACUUAUACAAUUAAGUCUCAAAUUAAAAGCAACACGAGUUUGUACUUCGGUCUUUUAGAAAUUAACAUUAAUCUAAUUAAUGUCAACCUUAAUGCCUUGUAAAUUAUAUUAUGCUUAGUUCAACCUUAAAACAUAAGUACUUUAAAUUAGUUAUCACAUGUUUUUCUACAUAUAGUUAAAUAUUAAAUUAAUUAAUAUACUUGCAUUUAGUUUCAUGAUUAAAAAUCAAUAUAGACUUUAUGCUUAUAUAUUUUAUGUAUAGAUGUUAACAUGAUUAAAUGCUAUACAUAAUCAUGUUUUUAAAUUAUAAUUUAUUUAGUCCAAACAUGUAUGUUAAAUUUGAUUAGAUUUUACAUGCUCUUAUAUGUUAGUUUGUAUUUACAUAUAAGUGUUGAAUUGGCAUAAAUGGUAUCUAAAUAUUUAUAAAUAAAAUAUGAUUAGUUAUAACUCAACUUUUGAAAAUAAAUAUGUUAACCUUAAUUUUAAUUAAUAAAUUUAUAUUAUUUUGCUUACUUAAAUAAGUCAAAUAUAUAGGCUUCUCUUUUAUAAUAUAAAACUAUCUUUAAUUAUUUAUUUUAACGAUAGGUUCGGUUACGGUGCUUCUUGCGAUCUCGUAGUAUUGAUUCUCUUUUAGUACGCUCUUUUCUUUUAUGUGGUGCAUUGUCUUAGUUGCUUCUACUUGUUGCUUGUAUGUUUGCCUAUGUGUGGUGCUCAAUGUUUUCUAGUCGGCUGGUCGAUCCUGGUCGACCUGGGACCGACCAGGCGAUUAAUCGCGAUUAAUCAGCGACCAGGUCGAUUAAUCGACCCUGGUUGUCCCCCUGGUCGUCCCUGGUCGUCCAGGCAUAUCAGCUGGUCGACCUAUAUAUAUACCUCUAUAUAUACACUAUAUUAUACACAAUAAAGGAAGCAUGAAGACUGCAUUACUGUAAACCAACAUUCCUCUUCAUCUUCAACUCUUUUUGAUGUAAACCAACAUCUCCUUCUUAACUAUUUCUGGAGAACUGGGACAACCAACAACAUCUCCAUACCCCCCACAUAUCUGCCCAGUCAAAAAAGCCCAAAAACAUAGCUAUCCAUGUCCUAAUCGGACGAUUAAUCGCGAUAAGUGGACGACUAAUCGGACGACCAGGUUUCUGGUCGACCUGGUCAGGUCGGUCCUCCUAAUCGAGCACACCUGACCGACCAGGACGAUUAAUCGCGAUUAAUCAGACGACCUGAAAACAUUGGUGGUGCUUGCUACGAGUAGACGAGAACUGCUUGUGAGCGCUGAAGAUCAGAAGGUGAUGACCAAAAGUUGAUUGUGUGAGGAUUGAGCAGUUCGAUCAAGGCAAGUAUAACUUGGGAUCAUCUACAAAAUAACUUAACCGAGAUGGGCAAAAGUGCUUAACAGAGGCGGGCAGACCAACCGCCUCGAACCAAAGGUCACGGUAAAUAAGACCUUUUCCGAGGCGGUUAUCAGCCCGCCACUGUUAAUCGACUAAAAAAACAAAACCCAUGGACAAGCCCAGCAAACCCAUCCAUGGGCCCGCUAAACCCAUCCACGGCCCACCGCCGCCGCAUCGUCGGACCACCGAGAUUCGGCUGCCCACUGCCGGAGGAAGAGGAUGAGAGGGCACCACCGAAACCGGGCUCUCCUCGCGCACGACGCCACGCCGGAGGAAGAGAAGGCGACCGCGUUGCCCCCGCACUGAUCCGCCCCCCCGGCCACCAGAACCGUGUUGUCCACGCAGUGCAAGAUCUGGAGGGAGUGGCGCCGCCACCGGAGGACCCGCGUCGGAGUUGGAGGAAGCAGGCGAAGGCCAGCACGUGGAAGGAGACGAGGUCGGACUCGGCGUGGAGGUGCUCCGGUGUUGGGGGUGAGGGGAUGGAGCCGGCACCUGAGAGGAAGUGGGAGUGGGAGAGGGAGGGGCGCGUGUCUGAGAGGGGAGAGGGAGGGGCACGGCCCGCGCGAGAGUGAGGGAGGGGCGUGCGCCGUUCGGGAUGGGGAAAAGAGAGUGAGGAGAGGAGUGAUGAGAGAAACCCUAACUUUCAUUUUUAUACUUGGUCACAUCUACGGGCCUAGUUUGGGCCUGUUGGGCCUCGGCCUUUUUACCGAGGCGGACCUUAUAAGUGGCCCGCCUCCAAAAAUAGAGAUAUUUUUGGAGACGGGCCACUUAUAAGGCCCGCCUCAGUUAAUAUAUUUUAGGAGGCGAUUAUGUUUUAACCGCCUCGGUAAAUCAAUUUUGCGAGGCGGUUGACUGUGACCCCCUCGGUUAACAAAAAACGACCGCCUCGGUAAUCACAAGCAAUAGCCGAGGCGGUUAACCAGUCUGCCCGCCUUGGAGGGUCCAAACUAAACGUCUUGUAAAAGUUUUUUUGUAGUAGUGUUACCUAUUCACAUUUAAUACAAUAUAUCAUAUGCAUGUGUCCACCUUGACAACCUUAGCAAAAUCAUAGAUGAUUGUUACCUGGAUUCCUUGUUACCUACUUGUUAUGCAUUUGGUGUAGUUUUGCUAGUGCUUGAGAUAAUCCAUGAUCUUGUAAGAUGAUUAAUGUUGAUGGUUCUUAAGUAUCAAUUUUAAUUAUCAAAUAAACAAGGGAAAGGACCAAUAUGCAACCAACACCUAGAAUUAGGGUUUGAUCUGAUAUAAUUCCACGAGUUUUGUUGUUUACCUGUUUCUGCAGGGGGUUAUUAGGAAAUAAGGAAGAAAUGCCCACAUGUCGGGAUUACAUAGAGAUAUCAACGCACCGUGCGAUUUUCUACCAUCUAGAAGACUCCAGAAGCCACGGGAAGAAGGCAGAGGCCGAAAGGGGCCAGGCCCAGGGCGCCCGCCCCCUGCUGGACUCCAUUCAGGACUCUCUUCGCACACGAUGUUCCACCGACCUAAUGGAUCAAGAAUAAUGUAGUACCACCUCGCUUACCGACCCAAAAAUGCAUAGAGGAGGAGGACUAUAUAAGGAGACCCCCCUGACCCCUGGAGAAGACAAGAAAUUAUCAUAGAGAUUGAGGGGUGCCCUCGAAGGAAAACCUCUUCUCUAAUUAAUAUUUCUUUUUAGGCUUAGCAACCAAUGUAAAGUAGAAAUAGAUCUUCUAGUUUCUACUAGAUUGAGAGGUAUAGAGUGGAGGUGUAGAUUGGAGGAAGCCCGACCUGUCGGUGUCUACUCCAAGCUUGUACCUGCGGGAUCAAGUUCUCCUAACCCGAAGCUUGCUCCUAGGAUUCUUCAGUAUUUCGACUUCUAAAUUCUAGUAAGUUCUUGUUUUAUUGUUCUUCUGGUUUAUGAGUUUACUUUAAUCUCUUCGCGUAGAGUUUAGAGUAAUCAUUGCUGGCGUAAGCGUGGUGUUUAGGCUGGGGUACUCAUACAUAUUCCCUGACUAGCUGGACUGUGGUAGUAGUGAGGAACGUGACAAUUCCGAGUUACCUUUGCAGACCAUAUCUCGUUAGCAGGAAGGAUAGGGUUUAUAGGUGCGGGUUGAACAUCCUUUAUGGUGUCUAGAUUCCGUUAGCCUCCCUAAUAGAACAGUAGAUCAUCCUUACCAAGGUUAGAAGGAGACUACGGUUGCAGUCUUCUCUAUUUAUCACUCACAUCGAGAGACAUUCUUUGUCGCCUAAAGGGUUAGUAGUAAUAGACCGGUUAGUCAGAUGCACUCUUUCUCCUAGUGGUAAAAAAAUAAAUAUGAUACUCUGGAUAACCUCCCGGGUGAAGUGCUCACCGAUAUCCGUGCGCUUGCGGAUCAAUUCCUUAUUGCGUUCCCAAAUAUCAACAAGCAUUUCUGGCGCCGUUGCCGGGGAGAAAGACGGUUUGCUGAGAUAACCUUGAGUCUUACUAUUAGCUUGUAUCUAUACUUUUAUCUUUUCUUAUCUUUUAUAUUCUUUAUUUAUUUUCUUUACUCUUACCUUAUGGAAAACCAAAAUUCUAAAUCGAUCCAUGAAUCUGCAAUCCCUUCGAGUCAUCACAGCCUAUCCAAACACCCCAGUAUAAGUUAAGUUCUAGGUUGAUUGCCAUGAUUCAAAACCUAUCCUUUUCGGGAAAGGAAGACGAAAACCCUUACCUUCAUAUUAGAGAUUUUGAGCAAACAUGUGAUUGUCUUCGCAUUGAAGGCAUUUCUGAUAAAACUUUACGUUGGAAGCUUUUUCCUUUUUCUUUAAGGGGAGAAGCUAGACAAUGGUACAGUCAGAAGGUAAGUCAACAACGAGGUGAAUGGGGAGUUUUACGAGCCUGUUGAUGCAAAAGCUGAUCUGCAAACACAAAGGGCUAAUACCCGAUUUAAACGUUAAGGCGUGCCAUCCGAUUUGAUCUUACUACCGGCAAAGGUGGUAACUCGAAUACUUUUGUCCCGACAACAGCGAUGCGCCCGGAUGUCACGGCCAAGAGGUAUUCACGCGGAACUCGAGAACAUGCCGAGCUUAAGUCGACGAAUUCCUAAGAACUCGUAACGAAAAGGGAAAAGUAUGACGAAGUAGUCGAAAAGUAGAUUUUGGAAUAUGAGUAAAAACUUGUGUUUGAUUGAUUGAUAGAUGUCGAUUACAAAGCCUCAGGGUCCAUAUUUAUACCCUGCUCAAAGAGCUACAACCAGACACGACUAGAAUUCGAAUUCCAAAUUACACAGAAUCCGUCUACAAAACGAUUUAAAUAACUAAGGAAAACAUAAAACUAUCCCGCCGUGACAAACUGGAACACCUCCAUAAACCGAUCGGCAGCUUCCAGACUCUUCCUCCAUAUCAUCGGCAGAUUCCCUCGUCAUAGUCAUCGGCAGACUCCCUUGUCGUAGCCAUCGGCACAGACACAUCAUCACCUACGGACUUAGUCACGUACAACCCCUCUUCCAUCGGCAACCAUCCUCAUCGGCAACUCAUCCUGUAGAUCAAGCACCGCCGUCUCAUCUUGCCGGCCUAUACUUUACCAACCAUGGACACGUGCCCAAAAACGGCGUCAACACAUGCCCCGAAUUUCGGAGUAUGAAAUCAUUAAUGCUCCGAAAUUCUCUGCAGUAAUGAUGCCUUUCCGCAAUUAAUGCCCCCAACCUGGUAACCGACAGCCUUAAUCUGAACAACUCUGAUUUGAUUCUUCCGCAGAUUCCUCGAAAUCCUCAACUUCCCAAAUGGACAUUUCCAUUUUAGUUGCGCAUCGACAACAUAACUGUUACAAGGAUUUGCCGAUGUACCGAUCAGGACGUCCUUAUCUUAUCCUCCCAAACGGCUAUCUCUACUUCAUUCGCCCAUCGGCAAUAUGACCGUUACAAGGCGCUGCCGAUGGACCGACCAGGAGAUCCCGCACAGUAAGAUAUCUCUAGAAAAUGACCGCUUCCUGUCAAAUCACCUGCGCAAUCCCUUGAUUAUCGUGCGAACAGUUACCAUAUCUGCCUGAGUACCCUCGGAUCUCACGGAUACGGCGAAGAGAUAAGUCAAUUUUGCCCCUGCCCAUUUAGUCCUAUAAAUAGUUCCUUCUCGGGUACUCCUUCUCCAUCACAUCAUUCCACAACUCCAACUUUACUUUCCCGGCGGCAGCGCUGUCCAAGAGCUCCAAGAUCUUCGACGAAGUUCUUCUUCACCAACUCCGAAGCCCUCGAUCAUCUUCUUCGUGACAGGAUGGCCAUCAACUUCAUCGUUCCUGAGGUCAGUUCUUCGCGCCGUCUCUUGUACUUUUUCUCGCACCUCUGUUCAUCUGCAAUCCAUCUUACUGAACAUUUUCUUUUUCUUUCUUUGCAUUUUUUCUUUUCUACCUGCAAAACCACUAGGAAUUGUCUAACAAAAUUAUCAUCCCCACCGAUCAACCACACCUUCAAUGCCUUGGCAAGCUAGGGGAUCCAGAUCCAACCGAUCUCAUUAACGCAGAAACCAAUAGGAUCCCUUUUAGAGCUGAGAACUUUUCUUUGGAUCUGUGGAAAGAUACCUUCCGUUCUUGGCCCAGCCCCACCGUGGGGUGGAAAGAUUGGUUCUUGAGGGUCAGCAACUCCAAUGAGGUCCAGUGGGGCGAGAGAAAGUUAGACCAAUGCAUUAGGUUGUCCAUUGCCGAUAUGCAUAGGAAUGAGUCGUUGCUGAUAGCUGCAUCUUAUUUCUGGUCGGACACCCUCAAUGCCUUUGUCUUUGGCCAUUGUCUUGCUUCCCCUACCCUUGCUGAUGUAGCUAUGCUCACUGGCCUGGAUGUAUCUUCUGCCGAUAGCACCCAUUUCUUCGAUACCAAACCCAGUGCUAAGGUAGAAACCCGUACCAUCGGCGGCUGGUCGGGGUAUAUCCAAAAAUACUGCAAAACAGGCCCUGUUAACAUAAAAGAGCAGACUUGCUUCCUGAACAUGUGGCUGGACAAAUUCGUGUUUUGCGGCCGAUCGGCAGGACCAACCUCGGUCUACUUAGCAGCAGCGGAAAAUCUGGCCAAUGGUGGCCGAUUUCCCCUCGGCCGAUACCUGCUUGGUGCAGCUUACCACCUCCUUCACCAAGUGACUAGGAAACUCUUACUCGGCCAGUCCAUCGGCAACUUGGGAGGUCCCUGGUGGUUCAUUAACAUGUGGCUCAACCUCCAUCUGCACAAGCGUCUUGAGUUCGACCUCUUUGCACAGCGCUUUCCAAGGGACAUAGCUGAGAACUAUGUAUUGGAUGAAGAAGAAUCGGCAACACGCCCUCCCUUGAACUUCGGUGAAGCUGUCAUAGCUCUGCCUGGUACAGGGGGUAAUCCAGAUCAGGUCAGCCGAUUCUUCCAAACCUUGUAUAAAGGUUUGGCCAGAGAUGAGCGAGCAUGGUUGGCCUACGAUGACCCAGACAAUAUGCUUCCUCUAGUCUUCAACCCGUUCAACGAUGCUCUUGACAAGGACAACGAUGUGAUGAUGGCAUUGGUGACUCCCAGAGCCAUACCAGUGAACUUCUUUGGUAGUGGGAAAACCUCCCCACAGACUUAUGAGUUCUACAAUCCAUCGGCACUAGCUCGUCAGUUAGCUUUCGGCCAGCUGCCGAUUGCACUCUGUUAUGCCGAUGUGAUAAAGCCCAGGGAAACCAUCACCAGCCUCCUUGAACGGAUUCGAGUAGCCCACCUGCCAUCAAGUGCCGAUACAGAUGUAGACCUGUCAGAGUGGGUCCCGGCCGCCUUCAUCACUCAGGCAUACAAGCAAUGGUGGGCAGAAUGGAAGGAACAUCUGUUCUGCAAAUCCGCUCUCACGUAUCGCGGCAUGAUCGACCCUGAGUACGAAGUUCCCGAUGGCACUGUGAGUAUUUUUGCACUGAUGUUUCAUUUCUUUAUUUCUAUUUCCAUCGGGAACUAACUCUUUGUGUGACUUUUCAGGUCGAUAACACUCCCCCAUCGGUCAGCAGGAGUGGUAAGCCGAUUGAUCUGUUUGCACCAGGUCCAAUUUCCUCAAUCGGCCACAACGCUCCUACCCUGGCUGCCAUCGUGCAUCGAGGUAUACGCCUCAAGAAGGUCACCACCAGGAGAACUCAGACGUCACCAUCGGUAGCUGCUUCUACUCUGGCACAGGCUUUCAAGGUAAUUGUCAAACCUUUUCAUUUAUACCUAUCUUCCCUUUACAUCUGCCGCAUUGGUACUCACAAACUUUCUUUUCUGCAUCAGCAAACCAGCGCAUCGGCAAGGACCAAACGCAAAGGUGCCGAUGCCCCCAGUCCAGCCAGCAAAAGAGAAAGGGUGCCUGUUGGGUAUUCUUAACAUCAUUACUAAAAGUAGACUAAGUUCUCUAAAUCUAGUAACGGUGCCAAAAAUGCCAAACCUAUCCCUCACACCACUUAAGCCAAGUUGUCAUCCCCAGCAUGACAUGAGAGACGCGGUAUUGAAAUAUGCAAUUGCUCUUCUAAAUAAAUAAUGAAUGGGAUCUGCAAGCGCACAGAUUAAUACCGAUGCAGCAUUUUAACCGGGAAGUAUUCCAGGUAUCGUUAUUUAUAUUUUUACCACUGGGAAGGGAUUAGCAAUCAUCACUAUUGAUUACAGAAUAGAAUAUGAGAUUGAGCAUCUAUCAUUGCAUGUAUAAUUGAGAACAUUUAUCUAACUCAUUCAUACAGGGGUAAGUGUCACAUAAAGGAUAUAUGAAAUAAUGAAUAGUGACAAGGAUAAUUAAUCUGAUCAGCCACAUAUAAAUAUGAUAAGCACCUCAAUUAGAUACUCUAGAAAGUCAUUAGCAUGGUAUUAGAACGAACUACAAUAAUAUUCCCUAAGUUAUUCUCAACUAUAUAGUCUAGCAUUAUCAUAAUUAGUGCAAGCAUACUUAGCAAUCAUUGUGAGAUAAGACUACGCCCAUGCAUAGUGAUAUUAGCAAGGAAUAUGAGAAACAUAGCAAUCACUCCUCUGUAAUAAUGUUGCUCUGCCAGCCCAAUACACGAGAGGGGGACUAUAUAAGAAUCAAUGAAGCUGUCACUAUCACGAACCACCCCACGAUCUGGCAUAUUGGGUACAAUCGCAGAUAAAUACGGUAUAAGCACCACGCCUACACAAUAUCUAUCAUUUACCCAUGGAUCCGAUGGAUAAACGCUAUAUGAUCCUAAGCAUGUAUAUAGAUCCAAUCUAACUAAGCCAAGUACAUAACUAUGAUAAACUAAGAACAAUAUAAUCUUGAACAUAAGCAAAUAGAGCAAAGUCAUAAGCAAUAUAUUGAAGUAGAACAAAGUCAUAUUCAUAAUAUUGAAGAACAAAGAUAAUUAGAAGAACAAUUAGAAGCACAAUUAGAGAAUUACCAAGAAUCCUCCUGACAGAUCCGGAAACCAAUCGAAGAUUGACUCCUUCUAGUUCUAAUCCUAUGUAGCUAUGCUAAUCUAGAUAUCUAAUUGAUGUGGUGGCUCAUAUCUUGAUCAGAGACUUCUUCUCCCUUCAGGAAUAAUGAAUUAGGGUUGAGAGGCUCUCUCCUCUAGGGGCCAGGGGGUCUGGUUUUAUAGUCCCUUCAAGUGAAUAUGGGCCGUUGGAUCAAACCGACAUAGAUUGUAUGGUUUAGAUUCAUCCUUUAGGUCGGUGGAAAUCUCCCACAAAGCAGAGUCCUGAUUGGACUCAGGAGGUGGGCGGGCGCCCUGAUCACCUGGGCGGGCGCCCAGGGUCAGGCCCCGUUUCGCCUCCGCUUCGGUCUCGUGGCUUCUAGAGUCUUCUAGAUGCAAGAUAAUUGCGCGGCACGUUAAUAUCUUUAUGUAAUCCCGACGUGUGGGCCUUUCUUCCGUAUUUCCUGAUAACCCCCUGCAGAAAUAGACAAACACCAAAACUCGUGGAAUUCUGUCAGAUAAAACCCUAAGUCUAGAUCUUGAUUUCAUUUGGUUCCUUUCCUUUAUUUAUUUGAUAAUUAAAUUUGAUACUUAAGGACCGUCAACAAACUCCCCUAAGCUUACCUCUUGCUCGUCCCUGAGCAAGGAUAGACUCAGCUAUGGAUCAUAAGUUGUUGCAAUAUCUUUAAAAAUUGACGGUACACAUGCUUUUAAAUAAGAUCUCAUCUCUGAGUUAGAGUAAACUGUCAAGACUUAAAACUUACUUACUUUACCUUUACCAUGGGACUUGUAACUAUCACUUCUGUCUUGAGUGGUUAAAAGAUAGAACAGUCUAGCCAAGUCCCAUGUCUCUUAUUCUUGAUCAGCUAUAGCUCUGGGGUUUUUGCAGAUUUUCAAAUAAAACUCAGAGAUUCCUUGUAUGACUCUCUCAUAUCUCUCUUUUGUGGUAUUUCUGGAUCCUUACCAAGGCAGUGAUGGUAUAUGCCUUCUCUCAAGACAUGUAGUAUUUGUAGUAUACGGCAUAGUGACAUUGCCUUCUCUCUCACCCUACUCUAAUAAGGCUUUUAUAUCUGGAGCUCAUAGGUGGGAGAUAAAGUAUACAUACUUACAAGACAUUUAUUGUAUAGUCAAACCAUGGAUCCAAAGAAACAAAUCAAUAAGUCAAAUCAAGAUGUGCAUGUGUGGCGAAUGAAUGGUGUGUGGUGAUGAUGGUGAUAACAAUGGUGGUGGAAGUCUAAUUCUAUUUUUGCUCUUUGAGGGGAUACAUACCUUCCUUGCUUUUGAAACUUUAUAAGGAGAAUGAGAUGCUCUUCUUUUUCUUUUCUCUCAGGUGGGUAUCUUGUACCCCUAAUUCUACUGUCGGACACUUGUCCAUUUUUACCUCUCGUCUCACUUUUUCUUUUCUUUCGAGGUUCCGAGCACUUGCUCCUUUUUAUUUCCUCGUAUUUUUUUUCUUUUUCUCUUUUUUUUUAGAGCACUCAUCUCUUGAGAUAAUAUAGCAAGUGGUAGUAACAAGGUAACUUGAGCAUUUAUUUCACAAGGGAAAGACAGAAAUAUUUUUGGUUAUUCUCUCCCGGAUUAGGAGUAGAGUAUUUUUAGGUGAUUCUGGAGAUGGAAUGGGUGGAUAUAUGUGGAUGGUACUUCCGGAGUAGAAGUAGCAUAUAUGAGUGAACGUGCAAGUGAAAUCUUGAUUUAACCACAUGACAAGCUCCUAAGGAUCUACACAGCUUGACCACACUCAAUGCUCAUAAGCAGUAAAUAGUAAAUGUAUGGCUCAAAGUCUAGCAAGCAUGUAUAUAUGGCUGUGGUAGGAAUUUAAACUCUCAUCAUACAGGAACUCAUCAUGCAACAUUUUAAAGAUUUUCAAAAAUAAAAUUCUCUAGAAUUCUAGCAUCUCUUUAGGAACAGAUAAACAACAGCUCAACCUUCCCAAAUCAUAUCCGUUAACAACUUAGACUUCAGAUCAAGUUUUCAUCCCACAAGUUUAGGUCUAGAGCAAGCUUUAAAUUAUAACAGUUAUGUCUAAACUUGAGAGAGAACUUAAAAUUUUAAAGAUUAGGCAGAGCAACUAUUCAUCAUAUCCAUGCUUGAGUUUUAUUUAGAUACAGAUUAGCAUAGCCACUUUAUUUAUUUAUUAAAUACACUAAGCAAAAGAUAAAUAUAUAUAUAUAAGUACGAAAUCUUUAUUUGGUUUUUCAUAGUUAUGUAUAUUUAUAUUCUAAAAUAAUAUAAGUGUAAAGAUAGAUAGAAAUACUUAUCGGGAUAAAUGGGGGUGUUCUCCCCCAAGCUGAAUUUUGAUGUAAUUUUUCUUGAUGUAGCUAGCAGGUGGCAGAGGUGUAUUUGAAAGUCAGCAGCAUUCUGACAGCGAUUAGAAUGUCCUCCGUCUGCUAGUCUUCUUGAUUCUUGAUUUUCUGUGGAGCUCAAAUAGACAACAAAGCUUGUGGAACUGAUUAAGUGUUAGCAUAGAUAUGUAGCCUUUAUCAUGUUGAGACUCCUCAAUAAUUAUUACUCCGUGUUUUCAUAUUUUUAUUUUAUAAAGCAGAAAAGAAUUUUUUUUAUUUUAUUUUUAUGCCACCACAGUGAAUGUACUUAUGGGUUUUAUGCCACUCGUCUACUCACAUGGGGCUUACUGUUCUUCACAUUUUUGUUUUCUUUUUAGGAUAGCACGAACAUAAUUAACUAAGUAAACUAUUUUAAAAUAAUUGAAAGGGAAAGGAUAACUACCAAGUUUACCUCUUGGCAAGGCGUUCGGUGUUUUUAAGUCCUCCGAAUAGGACUCUCCAUUUUCUCAAUUGUCCUGGGAUUCGUUGGGUGGCGUAGUCGGUACUUUCGGCAGCGCCUCCUCUUCUUGUAUAGUUAUCUUCAUUUUCCAUACCUGACUCGGUGCUUCAAUCUCCUCUGGAUAAUUCUGUUUAAAUUCAACGUCUUCUGACCUUAUCACUUCUCCUUCGUAGUCUGCCCAUCCGUCUUUGAUGAUCUGCCUCCUCUGGUUGCGGUUGCGUCUCUUUCUGACCUGCUUAGAUUCUUCAACAAUAUAGUCAGGGUCAAUAAAAUAGCGGCGUACCUUCUCUGAGGGGAAGUGCAUAUGGACUUCUCCGGUUCCAAUGUAGAUAAUUGCUUUAACGGUGCUGAGGAACGGUCUUCCAAGGAUGAUGGGUGGAUCAUACUCGUCUUCUCCCAUGUCAAUAACUUGAAAGUCUGUGUAGACAAAAUGAUCGUCUAUUUUGACUGGGACAUUAGUUACUGUUCCUUUAACUUCUCAAAAUGUCUGAUCUGCCAUCUGGAGCUGAAUGUUUGUUGGUCUUAGUGGCAUGGCUCCGAACAAGAGCCGAUAGGUGACUGCGGCCAUUAUGUUGACGCCCGAUCCGGUGUCACAAAUCGUCUUGUAGAAGCUAUAUCCAUUUAUGGAGCAGUAGAUGCUUGGCAUUCCUGGGUUGUCCUUCUUGGUCAAAAACGGUGACUUAAGUUGUUUAUCUUGGCCUCCAUGAACUACAGUGACCAUCUUAGCUGACUCGGUCCACACUUGCUUGUUCCUGUUCCUCCUGUUGGUCCUCUUCCUUGACUCACGUCUAGAUUGAUCUGGAAUUUGUGUAGUCUUGUUCUUGAAGAAAAAUGUUUCCUUCCUCCCUUUGAUGUAGAAACUGAUCUUAGCAGCUCUAGCGUAGAUGAUAGCUCCCGUGGUGUUCAAGAAUGGCCUCCCUAAGAUGAUAGGUGCUCUCUCAUCAUUUCCGGUCUCUACCACUACUAAGUGUGCUGGGGCAUAUAAGGUACCUACUCGGACACAAAGGUUCUUUACUAUUCCUUUUGGAAAAGUUAUCGUCUGAUCUGCAAACUGCAAACACAUGGUUGUCUCUAAUAAAUGAUAUGUAAAGAAUUUUUCAUAGAGUACCCUGGGUAUAAUGUUGACGCUGGAGCCAAAGUCGCAGAGUGCUUCUGGAACGUCCACCAUGUCGAUGGAGAUCGGGAUGACGGGGCAUCUUGGAUCGCCUCUCUUGACCGGCAGAAGGUCAGUAGAGAAUUCAUUGACGGGGUUACUCCAAUUACCUGCAUCAAACAUGUCUACAAGAUUUGCAGAUUCUAAUCCUUCCGGUUGUGAUGGUAUACCGGGGUUAGUAGUAGGAACAGCAGCAGCUAUUUGAUUUAACUGAGAUUCAAUCAUUUUAUUAAAGCUAAUUUGAUUCUUGAUGGCAGUAGAGAAAUUAUCAAUUCUAUUAUUUAUAUUUUCUAGCAUUUUAUCAUUAGAUGCCAAUUUCUUAGAUAGAUUAUCCAUUAGCUUUCCUUGAUUAGACACUAACUCUCUCAAAGGUGGAAAAUUAUUAUUGUUGUUGUAAGAAUUGUUACCUUGAUAAUUACCUGAGUAGUUAGGCCUCUGUUGAUUCCAACCUUGAUUUUGUUGAGGACGGUUGUAGUAGUAGUAGUUGUUGUUAUUGAUGUAGUUCACAUCCUCAAGCAUCUCAGGGCAGUGGUUGCCUGAGUGUCCAGUGUCUCCACACUCCUCACAAGUCAUGUGAGAGUCGUAGAUGUGCAUAACUUCUUUCUUGUCUCUAGCUCUAUCAUCGAGCUUCUUCAUGAGCAGGUCUAGCUUUGCAGAUAGCAUGUCUACCUCCUUCAGCAGAUGCAUACCUCCACCUCUCUUGCGUGUCUGGGUCCUCUCUUCAUUCCAGCCUUGAUUGGACACCAUCUUCUCCACAAGAGCUGUGGCUUGUGGUAUAGUAAGUGAUAAGAAUGCUCCUCCAGCUGCAGCAUCCAUGGUUUCUCGGGCACUGUUGCCGAGCCCAUGAUAAAACAUCUGCAUCAGUAGCCAACUCUCCAUUCCAUGACGGGGACAUUCUAGGAUGUAGUCUUGAAAGCGCUCCCAUGCUUCUAGAACAGAUUCAUCAUUUUGUUGCUGAAAACUUGUAAUCUUCCCACGGAGAGCAUUGGUCUUGCCCAUGGGAAAGAACUUAGCCCGGAAGUUUGUUGAGCAGAGUGCCCACGUAGUAUUCUUCUCCUUUGUAGCGUAGAACCACUGCUUCACUCUUCCUAACAGUGAGAAUGGGAAGAGGCGAAGUAGUAUAGCAUCUUUGGAAACUCCUGAUAUGGUAAAUGUGUUGCAAAUCUCCAGGAAGUGUUGUAGAUGAGCACUAGCGUCUUCGUGUGCCUUCCCACAGAACUGGUUGGAUUGCACCAUGUUGAUAAGUCCAGGCUUGAGCUCAAAGUUGCCGUCGAUCUCUGCAGCAGGUCCAGUGCGGAUGUUGUCCGUAGUGGGAGCUGAGAACUCGCGGAUUGAUUUGUUCGCCAUGGCCUCGAACUCUGAAGACAAGUUCUGGUGAUCUUCUUGAUUGGAUGAAGCUUCUUGCUGAAGUGUUGAUGAUCUCCUCUUGAGCUUGGCUCUCGUCUUCUUGAAUAAUGCUUCGGGAUUGUCCACAAAAUUUCCAGGAAGAUGUCUUCUAUUCAUACAUUCCCCUGCAUAAGAUAAAAUAGAAAAAUAUCGAGGUAAAACUGUAUGAGAGAAUAGAGAAGCUCAAACAUAUUAGUAAUGCGAAUGAUAACUCAAAAUCCUUUAUUCCAUUCCUGAUUAGUAAUCAACCUUCCCCGGCAACGGCGCCAAAAAUGCUUGUUGGGUAUUCUUAACAUCAUUACCAAAAGUAGACUAAGUUCUCUAAAUCUAGUAACGGUGCCAAAAAUGCCAAACCUAUCCCUCACACCACUUAAGCCAAGUUGUCAUCCCCAGCAUGACAUGAGAGACACGGUAUUGAAAUAUGCAAUUGCUCUUCUAAAUAAAUAAUGAAUGGGAUCUACAAGCGCACAGAUUAAUACCGAUGCAGCAUUUUAACCGGGAAGUAUUCCAGGUAUCGUUAUUUAUAUUUUUACCACUGGGAAGGGAUUAGCAAUCAUCACUAUUGAUUACAGAAUAGAAUAUGAGAUUGAUCAUCUAUCAUUGCAUGUAUAAUUGAGAAUAUUUAUCUAACUCAUUCAUACAGGGGUAAGUGUCACAUAAAGGAUAUAUGAAAUAAUGAAUGGUGACAAGGAUAAUUAAUCUGAUCAGCCACAUAUAAAUAUGAUAAGCACCUCAAUUAGAUACUCUAGAAAGUCAUUAGCAUGGUAUUAGAACGAACUACAAGAAUAUUCCCUAAGUUAUUCUCAACUAUAUAGUCUAGCAUUAUCAUAAUUAGUGCAAGCAUACUUAGCAAUCAUUGUGAGAUAAGACUACGCCCAUGCAUAGUGAUAUUAGCAAGGAAUAUGAGAAACAUAGCAAUCACUCCCCUGUAAUAAUGUUGCUCUGCCAGCCCAAUACAUGAGAGGGGGACUAUAUAAGAAUCAAUGAAGCUGUCACUAUCACGAACCACCCCACGAUCUGGCAUAUUGGGUACAAUCGUAGAUAAAUACGGUAUAAGCACCACGCCUACACAAUAUCUAUCAUUUACCCAUGGAUCCGAUGGAUAAACGCUAUACGAUCCUAAGCAUGUAUAUAGAUCCAAUCUAACUAAGCCAAGUACAUAACUAUGAUAAACUAAGAACAAUAUAAUCUUGAAUAUAAGCAAAUAGAGCAAAGUCAUAAGCAAUAUAUUGAAGUAGAACAAAGUCAUAUUCAUAAUAUUGAAGAACAAAGAUAAUUAGAAGAACAAUUAGAAGCACAAUUAGAGAAUUACCAAGAAUCCUCCUGACAGAUGCGGAAACCAAUCGAAGAUUGACUCCAUCUAGUUCUAAUCCUAUGUAGCUAUGCUAAUCUAGAUAUCUAACUGAUGUGGUGGCUCUAAUCUUGAUCAGAGGCUUCUUCUCCCUUGAGGAAUAAUGAAUUAGGGUUGAGAGGCUCUCUCCUCCAGGGGCCAGGGGGUCUGGUUUUAUAGUCCCUUCAAGUGAAUAUGGGCCGUUGGAUCAAACCAACAUAGAUUGUAUGGUUUAGAUUCAUCCUUUAGGUCGGUGGAAAUCUCCCGCAAAGCAGAGUCCUGAUUGGACUCAGGAGGUGGGCGGGCGCCCUGAUCACCUGGGCGGGCACCCAGGGUCAGGCACCGUUUCGCCUCCGCUUCGGUCUCGUGGCUUCUGGAGUCUUUUAGAUGCAAGAUAAUUGCGCGGCACGUUAAUAUCUUUAUGUAAUCCCGACGUGUGGGCCUUUCUUCCGUUUUUCCUGAUAACCCCCUGCAGAAAUAGACAAACACCAAAACUCAUGGAAUUCUGUCAGAUAAAACCCUAAGUCUAGAUCUUGAUUUCAUUUGGAUCCUUUUCUUUAUUUAUUUGAUAAUUAAAGUUGAUACUUAAGGACCGUCAACAGUGCCAAAGGUACCAGAGCACAGACAAAGCGCUAGAGAGUAGCAACUCCCCCUCCUCCUCCGGUAUCUCCAAUUCCGGUGGAGUCUUCCCCUUCUUCUCCAGAAGUCGAGACACAACAAGUACCAUCUCCCCCACCAAUGCAAGAAGCACCACAGGUGGAAGAACCUCAACAAGAAGUAUCUCAGCCAGAAGACACAUCGGCUGAUGUACAUGAACCAACUGCCGAUCCAGCAGGUUCCAUUAUAGCAUCAGUGGUCUCUUCCAUCCAGACAAGAAUUGCCCUUCCUCAAGGUAACACAUUUUAUAACAUUACCGCCGAUGAACUUACUCCUUUUCGGUCUUAUAACCCCUUAUGUUAAUUUUCAGCUAACGUAGCUCCAUCGGCAACUCCGGCCGAUCAACCCGUGGCCCCAUCGACGUCUUCCAGUCAAAGGCGAGAAAUUGCCUUGAAGCAGGUAAGCUAUCCAAUCUCCAUCAAUAUUACUUGCCGAUGUUCCGACCAUAGAAUGACUCACUUUGUCUCCCUUUUCAGGAGCAGGAUUCUCCCGACAGUCUAUUCUCCUUUGCCAUUGAUAUCUCCGAAGACGAAGGUGAGGAAACAAGUUCCUCCCGGGCGGUUGGAAUCGCAUCAGCAGAGAUCAGGACCAAGCUAGAAGAACUGUCGGCUCUCCUUCAUCAAGACACGACUCAAUUGGUCGAUGACUCUGAUCCGGCCAAGGUUCUGUUCAAGACCCUUAGAGGCCAGAUUCCUGCCGAUGCCGAAGAAAUCCUCUUCCGGGCCGCACAUCUGGAGAGUCGUCAGUUGCAGUACCAGAGGGCCACUCGGCGCCUUGCCGAUAGAGCUGCUCAGACCCAGCUUUCUGAGGAGAUGAUGAAAGAGAAGCUCUUGACCGAUGAGAAGCACAAGAACAUCGGUACCUUGAAGUCUUCAGGAAACGCACUGAAGCAGAAGAUCUCCAACCUAUCGGCAAAACGAGAAGCCUUGUUGGCAGAACUCAAGCAGGUGGAGGAUGCCCUAUCCCAAGCCCAACAGGAAGAAAACCAACUGCCCGAGACCAUCAAACUCCUCGAGCAAGAGCGAAAUGCCUAAGGCCGCAAAGCACUGCAGUUGAAGAAGAAAUUGAAGCCGAUAGGAGGCUCUGCCGAUGAAGACAUCAAAGAAAUAGAAGCAGCCGACCAGAUCCUCCUACGCGCUAUAUCAACCAUCCAGGUGCUACUAAACAUGUGAGCUCUUCAUCGGCAACACACCUGCCUCUUUUUGCUCUUUAACUUUCUUGAUGUUUAGUCUAGCCGAUAGGACUGUUAUCGGCAUCCUUUUGAAACAUUAAGUCCGCCCCCAGAUACAUUUUAAUCCAGCCGAUAGGAGUGUUAUCGGCACUUAAACUUUUAUGCAUCGACCCAUAUGCUGGGGUAGUACUUCUUUAAAUAUUUGCCAUUUAAUGCUCUGGGAAAUUCAACUCCUUCGAGAGUUUCUAAAAUGUAGGCGUUACCAGGAGCCGAUCGAUUUAUCCGAUAGGGACCCUCCCAAUUGGGAGACCACUUUCCAAACUUCGAACUUUUAGUCCCAAUCAGUAAAAUUAAUUUCCAUACCAAGUCUCCAACGGCAAACUCCUUAGCCUUCACAUUCUUGUCUUACCAUCUAGCAACUCUCUUCUUAUUUUCUUCUAUACUCAUUAAAGCCUUUAACCGAUGUCCUGCUAGAUCAUCUAACUCAUCGGUCAUCAAAGUGGCAUAAUCAUCGGCAGCCAAUUGAUCUUGAAAAGAUAGUCGCCUAGAUCCAGUCUUAAUCUCCCAAGGCAACACUGCAUCAUGUCCAUACACCAAUUGAUAGGGUGAAACCUUGGUUGAUCCAUGACAAGCCAUUCGAUAGGACCAUAAUGCUUCAUUUAACAAUGUGUGCCACCGUUUAGGAUUUUCUUCAAUUUUUCGUUUGAUAAGCUUGAUAAUUCCUUUGUUAGAUGCCUCGGCCUGCCCAUUAGCUUGAGCAUAGUAACUAGAAGAGUUUAACACUUUAAUCCCCAUACCGAUUGCGAAUUCAUCAAACUCCCCUGAUGUGAACAUAGUGCCCUGAGCGGUAGUAAUUGUUUGAGGAAUCCCAAAUCGGUAAAUGAUAUGCUCUUUCACAAAAUCAAUCAUAUUGGCCGAUGUAACUUUCUUCAAAGGAAUAGCUUCAACCCAUUUGGUGAAAUAGUCGGUGGCAACUAGAAUAAACUUAUGCCCCUUGCUAGAUGGUGGAUAAAUCUGGCCGAUCAAAUCAAUAGCCCAUCCUCGGAACGGCCAAGGCUUUAUAAUAGGAUUCAUAGCCGAUGCAGGCGCCCUUUGAAUAUUACCAAACUUUUGACACCCUUGACAUCCUUUGAAAUAAUUAAAGCAAUCUUCAAGUAUAGUCGGCUAAUAAUAUCCAUUCCUCCUAAUCAUCCACUUCAUCUUAAAAGCCGACUGAUGUGCUCCACACAACCCUUCAUGGAUUUCCCCCAUCAAACUUCUAGCUUUGUCAUCACCCAAGCAUCGGAGAAGAACUCCAUCAAUAGUUCGAUAAUACAAUUCAUCCUCGAGGAGCACAUACUUGGUUGCUUGAAACCGAACUCGUCUUUCAACAUUCUUAGAUGGAUCUUUCAAAUAAUCAACUAUUUCUUUUCUCCAGUCAUCGGCACCCAUUGCCGAUAUUGUAUUAAUCAUAGGCUGAUAUCCCGAGGCAUGCUGAGCCAACCGAUUUGCCUCUUCAUUAUGCAAUCGAGGAACAUACUCUAAUCGGAAGUCUUUGAAUUCCUUUAACAGUUGCAUACUCCUCUCAUAAUAAGUUAUGAGAACUUCACUUCGGCAUUCAUAGCUCCUAGCCAACUGAUUUAUAACUAGCAUAGAAUCCCCGAAGACCUUAACAGCAUCAGCAUGAACUUCUCUCAACAACUCUAAUCCCUUUAUUAAAGCUUGAUACUCAGCCUGAUUAUUUGUUGACGUGGCAACAAUCGGCAAGGAAAACUCAUACUUCCUUCCCCGAGGGGAAACUAGUACUAUGCCGAUUCCUGCCCCCCGGUCACAUGUGGAUCCAUCAAAGAACAGCAUCCAAGAUACAAUUUCCAAAGCCUCCACUGUACUGCAAUGCUGAGUUACAAAAUCGGCCAUAAUCUGUCCCUUAACUGCCUUAGCCGAUUCAUAACGCAGAUCGAACUCUGACAGCGCCAAAAUCCAUUUACCGAUCCUGCUACUCAUAAUCGGCAUGGACAGCAUGUACCGGACCACAUCAUCUUUGCAAAUAACAGUGCAUUCGGCCGAUAACAAGUAAUGCCUUAACUUGAUACAAGAGAAAUAUAAGCAUAGACAUAGUUUCUCAAUAGCCGAAUACCUGGUCUCAGCAUCAAUCAACCUCCUGCUUAAGUAAUAAAUUACACGUUCCUUCCCUUUAAAUUCUUGAAUUAAAGCCGAGCCGAUGACCAUCCCAUCGGUAGACAAAUACAACCUGAAGGGUUUUCCUUGCUGAGGUGAAAUUAGAACUGGAGGAUUCACUAAAUAUUUCUUGAUUUCAUCCAGAGCCAACUGUUGGUCUUUCCCCCAAAUAAAUUCUUGAUCGGCUUUUAGCUUAAGAAGAGGACUGAAAGCACGAAUUUUACGAGACAAAUUAGAUAUAAAUCUUCUAAUAAAAUUUACCUUGCCGAUCAAGGACUGGAGUUCAGUCUUGUUGGUAGGGGCAACUAUUUUGUUGAUAGCCUUAAUAGAUCUUCGACUAAUUUCAAUCCCCCUUUGAUGCACCAUGAAACCAAGAAACUGCCCUGCCGAUACACCAAAUGCACACUUAUUGGGAUUCAUCUUCAAUCCAUGCUUCCUCGUGCAUUCCAACACCUUUCGUAGAUCGGCGAGAUGCUUUGCGAAGUCUCCAGACUUAACCACCACAUCAUCAAUAUAAAUUUCCACCAGCUUGCCGAUGAACUCAUGAAAUAUAAAAUUCAUGGCCCUUUGAUAAGUAGCACCAGCAUUCUUUAGGCCAAUGGUCAUGACUAUCCAUUCAAACAACCCGACAUGACCAGGACAUCUAAAUGCGGUCUUUGGAAUAUCCUCUUCUGCCAUGAAUAUUUGAUUGUAUCCUGCAUUGCCAUCCAUAAAGCUAAUAAUCCGAUGCCCAGCUGCAGCGUCAACCAGCAGAUCGGCAACUGGCAUAGGGUAUCCAUCCAUCGGUGUAGCUUUAUUGAGGUUCCUGAAAUCAAUGCAGACCCGAAGCUUCCCGUUCUUCUUGUAGACCGGAACGACAAUGGAAAUCCAUUCGGCAUACCGACACUGCUGAAUAAACUUGGCUUCAAUAAGUUUGGUGAUUUCGGCCUUAAUAUCAGGGAGGAUAUUAGGAUUACAUCGGCGAGCCGGCUGCUGAUGUGGCCGAAAUCCAAACUUGAUAGGUAACCGAUGCUCAACAAUCGAUCGGUCCAAACCAGGCAUCUCAGUAUAAUCCCAAGCAAAGCAAUCUUUAUAUUGCUUUAACAAAUCAGUUAACUAUUGCUUACACUCAGAAUCUAACUUAGCACUAAUAAAAGUGGGUCUAGGCUUAUCACCACUACCUAUAUCUACUUCUACUAGAUCAUCGGCCGAUGUGAAUCCCUGGCCUAAUUUUCCAUCAUCGGCGAACCUAUCCAUUAAAAACCUUCGUCAGAACCGACUGCUUGGAUCGGUGGAAUCUCGUAAUCGGCAACCUUGAGAAAAUCCUUUUCCCAAAUUACUCCUGAAAUACUCCUAGUCCUUUCAUAGGUAUCUGCCUCUGCCGAUGCGAUGACAUAAGAAGAAUCUCCUAGGACAAUUUCAAUCUUAUCACCUACCCACUGAACCAGGCAUUGGUGCAUUGUAGACGGCAUGCAACAAUUAGCAUGAAUCCAAUCUCUUCCCAACAACAGGUUGUAAGCACCCUUUCCACUGAUCACGAAGAAGGUUGUCGGCAAGGUUUUGCUGCCGAUGGUCAACUCUACACAUAUUGCCCCCUUGACCGGAGACACAUUCCCUUCAAAGUCUUUAAGCAUCAUAUCGGUCUUGGUUAAAUCCUGAUCCCCUUUCCCAAGCUUCCGAUACACUGCAUACGGCAUGAUGUUGAUAGCAGCCCCACCAUCAAUUAGAAUCUUGGUCAUCGGCUGCCCAUCAACCCUCCCUUUGACAAACAGAGCCUUGAGAUGUUGUCUUUCAUCAUCGGCAGGCUUCUCGAAGAUAGCUGUCAUCGGAUCCAGAGCCAAUUGAGCUAUUUGGUCGGAGAAUUCUAACUCAUCAUCACUGGAUGGCGCAAGGAACUCCAUCGACAACAUAAAGACCAUGUUGACAUCUGCCGAUGGACCUUCCCCUUUGGGAUCUGAUUGCUGCUGAUCCUCAGACUGGCCAGAAUUCUCGCCCUUGCUUAACCCUUCUCGCCUUUCGUGCUGCAGCCUCCUUUUCUGUGUCCUGGUCAACCCCUCUGGACACCAUGGAGGAAGUUGCUGCUGCCUUGCCGCUGGGCGAUGAUUUUCCCUUGACUCCAUCCGAUACGUAUUAGCAUCCCUGCAAAAUAUGAACUCGUCGAGAACCGGUGCAUUAGCCAUCUCCUCAAGUUCUUCCUGGUUUCAGGGAAAGUAUUCAACACGAUCGCCAAGCCUGUCGUGCAAACUGAGCCUGCCCCCCAGCCGAUCGUGAACGGACACUCUUCCUCUAAUCGGCCCAUUAAAUCGCCGAUUAUCGUCGUAAUAGCGCCUAUCGGAUCUAUCAUACCGAUCAUAACCGUUGCACUCAGGAUAGUCUCUGACGGUGGGAAGCUUGAUAUUCUCCUCCCAACAAUGGAUGAAGAACGGGCAAUUCCAGUGAUCCUUAUGCCAAUUCGACUCCUGUCGGCGUCUUUCUUCUUCCCGUCGAUAAUCUUCCUGCUGGCGCCGAUAUCGAUCCACACGCUGCUGCCAAGUUUCCCGAGGCCUUCUGUGAGUUAUAACAAUACCAGAUCGGGGAGGCCUUCCUGAGCUGGUUCCUUCCUGGAUCAAGCCCCUUCCUCUCGCAUCGGCAGUAGUGACCUGAUGCUGAGGAUCCACCGAUGCACUUCUUUCGGCUGCUUCUGAUGUUAAGACCUUGGCCUUUCCCUUAGCAUCCAACAUGUUCGUUGGGAAAGGAUGUUGAUCAAUCUUCAUCGGCUUCUGGGUCUUGGAGCUGUCAAAUUUGAUUCUCCCAGACUCUAUAGCCGAUUGCAGCUGCUGUCUGAAAACCUUGCACUCAUUGGUGUUGUGAGAAGUUGCAUUGUGCCACUUGCAAUAUUUCAUCCUUUUUAACUCUUCAGCCGAUGGGAUCACGUGAUUAGGUGAUAGCUUGAUCUGACCUUCCUGAAGUAGAAAGUCAAAUAUCCUAUCGGCCUUGGUGGUGUCGAACGCGAACUUCUUCGGUUCUUUAUGCCCAAAAGGACAGGACAUCGGCUUUUUAUUUUUCACCCACUCUGCCAAGCCGAUGACUGGUUCCUCAUCAGAAUCCGAGCUUGCCACUUCAUCCACAAAUGAUACCUUCUUGUUCCAUGCUCUCUUGGGCUCGAAAGGCUUGAUAUCAUGAUCAGAAAUUCUCAGCACUAAAUGACUUAAGCUUUCAAACUCUUGAGACGCAUAUUUGUCCCUGAUGUGUGGCAACAAACCCUAGAAAGCCGAAUCGGCUAGCUGCCGAUCAUCCAGAACCAGGCUAUAGCACUUGUUCUUGACUUCUCGUAUCCUCUGCACAAAACUCUCAACCGAUUCAUCAUUGUGUUGCCUCAAUUUAACCAAAUCGGUGAUCUUCUUCUCAUGGACCCCAGAAAAGAAGUACUUAUGGAAUUGUUUCUCCAGAUCGGCCCAAGUAAUCACCGAGUUAGGAGUUAAUGAUAUAAACCAGGUGAAAGCCGAUCCGAACAAUGAUGAUGAGAAUAAACGAACCCUUAACUCAUCCCUGUUACCAGCUUCCCCACACUGUAUGAUGAACCUGUUGACGUGCUCCAUGGUCGAUGUGUCAUCCUGUCCAGAAAACUUAGUAAAAUCCGGUACCUUGUACCGAUGUGGAAGCGGGAUCAAAUCAUAUGCGGGAGGAUACAGUGUCUGAUAAGAGUAAAUAUUGACUUUGGGUUUUAUCCCGAAUUGGUCUCUCAUUACUUCAGCAAUCUUAUCGGCCCAAUAAGCAUCGGCAUCUUGCCGAUGAGGUGGUUGCGGAUCUGGCACCUGCUGGUAAGCUUCCACGUGUCGGUGUGGCGCACGAUCUGCAUGGAACAUUGGAUUGAUCAUUUGUCCCCCAAUCUGCGGACCACCAAGCUGUUGCCCACCAAUCUGUUGUCCACCGACCUGUUGCCCAAGAUUCAUUGGCUGGUUGGGAAUCCCCUGAUUCUGGAAUCCAGGGUAGAUCUAGCCUUGCUGGAACCCUGUAGCCUGAUGAUUAUGCUGGGGUGUUUGUGGAAAGACUUGCUGCCCAAGCCAUCCAUUAUUAGCGUUCAUCGGCAUAGGCCCUGCCGAUGACUGGUAAUUGGGCAUGAUCAUUGAAUUGACAUACCCAGGUUGAGUCAUAAACCUCUGUUGCAUCAGCAUUGAGUCUGCCGAUGCGUUAGGCAUUUGGAACGUUGGAGCUUGAGAAUUCCCAGUGUAAGGUCUUGCAGUAGUAGUUGUAGUAUACCGGGGACUCUGGUUCAUCGGCAUAUUGGGAGGUGCCGAUGCCAUAGGAGUCUUGCCUCUCAUGUCAGUUGUCUGCGACGUACCUGGUGUUAACUCUGGACGCAUACCAUAACCCCACCAGUUCGGAGGAGGAGUCAAUCCUGACAUUGCCGAUGCCAACAGAUCUGUAGCGAGUUUAAUCUGCCCAUCAGAAGUCUGUGGAUUAGUCGUCAUCGGCGUAGAUUGUGUAUUGGUGACCCCUAACGUACUUGGAGGAACGGUAGUUUGUGCACUUGCAGCGGCUGUAGCAGCCGAUGGAGCUGUGACCACCGGUGACCCCAACUGGUGAUAAGAGGGGCCCACUUAAUCUGGUGGCAAUUGUCCUUCCUUGAAAGUUCUUGCCACGGCAUUGAAAACCGUAUUAGACAAUACGCCGGCUUGGUUGAUCAAAGCACGGUUGAUAGCGCUGUCAACCAUCUCUUGAAGUUUGCCAGGAUUGGCUUCAAAAGUAACCUGCCGAGGUGCAGGCAGUGCAUCCUUCUGAAUCACUUCGCCGCUCCUGUUCAUACUGAAGGAUCUCAGGCACUGCUGCUUGUAAUCCUCCAUGGCUUUAGCAAUAGCCUACUUCUGCUCAUCCUUGAGAUUGGCUUCCGUCACGGGGAUAACGUUCUCCUGAUCGAACACAGAAGUCGACAUGUUGAUCUUGAUCUUGAAACAGUCCCACUGGGCGUGCCAAAAGAUGUGUUGGUGCAAAAGCUGAUCUGCAAACACAAAGGGCUAAUACCCGAUUUAAACGUUAAGGCGUGCCAGCCGAUUUGAUCUUACUACCGGCAAAGGUGGUAACUCGAAUACUUUGGUCCCGACAACAGCGAUGCGCCCGGAUGUCACGGCCAAGAGGUAUUCACGCGGAACUCGAGAACACGCCGAGCUUAAGUCAACGAAUUCCUAAGAACUUGUAACGAAAAGGGAAAAGUAUGACGAAGUCGUCGAAAAGUAGAUGCUGGAAUAUAAGUAAAAACUUGUGUUUGAUUGAUUGAUAGAUGUCGAUUACAAAGCCUUAGGGUCCAUAUUUAUACCCUGCUCAAAGAGCUACAACCAGACACGACUAGAAUUCGAAUUCCAAAUUACACAGAAUCCGUCUACAAAACGAUUUAAAUAACUAAGGAAAACAUAAAACUAUCCCGCCGUGACAAACUGGAACACCUCCAUAAACCGAUCGGCAGCUUCCAGACUCUUCCUCCAUAUCAUCGGCAGAUUCCCUCAUCAUAGUCAUCGGCAGACUCCCUUGUCGUAGCCAUCGGCACAGACACAUCAUCACCUACGGACUUAGUCACGUAUAACCCCUCUUCCAUCGGCAUCCAUCCUCAUCAGCAACUCAUCCUGUAGAUCAAGCACCGCCGUCUCAUCUUGCCGGCCUAUACUUUAACAACCAUGGACACGUGCCCAAAAACGGCGUCAACAGAGCCAAUUUUUGUCUAGAUUUCUAUUCCCUCGACCGUAUAGCUAACCUUAGACUCGAAGUCCUAUCUUUUAAACAAAAAGAUAAUGAAACUUUGGGAAAAUCCUGGAAACAUUUUUCUGAUCUUUUAGAAUCUGGUCCAAACCUUAAUCUUGAAGACCCUGUUCUUUUAUUUCACUUUUUUUGAGGUGUUCAGAAAAAUCAUAAACAAAUGCUACACACAAUGUCUAGAGGUUCUUUCUUUCGCAUCCCUCCUGAUGAAGCUAGAGUGAUCCUAGAUAGAAUCCUAGAAGCUGAGAUGGAUAAUACCGUUCAUGAUGAAACCUACGAAGCCGAAGUAGACACUCUGCCAAAUUCUUCAUCUACUUUAGCUAUCCCAAGUUGUGAGCCACAAGAGGAAGAAAUUCCACCACCGGACUUCAUGCUGGAUAUAGAAUCUGAUCUUUUUGCCGAUUUUGGAAACAUUUCAAACUACCAUUCUAUUGACAAACCCCAAAACGGCCAGUUUAGCAUUUAUUUGCCAAGUGAAUAUCAAUUGAGAGAGCUUAUCUCAGUCAUGAGUAGCGAAUGGUUGGAGGAAUCAGAGCUUUCCUCUGAUGUGAUCCGUCUGGACACACCCUCUAUAACUACACGCUGUGCUUAUAAUUCUGAUCGGUUUAAUGCUCUUUAUAAUCCUGUUGUGGGGAUCAACAUCAUGUCUGAAUCUUUUGCACUUAAACUAUUUAAAAAUCUUGUCUUAACCCCCACAACAAAGGUCAUAAGGGAAUCUUCGCGACGAUUAGUCCCCAGUCUUAGAAUUAUUAAUGUCCUACCUCUUACGGUAGAAGGCUCUAUGGUUCAUUUGAACUUCUAUAUCUUUGAUACAUGGGACUUCGACCUGUUGAUGGGACAACCUUUUAGAAGACUCCUUUAUGAAGGUCAUACUGGAAAGCUACACAUUUCUUUUGGAAAAACCUUUAAAUUCCCAAUAACAAUUUCACACUCCUUGAAUAAUAAGGCCGAGUCAUAUCUUUUGCCUGAUCCUAUGGAGGAGGUAAAGGCUGCAUCUCUUGAACUUUUAGAAGAAUCAGACUUAGAAGACGGAAAUCCAUUCUUCAUAGAAGAAGAAGUCGAACCUUCUGAACCUGAACCCUUAGAUGAGUUUGCAGAAACACCUAGACCCCCCAUAGAGCUUAAAACUUUACCACCCGGUCUUACCUAUGCUUUCCUAAACAAUAAUCCAGAGUUUCCUGUGAUCAUUAGUGAUAAACUCACUCAGGAUCAAACUCUACGAUUAAUGACCAUUCUUGAGAAACAUCACUCACUUUUCGGUUACUCACUCCAAGAUCUUACAGGAAUCAGUCCUAUGAUUUGUACCCAUCGUAUUCCAAUAGAUCUUUCUCUUUCACCUUCUCGAGAACCCCAACGUAGACUUAACAACACUAUGAGAGAGGUAGUUAAAAAGGAAGCUAUAAAGUUGCUGCAUGCAGGGAUUAUAUAUCCUGUGCCGCACAGUGAGUAGGUAAGCCCAGUUCAAGUUGUGCCUAAAAAGGGAGGCAUGACUGUUAUUAUGAAUGAAAAGAACGAGCUAAUUCCGCAACACACCGUCACAGAAUUGCGGAUGUGCAUAGUCUAUAGAAAACUAAACAAAGCCACGAGAAAGGAUCACUUUCCUUUACCUUUCAUAGAUGAGAUGCUAGAGCGGUUAGCAAACCAUUCGUUCUUCUGUUUCUUAGAUGGAUAUUCAGGGUAUCACCAAAUCCCGAUCCAUCCCGAUGAUCAAAGCAAAACCACUUUUACAUGCCCAUAUGGAACUUAUGCUUAUCGUAGAAUGUCUUUUGGGUUAUGUAAUGCACCAGCUUCUUUUCAAAGAUGCAUGAUGUCUAUAUUUUCUGAUAUGAUUGAAGAGAUUAUGGAAGUUUUCAUGGAUGAUUUCUCUGUUUAUGGAAAAACUUUUGAUAGUUGUCUUGAAAACUUAGACAAGGUUUUGCAAAGAUGUGAAGAAAAGCACUUAGUCCUUAAUUGGGAAAAAUGUCAUUUUAUGGUUAGGGAAGGAAUAGUGCUGGGACACCUAGUGUCUGAAAGAGGUAUUGAGGUAGACAAAGCUAAAAUUGAAGUAAUUGAACAACUACCUCCAACAGUGAAUAUAAAAGGAAUUCGAAGCUUUCUUGGCCAUGGUGGUUUUUAUCGUAGAUUCAUAAAAGAUUUUUCAUUUAUUGCUAGACCACUUACUCUUUUGCUAGCCAAGGAUGCUCCUUUCAAAUUUGAUGAUGCAUGUCUAACAUCUUUCAAUUUGUUAAAGAAAGCACUCAUCUCUGCACCAAUCAUUCAACCCCCUGAUUGGUCGUUGCCUUUUGAAAUUAUGUGUGAUGCUAGUGAUUAUGCUGUGGGGGUAGUUUUGGGACAAAUUAAAAAUAAGAAGCAUCAUGCAAUUGCUUAUGCCAGUAAAACUUUGACAGGAGCUCAACUUAAUUAUGCAACUACUGAAAAAGAGCUUCUGGCUGUUGUCUUUGCCAUUGAUAAAUUUAGAUCUUAUUUAGUUGGAGCUAAAAUAAUUGUUUACACUGAUCAUGUUGCACUAAAAUAUUUGCUCACUAAAAAAGAUGCUAAACCUCGCCUGAUUAGAUGGAUCUUAUUACUCCAGGAAUUUGACUUAGAAAUAAAAGAUAAAAAGGGAGUAGAAAAUUCUGUUAUGUACCACCAGGAGCAAACAAGAAGAAGCUUAUUCAAGAAAGUCGUUCACAUAUAUGGGAUGAGCCAUACCUCUUCCGAGUAUGCUCUGAUGGCUUACUUAGGAGAUGUGUGACCACUGAGGAAGGAUGGAAGAUCAUCGACAGAUGUCAUUCAUCACCAUAUAGAGGUCACUAUGGAGCAUUCCGCACACAUUCAAAGAUCUGGCAGUGUGGAUUCUACUGGCCUACAAUGUAUGAAGACAUGAGGCAAUAUAUCAGAAGAUGUGGGCCAUGUCAAAGGCACGGAAACAUAAAUACAAGGGAUGCAAUGCCACUCACCAACAACCUUCAGAUUGAGCUCUUUGAUGUCUGGGGAAUAGACUACAUGGGUCCAUUUCCUCCAUCAAAGAAGUGUGAAUAUAUCUUGGUGGCAGUUGACUAUGUCUCCAAGUGGGUAGAGGCAUUACCUUGCAAGCAUGCCGACAACGUCAGUUCAAAGAGGAUGUUUGAAGAAAUUAUAUUUCCAAGAUUUAGAGUCCCCAGAGUAGUGAUAAGUGAUGGAGGAGCACACUUCAUCAACAAACGCUUCAAGCAAUAUCUAUCAAAACAUGGAAUCCGUCACAACGUCGCUACCCCCUAUCAUCCUCAGACAAGUGGCCAAGCAGAGACUUCCAACAAGCAAAUCAAGAAUAUUCUUCAGAAGACAGUAAAUGAAAUGGGAACGGCGUGGAAAGACAAGUUACCUGAUGCACUCUGGGCAUACCGAACAGCAUACAAGACCCCAAUUGGAAUGUCUCCAUACCAAUUGGUGUACGGGAAUACUUGCCAUCUACCCGUUGAACUAGAGUUCAAAGCACACUGGGCCAUAAAGAGAUGGAAUAUGGACCUAGAUGUUGCUGGAGAUUAUAGAAGAAUGCAACUAUCAGAAUUGGAAAAAUGGCGAGAGAAAGCAUAUCACAAUUCGAAGAUCUACAAAGAAAGAGUCAAAAGGUGGCAUGACAAGAGAAUCAAGAAGGAGUUCACACCCGGAGAUAAGGUAUUACUUUUUAAUUCCAGGGUGAAGCUUUUCGGGCAUGGAAAACUCCGGAGCAAAUGGGAAGGACCAUUCAAGGUAAUUAAUUCAUCAUCCCACGGAGCUAUGACACUUCAAAAUGACGAAGGUACGUUAUUCAAGGUAAAUGGUCAACGUCUUAAAUUAUUUUUAGAGCCCAAUAAAGAAUUAGAAGAAAUAGACGUAGUCCAUUUUUACCUUCCCAUGAAGAAUUAGAGCCCGACCUUUUUAGUCUGAUGUGUUUGGGUCAUACAUAUAUUUUUCUAAAUAAUUUUGCAUCUAGAAACGCGCUCGAGGAAGUGGGCCCACAGAGGGGCCAGAGAGAGGGCGGGCGCCCAGAUCAGGUGGGCGGGCGCCCAGCUCCUGUUCCCCCUCGGUCCCAAUCUUCUCUGUUAUGGAAAAUGCACUUAAGGAAAUCCGAAUAAUCCCUCAGAUGGAAAGUUUCGCACGCACAUCGACGGGAGCAACCCGAACAACCCCUUGACGCACUUUUUGACCCCUAUAUAAACAGAUCCCUGACAUCAGUUUUCAAACACCAAAGUCACCAAGCCUUCUCUUCUUCUUCAAUUAGAGCUUGAUUAGUUCCUUGCUGCUCCAAUGGCCGAGAAGUACCACGAUGAUUGGGAAGUCGUCCCCUUCAACCUCAACAUGGAGCCUGUGGAAGACCCCGAUGCCCGUGCUCUCGUCCCGACCAACACAGAAAGACAGCUAGAAGCCAUGCCAUUACGCCAACACAACUCCGCCCAAUCCUACCAUGCUCAACCAGUUCUCACCGCACCGCCACAACCCCUACUCCUCAAGGGAUCAUCAUCCAAGACGAAGACCACCAUCAAGGUGCCAACCGGCACAAGGAUCCUUCCACCUAAGACCCAAUGAGAGUGUCGUUGGAGUCAGGACCAACCGGAGCGGCGAGAUCAGCAGCGUACGCUACACUACGGAGAAGGAAAGACCUUACUUUGAAGGGAUUAGAGCAGCCAAAGUCCGUUUCAUCCCUCCAAAGGCAGCCCCGAAGCACGCUCUUAAUGCUUUUGAGACACCUCCCAAGCGUCGCAAGACUAUAAUGGAUAUUGAUGAGGACGUUCGCAGACUAGACAGAAUUAUCAUAGACCUCCAGUCCUCGAUUAAUUCCCUCACUAGGCAGCUCUCUAACCACAAUACCAUUAUACUAGGCCUUAGGCAGGAUCUUGCCAGUGCCAACAAGAAGAUUAAGGAAUUAGAGCACCGCUAAGUUAUCUAGAUUAGACCUUGAGGCAAUGCAUCUUAGUCAUCUAUCUUUAAAUUCGGUUUAGGUUUACUAUUAUCAUCAGUUUACUAUUAUCAUCAGUUUGCUAUUGUCAUCAUUUUGCUACUAGUCUUUUGUAAUAAAUGCCUCAAGAUUAAUAAAGAGUAUUAUUAUUAUUAUGUCUUGUGUGUCUCUAAUUUAUUUUUGUGUAAGAAAGCAGAAAACAAGUAUGGGGGAGAUCCCUCAACAUGCCAAACACACUCCGACUACACCACUCCACGAUUCAGGUACACACUCUACACACUUUACACCUACUUAUAUAUAUAUAUCUUGGAUUAUGCAGAAUACUGUUUCCGACAUGAUAAAUUAAAAAGAUUAAAAUAUUUCUAAUCAUGAUUAAUCUCAAUCUGUGAUAUUUCCUGAAAACUUGCAAUUAUUAUAAAAUCAUUUUAAAAACCCUGUGUUACAUAAGACAGUAUGGAAUGUGAGAUGGUAGAGUAUGAGUUUCUUAUUCUUGAUAUCAUUGUUGCUUGGAGAAUUUAUUUCAAAAUCUUCAAAAUUCUAGCUACCAUCCUCAGUGUUUUAUAUGCCUGAUAAAACUGAAAAUAUUAAUUAUGAUUAUAAAAGCUAUCUACUCUGUAUUGAGUUUGUUCAAAAUGAGUUAGACCCUUGUUGAGAGAUUUAUCAUGCUCCCAAGAUCAAGAUAUUUAUUCAGAAAGAUUCACUCUUCCGAAGUAUUAUUGCAUUAGAGGCAUGGGCUAUGCAAAAAUAAAGAUAUUUUCGAGGAAAUAAAAAGGAGCAAGUGCUCGACAACCUCGCAGAAAAAAAAAUGGACAAGUGUCCAGCAGUAGAAUUAGGGGGACCUCGGUAUCCACUUAAAAAUAAAGAGAGAGAGAAGAAAAAUGAUAGCCCAUGGUCCCUCUAAUAAGCAAUAUGCCAGCAAGAGUUGACAAAGAUUUUAGUUUCCAAAGUCUUUGAUCUAAGAGUGUGACAUUCCCCUCCUCGGAUCCCAUUUUGAUCAGGCAACGAAUGCAAAGUAAGUAUGCUUGAGAAUUUUUUGCAAAUUAAAACAGCCUUAGUAAGAUAUAUAGAAGAUAAUGAGUGAUCUGAGAGAACCUAUGAGGAUAAAAGGUAUGCUAACUUUCUUUCAAAAAUAUACAAAAACUCCAAGUAACAGGAUUGAGAAGAAAGGAUCUUUACUCUUAACCAUUUACUUCCCUGACUAUAGUACACAGUGGAUUUUAACACCCUGUAAAUAUAAAGAAUGUUUUAAAAUGUUUUACCUCAGAUAUUUUUCUUAACCAUCCUUUUCUCGAGGACGAGUAAAAGCCUAAGUAUGAGGGUAUUUGUUGAUGGUUCUUAAGUAUCAAAUUUAAUUAUCAAAUAAACAAGGGAAAGGACCAAUAUGCAACCAACACCUAGAAUUAGGGUUUGAUCUGACAGAAUUCCACGAGUUUUGUUGUUUACCUGUUUCUGCAGGGGGUUAUCAGGAAAUAAGGAAGAAAGACCCACAUGUCGGAUUACAUAGAGAUAUCAACGCACCGUGCGAUUUUCUACCAUCUAGAAGACUCCAGAAGCCACGGGAAGAAGGCAGAGGCCGAAAGGGGCCAGGCCCAGGGCGCGCGCCCUGGUGACCUGGGCGCCCGCCCCCUGCUGGACUCCAUUCAGGACUCUCUUUGCACACGAUGUUCCACCGACCUAUUGGAUCAAGAAUAAUGUAGUACCACCUCGCCUACCGACCCAAAAACGCAUAGAGAAGGAGGACUAUAUAAGGAGACCCCCUGGCCCCUGGAGAAGACAAGAAAUUAUCAUAGAGAUUGAGGGGUGCCCUCGAAGGAAAACCUCUUCUCUAAUUAAUAUUUCUUUUUAGGCUUAGCAACCAAUGUAAAGUAGAAAUAGAUCUUCUAGUUUCUACUAGAUUGAGAGAUAUAGAGUGGAGGUGUAGAUUGGAGGAAGCCCGGCCUGUCGGUGUCUACCCCAAGCUUGUACCUGCGGGAUCAAGUUCUCCUAACCCGAAGCUUGCUCCUAGGAUUCUUCAGUAUUUUGAAUUCUAAAUUCUAGUAAGUUCUUGUUUUAUUGUUCUUCUGGUUUAUGAGUUUACUUUAAUCUCUUCGCGUAGAGUUUAGAGUAAUCAUUGCUGGCGUAAUCAUGGUGUUUAGGCUGGGGUACUCAUAGAUAUUCCCUGACUAGCUGGACUGUGGUAGUAGUGAGGAACGUGACAAUUCUGAGUUACCUUUGCAGACCAUAUCUCGUUAGCAGGAAGGAUAGGGUUUAUAGGUGCGGGUUGAACAUCCUCUGUGGUGUCUAGAUUCCGUUAGCCUCCCCAAUAGAACAGUAGAUCAUCCUUACCAAGGUUAGAAGGAGACUAAGGUUGCAGUCUUCUCUAUUUAUCACUCACAUCGAGAGACAUUCUUUGUUGCCUAAAGGGUUAGUAGUAAUAGACCGGUUAGUCAGAUGCACUCUUUCUCCUAGUGGUAAAAAAAUAAAUACGAUACUGGAUAACCUCCGGGGUGAAGUGCUCACCGAUAUCCGUGCGCUUGCGGAUCAAUUCUUUAUUGCGUUCCCAAAUAUCAACAAUUAAUAGGUAUGCAAAGAACAUAAAAGGAUGACAAAUAACUAAAUGAGAUCUUGUCUAUACGUAAUCACCUGGGACAACAGUGCAACCAUGAGGGCUAUAAUGGCUCUGGCUUUAGCUCAGUAUGAAGACAUUUUCUAGCUUGUUAGAGGUUACCCGAAAGGGUGCUAGAGGGGCCUAACCGUUUUGGGUAUAGUGCGAGCCUCUGUCCUUAUGUGUAUAGGCUACGCGUCAUUGUGCCAUUUGGAAGGGGGCAUCUAUAUCUGCGCGCCCGGGAAACCUUACGGCCCUAACAUGUUAGACGAACUUUUGAAAGGCUUUAUAGUGAUCCCUGCCAACCUUCCUUGGUAGUGGGUUAAGAGGCUGAUCACCUCGGGCAAAAUGGUAAAUCAUGACUCAUGGGUAAAGAUGUACGACCUCUGCAGAGUGUUAAAAACUAGUAUACUAGCCGAGCUCACGGUCAGGAGCGGCCUUGGGAACAUCUACAUUAAGAUGAUGAGCUUAUUAUGUUAUUAUGCUCAUUUGAUUAUCGUUUAUGUUUAGUGUUAAUUAUGCUUACAUUUGAUCAUGUGGUUAUGAGAUUUAACUAUGCUACCUUGACAUUUGCUAUCUAAAUAUGAACAUGCUUUAUACAUAUAAAAGCUAAAUGCAGUCAAACUAGUGUCAGCUAAUUGAGCCUCAUAAACCCCUGGUUAUACUUGUUGAGUACGAUAUGUGCUCACUCUUGCUAUUUCCCACCACUCCAGUUUACUAGUAAGAGUUGAUCAGAAGAGCGAUGGAAUCAUGAAGGAUGUCCUCAGAAUACAAGAAGUGCUAGGCAUAUGUUACCCCCAGUCAACCGUCCCUGUGAAGAUUGAAACUGAAGAUUAGUUACCAUUCCGAUACUAUGACAUAAGUGUUAAUUAUAAGUAUGUUUUCGUUAUGUAACAUUGUUUCUGAUAUUGUUUCUUUCUGUUGUUGUAUGUGUGGACAUCCUGGGCACACAUAUAGCUAGCCUGGUUUUGUUCUUUAAAACCGGGUGUGACACUGCCUGUCAGCAAUCUCAAUAGACUAUGUCAACAUCCAGCUUGGGGGAGAGAAACCCCCGUAUACCGAGCUAAGUAUCUCUUACUUACUCAUCUAUUUAUUCCUAGUGCGUUAUGACAAGAUAAAAAGAUGAAUAACUUUAGAAACCCAAUAAAUAUUUUAUCUUUCAUAAUUAAGCUAUGUUAGCUAAGGAGAGAUCUUAAUGAAUCUGUUAAAAUGAAUCUCUAGAAUAAACUCUUAUAUGAAGAUGAUGAAUAGUUGCUCUACUAUAAUUCUUUGCAAAUAUCUAGUUUUCAACGUUGUACUCUCCUGAGUUUUAGACACAACUAUUUAGACUUAAGAUUUUGCUCUAAGCCUUAACUUUGGGUAGCAAAUGCUUGACCUAAGUCUAGGUAGUUGAUGGAUAUGAUAUGGGAAGGUUUUGAGCUGCUAUUAAUCUUGCUCCCAGAGAUGCUAGAGUUCUGGAGAAAUUUAUUUGAAAAUCUUAAAUUGCUACAUGAUGAGUUCCUUUAUGACGAGGGUUUAAAAUGCCUACCAUAGCCAAAUACUCAUGCUUACUAGAAUAGGAAAACCUCCACUUAUAUUUCAACCUAUAAGCAUUGAGGGUAGUAAACUGUGUAGACCCUAAGAAACUAGUCAUGCCGUUAAAGUCAAUAUUAUGUGAUGUCCAUCCAUUGAUCUUAGCUACUUCUGUCCUCAGAAGUAUGCAACCACUUACAUCCACCACAUUUACUAUAUGCUACUUCUAUUCCUGAAAGUACCACCCACAUAUAUGCACUACACUUUCUGUUGGUUCUAUCCUGGAGACGCACGUAUGCUGCUCGUACCCUGGGAGUACACAUUCCUCUAUUCAUUCACCCAUACACAUUCCACAUCCACAUAGAAAAUAUUCUACUCCUAUACUAGGAGAAGACAACCAAAAAUAUUUGUUAUGUAUUAUUCUACUUAUCCAAUAAAGAAAUAGUUAUUUCAGUUGAUACUCCCUAUUGUUAUCAGUACAUUAAAAAGGACGGCUGAUCUCUAAAAAAAGAGAAAAGGAAGAACAAGGUCCCAAUACAAAAGAACGACAGCCAAGUCCUUAUUCUUAGAUUAGAGAGGUAUGGUAUCCCCAAGGAGAAAUUAUAGAAUUAGAUAUUCACCAUCAGUUAUCACCCAUCAUAACCACUUUCAUUCUUAUCACUCACUGCACUCACAUGCACAUAUGACUUCAUUAUGUAAUUAGUUUCUCUGGAUCCAUGGUUUAACUAUGCAAUACAUGCAAGUAGGUUUAAAUUGUCUUUCCCACCUAUGAGCUCCACAUAAGCCAAUUAGAAGUAGGGUGAGAGAGAGAAGGCAACUAUGCCUUAGUCCUAUAAAUACCACAUUCUGAGAGCAUAGAAAAGGCAUACUCACUUGCCUUGGAGAUGAUCCAAAAAUACUACAUAUGAGAGACUGGAAAGUGUCAUACAAGAAAACUCUGAGUUUUAUUUGAAAACCUUGUAAAAACUCCGGAAUAAUAGUUAAUCAAAGAGCGAGUAACAUAGUGCUCGACUUAACUGUUUUGUCUUUCAACUACCCAAGACCUAAGUGAUAGCUAUAAGCUCCAUGGUAAAAGGUAAUAUGGGUGAGUCUUGAGUCAAAAUAGUUCACUCUAAUCUAGAGGAGAGUCCUUGUUUGAAUGCAUGUGUACUUGUGUGGCGUGAAAGCAUUGUAGCAACUCCUAAUCCAUCACUGAGUCUAUCUUUGCUUAGGGACGAGCAAAAAGUAAGCUUGGGGCAGUUUGUUGAUGGUAGAUAAGUAUUCUUUUUAACCGUCAACAUAGCAUGAGAAAGGACUAAAAUCGUAAUACUAUCUAGCUAUAGGGGUUAUCACUAAUAGAAAUCCACAAGUUUUGGUGAUUAUCGAUUUUUGUAGGUGGUUAUCAGAAUAAGAACAAAAGGAGGUCCACAUGUCACAUUUACAUAGAGAGAAUACGUAAAACAUCAACUCAGGAAUACUCCAGAAGACUCAGGAAGACACCACCUAAAAGGUGGAACCAACCUACCACAGGGUAGGGGCAGGCGCCCCACCUUGUCAGGGUGGCUGCCUAGGGAGCAGAGCCAAUCAGGCUCCACCUCACGGAUCCUGCCUCCACUGACUUUGAGGAUUAAUCUUAAGUGUAUGUUUAAGUCAGUUUGAUCCAAGGGCUGUGGUGCUUUCUAGGGGGCUAUAAAUACAAGCCUGACCCCCUUGAAGAGGAGUUUAUUAUUCUCUAAGAAGAUCAAGAGAAGAAGAAUUAGACAGAGAGGGGUCCCUCGAAUGGAUCUGUCUCUAUAGGGCUCUUAGCCACCAUCUCAAUUAGAUCUCUAUAGUUCCAUAGCAUAGCUCCAUAGAAAUAGAUCUAGAAGCAGUCAAGUUAAUCUUGAGGUCCGGAUCCAUCUUCAGUUCUUGGUAAACUCUUAUUCUUCCUUGUUAUAUUUAUAUUAGUUCUUGCUACUAUGAAUAUGACUUUGAUCUAUUUGAUUAUAUUGGAAUUGACUUUAUUCUAUUUGCUUAUGUUCUCAAUUAUAUUGUUAUUAGUCUACUUUAGUUAUAUGUUUAGCGUAGUUAGAUUAGAAUUAUGUUUAUGCAUAGGAUAAUAUAGCGCUUACUCAUUAGGUCGAUGGGUAAGUGGUAGAUAUUGUGUAGGCGAGGUGCCUAGACCGUAUUUAUCUACGAUUACCUCAUAUAGUCCGGAGCUUGAGGUAGAUCGCGGGGGUGACAGUCCUAUUGAGUCCUCUGUAUUCCUUCUCCAGAUUAUAAGGAUUGUAAAGCACCAUUAUUACAGGAAAGUGAUUGCUAUGUUCAUGAUCUUUCUAGCUAAUUUCACUAUUCAUAGAUAUAAUCUUUUCUAACGAUGAUGUUAAGUGUACUUACACUAUCAUUGUAUGCUUUGACAGUAUAGUUAGAAUACUUAGGAUUUAUUCUUGUAGAUUGUCCUAAUACCAUGCUAGUGUUAUAGACUUAGAGUAAUCUAAUUGAGAUGAUUAUCAUGUUUAUAUUAUGGCUAUGAAUUCUUAUUUAUCAUCUGUCACUUAUUAUUCAUAUUCAUAUAUUUAUCUUAUGUAACGCUUACCCUGCACGAGAGAUAGAUAAAGACAUGGUUAAGAUCUCCAUGACUAACAUGCAGUGCUCAUUGUUCAUUAUCCAUUGCAAGUCCCUUCCCAGUGGUAAAAAUAUAAGUAACGAUACCUGGAAUACUCCUGGUUGAAAUGCUACAUCGGUAUUAUUUGUGCGUUUGCGGAUCCUUUAUUUAUUUAUUCCUAGAAAAGCAUAUAGAUUUAAUACCAGCACUUCUACAUCAUGUUAGGGAUGACAACCUAGCUUAAGUGAUAUUAACUAAUUUUAAUGCCUUGCUAGGGAUAGGUUUAAAAGUCUAUUUUUAGUAGUUGCGUUAAGAAGUGUCAACGUAGGGUCCAGCAAAGAAAGGUUCCUGGAUUCAGCCACUACCCUCACUGGUAGCAGGAACCUGGAAAAUCUUGUGUUCGUUUUCCAUAUGUGACGGUUGAGAGAUAUUCUAUGGUUUUGGACGCUGACAUGAGUUAACGAAGGUGCAUGGUGGGUACAUGCUCCUUGUUGGCCACAUCAAAGUGUCAACACAAAUGUUCAGGCUAAGAACACCUUUUAUUUUUCUGGCAUGUUCUUUGUACCACAAAAGUCACAUCUUACAGAGCCUACACUAGUGGUGUAGCCCCAUGUCUUGGAUCUUUGUCGCAGCAGCAUUCGUCCUUCAUCGGGUUUUUCUUGCUGAUGCAGUGGAAGCCAACACCAGUGUAGCCCCAUCCUCGACAAGCAAGCAAGCACCCAUAAGGUCUGCAAAUUGGGUACUGCCUGCAAUCUAUCUCUGCUCGUGGCGGUGGCAGUUUAUUUUCCUGGCAGCAAUUGAAGCCUACAUAUCCAACAUAAAAAACAUCCAACCAGACAGUAUCAGAGACUUCCUCCUGCAGCACUAGGAGCCUACAUAUCUAACACAUUAAUUUCAUUAAAUUUAUUGGAGCACUAACACUAACUAGUGUUUUGAUAUCAUAAAAAAAUGAAGUAUACAUAAAACUAUGUUUUACCUGAGAGGCUAGCAGCUCGGGAGGAGGGUGACGUAGCAAACAUGAUCCCAAGAACCAAGAACAAUGCAGCCCACAGGUACACAAUCCUUGUCGUAUAGAUCUUGAGUAGUGCCAUGAAGAAGAGAAUCUUGCUACUCUCCUCUUUCUGUGACAAGGAGAAGAUUUCUAAUGUUUGAAUUAUGCAUCUACUGUAAUGAUAUUUAUAGGGAAGAAGAACCAUCCUCAUUUAACAUAUGUAUCUUAAUAAGAUUUAUGUGGUCUAAUAGAUAUAUUGCACUAGUGUUUUGAUAUCUUAAACUAUCUUAUUAUACUACAAUAAAUAUACUUGAGUAUCCAAUCUAAUCCCUUACAAAAAUGUGUUGCCUUACAUUUAUGGUAGCUACUAUAUUAAUUACAUGAGCGCUCGAACAUCUUCUUAGAUGCUAUUAAAUACAUGUAUCUGGAGCAGUCCUGCAGCUGCUGUCGAUUGAGCAGUCACAAUACAAGGAAAAAAUGUCAGGCUGGACCCACUUUUUUUCAUUAAGUAUAUAUUUAGACCCAAAAAAUAGUGUUAAGGAUGUCAAUGUGUCAUCACAUCUAAACCAUCACCACUUGUACCUUGUGAUGUUUUCCCAUAAAUUCAUUAAAAAUGUGUGGACAUUCUACACAACUUAUAUUGAAAAUUUUCUGACCCUUUUAUGAAACCAAAUGUAUGUCACAAAAUAAUUAGUUCAACAUGUGAAAAUACAAUUCUUCACAAAUACCCAAGCCGGACUAUGGUUAGGGUAGGUUUUUUCUGAUGAAACACUACUAUGCUAGAACAAGCAAUCAUUGUUAGGGCCGUUGCCAGUCAUUCUGGAGCCAAUAGUGGUUUCUUAUCACUCGUGGUUCGUAAGCCUAUAGGAUCCAGAAAAUUUAUUGGAAGCGCUAUUCACCCGAAGUCACCAAUCAUUGCCAGCUCAAACCAUCAUCCAUCAGUGAAAUAUGACUGCCGGGUCAUGCGCCAAACAUGUAGUGGUAGGUGUCAAAUUACUGGUAGCUAAGGAUAUGACCCCCAACAUUGAUAUAUUACUGAUAGGUCGUUGUCACACCCAAAUUUAAGGAUAAAUUUGAGUACAAUAAUCUCAUAUGCGCCCCAGGAAUAGUCGCGCACACAAGUCGACAAAUUACAAAUAUAUCAUCACAAGUGUCUUACAUAACAUUAUUACAACACAAAUAUAUCAAAGUCUGCGACAAACGGAAAUAAAACACAUAACUAGCUAAGCUUGGUAGCUCCAAUCACAGGGACAACCGACUGGUGGAUCGCCAACCUAGAAGUCCUCAGGGAAUUCUUCAUAAUAGCUUUCAUCUGUUAUCCAUCCGGGAUUUUUGUCCAAAAAGAAAUAAAGAGACAAGCGUGAGUACAUCUCGUACUCCGCAAGCAUAACAUAGGAUUUUAUGCGGCUCAAAAAGGUCAGACACUGGCUACUGUAGUUAUCAUUUUAAUUGGUCAAUGUUUUAAUCCUAUUUUAUCAUGAAAUAUGCUUAAGUUCCCGAUUAGCCCAAAUGAGUACAUGAUAAUAUCACCGUUAACCUUCACGGCUAACACCAUCACCUUCACGGUUAAACCACAUUAAUCAUCACGAUCAAUGCGUCAGAUUUUCAUAAGUUAUUUCCCCAUAACCAUCCACACCCAACUAUUCCGUAAGGGUCCAAGGCCGCUCAUGUCCGAGAGCACGGCUAGUAUACCAGUUUGAUCAAACUCUGCGCAGAGGUGUGCACUUUUCCCGUAAGUCGUGUUACCCAUAUGCCCGGGGUUUGCAAGACCUACUAACACUGCCAAGGUGAGCGGGCAAGGAACACUAUGAAGCCUUCCAUAGGCCACGUCUAACCAGUUAGGGCCGCGAGGUUUCCUCGGCAGGCAGAUAUAGAGGACCCCCCUUUCCUAUGGCACAUUUCCAUCACGGCUAUACACAUAGGAACAGAAGCAGUUCUAUACCCAAAGUGGCAAGCCCCUCUUGCGCCCUUUCGGGUAACCUCUAACCAGCUUGAUGAGAUCCUACUACUGAGCUAAAGUUAGAGCCAUAUAACCAUCAUGGUUGCACUGUAAGUCCCGGAUAGUCGCUUACAGAGAAGUCCUUACGGAGGGUCUAGGUCAACUUCGGUCAGUUGCACCGUAGCCCUUUUCCCAUUCAUUUGCCAUCAUAUUUAUUAAAGUCAAAGUGAUAGUAAGGUCUCAAUUACUUAAAGCACUAGCAACGCUACCCACAUGCAUUCUACCCAUAGGUGUCAUAAAUAUAUAGUCAGGUGGCUAGGAUGUCCUUAGGGUUAUCAAAAUUAGACACAUGCAGAUGCGUAAUUAAUUAAGUGAAUAGGUGUACAAGGGAAACCCAUGUUAUACUUGCCUUCAGUGAAGGGUAGCUGCUGCUGGUCCUGCUGCUCCUCGGAGUAAAACGGAUCACCCACGGACACGUCACCGUCUGGGCUCGAUCGGUACCACACAACAACACGCAUUCCAAGUUCAAUCAUACAAGCAAACAAUCCUUUAGUUAAAACAGUACACCAACAGAUCAAAAAUGAAAUAAAAUAUUUAAAGACAGAACCUAUGUUUCGCUACGAACACAUAGAUACGAAGAUCACGAAAAUCGGAGCUAAAACGAUCAAGUUACAAAUUUUCGGCGAUUUCCUAUAGGCAUUUAAUUAAUUAAACCUAACCCUGAAAUUAAAAAGUUGCAAACUACAGAAACAAUAGUACUAACAUAUAGAGAAUUUAAUUACGAAUCCAACGCAAUUCGAACGGGUCAAAUCGGAGCUAAAACAAAUAUUUUAUGGCCAAAACAAUGCAGUGGCAAUCUUGUAAAUAAAACAUGAUUUAAUCGGAUUUAAAUAAAUUCAGAAAUUCUAGAAUUUCUCCUGGCCGAGGACUGCGGGUUGAUUAGGGAGAAGUAUAGGGUUUCUUUAGCAAAAUUCACCCACGAAGGGGUAUGGAGCAUCCUGGGCCACUGGAUCGCGAACGGACGGCUAGGAUUAGAAGGGGGAAAGGGGAAGGAGGAGGCCCGCGGCCGGAACAGUGCAAGGGCGGCGGUGCGCCAUGGCCGGCGAGCCAAAACUCGCCGGAGUUGGCCGCGACAGGGCUACGGGGCUCGGUUUUCAAAUUCGACAGCACAGGGAGGUAGAGGAGGGCAAGGGGAGCUUGAUUCCAACCCUUGCGCGUCCGAGGAGGGGCUCGCGCACCACGGUCCGCGGCGGCGCCACUGCCGACCCGCCGGAGCACGCGGUUACAGCGCUAUAACGCAUCAAAACGCGAAGGGAGAAGUGCGGGAGAGAGCGGGGGCGCUGGCGAGCUCACCGGGGAGGAAGAAGGGGACGGGGACGGACCAAAUUCGCGGGGACGCCGUGCAGCGGUUCACGACGGCUUCGACGAUUUCUCUGAGCGCACCAGGAGUGGAAACGGAGGCGAGGAGAGGGGGGAAAUGGGGAGGGGAAGGUGCUCGGGCUCGCGGGCUCUCCACUACUUGUUGAGACACGAGGAAGAGGAGGGAGGUCGUGGGGAAGCGGGGGGCGCGGCUCGGCAGUUCCUGGGAGAGAGAGAAGCGGGGCAGACGGUUGGGGGGAAGAGGGAGCUGACAGGCGGGCCCGCUGUAACAUCCCCGAUGUUACGGUUACUAAAAUUUGGAUCAUGUCAUAAUGAGCAUUGCAUUGCAUACCUGUUAAGCACAUUAUUAUGCAUCCACCUAAAACAAGUUUAUUUUGAAUGGUUGUGCUUAGGGAAUUAAAGUGUGUAUAUGUGGUGUAUGGAUGCUUGUGUUGGGUGCUAAAACCCAAGGGUGAACGAUUCCCGAAAGAUUAGGGGGGAAACCCUGAUUUUUGAACCCUAGAGUUGCCCCCUUUUGUGCAAUUCAAAAACCAAGCAAAAUUUGAGGUUGAGUUCAAAAGCAAAGUUGUAGAUCUUGUCAAGGUGUACAACUUUGGUGUUUUGAGUUUUUGAAGUUUCAUUAUAGAAUUCAAAGUAAUUUUGAAAAUACAGAUUUCCAGAAAGUGUCCCCUUUUCCAAUUUGAACCUCCAAUUCAAAAUCUAUUUGGAAUUUUGAAACGUGACCAACAUGAAAGUUGUAGAGCUCAAAAAGUUGAACAACUUUCAUGUUGGGAGUUUUUCAAGUUGUUUGGAAAAAUCAAAAGUAAUUUUGGAAAUCCUGAUCUGCCCGAAUUAAAAAAUUUGAAUUUUCCCAAAUUGGAUUUUGAACUUCAAACUGUUUGGUCAAAUUCACCAUGUUCCACUCAAAAUUAGCUCUGGUCACCAAAAUAUGAUUUGUAGCUUAUAAAAUUUUGCACAACUUUUAUUUUGGUGGCAAUUUGGCUUUAGUUCAAAUUUUGGUCGAAUUUCACAAAAAACAGAGAAGAGGGGAUAAGGGCCAGCUACAGUGAUCCGAUGAGGAUCACCGGCCCCUGUCCAACGCAGCCGCCGCGCAGGCAGCGCCGCGCGCAUGCGUGCAAGCACGCAGCUGCUUGCUGCCAGUGCCGCCAGGUGACGUGGACGCCCCGGGCUCGCUUCCUCCUCCACUUGAGCCCCAGCGUGGACGACGCCGCCCGAUUUCUCUGCCCACGACCAAGGAACCCCGACGGCUCUCUCUUUCAAAUUCACCGUGCUCAGUCCCUCUCGAGCCAAAUUGAGCACUCCACCGCGUUCGCCACCUCCUUGCGAACCCAGUGCACCCUGAAAGGUCCUUGUUUGGUUUUGGUAAUUGAGUGACAACUUAGGUGGACUAAUAGUGUUUAUAUGAGAUACACAGGAGAUUAGUCCACAGGUGAUUAUGUGAUGAUGGAGGAGCUCAUUGCAUAUGAGACAUGACAUGGAGUCAUGUGACCAAGGUGGAGAAGAUCAAGAUGAGGCUUGGCUCGAUGGACCGGUUGCAAGAGUGAAGGGCAAGUCGGAGGCUUUGAAGCGAGGGACCGCGUGUGACGGUGAAGCUUGAGCAAGACUUGGCGCUGAUGGACCGAGGCAACGGUGAAGAGCAAGUGAGGUCAAGAUCGAUGAACCAAUACGGUCACAUGAUGAUAUGAAGUGGAUCAUAUCAUUUGGUGAUUGGUUGGUGCAUGUGUUGCAUCAACAUUGGAGGAGAUGGAAUGGAAAGCGCAAGGCAAAGGUAUAACCUAGGGCAUUUCCAUUUCACCGGUCAUAGGUGUGUAGAGAAGUUUAUGACCGAAUUUAGGAUAGAUGGCCGUACUAUCAAGAGGGGCAAACUUGUUUGCAUAUCGGUCAUCUAGUGCCACUUGAGCGAUCUAACUUUGCAUACGUGUUAGGAUCGAGUGGCGUGGCAAGUUUGAGAGGCUAACUCCUUUGGGAAAAUGUUUGUGAAAAUGCUAACACACUUGCACAUGGUGGUGUACACUUGGUGGUGUUGGCACAUUUACAAAGGAGGUGGAGUUCCUAGGGUUGAGAGGCGUGUGGGUUCCUCUCUCCCAUUCGGCGCUUUUCGAGAAAAUGAAGUGCAUAUUUUCUAUUGCGCCGGUGGGAAAUUUGGAGAAGUCGCGGGAGUGUUUCUCAGUUGGAAACACUCACCGGACGCUCUGUGCGGAGGCACCGGACGCUGGCCUUUAGCGUCCGGUGUGCUGUCGGGUGUAGCAGAGUGCACCGGACGCACCGGAGUGAGUCCGGUGCUCAGCGUCCGGUGUGCAGGCGGUUUGGCGACCCUCUCUGCGCAUGAGUCCGGUGAGCACCGGACGCUCAGGGUGCGUCCGGUGGCUUGCGUCCGGUGACCGUGCGAGUUUGCGGAGCUCUCUGCGCACGAGUCCGGUGUGCACCGGACGCGUCCGGUGUGGACUAGUUGAGCGUCCAGUGGUGCUGUGUAGGCACGCGUGCGGAGUAGCCGUUAGCGGCAACGGUCGAGUUCAAACGGCUAGUGACACGUGGCUAACGCCUGAGCACCAGACGCUGGGGGUUGAGCGUCCGGUGGCUCCCUGUGAGCGUCCGGUGCCCACGUGUUUUGCCCAGUGAAGGGGCAACGGCUAGUUUAGCCCUUGGGGCUAUAAAUAGAAGUGGUGGCCGGCCUUGGCUGGUGCUGAGCACCCUUGGGACUUAGUGUCCAUGCUUGGGGAGUGCUAGGAAAGCCUCUAACUCACUUGUGCUUGCAAGAGUGUGAAUCAAUAGCGAUUGAGUGAUUCUAGUGCGUUGCAUUGAGAGAUUGCAUCGAGUGGCACUAGGUGUUCGUGUUGCAAGCCGGUGGUGCUUGUUACUCUUGGAGGUUGCCACCUCCUAGACGUCUUGGUCGCUUGUGACUCCGUCGAAGCACGCAAGGAGAUUGUGCGGUGCUCCGGAGAAGAGAUUAUGAGGGGUACGGUGCUCACUCCGCGGGGAUCGCGAAGAGCAACUCUAGUUGAGCGAGACGUGAAGAGCAACAAGUGGUCCGGCCGGGUCAAGUGCUAGAGCUUGUGGUAAGCACACCACGUGGGAGAGUGUGACUUGCGGGUCACCACUAGCAAGAGGACCGGCGGCAACCUUGGAGCUUGUCUCAACGGGGACGUAGCUUGGUGGCAACCAAGUGAACCUCGGGAGAAAAUCAUCGUGUCAACUUUGUUCUUCCCGUUGGUUUGAAAGUCUCUAACACAAGCUUGUAUUUACAUUCAUAUAUUUGUGCUUGUGUAGUUGCUCUUGUAUUUAGUUAGCUUGUGUAGCUUGCUAGUUACCUUCUUGCUUGUGUAGCUAGAAGUAGUUCCCUUGCGUGACUAAUUUGGUUUGUGUAACCUUGUUAGUCACAUUGCUUAGUUUGUGUAGCUAAGUAAGUUGUGCUCUCUAAUUUGGCAUUAGUUGCCUUGUUAUUGAGCUUGCUAGUGAGCUUAGGCUUUGUGCGCUUUGCCUCACUAGUUUGUGUAGGAGCUCCCCCGGUUUGCAAAGUACUAGUUGCAUAGGUUUGUGUGACCUUGCUCCUAGAAUUGUUUAGGUGAGCUCUUGCUAAGGUGGCACCUUGCUUGCUUGUUUAGGAUCUUUUCAAGGUGCUAGAGAACUUAGAUAGAGGGGUGUAGUCUUGGCUAGACCGAUAGUUUUAAUUCCGCAUUUGUUUCGGUUAGCCGGCGUAGUAAAUUUUAGAAAGGACUAUUCACCCCCCCUCUAGUCCGCCAUCUCGACCCUUCGCACCCCCGAGCUCACUCCCUAAUCCACUCAAUCGCCGGAGCCCCUCUGUCUUCUCCAACUCCGGCCGGAACCGCCGCCGUGGAGCUCUUCCCGUGGCCACGGUGUUCCCGUCGGUACAACGCCUCUCUAGCGGCCGUUUCAAGUUCUUUCUGUGCUCCAGUUGCUCAUGCGCUCGCUCCUUCUCCCUGGGCGUGAACAGGUCCACCGGAACGACAUCGCCAAGGCUAGAGCACCCGCCCGACGACACCGCCUCCGUCGCCAGCGACCUUGGCUACUCCCGCGAGCCUUGCAACAUGAGCACCACCCUCUCUAACCUGCGUGGAAGCUCUCUAGCUCGUCCGUUUGCGCUCUACCGAGCUCUAGUGGCCGGUCUACGGGUGACCGCCAUGGCCGCCCGCCUCUUGCGUGGCCGAGGUGGAAGGGAAAGGGUAGAACGAGAGUAGAGGAUGUCGACAGAGUCGCAAAGGCGAGGCGAAGCCGAUGCGCACACGCGCGCGGGCCGGGAACCACGCUAGCGGCGGCCAGAACCGUGGCCGAGCCGCCGUGCGCGGUAGAGACGAAGCUGACAAGUGGGGUCUUCCUGUCAGCGUCUCGCAGAGAGGAGAGGAGGGGGAGCCUGACGAGCGGGACCCGCCCGUCAGCGACCGCCUGAGGAAGGAGGAGGCGCGCGCAGCGCCCGUGUGGGCCGAGCGGGAGCGGGCCGGCCUGCAGGCCGAUUUCCCGGCUGCUCGCUGCGCAGCAGUUUUUCUUUUUCUUUUUGUGCAGUUUUUGCUUUAAGUUUGAUUUGGUGUAGAAAAUUGUAGAUUAAUUCAAAAAUCAUGGAAAUUUUUGUAUAGCUUCCAUAAAAUGAAUAGAACAUAGGAAAAAUAUUAGGUUCUGUUUUCUAAUAGUUUGCAAGUGUAUAAAAAUUACCUCUUUUAUUUAAGGAAUAAAACUUCUAGGAAUUUUAAUAAUUUAUUGAUAUGUCCAAAAAUCACCAAAAUUUGGGGAAUGUCUCUGAGGAUUAUUCCCUGGCUCCACACAAAAUUUGGUGGCAUUGGGAUAAUGUUUGAAUAAAAUAUUAUUAAACCCCUAUUUAGUACUUAAAUAAUAAUUCUAAAAUAAUUAGAUGAUAAUUAGUUAAAUCCUCCUAAUUGGGGUUGAGUGAUUUUGAAAUUGUGUGGUGACCUAAGGUCAUUAACCCUAACGACCUUUGGCAUUUGGUUAUUGUUUGGCACUAAUGCUUAAUUACUGUCAUUAAUAAUUAAUUAAGAAUUAAUUAAGGUAAAUAGGAUUAAUAAGUAAUUAAUUUGGGAUAAUUAUGAAUUAAGAGGAGUCUUAGUUUACAGAUGCAACCUCUUGGGUAAAGACACUGAGUUGAUAAGCAACUUUAAUUACUGUUUAGUCUAUGUUGCACCAAGAAGGCAAGUUGUACUCGACUUAGUCCUUCUUGCAUAUUUGUCAUACGCAUAUCAUGAGCAUUCAUCCUUUUUGCGUAUAGUGCCCGUGACCGAAGGAGCGACCGUUGAACCGAACCCCGAGGUCGGUGCUCCGUUCGAGGAAGUCGGAUCCGAGACUUGGGAAGUCUCCGAGGGUCCCUCUCUGCCCUGCAACCAAGGCAAGCCCCGGAUGCAUUAACCCCUCCUUGAAUGUUUUAAAUCUUUUGUCACUUAUGAAUUGAAAAUGCUGCAUUAGGUAGUUGAGAAUUGGGUUAACCUACUUGCUGCAUUCACUACCUUGAUUUUUGUUAUCUUGUCCUUUGCACCGUUUAUUUUGAAAAUUGCGUAGAGAUGCUUAGCCCUGCUACUAGAUAGGUUUUCAAACAAAGUUUGAAGGGUUGUUGUGGAAUACACUUAUGAUCUAUGAAAUUUCAAUUUGAGACCGGUCGGUGGACUUGCUUUAAGAAUGGAGUCUUAAAGUAGUGUCUCCAACUGUGUCGGUUAAGGACCGUUCCGUUGAUGGCCUGCUGGUUGAGACUUUAUAGUACUAGCCACUUGCCCUCGGUAAGACCAAUUUUGUAAUCCCUCGACGCGAACAGCUACUCGCGCACUACGCGUGGAGCGAUGGCGAGAGUAGUGUGUACCCACCUUACGGAUCUGAGAUGACCGGGAAACAUCUAGAUCGGCUGUAGGAUGGUGGAGUACUGUGCUCUCGGGUGCCGCGAACCUGGUCAAAUUUGGGGAGAGCUUGAUUUGGGUUGACAUAUGCAAGAUUUGGUUCUACAUAUGUCGGGUGGUUAGGAACUCCAGCUGGAUUGCUAAGCGAUUCGAAUCGUCGUUGCUCCCCGAUUGGGAGACUCAAUUCCUUCGACCCUCAUCGUAGAUAAUUAUGCAACUAAGUGAUAAAAUGAGAAAGGGGAAAUUGUCUCAUGAGGUUCGGAUCCCAAUUCCCGGACUCAGAGUGACAUGAAGCUAUGGCCGUUGGAUAGAUAAUACAUUGAAUAAGGACUAGGAGCUCACAGACUUGUCUGUGAGAGGCAACUAGAUAGACUGUCCUCGAACUUCUCAGCCUCUCAAGGAGAGGAAUUCGCUGGUAAAACUUGAAAGUAAGGAUGCACUAUUAGUAAGCUUUUCAGCAAAACACUUUGGCUCCUUGCUCAGCCACUCCUUGUCUACCCUAAGCCUGCAUUCCCUAAUUUCUCCUCUUUUCCUACCGGGUAAGUCUUGUUGAGUACUCCUGUACUCAGGGUUUUAUAACCCCUGUUGCAGGUGAAGCUCAAGACCCGACUUGUUUCAGACCCUGUUGUGUGACCGUCGUCGAGGUUGACGACGAGGAAGAGUGAGCGUGACCCAUGGGCAGGGUCUGUAAAUUUGAAAUCUAUGUUCUAAAGUUUAAGUUGCUCCGCUGGACCAGGCUUGUAAUAACACUUUACUAUUUGGAAGAACUCCAUUUGUAAAUUAAGUUAUGUAAUACUUCCGCUGUUUUACUCUAAAAUUUUAUUUUGAUCGUAUAUCGUCUGUGAUACUGCAACGUCUUCGCAACGAGUGAUCCUGGUGUUAAGGUGGCCACUUGCUAUCCUGUAAGGGAGAGAAGAAGUUCUCGUUAAGUGACCAUCGCUAGUGGUCAGGACGAGUUUGCUUAAUACUCCACAGGUAGCGGUGGGAUGAGCGUCCUGAGGUGUUCAUCGGACUUCUGGAGUGGGAGGAUCCCCGGCGUCACCGUCAGAGGUCCUUGGGACAAUGACAGGUGUCGGUGGGCCCAAACACUUAGGAGGUUCUGCCACACCCGGCCUGUCAGCGGGGAGAGAGAGAGGGAAGGGGGAGCCGGCCAGCUGGGCCUGGCCCAAGAGAAAGGGGGAGGGGGCGCGGGGUAGCCGGGCCCAGAAGGCCGAAAGGGGAAAAUAGGAGGGGGAAACUUCCAGUUUCCUUUUAUAUAUUUUUUAUACCAAAUUUCCAAUUGAAAUUUUGAGCAGGAAAAAGAAAACAAAUAAAACAUUUUGUUUUCCAACCAAUCAUCACAAAAGAAAUGCUCCAGCAUGAAUGCAACAAAAAUUAUUAUUCUAAACUUAUUUUAAAUUUUAAUUUCCCCAAAUUUAUUUAUUUUCCUAUAUUGAAAAUGCUCACAAAAUAAUUCAUUUAAAUUCAAUUCAUCUAUUUAAAAGAAAUAAAUUUUUGGGUGUUACAAUUCUACCCCCCUUAAAAAUAAUCUCGUCCUCGAGAUUGAGACGGUGCUUACUCAAAGAGAUACGGAUAAGAUUGUCUCAGCUCGUCUUCUCUUUCCCAAGUGGCUUCUUCUUCUUUAUAUCGGUGCCACUGCACUUUGCACAUCUUUAUAAUCCGAGUUCGGGUAACUCUUUCUGCGGUUUCUAAGAUCUUGAUUGGAUAUUCCUCAUAAGUUAGAUCUCCUUCAACUGUGAGUUCUUCCAAUGGAAUUUGUUCCUCAGGCACUCGCAAACAUUUCUUCAGUUGCGACACAUGGAACACAUCGUGAAUACCUGACAUACCCACAGGCAACUCUAACUGAUAGGCCACUUCUCCACAUCUCCUAAGAAUUCUGAACGGUCCAACGUACCUUGGUGCCAAUUUACCCUUCAUAUUAAACCUCCUGACACUUCUCAUAGGUGACACCUUCAAGUACACAUAGUCGCCUAUCUCGAAUGCCAAAUCUCUUCUAGUAUCAGCAUAACUCUUUUGUCGAGACUGGGCUACUCUCAAGUUGUCCCAUAUUUUCCGUACUUGUUCCUCAGCAUCUCUAAGAACAUCUGGUCCAAAUACUUGACUCUCACCAGUUUGAUUCCAAAACAAAGGUGUUCUACAUUUCCGCCCAUACAAUGCUCCAAACGGUGCCAUAUCGAGACUUUUCUGGUAACUAUUAUUAUAUGAAAAUUCAGCAUAUGGCAAACUAGUGUCCCAACUGGUACCAUACUGUAACGCACAUGCUCUCAACAUGUCUUCUAGAAUCUGAUUUACUCUUUCAGUCUGCCCAUCGUUUUGGGGAUGAUACGCGGAACUAAAGUUCAACUUUGUUCCCAAUGAUUCAUGUACUUUAUGCCAAAACUGUGAUGUGAACUGUGUACCCCGAUCAGACACGAUCUUCUUCGGAACUUCGUGCAGACUCACGAUUCUAUCCAUAUAUAAUUUUGCCAAGUUUGCACCAUCAUAGUUGGUCUUAACGGGCAAAAAGUGAGCAACUUUAGUGAGUCAAUCCACUAUUACCCAAAUUGAAUCAUACCCACGCUGAGUGCGGGGCAAUCCUGUGAUGAAAUCCAUACCUACUUCUUCCCAUUUCCAUUCACGCACUUGCAUUGGCUGCAACAACCCUGCAGGUCUUUGGUGCUCAGCUUUCACCCUCUGACAAGUGUCACAUAUGGCUAAAUACUCAGCCACAUCUUUCUUUAAUCCAUACCACCAAUAUUUUUCUUUAAGAUCUAGAUACAUCUUGGUGCUUCCGGGGUGAAUUGAAUAUGCAGAGUCAUGUGCUUCACGUAGGAUUGCAUCUUGGAUGGAUUUUACUUCAGGCACACAUAUCCUCUUCCCAAACCAUAGUGUACCAUUUUCAUCCAACCUGAAACCUGGUGCUUUUCCAAGCACUACAUUCUCUAAAAUUUCUUUUAAUUUCUCAUCCUCCAACUGACCAUUGCGGAUUUCUUGCUCUAGGGUGGGCUCUAACUCCAAUUCAACAGUGUUGUUCACUAAACCCAAUUUGAGAUGCUCUAUUUCAGCUAGCAACUCUGUGGGAAUGAAGGUCAAUUGCAUCCCAUUGGCAUAACUCUUUCGACUAAGUGCAUCGGCAACAAAGUUUGCCUUCCCGGGAUGGUAAUGCACUUCCAGGUUAUAAUCCUUUAUUAAUUCUAGCCAGCGGCGUUGCCUUAGGUUCAGAUCCGACUGUGUGAAAAUAUACUUCAAACUUUUGUAAUCCGUAUAAAUAUCACACUUGUGCCCAAUUAAAUAAUGCCUCCAAAUCUUUAGAGCAUGAACCACGGCAGCUAGCUCCAAAUCAUGAGUAGGAUAGUUCAGCUCAUGUUUUCUCAACUGCCUGGAUGCAUAGGCCACUACUCUUCCUUCCUGCAUAAGCACACAUCCAAGGCCUAGGCGAGAUGCAUCGCAAUAAAUAGAGAAGGUUUUACUCAAAUCUGGGAAGGUCAACACUAGAGCUGUGGUCAACCUUUUCUUUAGCUCCUCAAAAUUCUCUUGGCACUUAUCUCACAAAAUAAAUUUGGCACUCUUCUCUAGUAGGGCUGUCAUGGGCUUUGCUAACUUAGAGAAGCCUUCAAUAAAUCUUCUAUAAUACCCAGCUAAUCCCAGAAAGCUACGGAUCUCACUAGCAUUGGUUGGAGGCUUCCAAUUUAGCACAUCCUGCACUUUACUGGGGUCUACGGCUAUUCCACCGUUAGAGACCACAUGUCCCAAAAAUGAGACCUCAUCCAACCAAAACUCACACUUGCUUUUCUUGGCAUACAAUUUAUUCUCUCUAAGCUUUUGCAAGACCAGUCUCAAAUGUUCAGCAUGUUCUUCUUUUGUUUUGGAGAAGAUUAGUAUAUCAUCAAUGAAUACUACCACGAACUUAUCCAAGUACUCCAUGAACACCUUGUUCAUCAUAUACAUGAAGUAUGCAGGUGCAUUGGUCAGCCCAAAUGACAUGAUUGUAUACUCAUACAAGCCAUACCUUGUGGUAAAAGUCGUCUUAGGUAUGUCAGUUGCACAGAUUUUCAACUGGUGGUAGCCAGAUCGGAGGUCAAUUUUGGAGAACACACAUGCUCCUUUCAGUUGGUCAAAUAAGUCAUCUAUUCUAGGCAGUGGGUACUUGUUUUUAAUAGUGACUUCAUUUAAUGACCAAUAAUCCACACACAUCCUCCUAGUGCCAUCUUUCUUAUCAACAAAGAUUGCCGGUGCACCCCAUGGUGAAGAACUAGGACGAAUAAACCCUUUUUCUUGCAAUUCCUUAAGCUGUUUCUUAAGUUCCUCUAAUUCAUUUACCCCCAUUCUAUAUGGUCUUUUCGCUAUGGGUGCAGUUCCAGGUAAAAGCUCAAUAAGAAAUUCAAUGUCUCGGUCCGGUGGCAUACCUGGCAACUCGUCCGGGAACACAUCUAGGAACUCAUCCACCACCCGGUCUUCUUGAUUACCACCACUCAACUGAUUAACUGUAGUAGUCGGCUAAGGUUGUACUGCCACAUCCACACUUAUUCUGUCCCCACCUGGUGAUGUCACAACCACAGACCUCUCCUAACACUGAAUUACUGCCCCAUGCUGCUUCAUCCAAUCCAUUCCAAGUAUAAGGUCAAUUCGCAUGGUUCUUAACACAAUAGGUUUCACCUUGAAAUCUACCCCCUUAGAGAUAUACUAGUGGAGGGGCUCCAGUAAUUAGCUGGCAUGGUGCCACCCGGUGAAUUUACUAGCAUAGAAUUUUUCAGAGCACAAAGUCGGAUGCUAUGCACUCUAACAAAUGCUUGGGAGAUAAAUGAAUGUGAAGCACCAGAAUCAAACAGUACGGUAGCGGGGAUGGAGUUGAUGUUGAACGUACCCAUCAUAACCUCAGGUGCUUCCUGAGUUGUGUCAGUGGACACACGAUUUACUUUCCCAGAGAACGGAGGUCGAGCAGGCCUCUGAUUGCUGUUCUGGUUUUGCUGGGCUGGUGGAUUCUGCUUCUUGGGGCACUGGUAGGCAUAGUGUCCCACCUCUCUGCAGCGGUAACAGGCAUUGGGGUUGCCGCUGGGUGCUGCACUCUUGCCAGGAGCAUUGUUGGGCACUCCUUGGCGUGGUGCUUGGUUGCUGACCUGUUGCUGGGGGCGUUGCUAAUUCUGGUUGCCAUACUGCUGCUGGGGACGUUGUUGGUUCUGGUGGUUGUACUGAUGGUGGUACGGAGGACGCUGAGGAAACUGACCACGGUUCCACUGAUUUGGCGGUCCUUGACUGCGCUGAGGGAAUCCGUACUGAGGGUACGCACGUGGGCGAGUGUUGCUGCCCGACGGCUGCCCCUGGAGCUUUCUCUUCUUUGCAUCCAUCUCCUUGCGCUUGUUGUCGAUGACAAUAGCGCGGUUCACUAAUUCUUGAAAACAAGGGUAGGUGUUGCUCAUCAGCUGCAGCUGCAGUCCAUCAUACAAACCCUUCAGGAAGAGACGCUGCUUGUCAGAGUCCCUGGCCACCUCAUAUGGAGCAUAUCGUGACAGUUGAGCAAACUUGUCACGAUACUCACUGACUGACAUCGAUCCCUGCUUGAGAGACCGGAACUCUUCUGCUUUCAAUUCUAUCAGGCCCUUUGGAAUAUGAUGGGACCUGAACCCUUCAGUAAACUCCUUCCAGGUGACUGGCGGAGCAUUGUUCGGGCAUCCAUAUUGAUAGGACUCCCACCACUCCUGUGCAGGUCCUUGCAGUUGGCCUGAUGCGUACAACACUUUCUCCAGGUCGCUGCAUUGGGCUAUGUUCAACUGCUUUUCGACUGCUUUUAACCAGUCGUCUGCCUCCAGUGGAUCAGAGGCAUGGGUGAACACCAGGGGACGUCCCUUCAAGAACUCCCCACGCUUGUCAUGGACUUGAACCGGCGGUGGUGCUGCUACUGGUUCAUUGUCCAUACGGUUCAUCAUGGCUUGCAUCAGAUUAGCUUGCAUACCCAUGAGCUGCUCAAUAGUCAUCGGCGGCGGCAGUGGUGGUGGAUUCUCAGGUACACCACGUCCACGGCCACGACCACGGCCACGGCCACGUCCACGACCAGCGACUGCUCCUUCGGCGUCCAUCUGCUUCCAACAAAGAUUCACGGCUUUUAGUGAUCUUCCAAAAUAAUUAUUCAUCGCUUAUAAUGAAUAAAAACAAGACUAGCAGUUUUCUGGACAAGUUUCAAACUCAGCAGGUCAGUAAUCCAUGGUUAUCUCAGAAUCUAGAGGUCCAAUAGGAACAUGAUAUACAUCGUUGGAAAGGUUAAGAAAUUCUCUACAAACUUUAUUUAGACCACAUUUACUGGUUCCAACCGUAAAAUAAUCAAAAUUGUGGUUUAUCAGGUUCUGCUCUGGUUCUCAGUCUGCGCAGGUACAGCAGAUUAAAUCAGACAUAUCUCAUAGACCCGAACAGAUAAUGAGGUGAUUCCAGUUGGAAAUAAAAAAUAUACCAGUCUAGUUUUCACCAUAAAAAUUUCGUAAUUUUUGACUGAACCAAUUAUGAGAUACAGAAUAAACAUCACAGACUGCUCCAGAAACAGCACGACUGAGACAGAGAAUAAGUAACCCAACCUCACAUUAAGCAACAUUUACUUCUAAGAUUAAGGUUUAGAAACAUGCGGACAGGCCCACAUGUUUCCACAAUCAAACAAAACUCCAAAUCAUAAUUGUUCAUCAUCACAAACAGCAACACACUAAAGUUCACAUGCCACACAUUACUGAAAUACUCGUGCUAACGUCUAACUAGAAGGUAUUGGGAAAUCUAGGGAGCUCUAUCCUGCAGAACGAACUUGUGGGCUUCUUCUUGUUGAUGGGUGGCUGUCCAAGCUGACCACGCAGCUCAUCCACCUGGCGCUGGAGGCGCUUCCCCGCUUGCUGUGCAACACGCAGCUCCUGCCUCAGUGCCACAUUCAUCUCAACGUGUCUCACAGUCGUAUCCAGGGUAGGGUCACCGGCAGGAGGUGCCACGACAUGCCAUGUCCUGCCAUCUGGGUCGUUGCGGGGAAGGAACCGGUACCUAUCCUCCUGCAUGGCCUCAAAACGGCGGACGUGGUAGUGAAAGUACGCAGGUUGGGCUGCAUCCUCCAUGCUCUCAUAGGCGGAAGCACGCCUAACCCUGCUCUCAUGGAUGGACUCCAUCUCAUCCGAGUUGUCGACGUUGUUCCGAGCUGUGAUGAUCACCUCGGCCUUCCAGUAGGUGUUCUCCAACGGGUGCUUGUGCUCCGAGCAAAGGUAGCGGACGGUGGCAGCAAACUCCGGGUAGUAGCUCGCCAACACACCCGUGAGCAGAGUGUGGUAGUGAGUGUCCUCGUCAGCCACCAUGAACUUGUUCCUGGAGGUCCAUCCCAUCUCCGGAACAACCUGUGGGUGCUGAGGCGUCGGUGCUGAACCCAUCGACGCGUGGGGUGCAGGCGCAGGUGGUGCAGGCGCAGGUGGAGCAGGCGCAGGUGGUGCUGGAGCGGCGGCCUGCGGAAUCGGUACUGCCACCGGAGUAGGCGCUGAAGGUGUAGGCGUAGGAGACCCCGUGUCCUUAGGCUCCUCCUCCUCGCCGCCACCAGAGGCGAUGACCUCGGGCUCAGGUAGGUGCAGGUACUGGUGCUAGUGCUGGUGCAACUAGCGAAGCACGGUCGGCGGUGAAGAGGGCACGGUACGCGGCUGCGCUGCGACGAGGUAUCUAUAAAUUUUAUUUUAAGAAUUAGAAUCAAUAUGUUUACAUAAAUAGAACAGUGGGUAAGAAUAUAUAAAAUUUUAAUAAAAUAACAAGAAAGCAAAGUAAGCAGUGAAAUAAAUAAAGCAAAAAUAAAAACCCUAAAAUCGACUGUUUCUACCUAGGUUUGUGUCCUACAGUCAGCCUUACUUUGAUACCAAUUUGUCACACCCAAAUUUAAGGAUAAAUUUGAGUACAAUAAUCUCAUGUGCUCCCCAGGAAUAGUCGCGCACACAAGUCGACAAAUUACAAAUGUAUCAUCACAAGUGUCUUACAUAACAUUAUUACAACACAAAUAUAUCAAUGUCUGCGACAAACGGAAAUAAAACACAUAACUCUAAGCUUGGUAGCUCCAAUCACAGGGACGACCGACUGGUGGAUCGCCAACCUAGAAGUCCUCAGGGAAUUCUUCAUAAUAGCUUUCAUUUGUUACCCAUCCGGGAUUUUUGUCCAAAAAGAAAUAAAGAGACAAGCGUGAGUACAUCUCGUACUCCGCAAGCAUAACAUAGGAUUUUAUGCGGCUCAAAAAGGUCAGACACUGGCUACUGGAGUUAGCAUUUUAAUUGGUCAAUGUUUUAAUCCUAUUUUAUCAUGAAAUAUGCUUAAGUUCCCGAUUAGCCCAAAUGAGUACAUGAUUUUUUUAGAUAAAGGAUAUACCAUCCGGCCUCUAUAUCCGAGGAUGUACACAGCCCAGUAUUACAGAGUUUGAUAUGAGAAAAACAAAGAGAGCCAAAGUCCUAUACAUGGACUAGGACGCUAGUUUAAACAAUAUAAAUGUUUCCAUCCUUUAUUGGAUAUCUCUAAAGCAAUUACUUCUAAUUUCUUGCUUAUCUUGGAGAGCACGUCCUUGGCUGUCUCAACAAGCUGCAGCUGAGCCCAAAAGCGUAACCAGUACGCUCCCCUAAAAAUUACCUGCAUAAUAGAGUUAGUUUUCAUUUUAUUAAAAACAUAAUCAUUGCGGCAUCUCCAGAUAGCCCAAAGCAAAGCAGCCACCCCCACCCAAAUCAGAUUUCUAAUCUUUUUAUUUUGAUUAGAUAGCCAAGUACCAAACAUGUGGCUGAUUGAUCUAGGUUGGGUCAAACUAGUAGCAAAGAAGAUAAGCCUCCAAAUCAUUUUGGUGAAGGGACAGUCUAGGAAUAAAUGUUGAAUAGUUUCAUUCCCAUUACAGCAAAUGCACUUCUGACUCCCUUUCCAAUUUUUCCUAGCAAGGUUGUCUUUGGUUAGGACGACACCCCUUUGCAGGAACCAGAGAAAAAUUUUAAUUUUUAGAGGUACCUUUAUCUUCCAUAUCUUCCUAUGCCGAAAGGGUGUAUGUGUAUCUAUAAGAUUGAGAUACAAGGAACGGACAGAGAAUAACCCAGAUCUGGUUAAACUCCAUCUGAAAUAAUCUGAACCAUCCACCAAUUCGACAUGGGAUAUCUUUGCCACUAGACUAAGCCAAUUUGUAAGUUUAUUAUCCACCAAGGCUCUCCUAAAAGAUAUGUUCAGAGGGUUCGUACUCAUCACUUUUGAGACUGUGGCGUGAGGAUCUCUCACUAUGUUGUAUAAAGAUGGAUAACUAGCUUUCAGAGACUUAGCCCCUACCCAUGUAUCUUCCCAAAACCUAGUUGCGGUUCCAUCAUUAAUAUGAAAAGAACAUUUUGCCAACACCUCAUCUUUGAUACGCAUGAGGCCUCUCCAAAAAUGGGAGUCAUUGGGCUUAGCUGUCGCCUGGGAUAGGCUUUUGGAGUUUAGGUAUUUAUUCCUUAAAAGCGUUUGCCAUAUACCUUCUGUAUUCAAUAGAUUAACUAGCCAUUUGGCUAGGAGGCACUUGUUUUGCAAUUGUAAAUUUAGGAUACCUAAUCCUCCUUGAUCCUUAGGGCGGCACAGGAUGUCCCAUUUGGCAAGGCGAUAUUUAUGUUUGUCAGAAGAUCCUUGCCAAAAGAACCUUGAUCUAUAAUGAUCUAGGUUCUUUAAGACUCCCUUGGGAAUCUCAAAGAAGGACAUCAUGAACAUCGACAGGCUACUUAGGACUGAAUUAAGCAGUACUAGUCUUCCCCCAUAAGACAGGUACUUCGCUUUCCAGCAAGAGAGUUUCUGUUUGAAACGAUCUUCUACUUUUCUCCAUUCAGAAUUAAGGAGUUGUCUAUGAUGCAUAGGGAUCCCAAGAUAUCGGAAGGGAUAUUCACCAGUAUUGCAUCCAAAGAGACUAUUAUAAAAGGAUUCCAUCUCUUUAGCAGCUCCAUAGCAGAAGACUUCGCUCUUGUGGAAAUUGAUCUUCAGCCCUGAUAGCUGUUCAAAAGCACAAAGCAACAGUUUCAAAUUCUAUGCUUGUUCGAGGUUGUGGUCAAUAAAGAUAAUGGUGUCAUCUGCAUACUGUAAUAUGGACAGACCAUCAUCUAUAAGGUGGGGUAUAACACCUCUUAUCUGACCGUCGGCUUUUGCUCUGUUAAUAAGGAGAGCUAGCAUAUCUACGACGAUGUUCAAUAAGAUUGGUGACAUUGGAUCUCCCUGUCUGAGUUCACGUUUGGCUGGAAGUAGGGCCCUAUGUCAUCAUUGACUUUGAUUCACACACUCCCACCUGUGACCAUAGUUUCUACCCAUCGACACCAUUUGGGAGAGAAACCUUUCAUACGUAGCGUUUGUUGUAAAAAAGACCACUUCACUUUGUCGUAUGCCUCUUCAAAAUCAAUUUUGAAAAUGACACCAUCUCUCAUUUUAGUGUGAAGCUCAUGGAUGGUUUCGUGUAAGAUGACGACCCCCUCCAUUAUAUUCCUGCCUGGCAUAAAGGCAGUUUGUGUUGGUCUCACUACAGUUUUGGCUACCAUAUUAAGCCUAUUUGUGCCCACUUUAGUAAAAAUUUUAAAGCUCACAUUAAGAACACAAAUUGGCCUGUAUUGCUGAAUUUUUAUGGCAUUAUUAACUUUUGGGAUUAAGGUAAUAAUACCAAAAUUCAGACUAUAUAGGUCAAGAGUCUCCCUAUGCAGCUCAGUGAAUAAGGGAAGGAGAUCAUCCUUUAUCACUUCCCAAAACACCUGAUAGAAUUCCACUGGAAAACCAUCUAGUCCUGGAGUUUUAUUAUGCUCCAUUUGGAAGACCGCAUCCCUCACUUCAGAUUCAGUGAAAGGGCUAAUGAGGAUGUCAUUUUCCUCCGGAGAUACCUGUGGAAUAUCUAGGAUUUGGUCUUCCCUAAGGGAAAGCUCUACACUCUUCGGCUGUCCAAAGAGUUCUUUAUAGUAAGUCGUAAUAUGUCUUAUGAGAUUAUAAUCUCCUAUCACAGCACCUUGAUCAUUCUCAAGUUUAUAGAUAUGCUGCUUGCGAUGUUUCCCGUUGGCCACUAAAUGAAAGAACCGAGUGUUAGCAUCCCCUUCCAAUAGGGUUUUAACUUUGGCUCUCUGGUACCAUUUCAGUUCCUCCUCUCUCAGAAGGUUAACCAAACGCUCUUUUAGAUAAUGCUUCAGAUUGAUCUCUUGAUCACAUAAAGGAGAGAUCUCAGCUUUCUUAUCAAUUAUCUCUAAAAGAGCUAACAGAGUCUUUUUUUUCUUUUUGAUAUGACCCUGCUGUGUGUUUUGCCCAUCCCCUUAGAUAUUGGCGGAGUCUACGAAUUUUAAACUGCCAUCGUUCAAGGGGAGUUGACCCAGAGCAUGGAGAUUGCCAAAUAUUUGCAACCAUAUCAUAAAAUCCAUCUCUUAUCAACCAUCCUCUCUCAAAUUUGAAAGGACUAUUGUGGGCCUGGUGGGUAUGGUCUGAAAUAUUACCAUCCCUUGGUUCUACUGUGGUUAAUGGAAACAUGAUCUCCAUUUCUGUGGUAACUAGGACUCUAUCCAACUUUUCAAAAGUUGGAUUAUCCCCUGGGCCAGUCCAUGUGUAUUGGCGGCCAGUCAUAGUAAUCUCCUUAAGAUCUAGAGAUUCAAUAAUAGCAUUAAAAAGAUCUGGCCAUUUAGGGUCAAAGUCCCCAGUACUUUUAUCUUCAGGGCAUCGCAUAAUAUUAAAAUCCCCUCCUAUGAUAUAUGGUAGGGAUUCUUUAGAGCACGUGUUAGCCAUUUCAACUAGGAAAUCACGCUUAUGCUGGAGUUGUGCUGGUCCAUAGACCGAAUAUAGCACAAACUUAAAGUCAUUUGAUUUGACUCUAAGGGUGAAUUUUACAUAGUAGUCUCCCUCCACAAUAGCUCCAAUGUCAAAGACAUUCAUGUCCACACCUAGCAAGAUAACCCCCCGACCUACCGUGGGGUGCCAUAGUGUGCCAAAGGAAAUCAUGUCCUCCACAAAGAUUUUUAAGAACAUGAUCUGGGAAUGAGUCCCGCCCUGUUUCGGAAAGCGCAAUAAAAUUAAUCUGCUCUUCCUUAACUAGUUCAGCCAAAUACCUAUGCUUAGCCAAGUCUCCCAGACCUCUGCUAUUCCAGAAGACACCCUUCAUUUUAUGAUAAUUUUGGAAGGGGUUUUUAGUUUUUUAGGAAGUUUGCCUUUCAAAGUAUUUUUGGCAUUAUUGUAUUUUUCUUCCUUGGGAGUGGAGAGAGAUCGAUUAAUUGAUCACUCUCGUCCUCCAGCAAAUUCCCAUUUAAAUUACCACAGGCGUGGCUGAGAAUUGCAUCAAUUUGGCUUUCUCGCUCAUCAUCACUCUCAAAAUUGGAGAGUCUAGAUUUGAUAGAGCAUUUUUUUCAUUAGCACAUAAAACCAACCAAUCUACCUCUAAGUUUUUAAAACACAGAACGUCUGAGGUAUCUAGGUUGAUGCCUAUCCUACCAAGGUUUGAAAUAACUUUAGGAUCUGGAAAGCUAGCGAAAGAGUUACCUGGAAAUUUGAAGUUCUUUUUCGCUGCCAUCCGUUCAACCUUGUGCAAAUCAUCCUGAAGAUUACCUAUGAAUUCAAGGUUCUUCUUUGCCGUCAGUCGUUCGGACUUCUGUAGGGUAUGGACGUCAGCCAUCGCCGCAAUCCUGGAGCUCCGUUGCAACUCUUUAAUAGGAGGAGCAGCCGCUGGGGGUUUGAAAACCCCCACUGUCGGUGAAGCCUUGGCCAGCUGCGAAGGAGAUGGAGGGGACCUGGGUAGCGACGCAGCAGCAGCCGUCGGUGAGCAGGUCGCGGGCGUUAGGGGGGCCAUGUCCGACAUCCCCCCCUCCUCCAGCGUAGCAGGCAGCGAAGGAGAUGAGGAAGCAGCGAGCGGCGUGCCGUCCUCCUGUUGCGAAGCAACUAGCAAGGGGGAAGAGGGCGCAUCCCCCUCCUUGACGGCCCCCUUUGGCAUGGUUGCUGCAGGCGUCGGGUCCACGGGUGGGGAAGCUUUGCCCUCUGUCGUCUCGGCGGCAGGGGGGAGGAUGGCGAUCGAAGCACCCACCUCCCCAUCAGACGGUGUUGUGGCCAUGGUGCCACUUGGAGCAGUGGGCGAGGGGGCACUGAACAGGAUCACGCCCCCCCCAGCUCAUCGAUGGCAGUGUCCCCAGAGGUCGGUGAAGUAGAAGGCGAGGGGGUAGAUGAUGAAGCACCCCUUCUCCCUUCUGCAGGCGCAGGGCCAUCCCACACCUCAGCAGGGCGCGGAGUCGGCUGAGGCGAGGUAGGCGCUGCGUGCUCCCCGGUCGGUGGGGAGGCUGGGGGCUCCUCAGGCGGGGUCGGUGCAGCGUGCUCCCCAGUCGGUGGAACGGCUGGGAGAGCAGGCAUACCAACUACGGCAUGGGAGCUGCUGCCUAGGGGGCUCUCGCCACCCAGCUCGUCAACGGCGUCGGUCCUGUCCUUCAGCGGUGGAUGGCCAGGGGAGGCUUCAUGGCCACUGCCAUCCCCGUCGGCUAGAGAGGCCACGGGCAGCUCCCCCCCAGCUGCUGCUUCGUUUGUUGGGGUAGAGAGCGCUUUGUCCAUUCCACAUCUUGCCGGGCUGGAAUAAUCCAGAAGUGGUGCACCCAAGGACAGUGAGUCCGUGCCAAGAAGAGGGGCGGUAGGCGCUGAAGAACCCCCCAACUCAGCGUGGUCUGUCGGCGUCUCCAGAGAUGACACAAAAAUAGAAGAAAGGUGAGUUUUGUUAUGAGAAUCAACAAGCCCAUUAUAAUCUGCCAGUUCUUCUGUUGUCGGAGGAGAAAAUUUUUUCCCCAUCUCUCCGUCAUCUUUUUCCACCAUGACCUUAAGGCUAAUCUCAUUUAUAAGCUGCGAGCAUGCCAGAUCCAGGGCCUCUUUCACCAAAGCCUCCUACUUCUGCGUUGGCACAUUAUGCAGAGGUGCUGGAGCUGCCUCCGAGGCCUUCGAAUUAUUCUGGGGAUGAUAGCAAUUGGUUCCUUCACCAUCACGGUUAAACCACAUUAAUCAUCACGAUCAAUGCGUCAGAUUUUCAUGUUAUUUCCCCAUAACCAUCCACACCCAACUAUUCCGUAAGGGUCCAAGGCCGCUCAAGUCCGAGAGCACGGCUAGUAUACCAGUUUGAUCAAACUCUGCGCAGAGGUGUGCACUUUUCCUGUAAGUCGUGUUACCCAUAUGCCCGGGGUUUGCAAGACCCACUUACACUGCCAAGGUGAGCGGGCAAGGAACACUAUGAAGCCUUCCAUAGGCCACGCCUAACCAGUUAGGGCCGUGAGGUUUCCUCAGCAGGCAGAUAUAGAGGAACCCUCUUUCCUAUCGCACAUUUCCAUCACGGCUAUACACAUAGGAACAAAAGCAGUUCUAUACCCAAAGUGGAAAGCCCCUCUUGCGCCCUUUCGGGUAACCUCUAACAAGCUAGAUGAGAUCCUACUACUGAGCUAAAGUUAGAGCCAUAUAACCAUCACGGUUGCACCUUAGCCCUUUUCCCAUUCAUUUGCCAUCAUAUUAAUUAAAGUCAGAGUGAUAGUAAGGUCUCAAUUACUUAAAGCACUAGCAACGCUACCCACAUGCAUUCUACCCAUAGAUGUCAUAAAUAUAUAGUCAGGUGGCUAGGAUGUCCUUAGGGUUAUCAAAAUUAGACACAUGCAGAUGCGUAAUUAAUUAAGUGAAUAGGUGUACAAGGGAAACCCAUGUUAUACUUGCCUUCGGUGAAGGGAAGCUGCUGCUGGUCCUGCUGCUCCUCGGAGUAAAACGGAUCACCCACGGACACGUCACCGUCUACGCUCGAUCGGUACCACACAACAACACGCAUUCCAAGUUCAAUCAUACAAGCAAAACAAUCCUUUAGUUAGAACAGUACACCAACAGAUCAAAAAUGAAAUAAAAUAUUUAAAAACAGAACCUACGUUUCGCUACGAACACACAGAUACGAAGAUCACGAAAAUCAGAGCUAAAACGAUCAAGUUACGAAUUUUCGGCGAUUUCCUAUAGGCAUUUAAUUAAUUAAACCUAAUCCUAAAAUAAAAAGUUGCAAACUACAGAAACAAUAGUACUAACAUAUAGAGAAUUUAAUUACGAAUCCAACGCAAUUCGAACGGGUCAAAUCAGAGCUAAAACGAAUAUUUUAUGGCCAAAACAAUGUAGUGGCAAUCUUGUAAAUAAAACAUGAUUUAAUCGGAUUUAAAUAAAUUCAGAAAUUCUAGAAUUUCUCCUAGCCGAGGACUGCGGGUUGAUUAGGGAGAAGUAUAGGGUUUCUUUAGCAAAAUUCACCCACGAAGGGGUAUGGAGCAUCCUGGGCCACUGGAUCGCGAACGGACGGCCAGGAUUAGAAGGGGGAAAGGGGAAGGAGGAGGCCGGCGGCUGGAACAGUGCAAGGGCGGCGGCGCGCCAUGGCCGGCAAGCCAAAACUCGCCGGAGUUGGCCGCGACAGGGCUACGGGGCUCGGUUUUCAAAUUCGACAGCACAGGGAGGUAGAGGAGGGCGAGGGGAGCUUGAUUCCAACCCUUGCGUGGCCGGGGAGGGGCUCGCGCACCACGGUCCGCGGCGGCGCCAUUGCCGACCCGCCGGAGCACGCGGUUACAGCGCUAUAACGCAUCAAAACGCGAAGGGAGAAGUGCGGGAGAGAGCGGGGGCGCUGGCGAGCUCACCGGGGAGGAAGAAGGGGACGGGGACGGACCAAAUUCGCGGGGACACCGCGCAGCAGUUCACGACGGCUUCGACGAUUUCUCUGAGCGCACCAGCAGUGGAAACGGAGGCGAGGAGAGGGGGGGAAAUGGGGAGGGGAAGGUGCUCGGGCGCGCGGGCUCUCCACUACUUGCUGAUAUGCGGGGAAGAGGAGGGAGGUCGUGGGGAAGCGGGGGGCGCGGCUCGGCAGUUCGUGGGAGAGAGCGAAGCGGGGCAGACGGUUGGGGGGAAGAGGGAGCUGACAGGCGGGCCCGGCCUGUCAGCGGGGAGAGAGAGGGAAGGGGGAGCCGGCCAGCUGGGCCUGGCCCAAGAGAAAGGGGGAGGGGGCGCGGGGUAGCCGGGCCAGAAGGCUGAAAGGGGAAAAGAGGAGGGGGAAAAUUCCAGUUUCCUUUUAUAUAUUUUUUAUACCAAAUUUCCAAUUGAAAUUUUGAGCAGGAAAAAGAAAACAAAUAAAACAUUUUGUUUUCCUACCAAUCAUCACAAAAGAAAUGCUCCAGCAUGAAUGCAACAAAAAUUAUUAUUCUAAACUUAUUUUAAAUUUUAAUUUCCCCAAUUUUAUUUAUUUUCCUAUAUUGAAAAUGCUCACAAAAUAAUUCAUUUAAAUUCAAUUCAUCUAUUUAAAAGAAAUAAAAUUUUUGGGUGUUACAGUCGUGCCACGAGCUAGAAGUGAUAUUUUCAUAUCACUAUCGGGUUUUAAGAUGACCGGAUAAUGUUCUUUAACCGUUAGAUCCACCUAUUUAUUGAUUCGCCAUUGUUGGAUCCUACUAUCGCCAUUGCUUCUGGUUAGAAAAUAAUUCUCCAAAUGCCCUGCCUGUGACGACCUCUUAUAGUCCAACAAGUCAUUGGUUCACCAUUUGUGUAUCUAUGUGUAAUAGUAAAGAGCCAAAAUUUCUGCCACUAAUUUUUUCAUCCAGCCUAAUCACUGAUUCUGUCUCGGAACCCGCUUGUGAAGUCCCACGUCUGAUUAUCAUCUUACCUGUGGACAUGUUCCCAUCUGUGUCCUUUGUCUCGCAAAGUCCCCGCAUCCAUUUUUUCUUCAAUGAAAACGUUAUCUACCGAGUGCAUUGUCGAGUUCAUUUUUUAUCUUUUUUUCCCUUUCGCUUUCUCACGUUUAGUUGUGACUUUUUUGUUUCUUCUUUUUUGUCUUUUGUUUUUUCUUAUAAAUACAGAAAAAUAAAAAAUAAUCAAUGUAUUAUUUUAAGUCUUUGAAAUUCUAAUCCUUUUCUAAUAAAUAAAUAGUUCCAUCACUAAGGCCUGUUUGGAACACGGUAAUUUUUCCCUGUUCCCGAACUCAUUCCUAUGAAAUUUCUGCAUAAUUCCUGUGAAAUCCAUGCGUUCCAAAUUGGCCCUUAAGUUGAUGGAGUUUUAAUUAUAUUAGGAAUAAAGCUUAUAAUAUUAGGAUCUGGACUAGGCGAUGGUCUAAUCAAUCUGUGGACUGAAAUCUUAAGUAGUUUGUCAUCCAAUCCAUUCUAUAUAUAUAUAUAUAUAUAUAUAUAUAAUCACAAUAAUAUCAGUACAAGCUUCCAAGCUGUCUACAUAUACCAGUACUAUUCUCAACGAGGACAGACAUGUCAAAAUCGAGAGAGGUCUUAGUCAUACUCAUCAAGGAACAGACAAAAUUAUUAUCUAAUUAUGGACUAACUAGGCUCAAAAAGUUUAUUUUGCAAAUUAUAAGCAAACUAUGCAAUUAGUUAUUUUUUAUCUAUAUGUAACGCUUUAUGUAUGUGCCACAAAAUUCGAUGUAACGGGGAAUCUUGAAAAGUUUUUAGAUUUUGGAUCGAACUAAACAGGGCCUUAGUUCAUUUUUGCAAUGUCUCGAAUCCUGAGUUCAUUUCCAAUCCCAUUCAUUUUCACCCUAAUCCGACAGCAGAACAGCAUAGUAAAUUUACCAUAUGCCUCUCUGGUGUUCUCCUCCUUCCCCCACCUAUAAAAGGAGAAGCUAGGGUCCAGCAAAGAAAGGUGUAGGGUUGUUACCCUCACUGGUAGCUGGAACCUAGAAAAUCUUGUGUUCGUUUUCCAUCUGAGAUGGUUGAGAGAUAUUCUAUCAUUUUGGACGCUGACAUGAGUUAACGAAGGUGCAUGGUGGGUACAUGCUCCUUGUUGGGCACAUCAAAGUGUCAACACAAAUGUUUAGGCUAAGAACACCUUUUAUUUUUUUGGCAUGGCAUGUUCUUUGUACCACAAAAGUCACAUCUUACAGAGCCUACACUAUUGGUGUAGCCCCAUGUCUUGGAUCUUUGUUGCAGCAGCAUUCGUCCUUCAUCGGGUUUUUCUUGCUUUUGCAGUGGGAACCAACACCAGUGUAGCCCCAUCCUCGACAAGCAAGCCAGCACCCAUAAGGUCUGCAAAUUGGGUACUGCCUGCAAUCUAUCUCUGCUCGUGGCAGUGGCAGUUUAUUUUCCUGGCAGCAAUUGAAGCCUACAUAUCCAACAUAAAUAACAUCAAACAAGACAGUAUCAGAGACUUCCUCUUGCAGCACUAGGAGCCUACAUAUCUAACACAUUAAUUUCUUUAAAUUUAUUGGAGCACUAACACUAACUAAUGUUUCGAUAUCAUAAGAAAUGAAGUAUACAUAAAAGUAUGU